AGUUUGUCACCAAGAACAGGCAUGACUUCUACAGAGGUGGCAUCCUUGAAUUCAUGUCUGGAUUGGACUUAUCAUGUAACAACUUGACAGGUGAAAUUCCUCAUGAACUUGGAAUGCUAAGUUGGAUUCGUGCAUUGAACUUGUCUCACAAUCAAUUGAAUGGCUCCAUUCCAAAGAGUUUCUCCAAUCUUUCUCAAAUAGAGAGCUUAGACCUUUCUUAUAAUAAACUGGGUGGAGAAAUUCCUCUAGAGCUAGUUGAACUCAAUUUUUUAGAGGUGUUUAGUGUGGCUUACAACAACUUCUCUGGUAGAGUUCCAGAUACCAAAGCACAAUUUGGGACAUUUGAUGAAAGAAGCUAUGAAGGUAAUCCUUUCCUUUGUGGGGAACUAUUAAAGAGGAAAUGCAACACAAGUAUUGAGUCACCAUGCGCACCAUCACAGUCUUUUGAAAGUGAGGCAAAAUGGUAUGAUAUCAAUCAUGUUGUUUUCUUUGCAAGUUUUACUACUUCAUAUAUCAUGAUCUUGUUAGGAUUUGUUAUCAUCCUUUACAUCAAUCCUUAUUGGCGUCAUAGAUGGUUCAAUUUUAUCGAGGAAUGUAUAUAUUCCUGCUAUUAUUUUGUUUUUGAUAGUCUUUCCAAGUUAUCGGCAUAUUUGUAUAAUUAGAUACUUUUAAUUGGAUGAUAUUUGCAUAAUUAACUACUAUUUGUUUCCCUGGGAUAGAAAGAAAUGGGAUGUAUAAUGCUAUGAGCUGAAACUUACAUACUUUGCUCAAAUUCUAACAUCUUUUGAUUUUAUUUUCAAGUUCCGUUAUUUAUUAUGUAUUGUUAAAUUCAAGAUUUAACCAUAUUACGUUACUCUUAUAAAAGAAAAUUCAAAUUUUUAGGAACUUUUAGCAUUAAAAUAAUUUCAUAGUCAGAUUUUAAAAAAUAAAGAAGAAAGAAAAUAAUAAAUAAUUGGAAAAACAAUUCAAGGAAGUAUUAAAUUAUUAUCUUAGAAUUGUUUGGCGUAGUAUGGGAAUUCAAAAAUAAUCUUUCAAUUUGUUAGAAAUGUUUAUUUAUUUAUUAUAGCAAUGAUUGAAAUAUCAAUCACAAAGUAAUGUUUUCUUUUCUUUUGUAGGGCACUAACACUUUUUCUUUGAUUGUAAUAAUUGAUAAAUAUAUUACACAAUUAUUUGUUUUAAAAAGGGGAGGGAUGACAAACAUAAUAACAUGUAAAAUAUUUCUAAAACUGUGAUGGGAAAUAAACCAUCUAAUUAGGGUGCAAUAUUAUUCAUUUUAAUUUAUAUGAAUUUACUUAUUUUUAUUUGCAUCAUAUUCUGAACUAUUUUAUGAAAUUAAGAGAGAUUAAAACAUCAUGAAUUUCUUAGUUUAAUUUAUAUUUUUAAUAAUAAAGCAUGAAAUAUUUAAAAAAAGAAAAACAAAAUCAUGAAUUUCUUUAAUUCAUUAGGAAACCAAUAUAUAAAAAAAGUUGAAUAUAUUAUUAUUUUAUGUUCUAAAUUUCUAAAUUUGUUCAUCACGUAUUUAUUUUUAUAUUAAAUUUAUUAUCAAUAAUUAUUUAUUAUAUAUUAUUAUUUUAUGUUUAAAAAUGUUCAUAAAUAAUUAAAAUUAAUAAAUAUAAAAAAUGAAAUAUUAAAAAAAUAAAUUAAAAAGAUUUCAUCAAGCUAACAAAUUUUUAUAAAAAAAAAAAAGAGUAAAAAAGAAGAUGGGGAUAUUAUAGAGGUGGGGAAAAAGAUAAAAGAAAAAUCAUGUGGUAUAAUAAUUGCCACGUGUUAAAGUUAUUUUCUUUAAAAAUUAAUUAUAGUAAUGAUGAACUCAUUUGUCUUAUCAAAGUAAAUAAAAAUAAAUAAAUAAAAGAAAAAAAGAAAAAGAAAAAAGGUGGUAGUUGGCUGGAGGUUAGAGAGGAGGGUUUGAAGGUAAAUUUGGAAUAUUGAUUAUUUUCACUAAGUAGAUAUUUUGAAAGUUAUUUUGCCUGAAACCCAUAUUGUUUGAAAAUAAAAAAUCAAAGUUUAAAAAAAAUACAAUUUUUUUGAAAUGAUGCAUGAUUACAUCAUUCCCCUGAUAGAUUAUUUAUUCCUUUAAACUUUACUUCAAAUAAAAUAAUUUUAAUUAUUUUCUUUUUGGAAUUAUAUUUAACAUAUUAUUAAAAAUAUAAAAAAACAUUUUAAUAAUAUUGUUAAUGAGUUUUUUUUAUAUAUAUUUUGUAAAAUAAUUAAAUUUAAAAAUAUUUAAAUUUAGUUAUGGGCUGCCCAUUUCAAAAUAAUAAGAAUCUAGUAACCUAAUUUUUCCAAAUUCCAGGUAAAUAUGCUAAUCUAAAAAUAAAUAAAAAAAUAAAAAUUAGUUUUUAUGUGCUGAUUGGGUUUUUUUUCCUUUAAUUAAAAAAAAAGGAAAAAAACAAAAGUGUGUGAUCCUCUUUCUCGAGUCUUCACAUUUAGAGACACUGAACCCAAAUCAAAAUUAAUCCUUCAAAUUAAUUUUCACCUCCAAACAUAGCUAUCCGAAAAACCCUAACCUCUGCCUCCUCUUCCUCUUAUCCCGGAAACCUAAAUUCCGUGACCCUAACCCCUUCUCUUUCCGAAAACCCUCCGGAAUCGGAAAAUUCAUAAUUCUUCAGAAUUAAUUUUCACCUCGAAGCCAAACCCUAACUGCCUCAUCUUCCUCUCAUUCAUAUCCCAAAAGUAGCUUCAACAGUCAGGCCUGUAGCCAUGAAAGCCGUAGUGAUCACUACUUCCGGUGAUCCCCAAGUUCUCCAAGUGCAAGAAGUCGAAAACCCUGAAAUUGGAGAUGAUGAAGUUCUAAGUAGAGUGGACGCCGCUGCCAUUAACCGAACAGAUACGCUUCAGAGGAAGGGCUUGCACCCUUCCUCAAAGGCGGCAGUCCCUACCCGGGUCUCGAAUGUUCUGGAAUCAUCGAAGCUGUUGGAAAAGCCGUCGUUCGAUGGAAGGUUGGCGAUCAGGUAUUUCAAUUGCCUAAUAUUUUGAUUUCGUUUCUGUUCCUCUGUUUUUCUCGGCUAUCAAACACUAGGAACGUGUAAAUAAGGAGGUUAGUUGAUUGCGAAAACGGGAAUUUUUUGUUCGUGUCUGUGUUAAGGAGUCUUUGUUGAGAAUUUUGGGGAAAUUUAUGAUAAGUUUGUGAUUUUAUGAUUAAUUUUGUGUAUCAAUAUAGGUUAAAUUAUUGAGCUUAUUGGUUUUCAAAUUUAUGGUUGUAAGAAAAUUGGUCAGUGUAAGGUUAUGGGAUCAUUACCAAUUUGCUUACUGAAAAUUUUUCCAGAUAUUGUGGACCGGUUUGGUAGCAGAAAUAAGAACUGUGUUUUGUUUUUCAAAACGGAAAUGGAUGCAGAAAACAUGUUUUUCUUUCAGAACUUGUUUCCGAAAAUAUUUCCUGAAAAUGAAUUAUUUCAGAACUUGUUUUAAAAAAAUUCAAACACUUUAUCAAUUUAAAAGGUUCUGAAAUGGACAUGUUCAUGGUCUUCAUUUUUUAAAAUUAAAGCUUUUAUGAAAAAACCAUUUUCCCUUCUACUAAACAAACAGGCUCUAUAUUGUAACAGAUCGAUUGGCCAUUUCCUUUGUCAUGUUUUGUGAAUCAUGGCAACACUGGAAUCCACUCCAUUACCAUCUGUUAGUGAUUAGAAGACAAAGCACCAAUUUUAAUGAUAUCCUUUAUGUGAUUUUGCUUCCUCCUGAGUACAAGUUCAUAGUAUACAUGGUACAUGGUGAAUCUGUAUGACAGUUCAUGGUAUACAGGUGUGUGCUCUUCUUUCUGGUGGAGGGCAUGCUGAAAAAGUGGCUGUUCCAGCUGGGCAAGUUCUCCCUGUCCUAUCUGGUGUUUCUCUGAAGGAUGCUGCUGGAAUUCCUGAGGUUGCAUGUACUGUUUGGUCAACUGUUUUAAUGAUGAGCCGACUGUCUGCAGGAGAAACAUUCCUGGUGAAUUUUUUGUCUUUUUUAUUUUCUGAUGCCUGAUAUAUUUACCAGCACAAAUUUACCCUGUUGCUGUUUAAUGUGUGUGCAUCAAUAUUGGAUUAGGGAGGUAGAAGAGCCAUGGUUCUAAUUAAAUCAUUACAUCAUCAUAUUCUUAUUUAGAUACAUUGUAUCCCACAAUUUCAUUGCAUCCAAGGCUAUGUUGUUUUUUAUUGCACGGUUUGUGUCAUGGUAAUUUCUCAACCCUUCUCUGGAAAAUUAUGUUGGAUGGCUGCUAUUAAUUACCCCAAAAGAAGAAAUUUUAUGUUGAAGUAAGAUGAGUAGCACAAAGAGUUACUUGUGGUUGAUCCUAUCAUCAAAUGGGCGAUUGAUGCACAAUCCAAAUGGUAAAUUUUUUUCCCCCUUUAUCCAGAUGGAAUUUUUAUGCAUGGUUGAAUAGUGAAAUGAGGACUGAUAAUAUUUCAGGUUCAUGGGGGUUCAAUUGGAAUUGGUACCAUCUAUUCAAAUAGUGAAAUACUGAGGAGCAAGGGUAUUUGUUACAGCAGGUUUGCCAUCACUGUUCUACCUCAUCUCACAGAAUGCUUAUCUCAUGGCACCAAUUCCUUUUCUUCACAUGUUUUCAACCAUUUUUUCCACCCAGGAACGAGGAAAAAUUAGCUGUUUGUAAGGAUCAUUGAGCAGAUGUGUGCAUCAAUUACAAGACUGAAAACUUUGUUGCAUGGGUGAAGGAGGAAACAGGAGGGAAAGGUAUAAUCUAUUGUAUCUUAACGAUAAUUUCAAUUGAAGGUGGAAUUGCUUUUUAAUUUUUAGUGCACCAAAUCCACUAGUCUGGAAUGUUUGAAAAGAUAAAUAGUCAUCUUCCACUUGAUACCGAUUGUGAAGAUCUAACCCCAAAAAUGUUGAAUGACAGGUGUUGAUGUUAUACUGGAUAAUAUUGGAGGGGCCUACUUUUGGGGAGACAUCAAUGGUUUAAAUGUUGAUGGAAGGCUUUUUAUUAUUGGUUUUCAGGGUGGAACAGUGGUACAAGUAAAUCUUUCAGGUUUACUUGCAAGGCGCCUUACAGUGCAAGGUACCGCUUUCUCUGUAGUUUUGGAGUUGAAUCAAUUUGAUUAAUCUCAUCCAAGUUCAGAACUGAGGUGGAUUCUGGCAAGCCAAGGAAAAACCAAAUUACCAUAAAUUCUUUUUUUCUUGGAAAUCCUGUUUCUCAAUCUGGUCAGUAUAUGGAAAUUCCAAGGAAAAUAUGUUUUACAUUUUCCAUAAGGCUCAAUGGGUUUUAACUCCACUCAGCUACUUUAUGUCUUGUAUUUAAUAUUGCAAACCAAAAUAAUAAUACGUAGAGAUUGAGCUUGGAGGCCAAUCUAGCAAAUGUGGAGAUUAGAAAUAGUUUACCAUCUAGAUAGUCAAGCAUAGCAAUUUACCAAACCCUUACCAACCAUCCAUACUAACCAAUUGUGGUUAAAUGUUUACAAAAAUGUACAUUAAAUCAAAGAGAAAAAAGAUUAAAAACGAACAAGAGAGAAGAAGUACGUCACCUAAUUUUGGUAAUAAAUGAAAUUAAAAUAAAUUCAUAAAUUUUUUAAAUUAAAAUGAAUUUGAACUCUAGAGAUUUGUGUAGAUAUCUUAUUAAAAAACCAAAAAGUUUGUUGCAUAUAUAAUUUCAACAAUGCAUAAAUAAUUACAACAUACGCAAUACAAUAAUAUUACACAACUAUAUUUUCAAAUAUAGUAUAAGAUCAUUAAAGUGAUAAAUUGUAGUUGUAUAAAAUAUUUAUACAAGUAAAGAAGAAAUUAUGAGAUUGAAAUGCUUGUUGGAUUCUAAGUAAAAAGGAAAUGAGAUAUAGAGAUUGUCCCAUCAGACAUAGAAUUUCAUAUACAUAAUUUUCCCUUCAAGAAAAUUUAGGGUCAAAUUGAAAAAUUUUCAUUCAUAGAUUUUGGUAAAACCUCUAUCUAGUCCUCCAAAUCUUGUAUACAAAAGGAAAUAACAUUGGUAUGAGGGGUUUGAAUGCUUAAUUUUAGAUUGAAAAUGCUUGAGAUAAUUUUUGAUCGACUUCACAUGUGUUUUUGAUAAACUUGGAACAUUCAAACUUGUAUUUGAAGAAUCUUCAAAUCUUCAAUUUGAUCUUAAAUAAUGUUGAAACCUUCGAAAUUUGAAUAGAAGAAUCUUUAAGCAUUUGAAUUUUGGUUUAAAGAAUUUUGAAAUUUGAGAUUGAAGAAUCUUCAAAUUUGGGCCUGAAGAUCAAAGGCUAAGCUUGAAGAGUUCUUGAAGCUUGAGUGGUAUCUCCGAUUUUGUUUUGUAUUUCAUAAAAACUUUUAAGUAUACUAUAUUUAUAGGUUUGAAGAGACAUUGAGAUUUUGUAUACAUGUUUGGAGUUUUAAACCUUGAAAUAUUACUCUUUUAUGAAAUUAACAUUUAUAAAAUUUGGAAGAACAUAAUUAGAUAAUAUUCUAAGUUAUUUUUAAUGAAAAUUGAUAAUUACCUUUUAAUUAUCAAAUUCACUAUUUCUAUUUAUUUUUGUAAUAUAUAUUAAUUACUAAAAUCAUUUAUUUCCUUUAUUUAGUUUGAAAGCAAUUAUAUAUCUUUUGUUUGUGUAGAGCUCAUGUGACACGACAAAUUUUAUUUUGUAACUUGCUCUGGAUGAAUGGCCAUUAUAAACUUCAUUUUAUCCUCAUCUGAUUUUGAGGUGGGAAUAGGAGAGAUGAGGAUUUGACAUUUGGACCUAAGCCUCAGAGGGUUUUAACUCCACUCAACUACUUUAUGCCUUGUAUUUAAUAUUGCAAACCAAAAUAAUAACAGACAUGAUCCUUUUCAAAAUUUUUAUAAUAAUAGAAGUGUAAAUAAUAUAAGUAAAAAUAAUAUAAUAUUUUUUAAAAUGAUAAAAUAAUAGGUUAUAUAAAUUUUAAUAUAUAGGUAAAAUUAAUUAAAUUUUAACAAAUACCUUCACACUUAAACAUUACAUAUCUUUUAUUUAAUAAAAUGUUAAAAUAUUAAUAUAUUUAAAAUUGUAUAAUUAUUUUUUAUUUUAAUACUAUAUAAAUUAUAUAUUUAUGAUAUUACUGGUUCAACUAUAAUUCAAUCACUGAUCCAACCAUUGAACCAUGAAUUAGUAAAUUUUUUUAUUCAAUGAUAGGUUUGAUUCUAAAAAUAUUAUGACUAUGUUUGGUUCCAGAAAUUUUUUUUUGAUGGAUUACAUCAAUCUAGAUAAUGACAAAGAUAUUACCAAUUUGAUAUCACCAAUUGAUAACACAAUUAAAAAAUAAUAUGCAUUUUAACAUAUUUGAAUUCAUUGUACUCAUAUCCAUGACCUAAUUUUACACAUCCUUAAAUCAUGGUUGAUUUAUGAAACAAAUCUAUACCAUCAAUAGAAAAUAAAUAAAUAAAAUAAUACAAAAAAAUAUAUAGAUAGUCAAGCAUAGCAAUUUACCAAACCCUUAGCCACCAUCCAUACUAACCAAUUGUUGUUAAAUGUUUACAAAAAUAUACAUUAAAUCAAAGAGUAAAAAGAUUAAAAACGAACAAGAGAGAAGAAAUACAUCACCUAAUUUUUGUAAUAAAUGAAAUUAUAAUAAAUUCAUAAUUUUUUUAAAUUAAAAUAGAAAUUCAAAUACAUGUAACUAUUGUUUUUGUCUUGUAAAUCAUCCAAUUUUUCAAUGAAUUUAAACUCCACAUAUUUGUGUAGAUAUCUUAUUAAAAAAAACAAAAAGUUUUCACUAAAAUCAUAAAAUUUAGAUUAGAAAUGAUUUACUAUAUUAGUUCAAAAUUCAUCUCCACAAAAAUUGAAAUAAAUUAAUUAUCUUGAUCAAUUCAAAUAAAAUUUCUCCAAUUAAAUUUCCAAAUAUGUGCCUUAAUACCUAUAAUGGAAUUAGUAAUUUUAAUUAAAAAAUAAAUAAAAAUAAGGAUUUGAUCUUUUUCUUACCAUUUGAUGAAAAUUAUAAAAUAUACUAAAAUGACAAGUGAUCAGACAUUUGAAAUUUGCAUCAUUUCUACCAUUGCAAACACCACCAACUCCAUAUUUCCCAUUUUUCUACCUACUGCCAAUUCACUCAUCUCUCUGGGAAGAUUUUUGAGGUUAUCGCCAUGCUUGAGAUAAUCCAGAAAGUUGAGCGGCAUCACUCUCUGAAAGGUGCCUUACAGCAUGGGUAAUGUAUGGGAUACAUCUGAUAGCUUGCCAUAUCCAUAAACCACUAUAUUAAACCAUGGUUCAUAUCCCCAACGCCACACGAGAAUCUGUACUCAUCCCAAGCAGCUUGGAGAUCAUAAAAUUAGGUUUUGAGGGCCUCCCGAGACAUGCACAGCUUCACCUUUGUGCAUUCCUUUGAUUUGGAAAAUUUCUUCUGUAAAAUCCCCCAUUAUCAUGCCCUGAACCAAGACAAUUUCACAAUAUCCAAUAGCAUAUCAUUUACUUCCAUUUUGUCAAUGGGAAUUACCAUUUUGCAUGGGAAGCACCAACGGAGAUAGGGGUUUUCAAAUUGGAUCACUAGCAAAGAAACCCACCGCAACGAUCUGAAUAAUUGAGCACAACAUCCACUUUAGAGAACCCCUCCUGAAGGCGAAAUCGUCAUCUUGGCUAAACGUAGUCAUAGUUGGGUUGUGAGAAAUGGAGAUGAAUCACAGAAGGCUUUCAGUUUGAUAGCAACGAAAAGGUAAAUGUACUCUAGAGAAGUUUUGACCUUGGGAGAAGCGCUUUUGAAUCCAAGUCAAGGUCUGUUCUGGAUCCCUUUUCGACUCUCUCUAUUAAAGGAAGAUAAUCUGCCCAGGAUUUGGAUGCAAGCCUACAAGGCCAUGUUUAGGAGACUUAUGCAAAAUAUUUAUCCAUAGCUCCCCGCCUGAAACAUCUACAUAAAGCGUCUUCCAAGUGUGAACCAUCGUCUUGGGUCCUUGAGAUGAACAAAAACUGAGACAUGUCGUGAGUUAGAUGCAUUGCCUGAAAAUGCCGAGCAGUAGUAUGGCCUUCUUUCUGAUCAACUGUUUUGUCAAAUUCUAGAGCUCUCAUUCCAAAUCCAUCAGUUUUCUCAAAUGAUUGGCCAGUGGAGAUCCAUGGAUAUAACAUAUGAAAUGUGCACAAUAAAAGUAAUCAAACGGUUGGUUGGUUUGGCUGAAUCCCACAAUCGCAAAGACUUAUCAUAUGAAACUGUUACCAACUGAGUUGAAUUUGGCCUAAAAAGGAUAUCCGUUACUACAAACUAGCGUUCUUUCGUGGUGCUCUCUCUUUGCAGGCUAUCCAUGUUCCAAAGAAAAACUCUCUUGUCAUGUCUGGCACUGGGCACUGAUUAGAGUGUGGGACGUUCAUUCUCCAUUAUCACCAAACACAUGCAGGAUAUAUAUAUAUCAAUUCAUUCAAAAUAUGCCUUUAUUUUAUGGAACAUACCCGAAUCCAUUUUGUUUGUGUUGAAGAGGUAUAGAUCUUCUAAGGCUAUGGAGGGCACCACCUUUUCUCAGAAUUCUCUCUGACGAUGGGAAGCCGAAGAGAACGGGUUUUGUUUUUAUUUUGAAAACGUUGUUAUCCUUAAAGAACAAACACUAUUCUUUGGAUUUAUACCCUCCUACCUUAGGGACCAUACCGUUUGGCUACUGGGCCUCACGAGUCUUAGGCCCAUCAUCUAAGGCCCGUGAUGGCACUGGGCUCUACACAUAAGGUGGCCCAUACUCUAGAACGAAUAGAAAUCAUAUGUAUAUAUAUGGAUAGCUAAAUCCUGAAUAAUGGUUAAUAUGAUGUCGGUCCACAUUUAUUCUAUCAAUCUCCCACUUGGACCACAUAUAUUACAAAACAAUGUUCAUGAUAGUACUUUAUUGAGCUCAUCUUUGCUAUCCUAUCUUAAUAUCCUUAAACAAUCUGGUCUACUAGUUAUGCUAACAUAGGAUCAAAGUGGCCUUCAUUAAUCAUAAUUAUAACUAGACCCAUCAAUGAUCACAACAUUAACAAAAUUAGCAACAUAGAUCAAGUAUGGAUGUGUAGCAUGAAAAUUACAUAAAAUGUGAUCUUUAUUAUGUCUAUUUCCAAUUGGUCCUACUUUAUGACUAAAAAAUAGUCAAAUUCCACUUUCAACACUUGAUGCUAAACUGCUUCUGAAAGUCAUCAUUUCAAUUCAGAGAAUUCAAAUACAAUAGUCUUUAAAAUCAAGGUUUGUUGCGUACAUUAUUGGAAUGUUCAGCAAAUAUUUGAGUAACCCAAGUAUGGAUUACUGGAAAAAGGCAAAAUAGGUUAUGCGGUAUUUACAAAGAACUAAAGAUUAUAUGCUCACAUACCGUAGAUCCAGUCAUUUAGAGAUCAUGGGAUAUUCGGACUCCGAUUUCGCGGGAUGUCUUGACAACAAGAGAUCCACUUCAAGCUUCAUCUUCAUGUUGGCUAGAUGAACAGUUUCAUGGAAAAGUGUUAAACAAAUACUUAUUGCUUCUUUCACCAUGGAGGCAGAAUUCAUAGCCUACUACAAAGCAUCAAACCAUGGGAUAUGACUGCGGAAUUUUGUCACUCAGUUGCGAAUCGUUGAUGAGAUUGAGAAAUCAUUAAGAAUAAAUUGUGAUAAUAAAGCCAUAGAAUUGUAAUUCUAAGAACAACCGAAGUUCGUCAAAGUCCAAACACAUUGACAUCAAGUUCUUGGUUGUGAAAGAAAGAGUUUAGAGUCUUCAAGUAUCAAUUGAACAUACAAGCACAAACUCCAUGAUUGCGGAUCCGCUCACUAAGGGUUUGCCACCCAAAGUAUAUCAUGAGCAUGUCACACAUAUGGGUGUUGUACAUAUUGAUGAUGUUCCAGUAUAGUGGGAGUUUGUAUUUAGAUUUUGUGUUUGUUUUCUUGAUAUGAUGUUAUAUUGUGUUAUCGUGUACAAACUUGUGCAUACAUGAGACUUCCUAUUGUUGAGGCAUAGGGAAACCUCUUCAUAUCCUUCUUUUUAAGUUCAUUUUUCGGACAUUGGUGCAAACUAAAUUUAUCGCCUUUUGCUACAGGCAUGUCUCCUGGUGUACAAUUGCUCAUGCCAAAUCUACUCAACACCUUAUCGAUGUAGGCCUUUUGUGAUAACCCAAGUAUACCUCUUAAACGAUCCCUAUAGAUCUGUAUACCUAGCAAAAAAGAUGCAUUACCAAGAUCCUUCAUGUCAAAUUUACUAGACAAAAAUAGCUUAGUUUCAUGCAAAAGUCCCACAUCACUACUUGCAAGUAGAAUAUCAUCAACAUAUAGCACCAAGAUAAUGAAUUUGCUCCCACUAAACUUGAGAUAUAUGCAUUGAUCAAUGGUGUUUUCCUUAAAACCAAAUGAAGUAAUCACCUGAUUAAACUUUUGGUACCAUUGUCAAGAUGCUUGCUUUAAACCAUAUAUGGACCUUUUUAAUCUGCAUACAAGUUGCUUUAAAUCAUUAGACUCAAAGUUCUCCGGUUGCAUCAUGAAUAUUGUUUCAUCAAUGUUACCAUUAAGAAACGCAGUUUUAACGUCCAUUUGAUGCAACUCUAAAUCAUAAUGAGCCACAAGUGCCAUGAUGAUUCUAAAGGAGUCAUUUGACAAAACCGAUGAAAAAAUCUCCUUAUAAUCAAUGUCUUCCUUUUGAGUGAAACCUUUUGCGACUAGACGUGCCUUAUACCUAACAAUGUUGCCUUUUGAAUCCCACUUGGUCUUAAAAAUCCAUUUACAACCAAUCGAUUUUACACUUUCAGGCAACUUUACUAGGUCCCAAACACCAUUAUCUUUCAUUGAUUUCAUCUCAUCUUUUAUGGCUUCUAUCCACUUUUCAGAGUCAGAACUUUGUUUGACUUGACUAACUGAAAUUGGAUCAUCUUCCAAACCCAUGUCAAACUCUUGUUCCUGGAGAUGUACAACAUAAUCAUCUGAAAUUGUACUUCUCAUUUCUCUAGUGGAUCUCCUUAGUGGCACUUGUAUUUGAGGUUCUUGAGGCUGUUGAGUUACCUCUUCAUAAACUUGAACCGGUUCCAUAACUUGAGCAGGAGGAAUCUCAAGUGUGUUUUGAAUCUCUGUUAUUGAUUGUACAAUCUGGAUAGUGUCAUCAAACAUAAUAUGACCAUGUCCAGUCGUAAUAAUAGGAAUACUAACAGAUUCCUCUUCAAAUACCACAUUUCUUAACGGUUCUCUCCCAUUUAACUCAACAUCCUCAAUAAAUUUAGCUUUGCCCGUUUCAAAAAAGGAUCUAGUUGAGGGGUCAUAAAACUUGAAACCUCUCAACCUUUUAGAAUAUCCUACAAAGUAGCAGCUCACUAUUCUAGAGUCCAAUUUCUUUUCAUUUGGUUUUUAAGGCCUAUCUUCAGCUGGACAACCCUAGACAUGCAAGUGCCUAAUACUAGGUUUCUUGCUAGUUCAUAACUCAUAUGAGGUUUUGGCUACUGCUUUGCUUGAGACUCUAUUCAAAAUAUAAAUUGUUGUUUUGAUGGCUUCGCCCUAAAGUGAUUCUGGUAAGGUGGAAUGACUGAUCAUACUUCUUACCAUAUCCUUAAGAGUACGAUUUCGCCUAUCUGCUACACCAUUUUGGAUUGGAGUCCCCAGCAUGGUGUAUUGAGGAACGAUACCACACUCCAUCAAAUAUUUGGCGAACAGCCCUGGACGUUGUUCACUAGAUCCGUCAUAUCUACCAUAAUAUUCACCUCCACGGUCAGAUCUGACGACCUUUAUUUUCUUGCUUAGUUGGUUCUCAACUUUAGCUUUGAAAUUCUUGAACACAUCUAAUGAUUGAGACUUCUCAUGAAUCAAAUAAAGAUAGCCAUAGCGCGAGUAAUCGUCAAUGAAAGUGAUAAAAUAUUAUUGUCCAUUCCAAGAAGGGGUAGGAGAUGGACCACAAAUGUCCGUAUGUAUCAAUUCAAAGACGUCACUGCACUUGUUAACAUCAUUUUUUUUCUCAUAUUUGUUUGUUUACCCUUAAUAUACUCUAUACAGACUCGAAAGUAUAAGAAAUUAAGUGGAUCAAGAAUUCAUUCUGACACAAGCCUUUGAAUACGUUGAUUUGAAAUAUGACCCAAAUGCCUGUGCCAUAACAUCGAUGAAUUCUCAUUUGUUAAUUUCCGUUUAAUGUCAUAAUUACUUGAAUUCAAGGUUUCAUUUUCAUUAGUGGUCUUUAUGUUUAAUUUGUAUAAUUUGUCUGUUAGAUUACCUGUACCAAUAACAUUUGAAUUUAGAUAAAGACUAACCAUUCCAUUUCUAAAUGAACAAUAAUAUCCAAAGUACAUCCAGAGUCUAACUGUAAUCUAAAAAGACCAAUAGUCUUGACUGCAACCUUGUUGCCAUUUCCCGCAUAGAUGUAUCUUUCACCAUCAAUUGGCAUUCGGCUCCUUAGGCAACCCUACAUCGUGACACUUAUGUGAGUAGUUGCACCCGUAUCUAUCCACCAAGUGUCAGUAGGCACUACGACUAAAUUAAUUUAUGAACAAACAAAGUUGAGAAGUGUACCUUUCUUUUCACGCCAAGCAGCGUAUUUGGUACAUGUCUCUUCAUAUGACCAACCUUCUUGCAAAAGAAACAAGUCAUCUCCUUAUCUUGUUUCUUCUACACCUUUUGCAUUGAUGUCCCAAAAAUUGCAGUUUGUUUUUCUUUAUUGUCCCUUUUUCUUUUCUUGUUGGUACCAAAUCCCUGAGAUGUGGAAGCCAAGUGAGCACUUUCUAUCUUUUCUUGUUUCAAUCUCUCAUCCUUUUGUGCACAUUGAGCAAUAAGCUCAUUCAAAGUCCAUUUUUCUUUUUGUGUGUUGUAACUGAUUUGGAAUGGACUGAAUUGUGUAGGCAGAGAGAUCAAGACCAAGUGCACGAGUAUGUCUUCUGAAAACUCUAAUUUUAGUACCUUUAGUCUAGUCACAAGAUUAGACAUUUCCAUAAUAUACUCCCUUAUAUUCUCUUUCCCUUUGUACCGCAUAGAGACAAGCUUACUAAGAAUAGUGCUUGUCUCAACCUUUUCAUUUGUAGUGAAUCGGUUUGCUAUCUGGUCUAAGAAUGCCUUGGCUCGAGUUUUCUCAGGUAUUGCACUUCUUACAGCUUUUGGAAUUGAGUGCUUUGUUAUCAUUAGAGUCAUGCGAUUGGAUCGCUCCCAUUUUUCCAUAGUAGAACUUUGCUCAGCAGUGCUGGCACUAGUAAGAUCUGGAGGGCGAUCCUCUCUUAAUGCAUAGUCUAAAUCCAUGCACCCGAGCACAAUUAUAGCGUGUUUCUUCCAUUUCUUGAAGUUUGUGCCAUUAAGUGCAGGAAUGUUAUUAACAUUUGCAGAUAUAGAAUAUGUUGAAUUCAUAAUAAUAAAGCUCACAAUCAGUCACAUAAAUAUCAUACAUACAUGAAAAAUAACAUCAUACAAGAUACUUAGCACAAACAUUAAUAUUCUGUCUUUGGACAAUAAAUAUUAACUUGUAAUUGGUAUCCUUAUUCAAAAUUAUUCAUAAAUAUUGACAAUAAAACCAAAAACAAUAUGCUUGUCUUUAGACUAACAUAUCGAAUGCAAGAUAAACUUUAUAUGUCACAUAUUUAUGACUACUUUAUUUAUUAUUAUAUUAAAAUAAUCUUCCUUUGGGCCAAUUAUUUUAAAUAAUAAUAAUAACAUGUUUAGAUAUUAUAAAAUAAAUAAAUUAUAUAAUAUAAGUUACUUUGACAACUAACAUACAUAAUUCAUUUAUUUUAAAAUAUUAAACACAAACAUAACAAGAAAUAAUAAAUUCAAUUAAAAUUAUUUAUUUAUUUAUGCAUAAACCCAUGUAUAUAUAUAUAUAUAUAUAUUAAUUGAAGCAUAAAAAACCAUCUACAUGUGUAUAUAUAUCAAUUGAAGCAUAUAUACAAGCUUUAGUCUAAUGGUUUAAGCAAAAAAUAGGCCAUGGUAAAGGGUUUAAGCCAACCCGCCCCUUUAGUUUGGUUUUUGUUUUUUUUUUUUUGUUUUAAUUUCUUUUGGGCUACUGACCAUGCAUUCUCUCAUGGCCCAACGACCACUUAUGGUCACUUACAAGCCAAGCCCCUUCCAUAUAUAUAUAUAUAUAUAUAUGUUUUUAUUUAUUUAUUUAAAUUUUGUCCAUUGCAGCCCAAAGCGACCAUCCCUUGUAAUGGCAUCAUCAACGGUGCCAGAGCUGUCCUCGAACGACACCGAUAGUGAAACGCUGCCACCAUCACCGGAACGGUGAUUUCCCAUCGCCAAACGACGGUGUCACUACCGGAAUGAUGCUGUAACAGCAUCGCUGGGAAGCAACCUAACUUGUGGCGUGACACCAUGACAAGCAAUGCCACUAGCAGUGAAACGCUGUCGCCAUCACCGAAACGGUGAUUUUCCAUUGCCAAACAAUGGCGCCACCACCGGAACAACGUUGAAACAACAUCACUGGGAAGCAGCCCUACCCGUGGCACCAAAAUGGCGCUUGGAUGGCAUUUGGAACACUUGCAACAACGUUCAAAUCAGCGCUUCUCACUGGCAAAUGACGCUUGAACGACAUCUGGAAAUAAUGCCUACAACGCCUAAAAAUUGUGCUAUUUUGAACUCUUAAAACAACGUUGAAAUGACGUCUACCAAAGUCUGGAAUUGCACCGCUGUCUAGAACGAUGCCAUGAUGGUGUCUCACUCGCCUUAAAUGGCACCAACCACCAUGACUUGCAACCUAAAAAAUGGCACUUGAACAGCGCCUGAAGCGUGCCUGGAACGACGCUACAAACGAUGCCUGAAAUGGUGCCUUUUGUAUGCCUGAAAACGACAUAGGAAUGACGCUUAAACUACGUCCAUUUUGAACGCCUGAACGGUGUCCUAACGGCGCCUGAAACGAUGCCUGAAUGACGCCUGGAAUUGGCCCAGAUUUAUUUUAUGUUGUUUCCUUCCUCUUGGAUCUUUUGUUUGUGUUUUAAAAAAAAAAAUGUUUUGGUGAAAAUGGGAAAUGCAACCAGGCUCUGAUACCAUUUUGUGGGACGUUCAUUCUCCAUUAUCAUCGAACACAUGCAAGAUAUAUUUAUAUAUAUCUAUCAAUUCAUUCAAAAUAUGCCUUCAUUUUAUGGAACAUACCCGAAUCCAUUUUGUUUGUGUUGAAGAGGUACAGAUCUUCUAAGGCUAUGGGGGGUACCACCUUUUCUUAGAAUUCUCUAUGACGAUGGGAAGCCAGAGAGAACAAGUUCUAUUUUUAUUUUGAAAACGUUGUUAUCCUUAAAGAACAAACACUAUUAUUUGGAUUUAUACUCUCCUACCUUAGGGACCAUACCCUUUGGCUAUUGGGCCUCACGAGUCUUAGGCCCAUCAUCUAAGGCUCGUUAUAGCACUAGGCUCUACACAUAAGGUGGCCCAUACUCUGGAAAGAAUAGAAAUCAUAUGUAUAUAUAUGGAUAGCUAAAUCAUGAACAAUGGUUAAUAUGAUGUCGGUUCACAUUUAUUAUAUCAUAGAGACUUCCCAUAUGAAGAAAAUCGACAGCAGGUAGCUUUGCCAUUCUUAGUCUGUAUACAACCAACCUUAGCAAGGAUUGAACCCUUUUAUGCUUAGUUGUGCCAUAAAGAUCCUUACCACUGCCUAUAACAUGUAAUCAAAAUGAUUCGAUAAUAUCAUCUAGUGAACCAAUACCUCCAAAUGAGAGACCAUUGCCUUGGUAACUAGGGCUCAUGACUGAGAAUUGCUUGAACCCCUUUGCUUGGGUUGGAGCUUGACUGAUGCACAAAAUAUUCAUAGGCCUCUUCCCAUAACUGGCACCUUGUGUUUGCAACAUAAUUGAACAUGUAUUGAAGUGAGUUUUUUUGCAUCUUUUUGUAAGAAAAUUCUAAACAACAGAGAUUGCUUAGUGUGCCCGGCUCCUCGGGGAAUCAAGGUUCAUUCCUGUAGGGCCAAUUUUUUCACAGUCGAACUAGAUAACAUGGAGAGUAUGUUGCAAUGCUUCAACGGGGUAUUUCUUAGGAAAAUCCACCUGAAGCUAGUACAAUUCGUUGGCGUACUGAGUUCCUGGAGCUCUAUUGACUUCAAUCACCCAUCUUUGUAGAUUAUCGGUGACUUAUGCUCGGAUCCUGUAGGAGGAUUGACCUGACAUUCCACUAGCUCUUUCUGGAAGGCGAUCUUGUUUAACACCUUGUGAGAAGAGGCAAGGGAACUGGUCAUUGUUUCUUCGAGAAGAUCAGUGGCCGAGGAUGGGUUUGGAUCAGAAUUGCUAUAUGGGUUUUCUUUGGGUGAACCAAUUAGUGAAGUGGGUGGCUAUAUAGCAACUGAAGGGUAGUCAUACUAACGAGGAACUAUUAUUUCAUGCAUGUGGAGAGGAAAUGAGUAGAUUCUUCAGGGAUAUAUGAUUAUUCAUCUCUAGCUUACGUUGAAUAUCUCCUAACAAAUUUAUGCUUUGAAGCUCCCUUAGUUUCAUUACAGCUAACUUGGCCAACUUGGUUUCAUCAUGUUUCCUACAACCUCUAAGCAAAGCACGCCAGAUCACCAAAUCAGGUUCUAUUCGCAUUUUGUCCAUAAACUCCUUUGCCUAUUGACAAUAGACUGCCCCUCAAAAUUUGAUGAGAUAACAUCAACGCUGACAGGUUGGCCAUCCCCAUAAGCAUCUUUAUAGAGAUUGAUUCUAUGUUUAGAUAUUUCUCUCUCCUCAAGUGAGUUCAAUUUUUUUGUAACAUCCUUCUCCUUCUCUACUAAUAGUCUUAGCUGAACAUCCAACCUAUGUUCCUAAAGUGCCAGCAUCUCAUAUCUGAUGACAAGCCAACAACCUUGCCCUUGCUGAGACCAAUGUUUUUAAGGCGUUUGUGGGGCGCGCCUUGAGGCGAGGCGCAGCGAAAACGUGUUGAGGCGUUAAAAAUAAAAUGAAACACCUGAAAGGCGUACGCUUUUCCGAUGAGGCGUGAUUGAGGCGUGCUUUGAUCGCGCCUUUCACACUCCAAGAAGAAGGUGUAUGCUUCCUCGGAUCUGAUGUGGCAAUGAACAGAGAUUUAAAAAAAAACCCUAAGUAAUCCCUAAAACCCUAGUCCCGACUGAAAACAAACCCAAAACGAAACCCUACCUCCAACGACUCAAGUGGCGACGGAGUGCUCACCCUCGGCUGCGACCAAUCGCAAUGCAUCUUCUCCGGCGACGAUCCCUCUCAUUCAUCUCCAGGUAUGUUGCGAACUCCUUCUUCCAUGGUUUCUCCCUCUUCGUUUCUCUUUCUGCAAUCCACACGGGCUUCGUCGACUCUUCAUCCAAAUUUUUUUUUUAUCAAAUCAGUUAUGUAUAUCUAUUUAAAUUUUAAACCCUUUUUUCUCUCUCUUACAGUAUAUCUAUUUAAAUUCUUUCUCGGCAAUCCACAGCCCACACUUCCAGUCCACACUUUUCUCUCUCUCCCAAUAGGCUUUUCAUUUUCCUUUUUUUUUUUUUUUUUUUUUUAAAUUAUCAAAUCAAAUGUGCCUUUUGUUAAUAAGAUUUUUUUUGAAGUUUUUUAUAUGUUUGCUUAUAGUAUCAACAAAAAAAUAUAAUUAAAAUUAUAUAAAAGACAAUUAUUUGUGAAUUUUGAAUUUUUUAUUUCUGGUUUAAUUUUAAUUUUCACCUCAAUUUUCUUUAUUUCAUUAUUAAAUUCCAAUUAAAAUUUAUGUGUAUAAUUUUUAAACUCUUUUAAAAAAAAUUGGUUUUUUUUUAAUUUAAACCAAUUAAAUUUUGUAUUUCAUUUUUAAAUUUCUUUCAAUUGUGCUUUGUUAUUAUUUUUUUAGUCAAUUAUAUUGUUAUAUGGAAAUUUGAAUAUUAUUAUUGGUGAUUUUUUUUAGAAUGAGUUCCUCUGAUUCAAAAAAUUCAAGAAAGGAUUUUGUGUGGAAGUAUGUGAUGGAAGUUUCUAGAGAGCAAUAUUUAAUAUGUAAAUUUUGCAAUCAAAGAUGUACGGGAAGGGUGAAUAGACUAAAACAUCACUUAGCCGGAACUCAUCAUGGUAUGAAACCAUGCAACAAAGUUAGUGAAGAUGCUAGAUUGGAAUGUAAAGAGGUAUUGGCUAAUUUUAAGGAUCAAAAAACGAAGAGAAAUGAAUUGCUCCAAGAAAUUGGUAUGGGUCCAACUUCAAUGCAUGAAAGUGCCUUGUCUAAAAUAAUAGGGACAUUAGGGAGUGGGAGUGGGAGUGUAAGUGGGAGUGGGGAACCUAUUCCUAGGGGACCCAUGGAUAAAUUUACCACUUCACAACCUAGACAAAGUACUUUGAAUUCAUAGUGGAAGCAAGAAGAAAGGAAGGAAGUGUGUAGAAAAAUUGGUAGGUUUAUGUAUUCAAAAGGUCUCCCAUUCAACACUGUGAAUGAUCCUUAUUGGUUUCCUAUGAUAGAUGUUGUUGCAAACUUUGGGCCCGGGUUUAAGCCUCCAUCUAUGCAUGAAUUGAGGACAUGGAUUCUUAAAGAAGAGGUGAAUGACCUAAGUAUCAUUAUGGAAGAUCACAAAAAAGCUUGGAAACAAUAUGGAUGUUUAAUUAUGUCAGAUGGUUGGACAGAUGGAAAAAGUAGGUGUCUUAUCAAUUUUUUGGUGAAUAGUCCUGCUGGAACUUGGUUUAUGAAAUCAAUUGAUGCUUCUGAUACAAUAAAAAAUGGGGAAUUGAUGUUCAAAUAUCUUGAUGAGGUGGUUGAAGAAAUUGGAGAGGAGAAUGUUGUGCAAGUCAUCACUGAUAAUGCCUCUAAUUAUGUGAAUGCUGGAAUGAGGCUUAUGGAAAAAAAGAGUAGAUUGUGGUGGACUCCUUGUGCUGCUCAUUGCAUUGAUUUGAUGUUAGAGGAUAUUGGAAAGCUAAAUGUUCAUGCUACUACACUUUCUCGAGCUAGGCAAGUUGUGAAGUUUAUAUAUGGGCAUACUUGGGUUCUUAGCUUGAUGAGAACAUUUACAAAAAAUCAUGAACUUAUUCGUCCAGCAAUUACACGGUUUGCUACUGCAUUUCUUACUCUCCAAAGUCUUUAUAAGCAAAAGCAAGCUCUUAUAGCAAUGUUCUCCUCAGAAAAAUGGUGUUCAAGCACAUGGGCUAAAAAGGUAGAAGGUGUGAAAACUCGAAGUACAGUGUUGUUUGAUCCAAAUUUUUGGCUUCAUGUUGCUUUUUGCAUAAAGACCACUGUUCCAUUAGUUAGUGUCUUGAGAGAGGUUGAUUCAGAGGAAAGACCAGCCAUGUGUUAUAUUUAUGAGUUGAUGGAUUUAGUUAAGAAGAAGAUUGCAUUUAAUUGUCGGGGCAUGGAGAGAAAAUAUGACCCAAUUUGGAGAAAAAUUGAUGCAAGAUGGACUCCGCAACUUCAUCGACCUUUACAUGCAGCAGACUAUUAUCUUAAUCCUCAAUUGCGGUAUGGAGAUAAGUUCUCUAAUGUUGAUGAGGUGAGGAAGGGAUUAUUUGAAUGCAUGGAUAGAAUGUUGGAUUAUCAAGAACGUUUAAAAGCUGACAUUCAGUUGGACUCAUAUGACCAAGCAAUGGGUGAAUUUGGGAGUCGUAUUGCAAUUGAUUCUCGAACAUUAAGAAGUCCUACAAGUUGGUGGAUGCGUUUUGGGGGUUCAACACCGGAGUUGCAAAAGUUUGCUAUUCGAGUCCUUAGCCUUACUUGUAGUGCUUCGGGAUGUGAAAGAAAUUGGAGCACAUUUGAAUCGGUAAUACUUCUAUUUUUGUAAAUUUUUAUACAUAUAUUUCUAUUUCAAUGUUAGAGAACUUUAUUUCAUUUUAACACAUAAAAUUGUUUCUUUUAUUAUUUGUAGAUCCAUACAAAAAAAAGAAAUAGACUUGAACAUCAAAAGUUGAAUGCUCUAGUGUAUGUAAGGUACAACACUAGAUUGAGAGAGUGAAGUCUACAAAGGAAACAAAAUGUUGAUCCAACCUUGGUAGAGGAGAUUGAUUCUGAUGAUGAAUGGAUUGCGGAGAAAGAAGAUCUCCUCCUCCCCCUUGAUCUUUGUUGGCUUCAAGAUAAUGAAUUAUUCAAUGUUGAUGCCAUUAGAGUUGUGUCAUCCAACUCCCAAGAGACGCAAGCAUCAUCGGAUCAUAUGGUUUCUUCACAUUCCUACAAAAGGAAACAUAAUGAAGUACCAAGUAAGUACUCAAAAAUUGAAAUCAUAAAUUUGAUUAAAUUUAAUAAAAAAAACUUUUAAUAUUUAAACAUAAUUAAUACUUUAUGCUAGGUACAAGUGGAGGCAAAGGCAAAGAGAAGGAAUUGAAUUUGACACCAAUUGAUGAAGAUGAAGAUUUAGAUGAAAUGGGGAUACAUGAUAGUGGACAUUUUCCUACUAUUGAUACAUUGGAUGAGGAUGAUGAUGACCUUGGAGAGGAGGAUUUAAGUUGAAACAAUUUACUCUAGUUGUUAUUUCAUGACUUAGUUAUGGAUUUUUUGUAAAAGUUUAGAACUAUUAUUAUGGUUGACUCUAUUUUCUAUUUCAUGACUUAGUUAUGGCUUUUUGUUAAAGUUUGAAACUAUUAGUAUAGUUGAAUCUAUAAUCUAUUUUAUGAAUUUGUUAUGGUUUUUUGUGAAAGUAAGGAACUAGUAUGUUUUUUUUUAUGAUUCUAAUGAAUUGUUUUCAUGUUUUUAUUUAUGCUAUUUUAUUUUAUAUAUUUUAAAAUAUUAAUUAAUUAUAUAAUGUGAGGCUCAAAAAGCUUACGCCUCAAUGCCUCGAGGCUUACGCCUCGCCUCACGAACACAAAAACGCCUCGCCUUACGCUUUCGCCUUUAAAAACUUUGGCUGAGACCCAAAUAAGUAUCCAGAACCAUCAUCAUCAACCCUUUCACAAGCCUUUGUAUUUGAAGGUCAGAUUGGGAUUGCUUUGAAUGCACUGACACUGACACUGCAAUACACAAUUGUUUCUUCUCCAAUAAAAACACCACAAAGAGGUGAGGGGACUGGUAUUAGCAAAGAAGUGUUGUUAUCUAUAUUGUUCUGAGCCCGAGUACCAAAAACAAAAUCCUCAUCCUCAUCUAUACUCUUCCAUUACAUCCCUAGGCUUUUCAAUGUGAUCCACAUGGCUUACAGGAAUCCAGAAAUAUCGGUCUGUAUAAAAGUUGCUCUUAUGUGGCUCUCCUAGAAAACAUCCCAAUCAAGAUGAUCAACCUAGCUUAGAUGCUCAACACCCCAAACUUACGAGAAAUAGAGGAAUAAAAAGCAAGGAUAGGAGCCAAAGUAAAAACUGAGGGAAGAGCAAAUAGGAAAUCAAGCAAAACAUGAAUGUACAGAGCCUCAUUUCAGGUGACAUCUUUGGGCUAAUAAUAGGUGGAAUUAACAAAGUAGAUAAGCAUGAUUGUUAUAAAUAUCAAGUUCAAGGAUGAAGUCGUGCAUCAGCUACUUAUAGGGGGAGUCAAGGAAACCAAGAUAAGAUCAAAGAGAGCAUGUAUGCAAAUAAACAGAUUUGACAAAAUAGACCAAACAGCUUGUGAAUAUCCUCCUACAAAAAACUACUACACGUGGCAAAAAGUGAUGAAGCAAAAAGAGUCGGGUCCGCAUAUACAUAUCCUAUGCUAUCCUAUUCCUUCAAAUCCAAAGCAACCUGUAUUUUCAAUGGGAUUUGUUGUGAUGAAUUUUACUGGAUUGUAACAUGUAAAUAUGUUAAAAAAGGCUUGGGACAUUCCUAUAUAGUAACGCAUAAAGGUACUUCCAUUGUGAAGUUGUCAAAAUUGCAAAUUUAAAUUACAAAAUUUGAAAACAUAGAGAUGAAAGAUGAUGAAACCUUCUUUGAAAUUUUAUAUUGAACUCAUUAAUAUUAUUAAUUUUCAUUUCAGUCUAAGGGAAAGAAUUCUUUACUCUAAAGUGGUCACAAAAAUAUUAAAAUUCCUUGUCGAGAGAUUUAGAUCUAAAGUGAUCAAUAUAGAAGAAAGUAAAAAUAUUCUAAGUGUAGGUAAACUUGUAGACUCAAAUGACUCUACCUUCUCAUAAAAAAUCCUCAAUUUUAUAAAUUAUAUAGAUUUCUUCAUUUGAUACAAAAUUUGAAUAAAGAUUUUUCAAAUGACAACACAAGGAAAGGGAAAAAAAAAAUCUAUCCAGAUCAUAUUAUUUAAUCACUUAAAUUAUUUAAAAAUAAAAAUGUUUACUGCUAACAUUAUUUAGGUUCAUCUUUCUUUUGAUGGAGGUUAAAAUUCAUAAUUUUGAGGAAAAAGAUGAGGAUUCUCAUUUUUUUUUUCCAUGUAUGAAUGGGAUUCUCAUUGUGUAUAUGUGGGUUACUAAAUGGCAAAUUUGGGGGCCAAUAUGAGGGAAAAAAUGAAGUUGAGUUUGUCACCAAGAAUAGACAUGGUUCCUACAAAGGUGGCAUCUUUAAUUUCAUGUUUGGAUUGGACUUGUCAUGUAACAACUUAACAAGUGAAAUCCCUCAUGAACUUGGAAUGUUAAGUUUGAUUCAUGCAUUGAACUUGUCUCGUAAUCAACUAAAAGGCUCCAUUUCAAAGAGUUUUUGCAAUCUUUCUCAAAUAGAGAGCUUAGACCUUUUUAAUAAUAAACUAAGUGGAAAAAUUCCUCCAAAAUUGGUUAGACUAAACUUUUUAGCAGUGUUCAAUGUUAGCAUAUUCGGAAGAGUUUUAGAUAUGAAUGCAUAAUUUGCAAAAUUUGAUGAAAGUAACUAUGAAGCUAAUCCUUUCCUUUGUGGACCACCAUUAAACAGAAAAUGUAGCAUAAAUGUUGUUGAACCACCUUACCAACCAUUAGAGUCUUCAGAAGAAAGUGAUGCAAAAUGGUAUAAUAUCAAUCUUGUUAUUUUCUUUGCAAAUUUUACUACAUCAUAUAUCAUGAUAUUAUUAGGAAUUUCAACCAUUCUUUACAUUAACCCUUAUUGGUGUCAAAUAUGGUUCAAUUUUAUCGAGAAAUAUAUAUACUUUUGCUAUUAUUUUGUUUCCUAUACUCUUUCCAAGUUAUUAACAUAUUUUGAAUAAUUAGAGAUUUUUGUUUUCAAUAAUAUUUACAUAAUUAACUACUAUUGGUUUCCAUGACAUGGAAAGAAAUGCGGUGAAGGCAACAACCACUUUUUUUUCUCCUCUACUAGUGCAUGAUUGAUAUGAGUUAAAACUUGCACCCUUAUCUUUACUUAAAUUUUCUCAGCUUUUGUUUCAAUUCUUAAUUAUCAUUUCUUUUAUGUAUUGUUUAAUACAAUAUCCUAAACACAUUGCUUUGAAGGUUACUUAUUUAUUAAGCAUGAUAUUUAUUUUCAUAAAGACAAAUUCAAGUUUUUUAGGAAUUUUUAGAAUUAUUAUAAUUUGGAGUUCACAUUAGAGGAAAAAAAGGAAAGAAAAGAAUAGAUAAUUAAAAAAACAAUUUUAGUAAGUAUAAUUUGUCAUCUUCGGUAUAACAAAUGGGAAUUCCAAAAUAAUAUUUCAAUUUGUUAGUCUAUUCCUUAUAAUAUUAAUUGAAAUAUCAAAUAAGGAGUCACGUUUUGAUUUUUUUAUUAGCUUGAAUUGCAUGUCACAUAUAUUUUAAAAUCAAGCAUACCUCAGCAGGGAAGUUCUUGUAACAUGCAUGAACAUGAUAUGAUGAAUUAAAUAAUUUUCUUAAUUGUGUGAGACACAAACCCUCUUUGUUUAAUAAUAAUAAUAAUAAUAAUAAUAUACUACACAUUAUUAAAUCAUAUAUGUAUAUUUAUAGUCGUAUAAUAUAUUUAUAUAAGUAACAAUAAAUUAUAUUGUAUAAGGUAUCGGUAGGAGUUUUCAAUUCCCUCAUAUAAUAAUAUCUAUCAAUAAUUGGAUUGGACACCUUGCUGGCCAUGAGAAUGGACUUGACAUUAACACAUAGCCUUGAGUGGUGUUGAUAUUAUUACUUUGAACCAGAACUGCAGUCAUCUCAAAAACUAUAUUAUAUAGAAAAGCAAAAUAAAAACAUUAGUUAAAAAAAAUGUCAAGAUCCUUGAAAUCACGUUUCAAUAUGUUAAAUUACCAUUUUUUUAAAUAAAUUUUUGAUAGGUUGUGUGAAUAAAUAUAAUUGCUAUGAAGGGUUUCAAUUUAAUUUUACUAGCAAAUCCAUAAUAGGUGAAAAGACAAAACUACCAUUUUUGUUUUUUUUCUUUAUUUACCUUUUUUCUCUCGUAACCUUACUCCUUUCUCCUUUUUGUUUUUUCCUUUUUUAUUAUUAAUUUGUCUUUUUCCUUUUUCUCAACUAACUAUUUUUUUUCUUGUAAUUGUUAUUAUCAUUCUUAUUAUAAAUAUUAUAACCUUAUAUUAUAAAUUUUUAGUUUAGAUUAUAUUUAAACUAACUAAUGUUGUGGUUUUAAUUGACAUGGAAAAGAAUGUGGUUAUACAUGUGAUUGUCGCCUUUUUUUUUUUCAAUUAGUUAACUAUUGAUACAAGUUAAAAGUAAAAAUUGCAAUAUUAUCUUUACGUCAAUUUCACCGAUCUUUUGUUUUUAUUUUCAUGUAUCAUUCCUUUUUUGGUUAUUUAAUUAAAAGGAUUAAAAAAAAAUCACAUAUUCACAAUAAUAACCUUCAUAUUUUAAAAACAUAAAAUAAACAUUUUUUUUUUUUUAUAAAAAUACCCUCCAACUAUAUUUUUUAUAUCCCUAUUUCAAAUCCAAACACUUCUUUUAAAAAUAAUAAUAAUAAAUAAGGGCAAAAAUGUCAAACUGGGAUUAUAUUUAUAAUUUUCAAUAAUUAGAGGUUGUUUUUCCAAUGUAAAAAUUAUUUUGUUCCUUUGGCACAAAUAUUUCUUUCUUUUAUGUAUUUUUUUUAUUCAAAAUAUUAAACACAUUACCCUCAAGGUUACUAUUUAUUAUGAAUGGUGUUUACUUUACAUAACGAGAUAUUCAAAUUUUUUAGAAUUUUUUAAUGUUAAAAUAAUUUGGAGCUUAAUAGGGAAAAAAAAGAAGAAAGAAUAGAUAAUUAGAAAAGCAAUUCAAAAAAAUAAAAUUUAUCCUCUUAAAUUGGUUUUGUGUAAUACUAUAGAAGCCAUUUCUUGAGUUUGAUAUGGUAGAAUUUGGAUUCAUAUUUAUUUUAAAAUCAAGAAAUUCAAGUGUUGGUAGCAUCAAUAGAAUCUUAACAAAUUUGAAAAAAAAUAUUUAGGUAGAUCACAUUUAAAUAUAGCUAAUAGAAUAAAAAAUUAGUAUUAUUAGAAAGACAUGAUCAAUUAAAUCUUUUUUCUUAUCUAUGACACCGACUUUAUUUUUUUACAUAGUCAAUACAAUUUAUUACAACUUAUAUGUCAUUAAAUUAUAUACGUUUAUAUUAAAUAUAAUAUAAGACCAUUAAUGGAAUAAUUAUGCAAGUAAUAUAAAUUGUAUAUAAUAUAAAAAAUUUAAACUCCAUCAAACUAAUGGAAUCUAUUAUAAUAAGUAGACUAGACACCAUGUUGGCCCGAGUUGCAGGCCUGGGCCAGAUUUUAAAGGCUGGGCUUUGAGUUGCCCGUGGGCCUGAGCCAAGGCCUUCUCUUGGUAUCAUCAUUUUGAAGAAAUAAAUUGCUGAUACAGAGAAAAAAACUAUACUAAAUAGAAAAAUAAAUAAAAGCAUUGACUAAAAUGAAGGUCAAGGUCCUUGAAAAAUAAUCUUUAAAUUGUUGCAUAUAUAAUUUCAAUAAUGCAUAAAUAAUUGCAAUAUAUAUGAUAUGAUAAAGAAUUUGGAAUUAAAAGAAGAUUGAUCUAUUUUAAAUGUGGUUGGAAUAUUUCUAAAUUUGUGAUGGGAAGUUAGACAGCCAAUUAGGGAUCCAUAUUAUUUAUUUUCAAUGAUAUGAAUUUAUUUACUUUUAUUAAUAUUCUUAAUGCAACAAUAUAAAAUAUGUCAAUUUUCUAAAAUUUAAAAAGUAAUUGUAAAAGAAUUUUUUUUAAUUAUUUUUCUGAAAUUGAGUUUAUUAUAACAUUUUUCUUUACAUAAAUUUCUUUUUUAUUUUUAUUUUUUUUAAAAUGAGAUAUGAAAAAAAGAGAUCAAUAUUAGUACAAGUAAAACCCAAUAUAUAUAUAAAAAAAAUGAAUAAAUGUUUAUGAAAUAUUUUUUCUCUUUUAAUUCCUAUUCAAUUCAUUACACAAAAUAUUUUUGGUUUUUAUGCUAAAAUUUAUUGUUUAUUCAAAAAUUCUAGUAUACCUAGCUAUCAUAGAAGAGCCCCAAAAUUUUAUUGUUUAAGAGAAUAUGUGUUGCCACUUUAAAAGAUUUAUAUGCAAAAGGGAUUGAUAUUUUUUUCCUUUGGAUAUAUUUAGUUCCCGGAAAAUUUGAGGGAAAAUGUGAGGGAAGAAAAAUAGAGAAGAAAAGUAUAACGAAAUAAAAAGUGAAGGAAAAUGAAAAAUAGAUUUAAAGUUAAUAAAUUAUUUUCAUUGGUUUUUUCAAACUUAUUUUACUUAUUUUAUUCUAUUAAAUAAAGAUUAGCUAAUUUUAAUUAUAUUUGGUUUGAUUUUUAUUAUUUUUCAAAGCAAAACCAAAUAUGAAAAAAAAAACAUUUUUUUUGUUCAUUUUUUCUUUCCUUAUUACUUUUCAAAACUCAAACAUAGCUUUUAGAUUUGGAGCAUGGAAAGAUAAGAGUAUUGAAUAAAGGUUCUAUAUAUGCCCAUGCCCAUGAUACCAUUGAAAAAAAUGGAGAAAGGGUGAAACUUUUUCUCUUCAAUGGAAAUCAAAUAUAAUUAUUUUUAUCUUGUAGUAAUUGAAUGUUAUACUCCAUAAACUCAAAAUUAAAAUAAAUAAAAAAUUUAAAAACUAGGACAAUCCCAUUUUUUUUUUCAAUUUCUUAAAAAGAAAUUAAAUUACAUUUAUUUAUAUCUAUUUUCAUCCCUACCCAAAAAAAUAAAAAAAAAAUUAACAAGGUGGGACAUGUAUGAGAAAUUCUCACACUAACUCUCUCUAGUUUAUUUUUUAUUUUUUAAAAAAAAUCAAUUUCUUUUAAAAAAAUUAAACUAUAUAAAAAAUAAAUAUAAUUUAAAAUAAAAUAAUUUAACAAUUUUUUUUUUAAGAAAAGUAAAUUUCUUAUUUUAUAUAUGUUAAAAAUAAAUAUAAUCUUUUAUUUUUUUAUAUAUAUAAUCGGGUAAGGUAGAGUGGGACAAAGAAAUAAUCCCCUUCGAUUCCAAUAUGAAUUUUUAAAAUAUAAAAUAAAAAUCUUAAACUCAUCCCUAAUCCAUUUAUUUUUAAUCCUAAACUCGUCUUAUUAAGAAUAAGGCAAAGUGAGUACAUGAAAACACUUCUUUUAUCAUCAUCUCUACAAGUUCUAAUGUUUAGACUGCAAUCCAUAUCAAAGAUUUAUAAAGAAAGGACAACGAUGAAUUUCAUAAACAUUUGAAAGCAUAUACGUACAAAGUUUUAAAUAAUAUUGCUUGAGGUGCAAAUAUUAUUUGGCGCACAUAUUGAGGGACUUCAACUUGUUUUUUACAUUAGUAAGUAAUCUUGAAUAUCUAGAGUAACUUGACCAAAAUCUCUUUAAUUUUAUUUUCUUUGAUGGUUGUAUGAUGAAUUAGAAUGCUUAUAUAACAUGAUUAAAAAUUUUAAGAAAAAAAAAACUAAGAAGAAAGAAAGAAGCACCGAUCUUCCAAAUAUUGCUUCCACUUUAAUAUCUAGAAGGCUCUAAGAAAAGAACUUUUUUCAUGAAUCAUAACCCAAGUCGAAAAUAAAUUGAACCCAUUUUCUAAGUUAAAUUUUGAAUUUUUUACUAGUGAAUGCAAAUUGGGAAAAUGUAUAUAAAUAUAAUUAAACUAGAAUAGUAGGUUAGGUUUGUAGGUGGAGUUUGUUUGAAUUGUUGGAACUUCCAAGUCGUUGUGGGUCUAGUGGUCCCAUAGCUCUCUAUUAAUUUCCACCAUCAAUUUUCUGCAAUAAAGUCAAGUCAUUCCUAACCCCUAUAUUAAGUUGGCCUUAAAAGUCAAGUCAUUGAUCAUAGUUACAUUCAUGAAUCACAACCUAAGUCGAAAAUAAAUUGAACCCAUUUUUCAAGUUCAACUUUGAAUUUUUUACUAGUGAAUGCAAAUUGGGAAAACAUAUAUAAAUAUAAUUAAACUAAAAUAGUAGAUUAGGUUUGUAGGUGGAGUCUGCUUAAAUUGUUGAAACUUCCAAGUCAUCGUGGGCCCAGUGGUCCCAUAGCUCUCUAUUAAUUUCCACCAUCAAUUUUUUGCAAUAAAGUCAAGUCAUUCCUAACCCCUAUAUUAAUUUGGCCUUAAAAGUUCAGUCAUUGAUAGCUAAAUCCCAACCCAAGUCAAAAAUAAAUUGAACCCAUUUUCUACGUUCAACUUUGAAUUUUUUUUAAUUGGAAAAAUGUAUAUAAAUACAAUUAAACUAGAAUAGUAGAUUAGGUUUGUAGGUGGAGUCUGCUUGAAUUUGUGAAACUUCCAAGUCAUCGUGGGUCUAGUGGUCCUAUAGCUCUCUAUUAAUUUCCACCAUCAAUUUUCUACAAUAAAGUCAAGUCAUUCCUAACCCCUAUAUUAAUUUGGCCUUAAAAGUCUAGUCAUUGAUAGCUACGUUCAUGAAUCCCAACCCAAGUCAAAAAUAAAUUGAACCCAUUUUCUAAGUUCAACUUUGAAUUCUUUUAAUUGGGAAAAUGUAUAUAAAUACAAUUAAACUAGAAUAGUAUAUUAGGUUUGUAGGUGGAGUCUGCUUGAAUUUGUGAAACUUUCAAGUCGUCAUGGGUCUAGUGGUCCCAUAGCUCUUUAUUAAUUUUCACCAUCAAUUUUUUGCAAUAAAGUCAAGCCAUUCCUAAACCAUAUAUUAAUUUGGCCUUAAAAGUCAAGUCAUUGAUAGUUACGUUCAUGAAUCACAACCCAAGUCUAAAAUAAAUUGAACCCAUUUUCCAAGUUCAACUUUGAUUUUUUUACUAGUGAAUGCAAAUUGGGAAAACGUAUAUAAAUAUAAUUAAACUAGAAUAGUAUAUUAGGUUUGUAGGUGGAGUAAGCUUGAAUUGUUGAAACUUCCAAGUCAUCACGGGUCUAAGGGUUCCAUAGCUCUCUAUUAAUUUUCAUGGUCAAUUUUUAUGAAUUAAGAUUUAAAAGUGAGAAGGGAAUAAAUUUUUUCUUUUUCAAUUCAUUACAAAAAAUAUUUUUGGUUUUUAUGCUAAAAUUUAUUGUUUAUUCAAAAAAUUAAAGUAUAAAUAUAUAUAUAUAUAUCUUGCUAUUAUAGAAGAGCUCCAAAAUUUUUGUGUUUAAGAGAAUAUGUGUUGCCACUUUAGAAGAUUUAUAUACAAAAAGGAUUGAUGUUUCUCCUUUGACUAUGUUUGGUUCCCAAAAUUUGAGGGAAAUAAAAAAAAAAUAGUAAAAAAGAAAAAAUGAAAGAAAAUAAAAAAUAGUUUUAAAGUUAAUAAUUAUUUUUAUAUGUUUUUUCAAACUUAUUUUACUUUUUUUUUCAUUAUAUAAAGAUUAAAUAAUUUUAAAAUGCAUAAAUUUCUAACUAAUUUUAAUUAUAUUUAAUUUUUCUUUUAUAUUUUUUAGAUAGGAUCCGACACAUGAAAAAUCCUUUUUUUUAGCAUUUUUUUUUCUUUUCUUAUUACUUUCCAAUAACCAAAUAUAACCUUUAGAUUUAGCCUUUAAACUUGGAGUAUGGAACGAUACUGAGUAUUGAAAGAAGGUUUUGUAUAUGGCCAUGAUACCAUAGAAAAAAUGGGCGAGAGAGAAAAAACCUUUAUUAAAUGAUAAAUUAUUUUUUUCAAUGGAAAUCAAAUAUAAUUAUUUUUAUAAUAAUUACUUUAUUUUUUUUAAAAAUAAUAAUUUGUUGUUGCAUUAAGUAUUCUUGCAUUUGGAGAAGCAUGUUACUACUUACUACAUAAAUAGAUAUUCAUGGAGUGCAUUCUCUAAAAAGCUCCAGUCUCAUGAAAAUGGAAAGAUGGACCGGCCGGUGAACCGGUUCGAGUUUGGAUUUAUUGGCUGCCUCAGCCUUACACGCAUGAUAGGCUGUUGCAGGUGAAGAACUAAUUAAUUUAAAGCCUUCUUCUAUCCUCUCCUAUUCCUCUAUCACUCCAAAUGUUCCACAUGAUAAUGACAAUUCUUUUGUUAAAUGGUAAAAAAAAAAUUUAAAUAUUAUUUAAAAUUUUUUUUAAUUCUAAAUCCAAUGGAAAUUCGACUCUAAGGUGUGUAGAAGGCCCUAGUGCCCAUGUUGCUAAUUUGAUGAUAGUUAAAUUGUCAUUUUGGGAGAUUCCACACACUAGUAUUCUCAUUUAUAAAAUCAUGAACUUUGGCAUCCUAAUUAAUGCAAUUUAAACUUUUUUUGUUUACAAAUGAAAUAAGAGGCAACAUAUAAACCCAAAAGUUAAUUUUCCUACCAUCUCUAUGCACCAUUUUAGCUUUACUCCAAUAUAUUUUCUAUGAUUAAUUAUUUUCAUUCAAACAAUAAUAUCAAAAUAUUUUAAAAUUAGACAUAUCAUAAUCAAAUACCAUUAUAUUAUUACCGAAUAAUAUUUAAUGUAAUUUAAUUAUCAACGUAUACUUAUAAAAUUUAUAUUUUUUAUUAAUGCAUAUAAUAUUAUUAUCAAAUAUGAUAAAUUAUAUAUAUAUAUAUAUAUAUAUAUAUAUAUUUCUUCAACAAAACAACUUUAAAAUAUCUAUUAUAUUUCUAAUUUCAUUUCUAAGAAGUUUUUUUUUUUUUUUUACAUUUUUAUAAGUUUUGAUCAAUUGUAGGCUAACUGAUAUUUUUUAUAUCAAAAUAUCCACCAAUAUAUCUCUGAUAUAUUAGAUAUAUCCGUAAAAUCGAAAUACCAAUAUAUCCGUGAUUAUCGAUAUUUUUAUCCUUGAGGGAUAAUAACUAAUCUAGUUUUUGCACUUAUUGAUAUUUCUCAACAUUUAGAUUGAUUUGACCAAAAUCUUUUUAAUUUUAUUUUCUUUGAUGGUUAUAUGAUGAAUUAGAAUAGUCAUAUAAACAAAUUUAAGAAAAAACGAUAAAAAAGCUCACAUUUUUCAAAUAUUGGUUUCAACUUUGAAUAUUUUUAUUGGUAAAUGAAAAUUGUGAAAAACCUACUAAUGCUAAUACUUUUCACCACAUAAUUAAAUAUAAUAAACUAGAAUAGUGAUUCAUUGAUGUCUUAUAAAGCUACAUGCCUACUUUGACUUGUUAGUUGAUUUUUGUAGGCAGAGUCCAUUUCCAUAUGAAUUGUUGAAACUUCCAAGUCCUUGUGGGUCUAGUGGUCUCUCUAAUAAUUCCCACCAUUAAUUUUUUGUGAUGAAGUGACGUCAUUGAUAGCUACUAUAUCAAUUUGCUAUUAAAAGUCAAGUCAUUGAUAAUUACUAUUCAAUCUUUUUCAAUAUGGAAAUUGGAAUCUCUACUCUUCUCAUUGUUCAUUUUUAGGUAAUGUGAGAAUGUGAGAAUGUGUGAACAUAAAUGUCUUCUAAUCAACCAAUUUUUUUUGAAAAAAACAUGUACAAAAUUGCAAACUUGCAAAAUCAAACUUUCUUGUUGAAUAACCAUAGCUUGAUGGUUUUGAAGAAUCAAAGGAUGAAUCAUAAAAGGGUAUUUGAUAAAAAAUAAAAAUUAAAAAAAUUAAAAGACAACUACUCCCUUAGGUGUAAUAAGUGUAUUUGGUAGCACAAAUUUCCUACCACUUAUUAUUUUUUCCUUUCUUAAAAAAUUAUUUACUCUAUUAAAUAAACUAACCUUGGCUUAUCACUUAUAGCAAAAUAGGUUAAGUACUUUUUAAAAUUUUAUAAUAUUAGAUUUACAUUUUUAUCCUUCAAAAUUUCAUUAAUGUUAGAUUCUUCUAUAUGCUUAACUAAUAAAUAAUUUUUAGCAUUUUUCUUUUCUUAUAAACAUAAAAAAAUAAAAAUAUUAUUAACUUAUUGGUAUAUUUUAAAAUUUUAAUUAGAUUUAAGCUUUUAUUUAUUUGGAUUACCAAUUAUACAUAUAAAUCCUUUAUUAUUAUUGUUAUUAUUGAAAGAAAGGGGUUGAAUAGGUAGUCCCUCAAUCCCCAAAUUAAAUUCUUUAUUGCCUACUUUUGGUUUAUUCCUUUACAUGAAUUCCUUGGUGAGAGUAAACAUUUCAUUAAUAGAUAAAUAAAAUUGAUUCCAUAUCAUAGGGUAUAAUGUGGAAAAAUCACCAGUCUCAUGUGUUCCUUAGUGGAUCCUUUGGAGCCCUUAUCAAAGUUUCAUGAUGAAACCAUUGACUUUUGUUUAACCCAAAUGUGCUUUCAAGACAAAUCUUGAAAUAUUUGAGAGAUGGAGGUUCAAGUCUUUUAUGAACGACCAUGUUCUCUUAGGGUUCAUGAAAAUUCACACCUUUUGAUAAAUAAAACUUAUCUAUUUAUACGUCUAAAACCCAGUAUUUAUUUAUUUAAUUAUAGAAAGUUUCUUAGUUUUAAAAACAUUUCAAAAAUCAUUUUUAGAAUCAAAUAAUAAUUUUAGAGAUAAACACAAUAUUAAAAUUUAACAAAAACAAAAUUUCGAAUUAAAAACACAAUAUAAACUAAAUUACAAAAUAUAAAGGAAUUUUUAUCCUAAUUUCUUGUUUCAAAACCAAAUGGAACACCUAGAAGGGGAGUGAAUGGGUGAUUUUAAAAUUUUUCAAUAAUGAUUUAUAAGUUAUACCCAAUUCUUUUACCCUGCGAGUUGUUAGGGACUAUCAAUUCUUUCCUUUUGGCAAUUCAAACAAUAUAUCAAAUAAUAAAAAGAUAUAAAUAAUGAGACAUAAAGAUUUUUACAUGGAAAACCCCCCACACUAACCAUGGAGAUAAAAAGCCAUGGAGUCUAAGACCUAUUAAUCUAAAUUCACUGUACGAAAUCAAGUUACACAAAUUUAUUUGAUAGCUUUAACUUAAAGACUUACUCUCCGGUACUGACAACUUGAUUCACAUCCACAACGUAGCAACCCUCAAUUACUCCAAUGGAUCACUUCAAGCUUACUAAAAGGAUGAAGGCCUUCAAACCAAGAUUCAAAAAUCAAUUCCUUGAAUGAAAGAUCAGGGAUGGUGUGCCACUUUAGGCUUUCUCUCUAAGAACUCUAAAAUGAUCUCCUCAAUGAAAACCUCUUAAACAAAAUGAGAUAUUUCCCCACAAUCUCUAAUCCUCAAGGGGUUAUAAUGAGAUAUUUAUAAGCAACUAAGUUGAAGAGUUUCAGUUUUGGAACAUGACCGCUCGAGCCAACACACUUCCUACUUGAGCGUUUCGGGCACUUGAGCGGUAAGGCUCGCUUGAGUUGUCCUAAGCGCUUGAGCAUUCCAAGCUACUUGAGCAAUCUUGCUCUAUUUCAAAAGUUAAUUUUAAAUCAUUUUAAGUUCAAAACAAAAUUGAUUCCCUUUAUACCUCAAAGUAGCCUAACUUACAAACCAAACUUUUUUAGAUAUACUUGUGACUUCCUGGUUGGACGAACAACUCUUAAUCUUCAAUGGAAAGCAAGUCAUUAUCUAAAAAGAUUUAUAUGGUCAAACAUAAAAAAACAAAAACAAAAAAAUUGCCAACAUAACAACAAGACUCAAUGUCCUAACAAUCUCCCCCUUUGGCAAUUUUAUGACAAAAACAACAUUACAUAUACCCACUUGAACUCUCAUAAUGGAGUUUAAUAAUACACAUUAAUGUUCAAUUAAAAAUAAACUAAGGGAAUACUUUGUAUCACUUUGUAGUAUUUGUCUUCCAACUUUGUAACCUACACACAUAUAGAAAACUAUACCAAAGGUAAAGCAAUGUGUAGGAUAAGAUAUGAUCAAGAAAGCAAAAUAGGAUAAUUGAAAAUUUUGCUUGAUGCCUUGUGAAAGCAUGAAAAGGGAACAAAUUCAUAUAGUAAUACCAAGGGACAAAGCAAAACUAGAGAAGAAUAUAUAUGUAUGCAAAUCAACCAAACAUAAUAAAAGCUACAUAAGAUGCAAUAGAUCAAUAAUAAUGCCUAGGGGUCUAUCUCCAACCAGAAAAUAGGGAGUGAAAAUCAUAGGAAGAACCUUCUGUGACUUAGAAAGGUUCUAGAGAGAUAGUCAAUUCAAACAUAAAUAUCUUGCUAGAAACAUCUAUGUUAUGUAUCUCUCUAAACCUUCUAAGUUAUGCUUUCAUUAGUUGAUUUGGUUUUUCUCCAAUGUCUCAGGUUUAAUUUCCUCUAAUAUUUCAAUUAGAGAGAAAUUGGUAGUCGAUUGACUUAGUGGGUGUUUGGUAAAACUUAAUACUUAUUAUUUAAUGAUUAACUUUAAGUUAAAUUGUUCUUAAGUUAUUAAUUUAAAAUUUAUUACUUAUUUUGUAUUUAAGUACUAGGGUUAUUUGAAAAAAUCGACUUAAAAUUUAUUCUAAAUCAUCAAAAUGACACAUUUACCCUUAUUAAUUUUAACUUAUAUUUAUUUUCAUUAAUUUUAAACAAUAAAUUUAUUCAUAAAACAUCUAUAUUUUUGUAGAUACAUAACCAUAAAAUAUUUACUAUAAAAAAUGAGUCAUGGAUGUAGAAUUAUAAUUCUAAAAUAUACACUUAUGAGUGUGGGUAAAUAAGGCAAAAAUGAUUUGAGAUUAAGAGUAAAGUUAAUUAUUUUGACUUAAGACUUCAAGUUAAAAAUAACUUUAAGUUGCAAUAUUAAGUUAUUUUAUCAAACAUGCUUAAUUUACUUAACAACUUAAAUUAAGUUAUUAAGUUGAAUUAUCAAACACCCCACUAGUAGUAUGUUGAAAAUUCACACCUUUUGAUAAAUAAAACUUAUCUAUUUAUACGUCUAAAACCCAGUAUUUAUUUAUUUAAUUAGAGAAAGUUUCUUAGUUUUAAAAACAUUUCAAAAAUCAUUUUUAGAAUCAAAUAACAAUUUUAGAGAUAAACACAAUAUUAAAAUUUAACAAAAACAAAAUUUCGAAUUAAAAACACAAUAUAAACUAAAUUACAAAAUAUAAAGUAAUUUUUAUCCUAAUUUCUUGUUUCAAAACCAAAUGGAACACUUAGAAGGGGAGUGAAUGGGUGAUUUUAAAUUUUUUCAAUAAUGAUUUAUAAGUUAUACCCAAUUCUUUUACCCUACGAGUUGUUAGGGACUAUCAAUUCUUUCCUUUUGGCAAUUCAAACAAUAUAUCAAAUAAUAAAAAGAUAUAAAUAAUGAGACAUAAAUAUUUUUACGUGGAAAACCCCCCACACUAACCAUGGAGAUAAAAAGCUAUGGAGUGUAAGACCUAUUAAUCUAAAUUCACUGUACGAAAUCAAGUUACACAAAUUUAUUUGACAGCUUUACCUUAAAGACUUACUCUCCGGUACUGACAACUUGAUUCACAUCCACGACGUAGCAACCCUUGAUUACUCCAAUGGAUCACUUCAAGCUUACUAAAAGGAUGAAGGCCUUCACACCAAGAUUCAAAAAUCAAUUCCUUGAAUGAAAUAUCAGGGAUGGUGUGCCACUUUAGGCUUUCUCUCUAAGAACUCUAAAAUGAUCUCCUCAAUGAAAACCUCUUAAACAAAAUGAGAUAUUUUCCCACAAUCUCUAAUCCUCAAGGGGUUAUAAUGAGAUAUUUAUAAGCAACUAAGUUGAAGAGUUUCGGUUUUGGAAGGUUUCUUAAUUGAAUUUGUGUGAAAAACUCAACAGAAUCAACAUGACCGCUCGAGCCAGCACACUUCCCACUUGAGCAUUUCGGGCACUUGAGCGGUAAGGCUCGCUUGAGUUGUCCUAAGCGCUUGAGCAUUCCAGGCUACUUGAGCAAUCUUGCUCUAUUUCAAAAGUUAAUUUUAAAUCAUUUUAAGUUCAAAACAAAAUUGAUUCCUUUUAUACCUCAAAGGAACCUAACUUGCCACAAACCAAACCUUUUUAGAUAUACUUGUGACUUCUUGGUUGGACGAACAACAACUCUUAAUCUUCAAUGGAGAGCAAGUCACUAUCUAAAAAGAUUUAUAUGAUCAAACAUAAAAAAACAAAAAAAUUGCCAACAUCACAACAAGACUCAAUGUCCAUGCAUGGUCACCUGAAAGUUGACUCCAACCACAAUAUAAUGCAUGUUCUCAUAGAACAUGUGAACAAGAUGGAGAUAGAAAGUCCCUUAGAGAGAAAACAGAGUCUUCUAACCCUACUCUUGAAUGAUGAUAGGGAAGACAGUGUCCUGAAAAGCUUAGAGGUUAAUGGCAUGUUGAGGCUCGACACACCGAUAUGUGAAAGAAGCGUAAUAAUGGUCCCAUGCCACCUGGCAGUGAAAGCGCUCAAUCGAAAGUGCAUCUAGGUUAAAAAGACCCUAGAGUGGGAUGCCCUAGACGGUUUUCAGUGACCUAGGAAAGGUCACCUCCCUCUGAAAUCUAUGACUAGCCAUAUCUAAGGUAUAUAAUAUGAAAAAAAAAAAGCUAAAGAAAAACUAAAGAAAAUCCAAAGAAAAGCUAAACCACUAAAAAUGUUAAACUCAAUGCGUCGAACAAUACUAUACAAAUGGAAAUGAAAAAUAUGAAGCGAACUGACCUCAGAAGACAAAAGGACAGUUACCCAGAGGGCUCGAAGAGGAAUAGGAAAGUUUGAAAUGAAUAUUGUGUGAUGGAUGACCUUUAUAUAGCUUAUAGGAGUGCUUGAUGCAGAUUAGCACUUGAGCGUCAUGACUAACUUAAAUCAAAUUAUUUAUUAAUAUGGAAAUAUUUUAUAAGUUUCAAAGGAAGUAUUCAAUUUAGAACCUUUUUAGAAUUUUUUUGAAAGAAACAAAAAUAAAGCGUGAAAUAUUAUGUGUUAAAGGUGUUAGAAGACAAUAUUGUCUAAUCAAAAGCCUUACACAUUCCCAAAAAAAAAAAAAAAAAAGGAAAAAAAAAGAUACUAUAUAAGAUUUUGAUCACAUCUAAUAGAAACUAAUAUUUAGCAACAUAUCACCAAGCACUAUCUUAUCAGAAAGCUCUAACAUGUUGGAAAUUUAUGUAAGGUUCCAUAACAACUAACAACUUUUUAUGACGACUCGGUAAUGGACCAUUUGCACUUCAACUACAUUAUUAAAUUUAAAUCAUAUUAGAAUAUAAUUGACUUCUCUUUUGUGAGGUUACAUAUCUUGUAGGAUGGGAUAGGUGAUUCAUUUCAUAUAUGAAAUUUUCUUAAUUUAGUAAUGCUUCCAAGUUCAUUAUGAAUCUAAUGGUAUCACAACUCCUUGAAUAUUUGUAAUCUGUAAUCUUUGCUUCAACUUCUCAAGUCUAGUCAUUUUAUCGGCAUAACUAGUUUGCUUCAAUUAUCUCUCAACUUUAUUAUAAAACUAAGGGAAAGGAUUGUCACUCAUUUUAUAUUAACUUAACCAAACAUCUUUAUAUAUAUAUAUAUAUAUAUAUAUUGUAAAUUUAGGAAAAAUUCAUCCAUUAGCCAUAGUAAGUAAGAAUCAAAUAAGGGAUAUGUAAGCCAAUGGUGAUAUUGAUGGCGUUAAAUCAAUGACAUAGUAGAAAAGUGGAUUGUCUAUUUUCAAACCUUUAUAUUUUCAUGCAAUAGUAAAAAGGUUAAGGCAUCACUUGAAAAGUAGUUCGUUUUUUACCUUGGACUAUGAUUUAUGAAUAAAGUUCUUCUGUUGUAUACCUUUUGUGAUGCCCCAACCUAAUUUAGGGGUAAAAAAAUAAUUUAGAAAAAAAUAAAUAAAAAGUUAAAUAAAUUUAAUUAAGGUAAAAAUGUAUUUUUGUAUUUAAAAUUCCUAGGUAUCAAUUAUAUAUUUCUUGUCUUCUCUAUUCAAAAAACCAUAUUACACAAAAAUCAAAUAUCAGAGAACAUAGGACAACGCAGGGUUGAAGAUUUGGAGGUUUAGGGUUGAAGAUUAGUUUUCCAGGUAAGAUUCUAACCCUUAAAUUAGUAUUUUAGAUUCGUUAAUUAGUUUGAACACUUUAGAUAUUCUUUGAAAAAUCUGAAUAUACAUUAGGGUUUGUUAAUUUAAUUUUUAAAUAAAAAAGAUUGAAAAUUUAUGAACAUAAGUAGAGUUAUUAUUAAAGAUUGAAAAUUUUUGAAUAUUUGAAUUAAAAAUCUAGAAAAAAAAGAAGAAAAUAAAUUAUAGCUUUGGACGUGGAAAAAAAUUAAUAUUAAUUAAUAAAUAAAACCUAUGAGUAUGGAAGUAGAAAAAUAUGAGAGUUGAAAGCAAAGAAAAAAAAAGAGAAUAAGGUUUUGUGGUUGUACAUGCCUCCUUAGUGGAAAAAAAAAAUACAAGGUUGCUUGCAAUAGGAUAUGACAAAGAGAGAGAGAUAAAUGCUUAGAUGUUGAUUUUUGUGGGGAAAAAAAGAUUGGGUAAUGUAGGAGAGAAAUAGGUAGCACUUUUAGAGUCGGUGGAGUUGUUGUAAAAGCUCGUAGGGGUAAUUGUUAGGUAGUAGUAGGGUAUGAGAUUAAUUGUUAGGAAACAUUAGGACUUGAAAUAAUAAUAAUUGCUUCUAGUAAAAGUUUUAAUUUAGUUUAAGUAUAUAAAAGAAAUAGAUGAUUAGAAUAAGAUUUGGAAGGAAUAUGAAUUCAUAAAAAUUUCAAAAUUUACUAAUUUAGAUUAUUAUUGUUUUGGAAGUUGAAUAUAAUAUAGGUGAUAAUAUUAUUAAUAUAGGAAAUGAUUAAGAUUCUCAAACCUACAAUUUUAGAUAAAUAGUUAAUAGUAAUAGUUGAUUUUUUAUUUUUUUUUUAUUUUUUAUUUUUUAUGUUAUGUUAAGUGAAUAAUGGAUUCUUUGAUUAAUUCUCUAAGGUUUCUAAGUGCUUCUUUAAGGUAAGGGAUAUUAAUACUGAUUUUGUAAAUGAAAAUAUUUCUUUUUAUAAGUUAUUUUAAAUUAUGAAAAUUUUUAUUUUUAUUUAUGCAUGGAUCAAAUAUAUAUUUUUUCAUGAGAAACAUGUUUGGGCAAUUUCUUUGUUUAUAAAUAAAUAAAUGAAAACUUUGGAAAUAUAAUGUUUUGUUUUGUAAGUUUAAAAUAAUGAAAUAAAGUUUUUGACUCUGGUUUAUAUGACCUUAGUUAAUAGGUUAUAAUUGUUGACAUUUUCAGCUCCAGUCAACGAUUAUAAUUGUUGACAUUUUCGGCUCUCCAAUCAAUGAUUAUAAUUGUUGAGAUUUUCAACCCUAGCCAACGGGUUAUAAUAGUUGACCUUAUAGCCCUAGUCAACAGAUAUAAUUGUUAACCUUUGGCUUUUCCCAUCUUAAAAAGAACAAAUUUAAGGCUAGCCAUUUAUUUGUAAAGUCCCACCUAACUAAGUACCAUUUGUUAUUUAAUAACCAGAGUAAAGAUAUUUUGAAUGUAUUUGAUGUGAAAUUGUUGUGAUAUUAAUAUGAAAAUGUUUGGUUGAAAAGUUCAAAUGUUUAAUGCAUGUUGAAUUCAAAAGUUUUUAUGAAAAUGAUUAUAUGUUAUAUCUCUUAUUUGUAAGUUUGAUCCAUGAAACUGUAUUAAUAUUCCUUAUUGGACUUUGAGCUCAUUCCCCUUUAUUGAGAAUUUUUUUUCGUAUUCUCAGUUUGGGCAAGGAGUGAUGACUGGGUUGGGGAAUUUUCUUUACUAUGGUUUUGCUUCAAUCUUAUUUUGGACAUUGUUUAGAUGUUAAAAUUUAAUUCCCAUUUAAAUUAUUUGGGUUUGGAGUUAUUUGGACGAUAAAACUUUGAUUGAUGUGUUAGUUUUAAAGUUGAGAAUUGAAAAUUAUAGAAUUUAUUUAUCUUACUACUUUGAACAGAAAUUUAGUAAUUGGAGAUCAUCCAGUUACAAGAUGAAUAUUUGAGUCGUUUCAAGUCGUUUCCACUUUGAGUGUUCAGGCUUAGGGUGUGAAAUGAUCGUUAUGCCCUUGGAGUGGGUAUAUUGUUUAUUUGAAUUUAAUGGUCCCCGAACUCCUUAAUUACUCAUAACUUUAUAUCAGCUUCUCAAAGUUAAGUUGUUUUACAACUACUAUCUAGCUACUUUUCUCUACUAUGACAACUUUAUUACAUAGUGAUUAAUUGAAAGAAUCUACAUGUCUUAUUUCAUAGGAUAGUUGAUUUUUUUACUCAAUGAAUUUUGCUUUUAUUAUUGAAAAUUUCAAAUCAUUGUAGUCCAACAAUUUCCUAUCCAUUGGUAAUUUCAUAUUACAUUUCCAAAGUCUAAUCAUUUAAAAACACUUGUAGUUAAUAUAUUGGCAAUUGCAUUGUGGGAAGUUGUUCACUUGAUUUUAAUGUUGAAACUUUCAAAUUUUUGUAGUCCAACAAUUCCCUAUCCAUUGGUAAUUUCAUAUCACAUUUUCAAAGUAUAAUACUUGUAUAUAGUAUAUUUGGUGAUUGUAGAGUGGAAAGUUGAUCAUUUUCAUGAAGACCUCUAAAAUAGAAUUUUUUUUCAUUCCAUUUAUUAAAGAAUUUCAUUAAUUGAACAUAUAUGUUUUUUUAACCGAAAAGUAGAGGCCACAUUAUACGAGGCCUUAGGUGACAAUACUAGGUGAGGGCUUUUUUUUUUAAUUUAUUUAUUACGAAAUAUAAAUAAUAUUAUUUAUUGUAUAAUAAAGAUUAUUAUAAUAUAUUUUUUAUAGAUGAAAAAAAAUAUUAAUUGAGUUUUAUUUUUUUAAAUAAUUGUUUUCAAUAAAUAACGUAUUUGUAAAAAGAAAACUAUAAAAUAUAUGCAUUUGAAAAAUAUUUAAUUUUUAUUUGAUUUAGUAUCAAUUAAUAUUUGUAAUAUUUUUUAAUAUUAUAGAAGUUAACAUACUCAAUUAAGAUAUUCAAGAUCAAGAGAAUAUUUGAGAUUGAAUUAAUUUCUUUAUUGUUUAUGUUUUAGUAAAUUUUUAUAUCCAUUAAAAUUUUUUUAUUGUUUAUUUUUCAUUCAAUGUUUGCAUUUUGUAAUAGAUAUUAAAACAAAUUUUUUUCUUGUAUGUUAAAAAAAUAUUUCAAUGUCUUUAAAAAUAAAAUAUUGUAGUAAAAUCAAAAUUACAUUGUGAAACUUUAAGCGAAUGUUUUAUACUAAAGAAGUGCCAAUUAAAGUAAGCAUGCAUCUACAAUUGUAAUUUAGAUGUCAUAUUGAAACAAUAGUUCUCUUUGACUAUAUCAUAAAAUUUGGUUCGAAUUACUUUAAGUCAUCUUGUAGAUUUUCAAGUUCCAAUGAUAUGCAUCAAGUAUGUGCAACAUACUUGAUAUGACUAAUAUUUUCUUAAGUAAUUGGACACUUUUUUCUAUAAAUUUACUUGAUUAUCAAUGAAUACUUUUAUGUAAGGUAUUGAUAUAAUUCGAUAAAUAUUUUAAAAUAGUAUUAGAAUAGCUUUGCUCUUUCCUAAUUAACAAAUUUACUAAAUUAACUUAUAUAUAUUUGUUUAUUUUAAUUUACUGGUAUUUGACUCAAUUUGUUAUUAUUUUUAAAAUUAUAGGAAAACCAUUAUUUAUAGAGUUUAAUUAUAUUUGGUAAAUUAUCUUUUUAAGUUUGACUAGGAUUAGGAAACUAUUAAUUUAAGAUUAAUCCAUAAGGCUCUAUAAAUUUGCAGUUUUAUAUAACAUUUAAAAAAAGAAAGAAAAAGUAAGAAAAAGUGAAGAGAGAUAGGCAAAGAGUGCAUUGGGUUUUAGAUAGAGAAAGGUCGAGAGAGUUUUGAUUACUACUCAAAAAGAACAUAUUUUAGAUAGUAAUUCUCAUGGGUUUCACAUCUUUUGAGUAUUAAUUAUGCCUAAAAAUGCUCAAUUAACAUGUUGUUGCCCUUGCAAGAGUUACUAAUAAGUUUUAUAAAGUUUUGGAGUCAUUUCAAGUUAUGAUUUUAAUAAAUUGGUGAUGAAAGAGAUGAAUUGAUUUGAAGAAGGAAAAUAAUAUUGAUGAUGAUCCAAAUGCAUAAUGAAAGAAGCAAUAUAAUUAGUUUGAUCGGGAUUUGCUGCUAAUUUGGAGGUAGUUAAGGUGGAGUCAAAAGAAGAAAAUGGAAGAAAUGACAAAGAGGAACUUAAAAACCAAAUGUUGCAGAUUUGUAUGAUCAUUCAAAAAUUACAUGACUAUGCCAAAUGGAUUAGAGAAGGAAAAUUGACUAUAGUAUAAGGAGGAUGCUUAAGUUGAUUUAGCAUGAACAUGAGAAAAUUUCGCAUGAACAUGCGAAAAUUUUGCACAAUCAUGCGAAAUGGUCCAGAAAGCUCUCUAAUGUUGUUGUUGCUCCACUAAUUUCGCACCACCAUGCGAAAUCGAUCUUUUCAUGCAAAAUGGCUGAAGCUCAUGUGAAAUCAUGAUUUUGAUGCUAAACUCCAGAUUUGUGAAUUUGGAAGGUUUUAGAAGACCAAUGAGAGGUUGCCAAGUGUCCACUUGACCUUGGUCUAUAAAUAGAAACUUGAAUUUCCCAUGUAAAGAGCUUUGUGAUACUUUUGAUUUUAGAUUUUUCUAGAAACUCUUUCUCUAAAUAGAAUUCUAUAUUUUCUUUAAUUUUCCCUCAUUUUCUCAUUAGCCAAACAUGCCUAGUGAGACCAAAUUUCCAAGUAUGAGUGACUAAAUCUCGUUUUUCUCAGAGGAAUGAGGAUCUAGAGGCAAGAUCUAUGGUGAAUUAUAGAAAUGAGUUUUAAUUGCAAAUGUAAUUUGAUUCAAUUGAUUGAUUAAUUGAAAUUCGAGGAUUUUUCUCUUCAAAUUGUCCUGAAUGACAAUUACAUUGCAAACUAGGCAGAUUAAUUAAAUUCUUAAAGUUAGAUUUAAUGAGACUGAAUAGUUGCAUUGUAUGAAUCAUUGGAAGAUGAUUUAAGAUGAAUUGAAUAUAUAAUUUAAAUUCAUAUCUUGGAUUAAAUAACCUAAUUUGAAGAGAAAUUAGGUUUAGACUUAAAGGGAAAUCUAAAAUCGGUUUAGAUAAGAAUUUAGGUUUUCAAUCUAACUUGAUGAAAAAUAAAUCUCAACAUUUAUUCACCAUGGAAAUUGUUUUCUAAAAAAUAUUAACUCUGAGAAUUCCUUUUCCUUAUCAGUUUUCUUAUAUUCUACAUUAUAUUAUUCUUUUCGAUUAGAAAUCAUUGUUAUUUUGAUUUUUCGUGAAUUGUCAAAUCAAUUUCACUUGACCAUAAUCAUUUCUUUUCCUCUCAUUUAAACCUUAAUUAUCGAGAAUAAUCCAUCCCAAUAGAAGACACCUAAGACCACUAUACUACUGUAGCUUUUGCUAAAAAACCUUUUUGAUCGGGCAAGAGUUACCUUAGCAUAGUUGAAUUAGGUUAUAAAUUUUUUAUCCAAUAAACAACAAAAAAAUCAAUUGAUCAAGUUUACAUUGUGUAUUCUUGAAUUUUAUUAAUAAAUUUGAUCCCCUUUUUUGAAGCGAUUACACCAAACCAAGUAAAUAUUUUAUCUACUUCAUUUGCUUUAUUUUUUCUAUUAAGUUUAGGUGUUGCAAUUUUUAAGAGUCAUGGUGAGAAGAUUGUGGGAAAAAUUAUUUUAAGGAUGGAGUCGAACAUAAAAUAUGAAAUUGAGUCCUUUGAUGGAAAUAAUAAUUUUAAUAUUUGAUAGAGUAUUAUUAAAGAUGUUUUGAUACAACAAAGACUUCUCAAAGCAUUACAAGGCAAAAAAAACUAGAGAGCAUGACAAAUAAAGAAAUGAAAGAAUUACAAGCAAGAGUUGUAAGUACUAUUUGUUUAAGUCUUAAAAAUGAAAUACAUUGUUUUGAAUGAAAAAAAUAUUCUUUUAGGGGUGUCAAUUGCUCUUUUAGAGACCAAAAAUAUUAAGCAAUCAAGUAGUUCAUCUCAUAUUGGACAAACUGUUAUGAUGAAUUCUAAACCAUAUCAUCAUAGGAGUAAAUCGAAAGAAAAGUAUCUGAUAGGAGGAUGAUCAUUCCAUUCACACUUAUAGAGGAAUAUGAAGUAUUAUUNNNNNNNNNNNNNNNNNNNNNNNNNNNNNNNNNNNNNNNNNNNNNNNNNNNNNNNNNNNNNNNNNNUAGUGAUUGUUUUAUGUUGAAGAAAGGCUAAUUAAAGUAAACAUGCAUCUAAAAUUAUAAUUUAGAUGUUGUACUCAAAUAGUUGCUCUCCUCGAUUAUAUCAUAAAAUUUGGUUUGAAGUCUAAGUCAUCUAAUAAUUUUCUAGUUCCAAUUACAUGCAUCAAACAUGUGUGUUAGGAAGUGUUGCAAAUUACUAAUUAGUAUAUAUUCUUUUUUUUUUAAGAAUAUUGUAUUAAAUAUUUCUAGGUUGAUAUAUUAUUGUAAUAUUAGACUUCUUUAUAGAAUAAGGAAGGUUGUUGAAAAUAUCCCUAUAAAUAUUCUAGUUCAUAAGGGGAAAAAGUUUUGAGAUGAAGAUGGACCCAUAAAGACUAUACAAGGUGGAUAGAGAUGUGAGGAAGAACGAGAGGUACCCGAUGGAGCGAGAGGGCUCGUGGUAGGGUAUAGGUACGAAGAGUGAGGAAACAUGGGAUGUUUUGGGAACUCAAUAUUUGUAUCUAGUUAUGUCCUCUAUAAGUUCUAGUUCUGUCAUCUGCAUUGUUCUCUAUUUUAUAGUGGAAUGAUUCUCUCUUAUCUGUGGACGUAGGCAUGGUUUUCGAACCACGUUAAAACCUUGUGUACCGUUUGUGUUGAUUUUUUUUAUCUUUAUUUUCUUGAUUAAUGAAGUUUGCAUCAAAGCUUCUGUCAACGUAACAAACUUGUAUCAAAGUUUGGGAUAAAGAUUUCUAGAAGAGUAAAAGAUCAUAGAGCACACAAGAUGAAAACAAAAGGAAUUUUUAGUGAAAAAGGAGUCAAUUGCUCUCUCGUGGUGAUAUGAUAUAAAAAGUUUAUGUCAUGGAAAGUUUGAAGAUUUACUUCAUGGAAUCUGGUCCAAAAUGGAGAUUGUUAAUAAGUGUCCCAAAUUCCUAAUUAGUAUAGAUUUUUUUUUUUGUAAAGAAUAUUGUAUAGAAUAUUUCUAGGUUGAUAUAUUAUUGUAAUAUUAGACUUCCUUAUAGAAUAAGGAAGGUUGUUGAAAAUAUCUUUAUAAAUAUUCUAGGUCAUGAGGGAAAAAAGUAUGAGAUGAAGAUGGGCCCUAUAAAAACUAUAUGAGGUGGAUAAAGAUGUGAGGAAGAAUGAGAGGUACUCAAUGGAAUGAGAGGGCUCGUGGUAGGGUAUGGAUACAAAGAGUGGGGAAAUAUGGGAUGUUUUGGGAACCUAUUAGUUGUAUCUAGUUCUGUCAUCUAUAAUGUUCUAGUUACGUCCUCUAUAAUGUUCUCUAUUGUAUAGUGGAAUGAUUCUCUUUCAUCCGUGGAUGUAGGCAUGGUUGUCGAACCACAUUAAAACCUCGUGUACUAUUUGUUUUAUUUUUAAAUUUUUUUUAAUCUUUGUUUCUUGAUUAAUGAUGUGUGCAUCAAAGCUUCCAUCUACGUAACAAACUGGUAUCAGAGCUUGGGUUGAAGAUUUUUGGAAUAGUAAAAGAUCACAAAGCACACAAGAUGAAAACAAAAGGAAUUUUUAGUGAAUGUGGAGUCAAUUGUUCUCUCGUGGUGAUAUGAUACAAAAAGUUUGUGUCAUGGAGGGUUUAAUGAUUGACUCCGUGGAAUUUGGUCCAAGGUAGAGAUUGUUAGGAAGUGUCCCAAAUUCCUAAUUAGUAUAGAUUUUUUUUUUUUAAAGAAUAUUGUAUAGAAUAUUUCUAGGUUGACAUAUUAUUGUAAUAUUAGACUUCCUUAUAGAAUAAGGAAUGUUGUUGGAAAUAUUUUUAUAAAUAUUUUAAGUCAUGAGGGGAAAAAUUUAUGAGAUGAAGAUGGGCCUAUAAAGACCAUAUGAGAUGGAUAGAGAUGUGAGGAAGAAUCGGAGGUACCCAGUGGAGCGAGAGAGUUCGUGGUAGGGUGUGAAUAUGAAGAGUGGGGAAACAUGGGAUGUUUUGGGAACCCAAUAGUUGUAUCUAGUUCUGACAUCUAUAAUGUUCUGGUUCUGUCAUCUAUAAUGUUCUGGUUUUGUCCUCUGUAAUGUUCUUUAUUGUAUAGUGGAAUUAUUCUCUCUCAUCUAUAUAGGCAAGUUGCUAAACCACGUUAAAACCUCGAAUACCUUUUGUGUUGAUUUUUUUUAUCUUUGUGUUCUUGAUUAACGAUGCUUGCAUCAAAGCUUCUACCAACGUAACAAUGUGCAACAUAUUUGAUAUAACUUAUAUUUUCUUAAGUAAUUGAACACUUUUUUCUAUAAAUUUACUUGAUGAUCAAUGAGUACCUACAUAUACGGUAUUGACAUAGUUUGAUAAACAUUUUAAAAUAGUAUUAGAAUGGCUUUUCUUUUUCCCAAUUAACAAAUUUAUCAAAUACACACACACACACACACACACAAAAUACUCAUUAGUAUGUCUUUUAUGAAAAAACUAUGUUUGUUUAUUUGAAUUUAGUAGCCAUUCAAUUCCUUAGUUACUCAUAAACUUUUUAUCACCUUCUUAAAGUCAAGUCAUUUACAAUUAUUUUCAAGUCAUUUACAAUUAUUUUAGCCUUCUCCAUUAUGACAACUUUAUAAGAUAGUGAUUGAUUGGAAGAAUCUACAUGCCUUUGUUGAUAGUAUAAUUGUUUUUCUUUUUUUUCGUAUUCAAAGAAUCUUGCUUCUGUUAUUGAAACUUUCAAAUCCUUUAUGUCUAGUGGUCUUAUAAUUCCCUAUUCAUUGGUCUUUCAUAUUACCAAUCAUUUUGCAAAUGAGUUAAUUUCAUUCACAUCCUCUGAGAUUUGAUGUAAAUUCGCUUAGUUACCAAUGAUUUCAAAUUUCAUUAAUUAGUACCCCUACAGAUAUAAUUCGUGUACAAAAUUUAUUUUUUAAAAGAGUUUAGGUAAAAAUAUUUUAGGUAUAUGUCUUUAACAAUUCUCUAAAAUAAAUUUUACUUGCUAAAAAAUAACUUAUAUAGAUAGAAUACAUCUACAGGAGUUCUAACUAACGAAAUUUAAAACUAAUGGUGGUUUAGUGUAUUUAAACUAAACAUUAGGAAGGGUGACUGAAAUUAACCCUCUAGGUAUAUAUGUUUAACAAAAUUUUUAUUGUUUAUUUUUCAUUUAAUGUUUGCAUUUUUCAAUAAACAUUGAAAAGGAAUUGUUUUUCCAUAUGUUAACAAAAAGAAAUUUGAAUACCUAUAAAAAUGAAAUCUUGUAGUAAAAUUGGAGUUACAUUAUCAGACUUUUAACGAGUGUUUAUGUUUAGAAAGGCCAAUUAAAGCAAGCAUGCAUCUAGAAAUUGUAACUUAGAUGCAUCAAACAUGAGCAACAUAUUUGAUAUAACUAAUAGUUUCUUAAGUAACUAAACACUUCUUUUUCUAUAAAUUUACUUGAUUGUCGAUGAAUACUUACAUACAUUUACAUAGUUUGAUAAAUAUUUUAAAAUAAUAUUAGAAUAACUUUGUUUUUUCUCAAUUAUAUUAGAAAAUAAUAUAAAGUUACUUAUAAACUUUAUAUCAUUUUCUCAAAGUCAAGUCAUUUACAAUUAUUUCUAUCUAGUCUUCUCCAUUAUGACAACUUUUAUAUGAUAGUCGUUGAUUGGAAGAAUCUACAUGUCUUUUUUGAUAAGAUAGUUGUUUUUAUUAUUUUUAUUUUUUUUAUUCCAAAAAUUUGCUUCUAUCAUUGAAACUUUCAAAUCUUUUAUGUAUAUUACCAAUCAUUUUACAAGUGAGUUAAUUUCACUUAGGGUAGAUAUACUUAGCCACACCCCUAUAGAUGUAAUUUGUGUUUAAAUUUUAUUUUUUAUUUAGGUAAAAAUAUCUUAGGUAUAUGUGUUCUACAAUUCUCUAAAAAAUAAAUUUUCUUAUCUAAAAGUUUAUAUAGACAAAAUACAUCUAUAGAAGUCCUAACUAAUGAAAUUUAAAAUCAAUGGUUGUUUAGUGUAUUUACAUUAAACCUUAUGGGGUAUGAUUGAAAUUAAGUCUUUUACAAGCACUUGUAGCUAAUAUGUUUGUAGUUGUAGUCUUGGAAAUUGAUCAUUUUCUUGAAGGCCUCUAGGAUAUUGAAAAUAUUGCCAUAGUUUUAGACUUUUUUUUUAUUACACCUAAUAAAAAAUAUUAUUAAUUUAACAUAUAUAUUCUUGACUUAAAAGUAAAGUCUCUCCAUAUUGUAUAAGCCCUUAGGUGGCAAUAUUAGGUGAAGUUUUUCUUUCGUUUAUUACAAAAUAUAAAUAAUUUAUUAUUGUAUGAUAAAAUUUUAUGUAAUAUAUUUUUAUAGAUGUAAAAUUAUUAAUUGGGUUUUGUUUUUUUUUACUAAAUUGUCAUUUCAAUAUAUAAAACUUAUUUGUAAAAAGACAAUUAUAAACUAUAUGAAAUUGAAAAACAUUUAGUUUUUUUAUUUAAUUUAGAAUUUUAUUUGGAUUAAUAAUUGAUAUUUGUAAGAUUUUUGAAUAUUAAAAAAAGUUAGCAUACUUAAGAAAGAUAUUCAAGAUCGGGAGUGUUUGAUAUCGGAUUAAUUUCCUUAUUUUCUCUAUUUUAAUAAAUUUUCACGUCCAUUACAAAAUUUUUGUUGUUUAUUUUUUACUUCAAUAUUUUUAUUUUGUAAUAGAAAUUUGAAAAGAUUUUUUCCUACAUGUUAAAAAAAAAAAAGAUUUGAACACUCCUAAAAAAGAAAUAUUGCAAUAAAAUUAAAGUUUACACUGUAGGACUAUUAGCAAAUGCUGCAUACUUAAAAUAGACCAAUUAAAGUAGAAAUACUUCUAAAAUUGUAAUUUAGGUAACAAUAAUAUAAAAAGACAAUAUUUUUGAAACAAUAGUUCUCUUGGAGUUUUGGGUACAAUGGACUAGACUUUAUGUAACAAUAGAUAUACAAACUUUCCAUUAACAUCUUGAGAGACAUGAUGAGGAGCAAAGUCAUCCAAGAAGGUACCAUAGAGGUACCUUAGCUCAAUUCAUCUAGACUACAUAAUGUUUAAAGAUCAAAUUCAAUGACUAGAUUUCAAAAAUCAAUAUAAGCUUUCUCAUAUUCUACUCUAUAUAAGACAAUGGUAUGAUACCUCUCUUGUGUCGUAGAAUGCACCAUGAAAACCUUAUCAUUUUAACAUCAGUUUGAAACUUAAAAGUCACUUAGCACAUUCUAGUUAUUAAUUUAAGAGCAUUAAAAGAAAUAUAUAAAAAAAAAGUUACUUUAUCCUUGUGAUUUUGAUCUAGGACUUUUAAUGAUAUUAAAAAAAAAAACAGAAAAAUAAAUGGAAAUAAAAUCAAUAAAUUAAACAAUUGAAUUAAGUUAGUUUAAUUUUUGAAUCGUUAAAUGGGUAAAUAAAGAUCUUAGAUUUGAUAUUAAUAUGAACAUCAUGACUUCAGUGAAUCUUACAAGAAAAUUUUAGUUUGAAAGACUUCAUUCAUUAAACGUGUGGCACAUAUUAAAGUAAAACUAAGUCUUCUCUAUAAUUUGUACCUAUCAUAGUUUCUUUCCUCAUAAAUAGCCUUUUUUGAAUAUAAUAUAGACUUCAACAUGCAUGGUGGGGCCAAUCAAACUACUAGUCAAGACAACUCAUGGGCAACAACGAUGUACCAACUACAUUUAAAUACUCUUCAUAUAUUUGCAUAUCAAGAGUAAUUUAGUAGUGUCUUUCUUAUGUACCUCAUAUCUAGACUUUCAAUGGAGAGUUCUUCAUCUAAAAAUUUGACUUGGGUUUUCAUACUAGUUUUGGUUUAGACAUGUGGAUGCAAAGGUUGCAUCAAAGAAGAGAAGUAGGCUAAAUCAUCUUACAAAUUUUCAAGUUCAAAUUAGAUGCACCAAACAUAUGCAACAUAUUUGAUAUAACUAAUAUUUUCUUAAGUAAUUGAAUACAAUUUUUUUUUAUAAAUUCACUUGAUUAUUAAUGGAUAACUAACUACAUGUAUGGUAUUGACACAACUUGAUAAAUUUUUUAAAAUAGUAUUAGAAUAACUUUGCUAAAAAAAAGUAAAAAUAAAAAUAAAAAUACAUCUAUAUAUAUAUAUAAUUAAAUAAAAUUAAAAAUUAAUAUAUAUAUAUAUAUAUAUAUAUUCUGUGUGUGUAUGUGUGCAUGGUCUCACAAGUCAUUAGCUACUCAUAAGCUUUAUAUCACUUUCUCAAAGUCAAGUCAUUUUGUAAUUAUUUCUAUCUAGCCUUCUCCAUUACGACAACUGUAUAGGAUAUUGAUUGAUUGUAAAAAUCUUCAUGUCUUUUUUUAUAAGAUAGUUUUUUAUUAUUAUUAUUAUUCAAAGAAUUUUCUUUUAUUAUUGAAACUUUCAAAUCCUUUAUGUCUAGUGGUCCUACAAUUCCCUAUUCAUUGGUAUUUCAUAUUACCAAUCAUUUUACAAAUAAGUUUAUUUCACCCGGUAAAUAUACUUAACUACCAAUGGUUUCAAAUUUAAUUGAUUAACACACUUAUAGAUGUAAUUUGUUUUUAAAUUUUAUUUCUUUUAGAAGAAUUGUAGGUAAAAAUGUUCUAGGAAUAUGUGUUCAAUAAUUCUCUAAAAACAAUUUAUAUAGAUGGAAUACAUUCAUGGAAGUUCCAACUAAUGAAAUUUAAAACCAAUGACGAUUUAAUGUAUUUGCACUAAAUCUUAGGGGAGGUGUACUAAAACUAGCCCUUUUACAAAUAUUUGUAGCUAGUAUAUUUGUAGUUAUGGUGUUGGAAGUUGAUCAUUUUCUUAAAGGCCUCUAAGAUAUUGGAAAUAUCGCCAAAGUUUUGAACUUUUUGUUUCACCUAAAUAAAAUAUCAUUAAUUUAAUAUAUAUACUCUUCGCUUGAAAGUAUAGUUUCUUCAUAUUGUAUGAAGUUGUAACUAGGUGACAAUAUUAGGUGAAAUUUUUUUUUGUUUACUACAAAAUAUAAAUAAUAUAUUUAUUAUAUGAUAAAAUUUUGUAAAAUAUAUUAUUAUAGAUGCAAAAUUAUUAAUGGAGUUUUAUUUUUUACUAAAUUAUCAUUUCAAUAAAUAAGAACUUAUUUGUUAAAAGAAAAUUAUAAAAUAUAUGCAAUUGAAAAAAAUUUAAUUUUUUUAUUUAAUUUGGUAUUUUAUUUGAAUUAAUAAUUGAUAUUUGUAAAAUCUUUUAAUAUUAAAAGAAGUUAACAUACUUAAAAAAGACAUUCAAAAUCAAGAGAGUAUUUGAUAUGAAAUUAAUUAAUUAUUUUUUUUCUAUUUAAAUAAAUUUUUACAUCCAUUAAAAAAAUUUUCUUGUUUAUUUUUCACUUCAAUAUUUUUAUUUUGUAAAAUAAAUAGAAAUAAAAUCAACAAAUUAAACAAUUGAAUUAAGUUAGUUUAAUUUUGCCACCGUUAAAUUGGUAAAUGAAGACUCUUAUAUUUGAUAUUAACAUGAACAUCAUGACUUCAUUGAAUAUUCUCACAAGAAAAUUUUAGUUUGAAAGAUUUUAUCCUUUAAACAUGUGGCACAUAUUAAAGUGAGACCAAGUCUUCCCUAUAAUUUGUAUCUAUCACAAUUUCUUUCCUAAUGAAUAACCUUUUUGAAUAGAAUAUAGACUUUAGCAUAUUACCAACCAUUUUACAAAUAAGUUAAUUUCACUCAGUAAAUAUACUUAACCACCAAUGGUUUCCAAUUUGUAGCACUCUUAUAGAUGUAGUUUUUUUUUUAAAUUUUAUUUUUUAGAAGAAUUGUAGGUAAAAAUAUUUUAGAUAUAUAUGUUCAACAAUUCUCUAAAAACAAUUUAUAUAGAUGGAAUACGUUCAUGGAAGUUCCAACUAAUGAAAUUUAAAACCAAUGAUGAUUUAAUGUAUUUGUACUAAAUCUUAGGGAGUGUGGACUAAAAUUAGCCCUUUUACAAAUAUUUAUAACUAGUAUAUUUGUAGUUGUGGUAUUGAAAGUUGAUCAUUUUCUUAAAAGGUUUACCAUUGAAGUUAGUUGAAUAUAAAGUUAGGUGAACUUUACCAUUGUUUAAUUGGUAAAUGAAGACUCUUAGAUUUGAUACUAACAUGUACAUCAUGACUUCAUUGAAUCUCUCACAAGGAAAUUUUAGUUUGAAAGACUUCAUCUUUUAAACAUGUGGCACAUAUUAAAGUGGACCAAGUCUUCCCUAUAAUUUGUAUCUAUCACAAUUUCUUUCCUCAUAAAUAGCCUUUUUUAAUAGAAUUAAUAUAGACUUUAGCAUGCAUGGUGGGCCCUGUCAAACUAUUAGUCAAGAUAAUUUGUAGGUAAGAACGAUGGACCAACUAUAUUAAAUAUUCUUCAUCUAUUUGCAUAUCAAGAGCAACUUAAUAUUGUCUUUCUUUUGUACUUCAUGUUUGAACUUUCAAUGGAGAGUGUGUCAUCUAAAUAUUUGAUGUGGGUUUUUAUACUAUUCUUGGUUCAAAUAUGUGGAUGCAAAGGUUGCAUCGAAGAAGAGAAGAUGGGUUUGCUUGAAUUCAAGGCUUUUCUUAAAUUGAAUAAUGAGCAUGCAGAUUUUCUUCUCCCUUCAUGGAUAGAUAACAACACUAGUGAAUGUUGUAAUUGGGAGCGGGUUAUUUGCAAUCCCACCACAGGUCGAGUUAAGAAGCUUUUCCUCAAUGAUAUUACGCAACAACAAAGUUUCUUGGAAGACAAUUGGUACCAAUAUGAAAAUGUCAAAUUCUGGUUACUAAAUGUCUCCCUAUUCCUUCCUUUUGAAGAACUUCACCAUCUAAACUUGUCUGCAAACUCAUUUGAUGGGUUUAUUGAGAAUGAAGGUAUGUUACCUCUCACCUUUAAAAUUUCAUUUCACUUAUACUCCAAACAUUCUAAAGGAACUACUAGCAUAUGUUCUUAAAAGUGUUCAGGUGGAGACCAAAUGGUCACUAGUAACUAUUGAAUUUAAUAUAAGAACAAUUACUAAUUAUUAAAAUUUAUAAUGUAAAUUAACAUUUAAACAGAACAAUAAAAAAAUUAUUAUUUUAGAAAACUAUAGAUUACAUUAGCCUUAUAUAUAUAAGCAUACUUGUUAUUUAUGCCAUCAUUUCACACUCAACCCAAUAAGUGGGAUUCAACUAAGAGUGAGCAAUUUCACAAUUAUUAAUUAACAGGAACACUUAGUCUCCCAUAUCCUUAUCCUUUUUGUUGAAUUGUCUUUCCUUAUCUUCCAUUCCUAAAAAGCUUGAUUUCUAUAUUCUAAAUUGAUAAAGAUUGGUUAAAGAAAGGUGAUCACAAAAUUUGACUAUUGCUGUCAAAUAAGGAAUCACCAUCUUCAAAGUUUCACAUUUACAAAAAAAAAAAAAAAAAAAAAAAAAAAAAAAAAAAACCCUAGCCUUGGGUAAGGUCCAAGCCUUAUUGUUUUAAGCUGAUGUCGGGUUGGUUUAAUAAUAAACAAAAAAAAUCCUAACCCAUGACCAUCUACGCAUUUCCAAAUUCCACCCAUCCACAACCCAUUAAUAUGACAUUUUCAAGGACAAAAUUUAAUCAAUUAAACCUAUUAGAUGGAUUCUCCAUACAAUGUUAAAAUGAAUAUAAAAACUUUAAUUCAAAAAAUAAUUUCCUUUAUUUAGUUAGGAUUCAAAUUAUAGGGGCACAAAACAUGAAAAUUUUCAUGUUUAAAAUUCACAAAGAUCACAAAAGCUCUUUGAAGCUCUAUGGACUUUUUUAUUUCUAACAUUUAAACACAAAAAUCACCAUAUUUAAUUAGAGAUUUGGAUACAUAUUCUUAUAUUAAAGACAUGUAAGCUUACAUAUUUAAAUAUGAAGAUCUCAACUUGUAAUUACAUGCUUCUAAUUAAAGUUAUAUUACUCUAUUUUAUAGGAUUUAAAGGGUUAUCAAGUUUAAAGAAAUUGGAGAUCUUAGACAUAAGUGGUAAUGAGUUUGAAAAAAGUGUCUUAAAAUCUUUGGACACAAUAACAUCACUCAAGACAUUGGCUAUUUGCAGCAUGGGACUGAAUGAAUCUUUUUCCAUUCGAGGCAUGUUAUAUGUCCACAUUGUUUCUUUGAAAUUAAGUAAAAUAUAUUUCUAACUUUUAAUGUUCCUUAGUUAAUCUCUCUUUUGAUUCAUGUUUGUUGCAGAAUUAGCUAGUUUGAGAAAUUUGGAAGUGUUGGAUCUAAGCUAUAAUGAUUUGGAAAGCUUUCAACUAUUGCAAGGUACUUCAUUAACUUGCUAAAAAAACUUAUGAUAUUUUGUUAUUAAAUUAAAGGUAAGAUUAACAAACAAUUUCUUCUCAUUAGUUACUUUUCUUUGUAAUAUCAUUAAAUUUGAUAUAAAGUAGUCUAAAUCAUCCUUUCAAUUUAUAAGUUUUAAUUAAAACGCAUCAAGCAUGCACAAGAUGUUUAAUAUAACUAAUAUUUUCAUAAGUAAUUGAAUUUUUUUAUAUGAAUUAAUUAACUUGAUUAUCAAUAAAUACUUACAUGUAUAAGAUUAAUAUAGUUUCAUAAGUAUUUUAAAAUUGUCUUACAACACACACACACACACACACAAGGAAAAUGAAAGGUAUGUGAUAUCUUUAUGCUAUGUUUGGUUCCCAAAAAAAUUGAGGGAAAAUGAAAGGAGAAAAAAGUAGAGACGAAAAGUAAAAGAAAAGAAAAAAAGUAAAGAAAAAUAUAAAAUUGAUUAAAGUAAAUACAUUAUUUUUAUAUGUUACUUUAACUUGUUUCACUUAUUUUAAUUCUUCAAUGUAAAGAUGAAAGAUUUGAAAAUGCAUAAGUUUCUAAUUAUUUUUUAUUUUAUUUUAUAGUUUUUACAAUACAACCAAACAUAAUAAAAUCAUUUUCUUUAAUUUUUUUUCUUUUCUUAAUACUUUUCACGAACCCUUUAAGUUAUGUUUGUUUGCAGAAAAUAUGAGGAAUAGAAAAUAGAAAAGAAAAUUAGAAGGAAAGAAAAAGUGAAGUAAAAUAAAAAUAAAUUUAAAUUUAAUAAAUUAUUUGUAUAUGCUACUUUAAACUUAUUUCACUUAUUUUAAAUUAUUUAAACUCAUUUCUAAUAAAUAAUAAUGGAAAUUGUAGAGAAGUUUGUGUUAUUCAAGCUUUGCAAUGACUUUACAAGGUGAAGGAAAAUAUUCUUGCUGAAAUUGAAAAAAGAAAUACCUUCUUAAAUAGCCUAUUGACCGAAAACACAUUACCCUAACAUAUACACACACCUUUAUUAUUUAUACAAUCAUUUAAUACUUAAUCCAGUUAGUGGGAUUCUAGUGGUUGUUUUUAUCUUGGUUUCCAAUAUUUCUGAUUGAUAGUGUUCGAUUAAUGAAAUAUCAUAAAUUUUGACCCUAAUAAGGACCAAUCCCUAUUAAAUGUAAUUGGGUUGACCUAAGACUAAAUGUUAGAUCCAACUAAUAAAAACCCAUCUAUUUGUUGGAGUGUAAAUAACCCGGCCUUAGGUAGGGCCCAUGCCUUAUUAUUUUAAGAUGUAGUCCAACUGGUUUGACACUAGAUUGAGUAAAGCCCAACUUAUGAGCAUCUAUGCAUUUCCAUCCAUCCACAACCUACUGGCAUGGACAAACUUUGGUCAAUUAAACCUAUUAUAACUGCAUACAAAAUUUUAAGUUCAAAAGAUAAUUUUCCUUAUUUAGUUAGGAUUCAUAUUAAAAAGGCACAAAGCACGAAUUUUCAUGUUUAAAUUCACAAAUAUCACAAAAGCUCCUUCAAGCUCUAUGGACCAUUUUAUUUGUAACAUUAUAUUACUCUUAAUUAUCAAAUUAACCAACAAAUUCUUCUCAUUAGUUAUUUUUCUUUAGUAAUGUCAUAAAAUUUGAUAUAAAGUAGUAUUGGUCAUCAUUUCAAAUUUUAGGUUCCAAUUAGAUGUAUCAAGCAUGUGUACCAUAUUUGAUAUAACUAAUAUUUUUAUAAGUAAUUGAAUUUUUUUUUCUAUAAAUCAAUUAAUUUGAUUAUCAAUGAAUACUUUCAUACAUGAUAUUGAUGUAGUUUCAUAAAUAUUUUAAAAUAGUCAUAGAAGUCUUUUAUCUGAUUCACUAGAAAGAAAAAUAAACUAUUCUAAUGAAAAGACUUGAUGAUUUGAAGUGAUUGCUUUUGAUUUUAUUUGAUUGCUACCAUUAUUAAUUGUUAGAAAUUGGCAACAAAUACCCAUUUUGCAUCACUUCUAUAUGCAUCGGGGGAAUGAAUUAUAUUUCAUAGAGCUAAUAGGGCAAAACUCAAACUUUUGGAAUUAUGGAAAAGGUUGCUAGAAAGCUAAUUAACCAUUUAUAUUAUGAUUAAGACUAGUUGGGUUAGAAAUAAUUCAUAUGGAGAUUAAAAAAAACUAUGUAAUUUAGUUUAGUAGCUUGGGUGCUAUUGUAAUGAUUAAUGAUCUGCAACUUGAACACAUCUACUAGUGCUUUCUACUUGUAUAGCUAAAUUUAUGUUACCACUUUGAACUACAGUACUUACAUGAGAAGAAAGUUUUUCCUUAGUGAUAAUGCAAAAGAAAUUAAGUAUCAAUUUUUGUUAAACUAACAAGUGAUAGUUUAGAUAUGGUUUGAAUACACUUCCUUUCUUCUAUAUUUUUAUUUUGAAAAAAAAAAACUCUUUAAUGAAAUAUAAGAAAUCUUAUAUGUAUAAAAAUUAAAGACUUAAACAAAAAAAUUCUUCAAAUUUGAAAAUUUUCGAGAAGUAUUUUUAAGAAUUUGUAUUUUCAAUAUAAUAAUUCAUAUAUUUUGUAUAAAAGUUUUUGUUUAAAAAAAUAGAAGUGUGUCCAAAUUACAAAUUAAUUGUUAAAUUAAGAAUGUUUCUCAGAUCAAGAGAUGAUGAAAGUUGUAGAGAGUUUGCAUUACUCAACCUUUGCAAUUACUUUUUGAAGGUAAAAGAAAAUACCUUCCUACAUAACAUACAAUGGCAGGUUCUGGUUUGUAAGAAACUAAUAAAUGAUUAAGAAUAUGAAUAAGACUUCCUUUAUAAUGGAUAUGUAGAGAAGAAUAGUGGAUGAUAGGAGGUGAAAAUCUUGUAAUAAAAUAUCAAUAUCAGUUAUAAGAUAAUCAACAUUUUCUCUAUUUCUUGUACCUAUGUGAUUAAGAAUCUUGUAGCUCCCUUAUUGAAAUAUAAUAUAAAAAUAUAAAUAAACUAUUUAGAAGUGCAUGUAGUUUUCAACAUGAGGAAGUUCAAAAGCAAGUUAAUUAUGAUAAUUUUCUAUAGUCUAUAUUGAACACAAAUUAUUUUUACUAAAGGUUCAAUCGUUCUAUGAAGGUUAAAAGUUUGAAUUGUUUACAUAUGCAAAUGGACAACCAAACAAGAAAAUGAUUUUGAAAUCCUUUUUGGACCUUUUUUUAUCAUUCAUUUUUUCCCCUACUCUAUUUCCUUUCCCUCAAACUCUCUAGGUAGUAAACAUUACCUAAGAUAAAUAGGGAAGAAAAUAUUUUAUCAUUUAUUUAUUUAGUAUUUUUCUUACAUUUUUUGUAUGUUAUCCAAAUAUAAGAAAACUAUUUUUCUUUAUUUUUUCUUUUCCUUGUUGCUUUUCAAGAAUCAAGCAUACUUUAAACUCUAAUUAAGAGUUACAUAGAUUUACGAAGAAACAAUGCAACUGGUAACAAAAAAUUAAGGAAAUUUAAUUUUUGAGAGUAGGUAUAAUGAGAUUGGUUUGUUUGAUACAAAAUUUGAAUAAAAAUUCUUUCAAUGAAAAUUCAAGGAAAGGAAAAAAAAAACAACUUUCUCUCUAGACUAUAAUACUAAAUCACUUAAAAAAUAUCCUAACAUCGUUUAUGUUCAUCUUUCUUUUUAUGGAUUUGAAAAACCCAAUAAUUUGGAGAAAACUGAUUCAAGGAAGAAUAAUUUUUAGAAUAAAAUAUUAUUAUUUAAGAAGAUCAUAAAUAUUAUAGUCAUUGUUGAAUAUGAUAAAUGAUUUAAAAAAAAUGGUAGUUGGAAAUUUAGAUACUUUUAUAAGACAAAUGAAUUUUUCUAGUAUGGUAUGAAAAAAGGUAAAAUGAUAGGCUUUGAUCAUUUUUUAAGGUAGUUUGUUUAAAUCAUUUUAAUUUAUUUUCAUUUAAGAACAAUAACUUUUAUUACACUAGUUAUUUUGAUUUUCUUUUGAUAGAUUUUGCAAGCUUAAGCAAUUUGGAGCUAUUGGAUUUGAGUAAUAAUUCAUUUAGUGGGAGCGUUCCAUCAUCUAUAAGAUUGAUGUCUUCUCUCAAGUCUUUAUCCCUGGCUGGAAAUUACCUCAAUGGUUCCUUACCAAAUCAAGGUAUAUAUAUAUUGUGAUUACAGGUUUUUCUGUUUUCUUUUUUAAUAUCUUGUUUGUUCUUUAUGCCAAUGAAGUCAUGCAUGUCUAUUAAUUUUUGGUAUUUAAUAAAAAACUUUAUUCUUAAUUCAUAAAGACCUCAUCAACGGUAAGUAACAGCUAGUUGUAAGUUUGGGGGCAUUGACAAGACGAGGAGAUGAUUGGUUACAUGUCUUAUUCUCUUUUGUAGGCUUUUGCCAAUUGAAUAAGCUUCAAGAAUUAGAUCUUUCUUACAACUUGUUCCAAGGAAUCCUUCCUCCAUGUUUGAAUAAUUUGACAUCUUUGAGGUUAUUGGAUCUCUCUUCCAACCUAUUCUCCGGAAAUCUUUCUUCCCCUCUGUUACCUAAUCUCACAUCCCUGGAGUACAUCGAUCUCAGUUACAAUCAUUUUGAGGGUUCAUUCUCUUUCAGCUCUUUUGCUAAUCACUCCAACCUUCAAGUGGUCAAACUUGGAAGGAAUAACAACAAAUUUGAGGUAGAAACUGAAUAUCCAGUUGGUUGGGUUCCCCUGUUUCAGUUGAAAGCUCUUGUGCUAUCCAACUGUAAGCUCAUCGGUGACCUUCCUAGUUUCCUUCGACACCAAUUAAGAUUAACCGUGGUUGAUCUCUCCCAUAAUAACUUGACUGGAAGUUUCUCCAUUUGGCUGCUUGAAAACAAUACAAGACUAGGAUCUCUAGUUCUGAGGAAUAACUCUUUAAUGGGUCAACUACUUCCCCUGAGACCUAAUAGUCGUAUCACUUUAUUGGAUAUCUCAGACAACCGACUUGAUGGGGAACUUCAACAAAAUGUGGCCAAUAUGAUUCCAAAUAUUGAGUUUCUAAAUUUAUCCAACAAUGGUUUUGAAGAUAUUCUCCUAUCCUCAAUAGCCGAAAUGAGUUCCUUACAGUCAUUGGAUUUGUCUGCUAAUAGUUUCUCAGGGGAAGUACCAAAACAAUUGCUUGUGGCAAAAUAUUUGUGGCUUCUGAAAUUAUCAAAUAAUAAAUUUCAUGGUGAAAUAUUUUCAAGGGAGUUUAACUUGACUCAGUUAGGGUUUUUACAUUUGGACAAUAAUCAGUUCAAGGGAACACUGUCAAAUGUAAUCUCCAGAAUCUCUAGGUUAUGGGUGUUGGAUAGGUAACAUGACCGAUUUGACUACCCUAGUGUUGGGCAACAAUAGUUUUAAAGGCAAAUUACCACCUGAGAUUUCUCAAUUGUUGGGGAUGAUAUUUCUUGACCUUUCUUAAAACGCUCUUUCAGGAUCUUUUCUUUCUUUGAAGAGCCUGGAGUAUUUAGAGCAUCUACAUUUGCAAGGGAACAUGUUUAUAGGAUUGAUACCUAGAGAUUUUCUCAAUUCCUCAUAUCUAUUGACUUUGGAUAUCAGAGACAACAGGUUAUUUGGAAGUAUUCCCAAUUCAAUCUCUAGACUUUUAGAGCUAAGAGGAAACCUUUUAAGUGGUUUCAUUCCAUAUCAGCUCUGUCAUUUGACUAAAAUAAGCUUCAUGGAUCUUUCAAACAACAAUUUUUCUAGGUCAAUUCCUGGAUGCUUUGGUCAUAUCAGAUUUGGAGAUUUCAAAACUGAGCACAAUGUGUAUAUACCGAUGUUGGAUUCGUAUUCAGAAAGCAAUCCUUCUAUAUAUGCGGGUUACUUAAUAAAAUUUUAUUUUUCUCUAGUGAACUCCCUAAUGAAGUAGAUGAAGUUGAGUUUGUUACCAAGAAUAGGUAUAGCUCCCACAGAGUAGAUAAAUAUAUUUGUUGGGAAUUUAGAUAUUUUUAUAGAAAAGUAGACAAGUAUUCUAAUUUAUAAAAAUAAUGCAUUUCUUUAGUUUGGUAUAAAAAAAAUGAAAUGAUAUGUAUUGGUAAUUUUUUUUAAAGUAACAAACGUUUUAUUUUAUUUGUAUUUAAGAACAAUUUUUUUUCUUAUACUAGUUAUUUUAAUUUUCUUUUGACAGAUUUUGCAAGCUUAAGCAAUUUGGAGAUGCUAGAUUUGAGUUAUAAUUCCUUAAGUGGGAUUAUUCCAUUAUCUAUAAGAUUGAUGCCUCAUCUCAAGUCUUUAUCCUUGGCCAGAAAUCACUUCAAUGGUUCUUUACAAAAUCAAGGUACAUAUGUUAUGAUUUGUUUGUUUCAUAUAGAUUAGAGAAGAUGAAUAUUGUUAAAAAAAAAAAGUUGUUGUUAAUGUAAGCUAGAAAUAAGUAUUUUGCCUUAUAAAUUAUAUAAGCAUGUGUUUGUUCUGAAUGAAUCUUUACAACAUUUAGAGUUACCAAUGUUUAUAAUUCAUAAAGACCUCAUUAACAGUGAGUAACAACUAAUUGUAAGUAAUUGUGGAAAAAGUAAGGAAAACAAAAUGAGGGAAAAGCAAGGAAUUAGGAAAUUAUUUUGUUCCCAUAAAAAAAUGCUAAGGAAGAAAAAGGUAAAAGAAAGUUUAAAAAAAGUGUAUUUUUCAAAAAUUUAUUUCUCUUUCCUUUAAUUUUGCUAUGGACAACCAAACAAGAAAAUAAUUUUAUAAUUCCUUUUUUUUUUCAUUCUCUCUCUCUCUCUCUCUUUUUCCCUACUCUAUUUCUUUUCCCUCAAACUUUCUUGAUAGUAAACACAACCUAAGGUAAAUGAGGAAGAAAAUUUUUAGUUUUUUUUAUUUUUUAUUUUUUUAGAAUGUUUUCUUACUUUUUAGUAUUUUAUGCAAAUAUAGGAAAAUUUUCAUCUUUCUUUUUAUGGAUUUGAAAAACCCAAUAAUUUGGAGAAAACUGAUUCAAGGAAGAAUAAUUUUUAGAAUAAAAUAUUAUUAUUUAAGAAGAUCAUAAAUAUUAUAGUCAUUGUUGAAUAUGAUAAAUGAUUUAAAAAAAUGGUAGUUGGAAAUUUAGAUACUUUUAUAAGACAAAUGAAUUUUUCUAGUAUGGUAUGAAAAAAGGUAAAAUGAUAGGCUUUGAUCAUUUUUUAAGGUAGUUUGUUUAAAUCAUUUUAAUUUAUUUUCAUUUAAGAACAAUAACUUUUAUUACACUAGUUAUUUUGAUUUUCUUUUGAUAGAUUUUGCAAGCUUAAGCAAUUUGGAGCUAUUGGAUUUGAGUAAUAAUUCAUUUAGUGGGAGCGUUCCAUCAUCUAUAAGAUUGAUGUCUUCUCUCAAGUCUUUAUCCCUGGCUGGAAAUUACCUCAAUGGUUCCUUACCAAAUCAAGGUAUAUAUAUAUUGUGAUUACAAGUUUUUAUGUUUUCUUUUUUAAUAUCUUGUUUGUUCUUUAUGCCAAUGAAGUCAUGCAUGUCUAUUAAUUUUUGGUAUUUAAUAAAAAACUUUAUUCUUAAUUCAUAAAGACCUCAUCAACUGUAAGUAACAGCUAGUUGUAAGUUUGGGGGCAUUGACAAGACGAGGAGAUGAUUGGUUACAUGUCUUAUUCUCUUUUGUAGGCUUUUGCCAAUUGAAUAAGCUUCAAGAAUUAGAUCUUUCUUACAACUUAUUCCAAGGAAUCCUUCCUCCAUGUUUGAAUAAUUUGACAUCUUUGAGGUUAUUGGAUCUCUCUUCCAACCUAUUCUCCGGAAAUCUUUCUUCCCCUCUGUUACCUAAUCUCACAUCCCUGGAGUACAUCGAUCUCAGUUACAAUCAUUUUGAGGGUUCAUUCUCUUUCAGCUCUUUUGCUAAUCACUCCAACCUUCAAGUGGUCAAACUUGGAAGGAAUAACAACAAAUUUGAGGUAGAAACUGAAUAUCCAGCUGGUUGGGUUCCCCUGUUUCAGUUGAAAGCUCUUGUGCUAUCCAACUGUAAGCUCAUCGGUGACCUUCCUGGUUUCCUUCGACACCAAUUAAGAUUAACUGUGGUUGAUCUCUCCCAUAAUAACUUGACUGGAAGUUUCCCCAUUUGGCUGCUUGAAAACAAUACAAGACUAGGAUCUCUAGUCGUAUCACUUUAUUGGAUAUCUCAAACAACCGACUUGUUGGGGAACUUCAACAAAAUGUGGCCAAUAUGAUUCCAAAUAUUGAGUUUUUAAAUUUAUCCAACAAUGGUUUUGAAGGUAUUCUCCCAUCCUCAAUAGCUUAAAUGAGUUCCUUACAGUCGUUAGAUUUGUCUGCUAAUAGUUUCUUAGGGGAAGUACCAAAACAAUUGCUUGCGGCAAAAUAUUUGUGGCUUCUGAAAUUAUCAAAUAAUAAAUUUCAUGGUGAAAUAUUUUCAAGGGACUUUAACUUGACUCAGUUAGGGUUUUUACAUUUGGACAAUAAUCAGUUUAGGGGAUAUUUCUCCAGAAUCUCUAGGUUAUGGGUGUUGGAUGGGAGAUAGUUUUAAAGGCAAAUUACCACCUGAGAUUUCUCAAUUGUCGGGGAUGAUAUUUCUUGACAUUUUUCAAAACGCUCUUUCAGGAUCUCUUCCUUCUUUGAAGAGCCUGGAGUAUUUAGAGCAUCUACAUUUGCAAGGGAACAUGUUUAUAGGAUUGAUACCCAGAGAUUUUCUCAAUUCCUCAUAUCUAUUGACUUUGGAUAUCAGAGACAACAGGUUAUUUGGAAGUAUUCCCAAUUCAAUCUCUAGACUUUUAGAGCUAAGAGGAAACCUUUUAAGUGGUUUCAUUCCAUAUCGGCUUUGUCAUUUGACUAAAACAAGCUUCAUGGAUCUUUCAAACAACAAUUUUUCUGGGUUAAUUCCCGGAUGCUUUGGUCAUAUCGGAUUUGGAGAUUUCAAAACUAAGCACAAUGUGUAUAUACCGAUGUUAGAUUCGUAUUCAGAAAGCAAUCCUUCUAUAUAUACGGGUUACUUAAUAAAAUAUUUAUUUUUCUCUACUGAACUCCUUGAUGAAGUAGAUGAAGUUGAGUUUGUUACCAAGAAUAGGUAUAGCUCCCACAGAGUAGAUAAAAAUAUUUGUUGGGAAUUUAGAUAUUUUAUAGGACAAUAUACAAGUAUUCUAAUUUAUAAAAACAAUGCAUUUCUUUAGUUUGGUAUAAAAAAAAUAAAAUGAUAGGUAUUGGUAAUUUUUUUUCAAAGUAACAAACGUUUUAUUGUAUUUGUAUUUAAGAACAAUGUCUUUUCUUAUACUAGUUAUUUUAAUUUUCUUUUGACAGAUUUUGCAAGCUUAAGCAAUUUGGAGAUACUAGAUUUGAGUUAUAAUUCCUUAAGUGGGAUUAUUCCAUCAUCUAUAAGAUUGAUGUCUUGUCUCAAGUCUUUAUCGUUGGCCGGAAAUCACCUCAAUGGUUCUUUACAAAAUCAAGGUACAUAUGUUAUGAUUUGUUUGUUUCAUAUAGAUUAGAGAAGAUAAAUAUUGUAAAAAAAAAAAAAGUUGUAGUUAAUGUAAGCUAGAAAUAAGUAUCUUGCCUUAUAAAUUAUAUAAGCAUGUGUUUGUUCUUAAUGAAUCUUUACAACAUUUAGAGUUACCAAUGUUUAUAAUUCAUAAAGACCUCAUUAACGGUGAAUAACAACUAAUUGUAAGUAAUUGUGGAAAAAGUAAGGAAAACAAAAUGAGGGAAAAGCAAGGAAUUAGGAAAUUAUUUUUUUCCCAUAAAAAAAUGCUAAGGAAGAAAAAGGUAAAAGAAAGUUUAAAAAAAGUGUAUUUUUAAAAAAAUUAUUUCUCUUUCCUUUAAUUUUGCUAUGGACAACCAAACAAGAAAAUCAUUUUAUAAUUCCUUUUUAUUUUUUUCAUUCUCUCUCUCUUUUUUUCCCUACUCUAUUUCUUUUCCCUCAAACUUCCUUGGUAGUAAACACAACCUAAGAUAAAUGGGGAAGAAAAUUUUCAGUUUUUAUUUUUAUUUUUUUAGAAUGUUUUCUUACUUUUUAGUAUUUUAUGCAAAUAUAGGAAAAUUAUUUUUUUUUCUUGCUCCUUUUCAGACAUGAAUCACACUUUAAAAGAAAAUUAAUUUUUAAUUAGGAGUUAAGAUAAAUUUAAGGAGAAACAAUGAAUCACGAAUAACAAAAAAUUAAGGAAAUUGAAUUUUUGAAAGUAAGUAUAAUCAAAUUGCUUCAUUUGAUACAAAAUUUGAAUAAAAAUUCUUUCAAUGAAAAAUCAAGGAAAGGAAAAAACAUUUUUGUCUCUAGAUUAUAAUACUUAAUCAUGUAAAAAAUCUCUUAACAUCAUUUAUAUUCAUAUUUCUUUUUGUAGAUUUGAAAAAUUCAACAAUUUGGAAUAAACUUAUUCAAUGAAGAAUAAUUUUUAGAUUUAAAGAUUAUUAUUUAAGAUCAUAAAUAUUACCAUCAUUGUUGAUGUCCAAGAAGAUCAUAUUCAACAAUUUUUUUAAUAUGUUGUUUUUUAUGGUAAUUAAUUGAUGUCUUGUAAUUUUUAAUAUUUAAUGAAAAACAUUAAUUUAAUUCAUCUAAAGCUCUUAAUUCAUGAAGACCUCGUUAAUGUAAUGGUGAGUAAUAGUUGGCUGUAAGUUUGGAGUCAAAGACAUGUUAAGGAGAUGAUUAGUUACAUGUCUUAUUCUCUUUUGUAGGUUUCUGCCAAUUGAAUAAGCUUCAAGAGUUAGAUCUUUCUUACAACUUAUUCCAAGGGAUCCUUCCUCCAUGUUUGAAUAAUUUCACAUCUCUGAGGUUAUUGGAUCUCUCUUCCAACCUCUUUUCCGGAAAUUUUUCUUCCCCUCUGUUACGUAAUCUCACAUCCCUAGAGUACAUAGAUCUCAGUUCCAAUCAGUUUGAGGGUUCAUUCUCUUUCAGCUCUUUUGCUAAUCAUUCCAAGCUUCAAGUGGUCAUACUUGGAAGGGAUAACAACAAAUUUGAGGUAGAAACUGAAUAUCCAGUUGGUUGGGUUCCCCUGUUUCAGUUGAAGAUUCUCUCUCUAUCCAGCUGUAAGCUCACCGGUGACCUUCCUGGUUUUCUUCAAUACCAAUUCAGGUUAGUGGGGGUUGAUAUCUCACAUAAUAACUUGACAGGAAGUUUCCCCUAUUGGUUGCUUGAAAACAAUACGAGACUAGAAUCUCUAGUCUUGAGGAAUAACUCUUUAAUGGGUCAACUACUUCCCUUGGGACCUAAUACUCGUAUCAAUUCAUUGGAUAUCUCACACAAUCAGUUGGAUGGACAACUUCAAGAAAAUGUGGCCCAUAUGAUUCCAAAUAUUAUGUUUCUAAAUUUAUCCAACAAUGGUUUUGAAGGUAUUCUCCCAUCCUCAAUAGCUGAACUAAGAGCCUUAUGGAUUUUGGAUUUGUCUACCAAUAAUUUCUCUGGAGAAGUACCAAAGCAAUUGCUUGCAACAAAAGAUUUGGGGAUUCUGAAAUUAUCAAAUAAUAAAUUUCAUGGUGAAAUAUUUUCAAGGGACUUUAACUUGACUGGGUUAUUGUGUUUGUAUUUGGGCAAUAAUCAGUUCACAGGAACUCUGUCAAAUGUAAUCUCCAGAAGCUCUUGGUUGGAGGUGUUGGAUGUGAGCAACAACUACAUGUCAGGUGAAAUUCCAAGCCAGAUAGGUAACAUGACCGAUUUGACUACACUGGUGUUGGGCAACAAUAAUUUUAAAGGCAAAUUACCACUUGAGAUUUCUCAAUUGCAACGGAUGGAGUUUCUUGACGUUUCUCAAAAUGCUUUUUCAGGAUCUCUUCCUUCUUUGAAGAGCAUGGAGUAUUUAGAGCAUCUACAUUUGCAAGGGAACAUGUUUACAGGAUUAAUACCCAGAGAUUUUCUCAAUUCCUCAAAUCUAUUGACUUUGGAUAUUAGAGAAAACAGGUUAUUUGGAAGUAUUCCCAACUCAAUCUCUGCACUUUUGAAGCUAAGGAUUCUUUUGCUAGGAGGAAACCUUUUAAGUGGUUUUAUUCCAAAUCAUCUUUGUCAUUUGACUGAAAUAAGCUUGAUGGAUCUUUCAAACAACUCUUUUUCAGGGCCAAUUCCCAAAUGCUUUGGCCAUAUCCGAUUUGGGGAAAUGAAAAAGGAGGACAACGUGUUUGGACAGUUCAUUGAAUUUGGGUUUGGAAUGGUUUCUCAUCUUGUAUAUGCAGGUUACUUGGUGAAAUAUUACGGUUCCCCAACUUUAGUAUAUAAUGAAAAAGAUGAAGUUGAGUUUGUCACCAAGAACAGGAGUGACUUCUACAAAGGUGGCAUCCUUGAAUUCAUGUCUGGAUUGGACUUAUCAUGUAACAACUUGACAGGCGAAAUACCUCAUGAACUUGGAAUGCUAAGUUGGAUUCGUGCAUUGAACUUGUCUCACAAUCAAUUGAAUGGCUCCAUUCCAAAGAGUUUCUCUAAUCUUUCUCAAAUAGAGAGCUUAGACCUUUCUUAUAAUAAACUGGGUGGAGAAAUUCCUCUAGAGCUAGUUGAACUCAAUUUUUUAGAGGUGUUUAGUGUGGCUUACAACAACUUCUCUGGUAGAGUUCCAGAUACCAAAGCACAAUUUGGGACAUUUGAUGAAAGGAGCUAUGAAGGUAAUCCUUUCCUUUGUGGGGAACUAUUAAAGAGGAAAUGCAACACAAGUAUUGAGUCACCAUGCACACCAUCACAGUCUUUUGAAAGUGAGGCAAAAUGGUAUGAUGUCAAUCAUGUUGUUUUCUUUGCAAGUUUUACUACUUCAUAUAUCAUGAUCUUGUUAGGAUUUGCUAUCAUCCUUUACAUCAAUCCUUAUUGGCGUCAUAGAUGGUUCAAUUUUAUCGAGGAAUGUAUAUAUUCCUGCUAUUAUUUUGUUUUUGAUAGUCUUUCCAAGUUAUCAGCAUAUUUGUAUAAUUAGAUACUUUUAAUUGGAUGAUAUUUGCAUAAUUAACUACUAUUUGUUUCCCUGGGAUAGAAAGAAAUGGGAUGUAUAAUGCUAUGAGCUGAAACUUACAUACUUUGCUCAAAUUCUAACAUCUUUUGAUUUUAUUUUCAAGUUCCGUUAUUUAUUAUGUAUUGCUUAAUUCAAGAUUUAACCAUAUUACGUUACUCUUAUAAAAGCAAAUUCAAAUUUUUAGGAACUUUUAGCAUUAAAAUAAUUUCAUAGUCAGAUUUUAAAAAAUAAAGAAGAAAGAAAAUAAUAAAUAAUUGGAAAAACAAUUCAAGGAAGUAUUAAAUUAUUAUCUUAGAAUUAUUUGGCGUAGUAUGGGAAUUCAAAAAUAAUCUUUCAAUUUGUUAGAAAUGUUUAUUUAUUUAUUAUAGCAAUGAUUGAAAUAUCAAUCACAAAGUAAUGUUUUCUUUUCUUUUGUAGGGCACUAACACUUUUUCUUUGAUAGUAAUAAUUGAUAAAUAUAUUACACAAUUAUUUGUUUUAAAAAAGGGAGGGAUGACAAACAUAAUAACAUGUGAAAUAUUUCUAAAACUGUAAUGGGAAAUAAGCCAUCUAAUUAGGGUGCAAUAUUAUUCAUUUUAAUUUACAUGAAUUUACUUAUUUUUAUUUGCAUCAUAUUUUGAACUAUUUUAUGAAAUUAAGGGAGAUUAAAACAUCACGAGUUUCUUAUUUUAGUUUAUAUUCUUAAUAAUAAAGCAUGAAAUAUUAUAAAAAAAAAAAUCAUGAAUUUCUUUAAUUCCUUAGGAAACCAAUAUAUAAAAAAUUGAACAUAUUAUUAUUUUAUAUCCUAAAUCUCUAAAUUUGUUCAUUACCUAUUUAUUUUUAUAUUAAAUUUAUUAUUAAUUAUUUAUUUAUAUUAUUAUUUUAUGUUUAAAAUGUUCAUAAAUAAUUAAAAUUAAUAAAUAUAAAAAUAAAAUAUUAAAAAAUUAAAUUAUAAAGAUUUCAUCAAACUGACAUAUUUAAAAAAAAAAAAAAGCUAAAAAAGAUGAGGAUAUUAUAGAGGAGGGGAAAAGGAUAAAAGAAAAUUCAUGUGGUAUGAUAAUAUCACGUGUCAAAGUUAUUUUCUUUAAAAAAUAAUAAUAGUAAUGAUGAACUCAUUUGUCUUAUCAAAGUAAGUUAAAAAAAAAAAAAAAAAAAAAAAAGAAAAGAAAAAGAUGGUAGUUGGCUUAUUUGUUCUUUGAAAAUAAAAAAUCAAAGUUUUAGAAAAAUACAAUUUUCUUUUAAAUGAUGAAUGGUUACAUCAUUUCCCCUUAGCUUAUCUGUUCCUUUAAACUUUAGUUUGAAUAAAAUUAGUUUUAAUUAUUUUCUUUUUGGAAUUAUAUUUAAUCGUAUUAUUAAAAAUAUAAAAAACAUCGUAAUAAUAUUGUCAAUAAGUUUUUUUAUAUAUAUUGAAAAAUAUUUAUAUUUAAAAAUAUUUAAAUUUUGUCAUGGGCUGCCCAUUUCAAAAUGAUAAGAAUAUAAUAACCUAAUUUUUCCAAAUUCCAGGUAAAUAUGCUAAUCUAAAAAAAAAAAAUUAUUAGGUUUUUAUGUGCUGAUUGGGUUUUUUUUAUACCCAGUAUGCUCUCCAAUCUACCACUUAAGCAUCCGACAUGGCUAAAAAUAAAUUUUUAAAAAAAAGAAUAAAAAAGGAAAAAAACGAAAGUGUGUGAUCUCUUUCUUGAGUCUUCACAAUCUGAGACACUGAACCCAAAUCAAAAUUAAUCCUCCAAAUUAAUUUUCACCUCCAACCCAAACCCUAACGACUGCCUCACUUUCUUCUCAAACAUAGCUAUACGAAAAACCCUAGCCUCUGCCUCGUCUUCCUCUUAUCCCGGAAACCCAAAUCCCGUGACCCUAACCCCUUCUCUUUCCGAAAACCCUCCAGAAUCGGAAGAUUCAAGUGAUCGAAUUAAUUCUUCAGAAUUAAUUUUCACCUCGAAGCCGAACCCUAACUGCCUCAUCUUCCUCUCAUUCAUAUCCCAAAAGUAGCUUCAACAGUCAGGCCUGCGGCCAUGAAAGCCGUAGUGAUCGCCACUUCCGGCGAUCCCCAAGUUCUCCAAGUGCAAGAAGUCGAAAACCCUGAAAUUGGAGAUGAUGAAGUUCUAAUUAGAGUGGACGCCGCUGCCAUUAAUCGAGCGGAUACGCUUCAGAGGAAGGGCUUGCACCCUCCCUCAAAGGCGGCAGUCCCUACCCCGCUGGAAUCAUCGAAGCUGUUGGAAAGGUCGUCGUUCGAUGGAAGGUUGGCGAUCAGGUAUUUCAAUUGCCUAAUAUUUUGAUUCCGUUUCUGUUCCUGUAUUUUUCUCGGCUAUCCUUUAUGUGAUUUUGCUUCCUCCUGAGUACAAGUUCAUAAUAUACAUGGUACAUGGUGAAUCUGUAUGACAUUUCAUGGUAUACAGGUGUGUGCUCUUCUUUCUGGUGGAGGGCAUGCUGAAAAAGUGGCUGUUCCAGCUGGGCAAGUUCUCCCUGUCCUAUCUGGUGUUUCUCUGAAGGAUGCUGCUGAGGUUGCAUGUACUGUUUGGUCAACUGUUUUAAUGAUGAGCCGACUGUCUGCAGGAGAAACAUUCCUGGUGAAUUUUUUGUCUUUUUUAUUUUCUGAUGCCUGAUAUAUUUACCAGCACAAAUUUUCCCUGUUGCUGUUUAAUGUGUGUGCAUCAAUAUUGGAUUAGGGAGGUAGAAGAGCCAUGGUUCUAUUACAUCAUCAUAUUCUUAUUUAGAUACAUUGUAUCCCACAAUUUCAUUGCAUCCAAGGCUAUGUUGUUUUUUAUUGCACGGUUUGUCAUGGUAAUUUCUCAACCCUUCUCUGGAAAAUUAUGUUGGAUGGCUGCUAUUAAUUACCCCAAAAGAAGAAAUUUUAUGUUGAAGUAAGAUGAGUAGCACAAAGAGUUACUUGUGGUUGAUCCUAUCAUCAAAUGGGCGAUUGAUGCACAAUCCAAAUGGUAAAUUUUUUUCCCCCUUUAUCCAGAUGGAAUUUUUAUGCAUGGUUGAAUAGUGAAAUGAGGACUGAUAAUAUUUCAGGUUCAUGGGGGUUCAAUUGGAAUUGGUACCAUCUAUUCAAAUAGUGAAAUAUUGAGGAGCAAGGGUAUUUGUUACAGCAGGUUUGCCAUCACUGUUCUACCUCAUCCCACAGAAUGCUUAUCUCAUGGCACCAAUUCCUUUUCUUCACAUGUUUUCAACCAUUUUUUCCACCCAGGAACGAGGAAAAAUUAGCUGUUUGUAAGGAUCAUUGAGCAGAUGUGUGCAUCAAUUACAAGACUGAAAACUUUGUUGCAUGGGUGAAGGAGGAAACAGGAGGGAAAGGUACAUUCUAUUGUAUCUUAACGAUAAUUUCAAUUGAAGGUGGAAUUGCUUUUUAUUUUUUAGUGCACCAAAUCCACUAGUCUGGAAUGUUUGAAAAGAUAAAUAGUCAUCUUCCACUUGAUUCCGAUUGUGAAGAUCUAACCCCAAAAAUGUUGAAUGACAGGUGUUGAUGUUAUACUGGAUAAUAUUGGAGGGGCCUACUUUUGGGGAGACAUCAAUGGUUUAAAUGUUGAUGGAAGGCUUUUUAUUAUUGGUUUUCAGGGUGGAACAGUGGUACAAGUAAAUCUUUCAGGUUUACUUGCAAGGCGCCUUACAGUGCAAGGUACCACUUUCUCUGUAGAAGAUUUUUCUGUAGUUUUGGAGUUGAAUCAAUUUGAUUAAUCUCAUCCAAGUUCAGAACUGAGGUGGAUUCUGGCAAGCCAAGGAAAAACCAAAUUACCAUAAAUUCUUUUUUUUUUUCUGGAUCGUUUUACUUCUUGGAAAUCCUGUUUCUCGAUCUGGUCAGGUAUAUGGAAAUUCCAAGGAAAAUAUGUUUUACAUUUUCCAUAAUUGGAAACACUCAGGAAUUUAAUAUUUUCCUCUGAAAUAGCAAUGGUUUUCUAAUUACGACAUUUGUUUUUCUUGUAUCAUCCCAAAAUAUUUUUUAGGUGUUUGUUCUCUCUUGACACAGCUUUUAAUUGGGUCUGUCUUGCUUUUUGAUAGAUCUCUUGACAAGUUGCUUGUAUAUCAUACUUUCUUUAUUGUUUUCGGAUCAUGAACCUUGCUUCUGUCAGCCCUGUUAUCACUACCCAAACUAGUAAAUUUAUGCACAAAACUCCAUGUGUCAGUAACAGUGGUUAUUUGAUUGUAUUAAAUAAUUUGUAAAUACAGUGGAUAAGUUUGUGCAUAGAUUGAAGGCGAAUGAAAAACGUGCAUAGAUUGAAGGUGUGCUGCUUGAGUUGAUUGUAGUUUGAGCAUGAAAAUUUGAAGAUCCAGAACAGCAAAUGAGGAAUGCCUAUCAAUUUGAAACCAGCAUGGGUGGAUGAAUGGAGAGGUUCUUCACUGAAUUUGUCCAUGAAGCUUUUUAGCACUCUAGGGCAAGGGUCUCCAAGCCUAGCUGUUGAUUGCACAUCCCUCCUGCGCAAUACUAAGAACAGAGUGAAAUGCAAAUGCAGGAAAGGGUGUUUCUUAGCUGUUCAACAACUGACAAUACAUUGGCAUGACAAUUCCCUGGAUCGAAUGCCACAAUGCCCUCUUGGAGUUCCAAAGCUUGUUCACAGGUCAAACGAACUUGAGGGUUUUGGGACAUGAACUCCAAGUUUGGUUGCCAAGAAUCUCCAGGUGGAGGAUCAGCUUCUGACACGUGCACACACCUCUUGGCCAGUUUGUGUUAUUGCAAUUUUUAUUAAAUUGCUAAAAAAUUUAUCGCGAACAAUUUUUUCUUUUUUCUUUUUUCUUUUUUUCUUUUUAAACAAACUGCAAAAAUCCCUUUUUUUUUUAUAUAAAAAAAAAAAAAAUUCUCCAACAAAGUGAUUUUUUUUUGUGGCAUGACUCGGUUUGACCACUAACUCGGUGAACUGGUCUAUCGGCUCAAGUUUGGAUCCCUUAAUUUUGUGGCAAAUUGGGCAUCAAGCCCAACAACCUAACUUCCAUGCGGGCUAUCUACUGGAUCUCACCCAUUGUAACUUGCUCUGGGUGAAUGGCCAUUAUAAACUUCAUUUUAUCCUCAUGUGAUUUUGAUGUGGGAAUGGGAGAGAUGAGGAUUUGACAUUUGGACCUAAGGCUCAAUGGGUUUUAACUCCACUCAGCUACUUUAUGUCUUGUAUUUAAUAUUGCAAACCAAAAUAAUAAUAGACAUGAUUCUUUUCAAAAAAUUUAUAAUGUAAUAUUUUUUAAAAUUAUAAAAUAAUAGGUUAUAUAAAUUUUAAUAUAUAGGUAAAAUUAAUUAAAUUUUAACAAAUAUCUUCACAUUUAGACAUUACAUAUUUUUUAUUUAAUAAAAUUUUAAAAUAUUAAUAUAUCUAAAUAUAAUAUUAAAAAUGAAAAAUAAAAUAGUAAUAAUUUUUAUUUUCUUUAUAUAUUUAAAAUUAUAUAAUUAUUUUUUAUUUUAAUAACAUAUAAAUUGUAUAUUUAUAAUAUUAUUGGUUCAACUGUGAUUCAACCAUCACUCCGAUUAUUCAAUUAUGAAUUAAUAAAUUUUUUAAUUCAAUGAUAGGUUUGAUUAUAAAAAUAUUAUGUUUUUUUUUAUGAAAAGUACUCAAGAAAUAUCAUUAAUCACUAAGAUCACGUGGUUGGAUUAGGUGUAUCCGAAACAUAGGUAUUACUCUCUUCCUUAGUUAGGGCUUAGCUUUUGAAAAUGUAGAUAGGUAAAGUGGAUGGAAAGUCUAUAACUACGUAGAGAUUGAGCUUGGAGGCCAAUCUAGCAAAUGUGGAGAUUAGAAAUAGUUUACCAUCUAGAUAGUCAAGCAUAGCAAUUUACCAAACCCUUACCAACCAUCCAUACUAACCAAUUGUGGUUAAAUGUUUACAAAAAUGUACAUUAAAUCAAAGAGAAAAAAGAUUAAAAACGAACAAGAGAGAAGAAGCACAUCACCUAAUUUUGGUAAUAAAUGAAAUUAAAAUAAAUUCAUAAAUUUUUUAAAUUAAAAUGAAUUUGAACUCUAGAGAUUUGUGUAGAUAUCUUAUUAAAAAACCAAAAAGUUUGUUGCAUAUAUAAUUUCAACAAUGCAUAAAUAAUUACAACAUACGCAAUACAAUAAUAUUACACAACUAUAUUUUCAAAUAUAAUAUAAGAUCAUUAAAGUGAUAAAUUGUAGUUGUAUAAAGUAUUUAUACAAGUAAAGAAGAAAUUAUGAGAUUAAAAUGCUUGUUGGAUUCUAAGUAAAAAAGAAAUGAGAUAUAGAGAUUGUCCCAUCAGACAUAUAGAAUUUCAUAUACAUAAUUUUCCCUUCAAGAAAAUUUAGGGUCAAAUUGAAAAAAUUUCAUUCAUAGAUUUUGGUAAAACCUCUAUCUAGUCCCCGAAGUCUUGUAUACAAAAGGAAAUAACAUUGGUAUGAGGGGUUUGAAUGCUUAAUUUUAGAUUGAAAAUGCUUGAGAUAAUUUUUGAUCGACUUCACAUGUGUUUUUAAUAAACUUGGAACAUUCAAACUUGUAUUUGAAGAAUCUUCAAUUUGAUCUUAAAUAAUGUUGAAACCUUCAAAAUUUGAAUAGAAGAAUCUUUAAGCAUUUGAAUUUUGGUUUAAAGAAUUUUGAAAUUUGAGACUGAAGAAUCUUCAAAUUUGGGCCUGAAGAUCAAAGGCUAAGCUUGAAGAGUUCUUGAAGCUUGAGUGGUAUGUCCGAUUUUGUUUUGUAUUUUAUAAAAACUUUUAGGCUAUGUUUGGUUCCCAGAAAAUUUGAGGGAAAAUGCGAGGGAAAGAAAAUACAAAGGAAAAGUAGAAGGAAAGAAAAAGUGAAGGAAAAUAAAAAAAUAGAUUAAAAGUUGAUAAAUUAUUUUUUUUGUUACUUCAAACUCAUUUUAUUUAUUUUAACUCAUCAAUAUAAAGAUUAAAUAAUUUAAAAAUAUAAAAGUUUUUAAUUAGUUUUAAUUAUAUUUAAUUUUCUUUGAUAUUUUUUAUAAGACAACCAAACAUGAGAAAAUCAUUUUCCUUAGCAUUUUUUUUCUUUCCUUUGUACUUUCCGGGAACCAAACAUAGCCUUAAGUAUACUAUAUUUAUAGGUUUGAAGAGACAUUGAGAUUUUGUAUACAUGUUUGGAGUUUUAAACCUUGAAAUAUUACUCUUUUAUGAAAUUAACAUUUAUAAAAUUUGGAAGAACAUAAUUAGAUAAUAUUCUAAGUUAUUUUUAAUGAAAAUUGAUAAUUACCUUUUAAUUAUCAAAUUCACUAUUUCUAUUUAUUUUUGUAAUAUAUAUUAAUUACUAAAAUCAUUUAUUUCCUUUAUUUAGUUUGAAAGCAAUUAUAUAUCUUUUGUUUGUGUAGAGCUCAUGUGACACGACAAAUUUUAUUUUGUAACUUGCUCUGGAUGAAUGGCCAUUAUAAACUUCAUUUUAUCCUCAUCUGAUUUUGACGUGGGAAUAGGAGAGAUGAGGAUUUGACAUUUGGACCUAAGCCUCAGAGGGUUUUAACUCCACUCAACUACUUUAUGCCUUGUAUUUAAUAUUGCAAACCAAAAUAAUAACAGACAUGAUCCUUUUCAAAAUUUUUAUAUUAAUAGAAGUGUAAAUAAUAUAAGUAAAAAUAAUGUAAUAUUUUUUAAAAUGAUAAAAUAAUAGGUUACAUAAAUUUUAAUAUAUAGGUAAAAUUAAUUAAAUUUUAACAAAUACCUUCACACUUAAACAUUACAUAUCUUUUAUUUAAUAAAAUGUUAAAAUAUUAAUAUAUUUAAAAUUGUAUAAUUAUUUUUAUUUUAAUACUAUAUAAAUUAUAUAUUUAUGAUAUUACUGGUUCAACUAUAAUUCAAUCACUGGUCCAACCAUUGAACCAUGAAUUAGUAAAUUUUUUUAUUCAAUGAUAGGUUUGAUUCUAAAAACAUUAUGGCUAUGUUUGGUCCCAGAAAUUUUUUUUUGAUGGAUAAUGACAAAGAUAUUACCAAUUUGAUAUCACCAAUUGAUAACACAAUUAAAAAAUAAUAUGAAUUUUAACAUAUUUGAAUUCAUUGUAAUCAUAUCCAUGACCUAAUUUUACACAUCCUUAAAUCAUGGUUGAUUUAUGAAACAAAUCUAUACCAUCAAUAGAAAAUAAAUAAAUAAAAUAAUACAAAAAAAAUAUAUAGAUAGUCAAGCAUAGCAAUUUACCAAACCCUUAGCCACCAUCCAUACUAACCUGUUGUUGUUAAAUGUUUACAAAAAUAUACAUUAAAUCAAAGAGUAAAAAGAUUAAAAACGAACAAGAGAGAAGAAAUACAUCACCUAAUUUUUGUAAUAAAUGAAAUUAUAAUAAAUUCAUAAUUUUUUUAAAUUAAAAUAGGAAUUCAAAUACAUGUAACUAUUGUUUUUGUCUUGUAAAUCAUCCAAUUUUUCAAUGAAUUUAAACUCCACAGAUUUGUGUAGAUAUCUUAUUAAAAAAAGCAAAAAGUUUUCACUAAAAUCAUAAAAUUUAGAUUAGAAAUGAUUUACUAUAUUAGUUCAAAAUUCACCUCCACAAAAAUUGAAAUAAAUUAAUUAUCUUCAAUUCAAAUAAAAUUUCUCCAAUUAAAUUUCCAAAUAUGUGCCUUAAUACCUAUAAUGGAAUUAGUAAUUUUAAUUAAAAUAAAAAUAAAAAUAAGGAUUUGAUCUUUUUCUUACCAUUUGAUGAAAAUUAUAAAAUAUAUUAAAAUGACAAGUGAUCAGACAUUUGAAAUUUGCAUCAUUUCUACCAUUGCAAACACCACCAACCCCAUAUUUCCCAUUUUUCUACCUACUGCCAAUUCACUCAUCUCUCUGGGAAGAUUUUUGAGGUUAUCGUCAUGCUUGAGAUAAUCCAGAAAGUUGAGCGGCAUCACUCUCUGAAAGGUGCCUUACAGCAUGGGUAAUGUAUGGGAUACAUCUGAUAACUUGCCAUAUCCAUAAACCACUAUAUUAAACCAUGGUUCAUAUCCCCAACGUUACACGAGAAUCUGUACUCAUCCCAAGCAGCUUGGAGAUCAUAAAAUUAGGUUUUGAGGGCCUCCCGAGACAUGCACAGCUUCACCCUUUGUGCAUUCCUUUGAUUUGGAAAAUUUCUUCUUUAGAAUUCCCCAUUAUCAUGCCCUGAACCAAGACAUAUCAUGAUUGGAUGGGCCCCUUCACCAAUUUCACAAUAUCCAAUAGCAUAUCAUUUACUUCCCUUUUGUCAAUGGGAAUUACCAUUUUGCAUGGGAAGCACCAACGGAGAUGGAGGUUUUCAAAUUGGAUCACUAGCAAAGAAACCCACCGCAACUAUCUGAAUAAUUGAGCACAACAUCGGCUUUAGAGAACUCCUCCUGAAGGCGAAAUCGUCAUCUUGGCUAAACGUAGUCAUAGUUGGGUUGUGAGAAAUGGAGAUGAAUCAUAGAAGGCUUUCAGUUUCAUAGCAACGAAAAGGUAAAUGUACUCUAGAGAAGUUUUGACCUUGGGAGAAGCGCUUUUGAAUCCAAGUCAAGGUCUGUUCUGGAUCCCUUUUCGACUCUCUCUAUUAAAGGAAGAUAAUCUGCCUAGGAUUUGGAUGCAAGCUUGCAAGGCCAUGUUUAGGAGACUUAUGCAAAAUAUUUAUCCAUAGCUCCCCGCCUGAAACAUCUACAUAAAGCGUCUUCCAAGUGUGAACCAUUGUCUUGGGUCCUUGAGAUGAACAAAAACUGAGACAUAUCGUGAGUUAGAUGCAUUGCCUGAAAAUGCCGAGCAGUAGUAUGGCCUUCUUUCUGAUCAACUGUUUUGUCAAAUUCUAGAGCUCUCAUUCCAAAUCCAUCAGUUUUCUCAAAUGAUUGGCUAGUGGAGAUCCAUGGAUAUAACAUAUGAAAUGUGCACAAUAAAAGUAAUCAAACGGUUGGUUGGUUUGGCUGAAUCCCACAAUCGCAAAGACUAAUCAUAUGAAACUGUUACCAGCUGAGUUGAAUUUGGCCUAAAAAGGAUAUCCGUUACUACAAACUAGCGUUCUUUCAUGGUGCUCUCUCUUUGCAGGCUAUCCAUGUUCCAAAGAAAAACUCUCUUGUCAUGUCUGGCACUAGGCACUGAUUAGAGUGUGGGACGUUCAUUCUCCAUUAUCACCAAACACAUGCAGGAUAUAUAUAUAUCAAUUCAUUCAAAAUAUGCCUUUAUUUUAUGGAACAUAACCGAAUCCAUUUUGUUUGUGUUGAAGAGGUAUAGAUCUUCUAAGGCUGUGGAGGGCACCACCUUUUCUCAGAAUUCUCUCUGACGAUGGGAAGCCGAAGAGAACGGGUUUUGUUUUUAUUUUGAAAACGUUGUUAUCAUUAAAGAACAAACACUAUUCUUUGGAUUUAUACCCUCUUGCCUUAGGGACCAUACUGUUUGGCUAUUGGGCCUCACGAGUCUUAGGCCCAUCAUCUAAGGCCCAUGAUGGCACUGGGCUCUACACAUAAGGUGACCCAUACUCUGGAACGAAUAGAAAUCAUAUGUAUAUAUAUGGAUAGCUAAAUCCUGAACAAUGGUUAAUAUGAUGUCGGUCCACAUUUAUUCUAUCAAUCUCCCACUUGGACCACAUAUAUUACAAAACAAUGUUCAUGAUAGUACUUUAUUGAGCUCAUCUUUGCUAUCCUAUCUUAAUAUCCUUAAACAAUCCGGUCUACUAGUUAUGCUAACAUAGGAUCAAAGUGGCCUUCAUUAAUCAUAAUUAUAACUAGACCCAUCAAUGAUCACAACAUUAACAAAAUUAGCAACAUAGAUCAAGUAUGGAUGUGUAGCAUGGAAAUUACAUAAAAUGUGAUCUUUAUUAUGUCUAUUUCCAAUUGGUCCUACUUUAUGACUAAAAAAUAGUCAAAUUCCACUUUCAACACUUGAUGCUAAACUGCUUUUAAAAGUCAUCAUUUCAAUUCAGAGAAUUCAAAUACAAUAGUCUUUAAAAUCAAGGUUUGUACAGAUAACACAAUAUAACAUCAUAUCAAGAAAACAAACACAAAAUCUAAAUACAAACUCCCACUAUACUGGAACAUCAUCAAUAUGUACAACACCCAUAUGUGUGACAUGAUCAUGAUAUACUUUGGGUGGCAAACCCUUAGUGAGCGGAUCCGCAAUCAUGAAGUUUGUGCUUGUAUGUUCAAUCGAUACUUGAAGACUCUAAACUCUUUCUUUCACAACCAAGAACUUGAUGUUAAUGUGUUUGGACUUUGACGAACUUCGGUUGUUCUUAGAAUUACAAUUCUGUGGCUUUAUUAUCACAAUUUAUUCUUAAUGGUUUCUCAAUCUCAUCAACGAUUCGCAACUGAGUGACAAAAUUCCGUAGCCAUAUCCCAUGGUUUGAUGCUUUGUAGUAGGCUAUGAAUUCUGCCUCCAUGGUGAAAGAAGCAAUAAGUAUUUGUUUAACACUUUUCCAUGAAACUGUUCAUCCAACCAACAUGAAGAUGUAGCUUGAAGUGGAUCUCUUGCUGUCAAGACAUCCCACGAAAUCGGAGUCCGAAUAUCCCAUGAUCUCUAAAUGACUGGAUCUACGGUAUGUGAGCAUAUAAUCUUUAGUUCUUUGUAAAUACUGCAUAACCUAUUUUGCCUUUUUCCAGUGAUCCAUACCUGGGUUACUCAAAUAUUUGCCUAACAUUCCAAUAAUGUACGUAAUAUCUGGAUGCGUACAAACUUGUGCAUACAUGAGACUUCCUAUUGUUGAGGCAUAGGGAAACCUCUUCAUAUCCUUCUUUUUAAGUUCAUUUUUCGGACAUUGGUGCAAACUAAAUUUAUCGCCUUUUGCUACAGGCAUGUCUCCUGGUGUACAAUUGCUCAUGCCAAAUCUACUUAACACCUUAUCGAUGUAGGCCUUUUGUGAUAACCCAAGUAUACCUCUUGAACGAUCCUUAUAGAUCUGUAUACCCAGCAAAAAAGAUGCAUUACCUAGAUCCUUCAUGUCAAAUUUACUAGACAAAAAUCGCUUUGUUUCAUGCAAAAGUCCCACAUCACUACUUGCAAGUAGAAUAUCAUCAACAUAUAGCACCAAGAUAAUGAAUUUGCUCUCACUAAACUUGAGAUAUAUGCAUUGAUCAAUGGUGUUUUCCUUAAAACCAAAUGAAGUAAUCACCUGAUCAAACUUUUGGUACCAUUGUCAAGAUGCUUGCUUUAAACCAUAUAUGGACCUUUUUAAUCUGCAUACAAGUUGCUUUGAAUCAUUAGACUCAAAGUUCUCCGGUUGCAUCAUGAAUAUUGUUUCAUCAAUGUUACUAUUAAGAAACGUAGUUUUAACGUCCAUUUGAUGCAGCUCUAAAUCAUAAUGAGCCACAAGUGCCAUGAUGAUUCUAAAGGAGUCAUUUGACGAAACCGGUGAAAAGGUCUCCUUAUAAUCAAUGCCUUCCUUUUGAGUGAAACCUUUUGCGACUAGACGUGCCUUAUACCUAACAAUGUUGCCUUUUGAAUCCCACUUGGUCUUAAAAAUCCAUUUACAACCAAUCGGUUUUACACUUUCAGGCAACUUUACUAGGUCCCAAACACCAUUGUCUUUCAUUGAUUUCAUCUCAUCCUUUAUGACUUCUAUCCACUUUUCAGAGUCAGAACUUUGUUUGAAUUGACUAACUGAAAUUGGAUCGUCUUCCAAACCCAUGUCAAACUCUUGUUCCUGGAGAUGUACAACAUAAUCAUCUGAAAUUGUACUUCUCAUUUCUCUAGUGGAUCUCCUUAGUGGCACUUGUAUUUGAGGUUCUUGAGGCUGUUGAGUUACCUCUUCAUAAACUUGAAUCGGUUCCAUAACUUGAGCAGGAGGAAUCUCAGGUGUGUUUUGAAUCUCUGUUAUUGACUGCACAUUCUGGAUAGUGUCAUCAAACAUAAUAUGACCAUGUCCAGUUGUAAUAAUAGGAACACUAACAGAUUACUCUUCAAAUACCACAUUUCUUAACGGUUCUCUCCCAUUUAACUCAACAUCCUCAAUAAAUUUAGCUUUGCCCGUUUCAAAAAAGGAUCUAGUUGAGGGGUCAUAAAACUUGAAACCUCUCAACCUUUUAGAAUAUCCUACAAAGUAGCAGCUCACUGUUCUGGAGUCCAAUUUCUUUUCAUUUGGUUUUUAAGGCCUAGCUUUAGUUGGACAACCCCAGACAUGCAAGUGCCUAAUACUAGGUUUCUUGCUAGUUCAUAACUCAUAUGAGGUUUUGGCUACUGCUUUGCUUGAGACUCUAUUCAAAAUAUAAAUUGUUGUUUUGAUGGCUUCGCCCCAAAGUGAUUCUGGUAAGGUGGAAUGACUGAUCAUACUUCUUACCAUAUCCUUAAGAGUACGGUUUCGCCUAUCUGCUACACCAUUUUGGCUUGGAGUCCCCAGCAUAGUGUAUUGAGGAACGAUACCACACUCCAUCAAAUAUUUGGCGAACGACCCUAGACGUUGUUCAUUGGAUCCGUCAUAUCUGCCAUAAUAUUCACCUCCACGGUCAGAUCUGACGACCUUUAUUUUCUUGCUUAGUUGGUUCUCAACUUUAGCUUUGAAAUUCUUGAACACAUCUAAUGAUUGAGACUUCUCAUGAAUCAAAUAAAGAUAGCCAUAGCGCGAGUAAUCGUCAAUGAAAGUGAUAAAAUAUUGUUGUCCAUUCCAAGAAGGGGUAGGAAAUGGACCACAAAUGUCCGUAUGUAUCAAUUCAAAGACGUCACUGCACUUGUUAGCAUCAUUUUUUUCUCAUAUUUGUUUGUUUACCCUUAAUACACUCUAUACAGACUCGAAAGUCUAUGAAAUUAAGUGGAUCAAGAAUUCAUUCUGACACAAGCCUUUGAAUACGUUGAUUUGAAAUAUGACCCAAACGCCUGUGCCAUAACAUCGAUGAAUUCUCAUUUGUUAAUUUCCGUUUAAUGUCAUAAUUACUUGAAUUCAAGGUUUCAUUUCCAUUAGUGGUCUUUAUAUUUAAUUUGUAUAAUUUGUCUAUUAGACUACCUGUACCAAUAACAUUUGAAUUUAGAUAAAGACUAACCAUUCCAUUUCUAAAUGAACAAUAAUAUCCAAAUUUGUCUAGACAUAAAACAGAAAUUAAAUUCCGUCUAAACGACGAUACUACAAAAGUCUCUUCCAAAUCCAAAGUACAUCCAGAGUCUAACUGUAAUCUAAAAAGACCAAUAGUCUUGACUGCAACCUUGUUGCCAUUUCCCACAUAGAUGUAUUUUUCACCAUCAGUUGGCAUUCGACUCCUUAGGCAACCCUACAUCGUGACACUUAUGUGAGUAGUUGCACCCGUAUCUAUCCACCAAGUGUCAGUAGGCACUACGACUAAAUUAAUUUAUGAACAAACAAAGUUGAGAAGUGUACCUUUCUUUUCACGCCAAGCGGCGUAUUUGGUACAUGUCUUCUUCAUAUGACCAACCUUCUUGCAAAAGAAACAAGUCAUCUCCUUAUCUUGUUUCUUCUGCACCUUUUGCAUUGAUGUCCUAAAAAUUGCAUUUUGUUUUUCUUUAUUGUCCUUCUUUCUUUUCUUUUUGGUACCAAAUCCCUGAGAUGUGGAAGCCAAGUGAGAACUUUCUAUCUUUUCUUGUUUCAAUCUCUCAUCCUCUUGUGCACAUUGAGCAAUAAGCUCAUUCAAAGUCCAUUUUUCCUUUUGUGUUGUAACUAAUUUUGAAUGGACUGAAUUGUGUAGGCAGAGAGAUUAAGACCAAGUGCACAAGUAUGUCUUCCGAAAACUCUAACUUUAGUGCCUUUAGUCUAGUCACAAGAUUAGACAUUUCCAUAAUAUACUCCCUUAUAUUCUCUUUCCCUUUGUAUCGCAUAGAGACAAGCUUACUAAGAAUAGUGCUUGUCUCAACCUUUUCAUUUGAAGCGAAUCGGUUUGCUAUCUGGUCUAAGAAUGCCUUGGCUUGAGUUUUCUCAGGUAUUGGACUCCUUAUAGCUUUUGGAAUUGAGUACUUCGUUAUCAUUAGACUCAUGCGAUUGGAUCGCUCCCAUUUUUCCAUAGUAGACCUUUGCUCAGUAGUGCUGGCACUAGUAAGAUCUGGAGGGCGAUCCUCUCUUAAUGCAUAGUCUAAAUCCAUGCACCCGAGCACAAUUAUAACGUGCUCCUUCCAUUUCUUGAAGUUUGUGUCAUUAAGCGCAGGAAUGUUAUUAACAUUUGUAGAUAUAGAAUAUGUUAAAUUCAUAAUAAUAAAGCUCACAAUCAAUCACAUAAACAUCAUACAUACAUGAAAAAUAACAUCAUACAAGAUACUUAGCACAAAUAUUAAUAUUUUGUCUUUGGACAAUAAAUAUUAACUUGUAAUUGGUAUCCUUAUACAAAAUUAAUUCAUAAAUAUUGACAAUAAAACCAAAAACAAUAUGUUUGUCUUUAGACUAAUAUGUCGAAUGCAAGAUAAACUUUAUAUGUCACAUAUUUAUGACUACUUUAUUUAUUAUUAUAUUAAAAUAAUCUUCCUUUGGGCCGAUUAUUUUAAAUAAUAAUAAUAACAUGUUUAGAUAUUAUAAAAUAAAUAAAUUAUAUAAUAUAAGUUACUUUGGCAACUAACAUACAUAAUUCAUUUAUUUUAAAAUAUUAAACACAAACAUAACAAGAAAUAAUAAAUUCAAUUAAAAUUAUUUAUUUAUUUAUGCAUAAUAUAUAUAUAUAUAUAUAUAUAUAUAUAUAUAUAUAUUAAUUGAAGCAUAAAAAACCAUCUACAUGUGUAUAUAUAUCAAUUGAAGCAUAUAUACAAGCAUUAGUCUAAUGGUUUAAGCAAAAAAUAGGCCAUGGUAAAGGGUUUAAGCCAACCCGCCCCUUUAGUUUGGUUUUUGUUUUUUUUUUUUUUUUUUUUAAUUUCUUUUGGGCUACUGACCAUGCAUUCUCUCAUGGCCCAACGAAUAUAUAUAUAUAUUUGUUUUAAAAAAAUUUUGUCCAUUGCAGCCCAAAGCGACCAUCCCUUGUAAUGGCAUCAUCAACGGUGCCAGAGCUGUCCUCGAACGACACCGACAGUGAAACGCCGCCACCAUCACCGGAACGGUGAUUUCCCAUCGCCAAACGACGGUGUCACUACCAGAAUGACGUUGUAACGGCAUCGCUGGGAAGCAGCCUAACCUGUGGCGUGACACCAUGACAAGCAAUGCCGCUAGCAGUGAAACGUUGUCGCCAUCACCAGAAUGGUGAUUUUCCAUCGCCAAACGAUGGCGCCACCAUCGAAACAACGCUGAAACGACGUCACUGGGAAGCAACCCUACCCGCGGCACCAAAAUGGCACUUGGAUGACAUUUGGAACUCUUGCAACAACGCUCAAAUCAGCGAUUCUCACUGGCAAAUGACGCUUGAACGACGUCUGGAAAUAAUGCCUACAACGCCUAAAAAUUGUGCUCUUUUGAACGCCUGAAACAACGUUGAAAUGACGUCUACCGGCGUCUGGAAUUGCACCGCUGUCUAGAACGAUGCCAUGAUGGUGUCUCACUCACCUUAAAUGGCACCAACCACCGUGACUUGCAUCCCCAAAAAUGGCACUUGAACAGCGCCUGAAGCGUGCCUGGAACGACGCUGCAAACGAUGCUUGAAAUGGUGCAUUUUGUAUGCUUGAAAAUGGCACAGGAAUGACGCCUACACUACGUCCAUUUUGAAUGCCUGAACGGUGUCCUAACGGCGCCUGAAUGACGCCUGGAAUUGGCCCAGAUUUAUUUUAUGUUGUUUCCUUCCUCUUGGAUCUUUUGUUUGUGUUUUAAAAAAAAAGUGUUUUGGUGAAAAUGGGAAAUGCAACCAGGCUCUGAUACCAUUUUGUGGGACGUUCAUUCUCCAUUAUCAUCGAACACAUGCAGGAUAUAUUUAUAUAUAUAUAUAUAUAUCAAUUCAUUCAAAAUAUGCCUUCAUUUUAUGGAACAUACCCGAAUCCAUUUUGUUUGUGUUGAAGAGGUAUAAAUCUUCUAAGGCUAUGGGGGGUACCACAUUUUCUUAGAAUUCUCUAUGACGAUGGGAAGCCAGAGAGAACAAGUUCUAUUUUUAUUUUGAAAACGUUGUUAUCCUUAAAUAACAAACACUAUUAUUUGGAUUUAUACUCUCCUACCUUAGGGACCAUACCCUUUGGCUAUUGGGCCUUACGAGUCUUAGGCCCAUCAUCUAAGGCUCGUGAUGGCACUAGGCUCUACACAUAAGGUGGCCCAUACUCUGGAACGAAUAGAAAUCAUAUGUGUAUAUAUGGAUAGCUAAAUCUUGAACAAUGGUUAAUAUGAUGUCAGUUCACAUUUAUUAUAUCAUAGAGACUUCCCAUAUGAAGAAAAUUGACAGUAGGUAGCUUUGCCAUUCUUGUCCGUAUACAACCAACCUUAGCAAGGGUUGAACCCUUUUAUGCUUAGUUGUGCCAUACAAAUCCUUACCACCGCCUACAACAUGUAAUCGAAAUGAUUCGAUAAUAUCAUCUAGUGAACCAAUACCUCCAAAUGAGAGACCAUUGCCUUGGUAACUAGGGCUCAUGACUGAGAAUUGCGUGAACCCCUUUGCUUGGGUUGGAGCUUAACUGAUGCACAAAAUAUUCAUAGGCCUCUUCCCAUAACUGGCACCUUGUGUUUGCAACAUAAUUGAACAUGUAUUGAAGUGAGUUUUUUUGCAUCUUUUUGUAAGAAAAUUCUAAACAACAGAGACUGCUUAGUGUGCCCGGCUCCUCGGGAAAUCAAGGUUCAUUCCUGUAGGGCCAGUUUUUUCACAGUCGAACUAGAUAACAUGGAGAGUAUGUUGCAAUGCUUCAACAGGGUAUUUCUUAGGAAAAUCCACCUGAAGUUGGUACAAUUCGUUGGCGUACUGAGUUCCUGGAGCUCUAUUGACUUCAAUCACCCAUCUCUGUAGAUUAUCGAUGACUUAUGCUCGGAUCCUGUAGGAGGAUUGACCUGACAUUCCACUAGCUCUUUCUGGAAGACGAUCUUGUUUAACACCUUGUGAGAAGAGGCAAGGGAACUGGUCAUUGUUUCUUCGAGAAGAUCAGUGGCCGAGGAUGGGUUUGGACCAUAAUUGCUAUAUGGGUUUUCUUUGGGUGAACCAAUUAGUGGAGUGGGUGGCUAUAUAGCAACUGAAGGGUGGUCAUACUAAUGAGGAGCUAUUAUUUCAUGCAUGUGGAGAGGAAAUGAGUAGCUUCUUCAAGGAUAUAUGAUUAUUCAUCUCUAGCUUACGUUGAAUAUCUCCUAACAAAUUUCUGCUUUGAAGCUCCCUUAGUUUCACUACAGCUAACUUGGCCAACUUGGUUUCAUCAUGUUUCCUACAACCUCUAAGCAAAGCACGCCAGAUCACUGAAUCAGGUUCUAUUUGCAUUUUGUCCAUAAACUCCUUUGCCUAUUGACAAUAAACUGCCCCUCAAAAUUUGAUGAGAUAACAUCAAUGCUGACAUGUUGGUCAUCCCCAUAAGCAUCUUUAUAGAGAUUGAUUCUAUGUUUAGAUAUUUCUCUCUCCUCAAGUGAGUUCAACUUUUUUGUAACAUCCUUCUCCUUCUCUACUAAUAGUCUUAGUUGAACAUCCAACCUAUGUUCCCAAAGUGCCAGCAUCUCAUAUCUGAUGACAAGCCAACAACCUUGCCCUUGCUGAGACCCAAAUAAGUAUCCAGAACCAUCAGCAUCAACCCUUUCAUAGGCCUUUGUAUUUGAAGGUCGGAUUGGGAUUGCUUUGAAUGCACUGGCACUACAAUACACAAUUGUAUCUUCUCCAAUAAAAACACCACACAGAGGUGAGGGGACUGGUAUUAGCAAAGAAGUGUUGUUAUCUAUAUUGUUCUGAGCCCGAGUACCCUCAACAAAAUCCUCAUCCUCAUCUGUACUCUUCCAUUACAUCCCUAGGCUUUUCAAUGUGAUCCACAUGGCUUACAGGAAUCCAGAAAUACCAGUCUGUAUAAAUGUUGCUCUUAUGGGGCUCUCCUAGAAAACAUCCCUAUCAAGAUGAUCAACCUAGCUUAGAUGCUCAGCACCCCAAACUUACUAGAAAUAGAGGAAUUAAAAGCAAGGAUAGGAGCCAAAGUAAAAAUUUAGGGAAGAGCAAAUAGGAAAUCAAGCAAAACAUGAAUGUACAGAGCCUCAUUUCAGGUGACAUCUUUGGGCUAAUAAUAGGUGGAAUUAACAAAGUAGACAAGCAUGAUUGUUAUAAAUAUCAAGUUCAAGGAUGAAGCCGUGCAUCAGCUACUUAUAGGGGGAGUCAAGGAAACCAAGAUAAGAUCAAAGAGAGCAUGUAUGCAAAUAAACAGAUUCGAAAAAAUAGACCAAACAACUCGUGAAUAUCCUCCUACAAAAAACUACUACACGUGGCAAAAAGUGAUGAAACAAAAAGAGUCGGGUCCGCAUAUACAUAUCCUAUUCUAUCCUAUUCCUUCAAAUCCAAAGCAACCUGUAUUUUCAAUGGGAUUUGUUGUGAUGAAUUUUACUGGAUUGUAACAUGUAAAUAUGUUAAAAGAGGCUUGGGACAUUCCUAUAUAGUAACGCAUAAAGGUACUUCCAUUGUGAAGUUGUCAAAAUUGCAAAUUUAAAUUACAAAAUUUGAAAACAUAGAGAUGAAAGAUGAUGAAACCUUCUUUGAAAUUUUAUAUUGAACUCAUUAAUAUUAUUAAUUUUCAUUUCAGUGUAGGGGAAAGAAUUCUUUACUCUAAAGUGGUCACAAAAAUAUUAAAAUUCCUUGUUGAGAGAUUUAGACCUAAAGUGAUCAAUAUAGAAGAAAGUAAAAAUAUUCUAAGUGUAGGUAAACUUGUAGACUCAAAUGACUCUACCUUCUCAUAAAAAAUCCUCAAUUUUAUAAAUUAUAUAGAUUUCUUCAUUUGAUACAAAAUUUGAAUAAAGAUUUUUCAAAUGACAACACAAGGAAAGGGAAAAAAAAAAUUCUCUCCAGUUCAUUUCAUUUAAUCACUUAAAUUAUUUAAAAAUAAAAAUGUUUACUGCUAACAUUAUUUAGAUUCAUCUUUCUUUUGAUGGAGGUUAAAAUUCAUAAUUUUGAGGAAAAAGAUGAGGAUUCUCAUUUUUUUUUCCAUGUAUGAAUGGGAUUCUCAUUGUGUAUAUGUGGGUUACUAAAUGGCAAAUUUAGGGGCCAAUAUGAGGAAAAAUAUGAAGUUGAGUUUGUCACCAAGAACAAACAUGACUCCUAUAAAGGUGGCAUCCUUAAUUUCAUGUCUGGAUUAGACUUCUCAUGUAACAACUUAACAGGUGAAAUCUCUCAUGAACUUGGAAUGUUAAGUUUGAUUCAUGCAUUGAACUUGUCUCGCAAUCAACUAAAGGGCUCCAUUUCAAACAGUUUUUGCAAUCUUUCUCAAACAGAGAGCUUAGAUCUUCUUAAUAAUAAACUAAGUGGAGAAAUUCCUCCAAAAUUGGUUAGACUAACUUUUUUAGUGGUGUUCAAUGUGACUCAUAGUAGCAUCUUUGGAAGAGUUUCAGAUAUGAAUGCAUAAUUUGCAAUAUUUGAUGAAAGUAACUAUGAAGAUAAUCCUUUCCUUUGUGGACCACCAUUAAAGAGAAAAUGUAGCAUAAAUGUUAAGCCACCUUACCCACCAUUAGAGUCUUCGGAAAAAAGUGAUGCAAAAUGGUAUAAUAUCGAUCUUGUGGUUUUCUUUGCAAGUUUUACUAUAUCAUAUAUCAUGAUAUCAUUAGGAAUUUCAACCAUUCUUUACAUUAACCCUUAUUGGUGUCAAAGAUGGUUCAAUUUUAUCGAGAAAUAUAUAUACUUUUGCUAUUAUUUUGUUUCCUAUACUCUUUCCAAGUUAUUAACAUAUUUUGAAUAAUUAGAGAUUUUUGUUUUCAAUAAUAUUUACAUAAUUAACUACUAUUGGCUUCCAUGACAUGGAAAGAAAUGCGGUGAAGGCAACAACCACUUUUUUUUCUCCUCUACUAGUGCAUGAUUGAUAUGAGUUAAAACUUGCACCCUUAUCUUUGCUUAAAUUUUCUCAGCUUUUGUUUCAAUUCUUAAUUAUCAUUUCUUUUAUGUGUUGUUUAAUACAAUAUCCUAAACACAUUGCUUUGAAGGUUACUUAUUUAUUAAGCAUGAUAUUUAUUUUUCAUAAAGACAAAUUCAAGUUUUUUAGGAAUUUUUAGAAUUAUUAUAAUUUGGAGUUCACAUUAGAGGAAAAAAGGAAAGAAAAGAAUAGAUGAUUAAAAAAACAAUUUUAGUAAGUAUAAUUUGUCAUCUUCGGUAUAACAAAUGGGAAUUCCAAAAUAAUAUUUCAAUUUGUUAGUCUAUUCCUUAUAGUAUUAAUUGAUAUAUCAAAUAGGAAGUCACGUUUUGAUUUUUUAUUAGCUUCAAUUGCAUGUCACAUAUAUUUUAAAAUCAAGCAUACCUCAGCCGGGAAGUUCUUGUAACAUGCAUGAACAUGAUAUGAUGAAUUGAAUAAUUUUCUUAAUUGUGUGAGACACAAACCCUCUUUGUUUAAUAAUAAUAAUAAUAUACUACACAUUAUUAAAUCAUAUAUGUAUAUUUAUAGUCGUAUAAUAUAUUCAAAAUAUUAAACACAUUACCCUCUUAAAUUUUUAUGAAUGGUGUUUACUUUACAUAACGACAGAUUCAAAUUUUUUUAGAAUUUUUUAAUGUUAAAAUAAUUUGGAGCUUAAUAGGGAAAAAAAAGAAUAAAUAAUUAGAAAAGCAAUUCAAAAAAAAUAAAAUUUAUCCUCUUAAAUUGGUUUUGUGUAAUACUAUAGAAGCCAUUUCUUGAGUUUGAUAUGGUAGAAUUCGGAUUCAUAUUUAUUUUAAAAUAAAGAAUUUCAAGGGUUGGUAGCAUCAAUAGAAUCUUAACAAAUUUGCAAAAAAGUAUUUGGGUAGAUCACAUUUAAAUAUAGCUAACAGAAUAAAAAAUUAAUAUUAUUAGGAAGACAUGAUCAAUUAAAUCUUUUUUCUUAUCUAUGACACCGAUUUUAUAUUUUUACAUAGUCAAUAUAAUUUAUUACAACUUAUAUGUCAUUAAAUUAUACAUGCUUAUAUUAAAUAUAAUAUAAGAUCAUUAAUGGAAUAAUUAUGCAAGUAAUAUAAAUUGUAUAUAAUAUAAAAAAUUUAAACUCCGUCAAACUAAUGGAAUCUAUUAUAAUAAGUAGACUAGACACCAUAUUGGCCCGAGUUGGAGGCCUGGGCCAGAUUUUAAAGGCUGGGCUUUGAGUUGCCCGUGGGCCUGAGCCAAGGCCUUCUCUUGGUAUCAUCAUUUUGAAGAAAUAAAUUGCUGAUACAGAGAAAAAAACUAUACUAAAUAGAAAAAUAAAUAAAAGCAUUGACUAAAAUGAAGGUCAAGGUCCUUGAAAAAUAAUCUUUAAAUUGUUGCAUAUAUAAUUUCAAUAAUGCAUAAAUAAUUGCAAUAUAUAUGAUAUGAUAAAGAAUUUGGAAUUAAAAGAAGAUUGAUCUAUUUUAAAUGUGGUUGGAAUAUUUUUAAAUUUGUGAUGGGAAGUUAGACAGCCAAUUAGGGAUCCAUAUUAUUUAUUUUCAAUUAUAUGAAUUUAUUUACUUUUAUUAAUAUUCUGAAUGCAACAAUAUAAAAUAUGUCAAUUUUCUAAAAUUAAAAAAGUAAUUGCAAAAGAAAAUUUUUAAUUAUUUUUCUGAAAUUGAGUUUAUCAUAACAUUUUUCUUUACAUAAAUUUCUUUUUUAUGUUUAUUUUUUUAAAAAUGAGAUAUGAAAAAAAAAGAUCAAUAUUAGUAAAAGUAAAACCCAAUAUAUAUAAAAAAAAUGAAUAAAUGUUUAUGAAAUAAGAUUUAAAAGUGAGAAGGUAAUAAAUUUUUUCUCUUUUAAUUCCUAUUCAAUACAUUACAAAAAAUAUUUUUGGUUUUUAUGCUAAAAUUUAUUGUUUAUUAAAAAAUUCUAGUAUAUCUAGCUAUCAUAGAAGAGCUCCAAAAUUUUAUUGUUUAAGAGAAUGUGUUGCCACUUUAAAAGAUUUAUAUGCAUACCUUUGGAUAUGUUUAGUUCCCGGUAAAUUUGAAGGAAAAUGUGAAGGAAGAAAAAUAGAGAAGAAAAGUAUAACAAAAUAAAAAGUGAAGGAAAAUGAAAAAUAGAUUUAAAAUUAAUAAAUUAUUUUCAUUGGUUUUUUCAAAUUUAUUUUACUUAUUUUAUUCUAUUAAAUAAAGAUUAACUAAUUUUAAUUAUAUUUGGUUUGAUUUUUAUUAUUUUUCAAAGCAAAACCAAAUAUGAAAAAAAAAACAUUUUUUUUGGUUAUUUUUUUCUUUCCUUAUUACUCUUCGGGACUCAAACAUAGCUUUUAGAUUUGGGGCAUGGAAAAAUAAGAGUAUUGAAUAAGGGUUCUAUAUAUGCCCAUGCCCAUGCCCAUGAUACCAUUGAAAAAAAUGGAGAGAGGGUGAAACCUUUACUAGAUGAUAAAUUAUUCUCUUCAAUGGAAAUCAAAUAUAAUUAUUUUUAUCUUGUAUUAAUUGAAUGUUAUACUCCAUAAACUCAAAAUUAAAAUAAAUAAAAAAUUUAAAAACUAGGACAAUCCCAUUUUUUUUCAAUUUCUUAAAAAGAAAUUAAAUUAUAUUUAUUUAUAUCUAUUUUCAUCCCUACCCAACAAAAUAAAAAAAAUUAACAUUGUGGAACAUGUAUGAGAAAUUCUCACAAUUUUUUUUAAGAAAAAUAAAUUUCUUAUUUUAUAUAUGUUAAAAAUAAAUAUAAUCUUUUAUUUUUUAUAUAUAUAAUCGGGUAAGGUAGAGUGGGACAAAGAAAUAAUCCCCUUCGAUUCCAAUCCGAAAUUUUAAAAUAUAAAAUAAAAAUCUUAAACUCAUCCCUAAUCCAUUUAUUUUUAAUCCUAAACUUGUCUUAUAAGGAAUAAGGCAAAGUAAGUACAUGAAAACACUUUUUUUUAUCAUCAUCUCUACAAGUUCUAAUGUUUAGAUUGCAAUCCAUAUCAAAGAUUUAUAAAGAAAGAACAACGAUGAAUUUCAUAAACAUUUGAAAGCAUAUACAAAGUUUUAAAUAAUAUUGCUUGAGGUGCAAAUAUUAUUUGGCGCACACGUUGAGGGACUUCAACUGGUGUUGUCUAGGUUUUUUACACUAGUAAGUAAUCUUGAAUAUCUAGAGUAACUUGAUCAAAAUCUCUUUAAUUUUAUUUUCUUUGAUGAAUUAGAAUGCUUAUAUAACAUGAUUAAAAAUUUUAAGAAAAAAAAACUAAGAAGAAAGAAAGAAGUACCGAUCUUCCAAAUAUUGCUUCCACUUUAAUAUUUAGAAGGCUCUAAGAAAAGAAUUUUAUUCAUGAAUCACAACCCAAGUCGAAAAUAAAUUGAACCCAUUUUCUAAGUUAAAUUUUGAAUUUUUUACUAGUGAAUGCAAAUUGGGAAAAUGUAUAUAAAUAUAAUUAAACUAGAAUAGUAGGUUAGGUUUGUGUGGUCCCACGAUGACUUGGAAGUUUCAACAAUUCAAGCAGACUCCACCUAUAAACCUAAUAUACUAUUUUAGUUUAAUUAUAUUUAUAUAUGUUUUCCCAAUUUGCAUUCACUAGUAAAAAAUUCAAAGUUGAACUUGAAAAAUGGGUUCAAUUUAUUUUCGAUUUGGGUUGUGAUUCAUGAAUGAAACAAUGAUCAAUGACUUGACUUUUAAGGCCAACUUAGUUAAGUCAUUCCUAACCCCUAUAUUAAUUUGGCCUUAAAAGUCCAGUAAUUGAUAGCUAAAUCCCAACCCAAGUCAAAAAUAAAUUGAACCCAUUUUCUAAGUUCAACUUUGAAAUUUUUUUUAAUUGGAAAAAUGUAUAUAAAUACAAUUAAACUAGAAUAGUAGAUUAGGUUUGUAGGUGGAGUCUGCUUGAAUUUGUGAAACUUCCAAGUCGUCGUGGGUCUAGUGGUCCCAUAGCUCUCUAUUAAUUUCCACCAUCAAUUUUCUGCAAUAAAGUCAAGUCAUUCCUAACCCCUAUAUUAAUUUGGCCUUCAAAGUCCAGUCAUUGAUAGCUACGUUCAUGAAUCCCAACCCAAGUCAAAAAUAAAUUGAAUCCAUUUUCUAAGUUCAACUUUGAAUUUUUUUUAAUUGGAAAAAUGUAUAUAAAUACAAUUAAACUAGAAUAGUAGAUUAGGUUUGUAGGUGGAGUCUGGUUGAAUUUGUGAAACUUCCAAGUCGUCGUGGGUCUGGUGGUCUUAUAGCUCUCUAUUAAUUUCCACCAUCAAUUUUCUGCAAUAAAGUCAAGUCAUUCCUAACCCCUAUAUUAAUUUGGCCUUAAAAGUCCAGUCAUUGAUAGCUACGUUCAUGAAUCCCAACCUAAGUCAAAAAUAAAUUGAACCCAUUUUCCAAGUUCAACUUUGAAUUUUUUUUAAUUGGAAAAAUGUAUAUAAAUACAAUUAAACUAGAAUAGUAGAUUAGGUUUAUAGGUGGAGUCUGCUUGAAUUUGUGAAACUUCCAAGUCGUCGUGGGUCUAGUGGUCCCAUAGCUCUCUAUUAAUUUUCACCAUCAAUUUUCUGCAAUAAAGUCAAGCCAUUCCUAAACCAUAUAUUAAUUUGGCCUUAAAAGUCAAGUCAUUGAUAGUUACGUUCAUGAAUCACAACCCAAGUCUAAAAUAAAUUGAACCCAUUUUCCAAGUUCAACUUUGAUUUUUUUUACUAGUGAAUGCAAAUUGGGAAAACGUAUAUAAAUAUAAUUAUACUAGAAUAGUAUAUUAGGUUUGUAGGUGGAGUAAGCUUGAAUUGUUGAAACUUCCAAGUCAUCAUGGGUCUAAGGGUCCCAUAGCUCUCUAUUAAUUUCCAUCAUCAAUUUUUAUGAAUUCAGAUUUAAAAGUGAGAAGGGAAUAAAUUUUUUCUUUUUCAAUUCAUUACAAAAAAUAUUUUUGGUUUUUAUGCUAAAAUUUAUUGUUUAUUCAAAAAAUUAAAGUAUAAAAAUAUAAAAUAUAUAUCUUGCUAUUAUAGAAGAGCUCCAAAAUUUUCGUGUUUAAGAGAAUAUGUGUUGCCACUUUAGAAGAUUUAUAUACAAAAAGGAUUGAUGUUUCUCCUUUGACUAUGUUUGGUUCCCAAAAAUUUGAGGGAAAGAAAAUAAAAAAAAGGUAGUAAAAAAGAAAAAAUGAAGGAAAAUAAAAAAUAGUUUUAAAGUUAAUAAAUUAUUUUUAUAUGCUAUUUCAAACUUAUUUUACUUAUUUUUUUUCAUUAUAUAAAGAUUAAAUAAUUUUAAAAUGCAUAACUAAUUUUAAUUAUAUUUAAUUUUUCUUUUAUAUUUUUUAGACGGGAUCCAACACAUGUAAAAAUCCUUUUUUUUAGCAUCUUUUUUUCUUUUCUUAUUACUUUCCAAUAACCAAAUAUAACCUUUAGAUUUAGCCUUUAGACUUGGAGUAUGGAAGGAUACUGAGUAUUGAAAGAAGGUUUUGUAUAUGGCCAUGAUACCAUAGAAAAAAUGGGCGACAGAGAAAAAACCUUUAUUAAAUGAUAAAUUAUUUUUUUCAAUGGAAAUCAAAUAUAAUUAUUUUUAAAAAUAAAAAUAAAAAAUAAUAAUUUGUUGUUGCAUUAAGUAUUCUUGCAUUUGGAGAAGCAUGUACUACUUACUACAUAAAUGGAUAUUCAUGGAGUGCAUUCUCUAGAAAGCUCCAGUCUCAUGAAAAUGGAAAGAUGGACCGGCCGGUGAACCGGUUCGAGUUUGGAUUUAUGGGCUGCCUCAGCCUAACACGCAUGAUAGGUUGUUGUAGGUGAAGAACUAACUAAUUAAUUUAAAGCCUUCUUCUAUCCUCUCCUAUUCCUCUAUCACUCCAAAUGUUCCACAUGAUAAUGACAAUUCUUUUGUUAAAUGGUAAAAAAAAAAUUUAACAAUUAAUUUAAAAAAUUUUUAAAAUCUAAAUCCAAUGGAAAUUUGACUGUAAGGUGCGUAGAAGGCCCUAGUGCCCAUGUUGCUAAUUUGAUGAUAGUUAAAUUACCAUUUCGAGAGAUUCCACUCACUAGUAUUCUCAUUUAUAAAAUCAUGAACUUUGGCAUCCUAAUUAAUGUAAUUUAACUUUUUUUUGUUUACAAAUGAAAUAAGAGGCAACAUAUAAACCCAAAAGUUAAUUUUCCUACCAUCUCUAUGCACCAUUUUAGCUUUACUCCAAUAUAUUUUCUAUGAUUAAUUAUUUUCAUUCAAACAAUAAUAUCAAAAUAUUUUAAAAUUAGACAUAUCCACUAAUAUAUCUUCGAUAUAUUAUAUAUAUCUGUAAAAUCGAAACACCAAUAUAUCCGUGAUUAUCGAUAUUUUUAUCGUUGAGGGAUAACAACUAAUCUAGUUUUUGUACCUAUUGAUAUUCCUCAACAUUUAGAUUGAUUUGACCAUUUUUUUUUUAAUUUUAUUUUCUUUGAUGGUUAUAUGAUGAAUUAGAAUAGUCAUAUAACAUUAACAGAUUUAAGCAAAAAUGAUAAAAAAGCUCGCAUUUUUCAAAUAUUGGUUUCAACUUUGAAUAUUUUUAUUGGUAAAUGAAAAUUGUGAAAAACCUACUAAUGCUAAUACUUUUCACCACAUAAUUAAAUAUAAUAAACUAGAAUAGUGAUUCAUUGAUGUCUUAUAAAGCUACAUGCCUUCUUUGACUUGUUAGUUGAUUUUUGUAGGUGGAGUCUGUAGGGACCCCUCCCCCUGAUGACACGUGGCACGCAUUUCUAUCCGGAUUAGCUCCAUCCGGAUUUCCUCCAAGGAGACACGUGGCGCGCUUCCCCUAUCCGGACUCCCUCAGGGAGAAGCACACGACACUCGCAAACAUCACAUCCGGACGACCGCCAUAUCGCAUCCGGACGAUCGACAUAUCCUAUCCGGAUAUGUUUGUCCGGAUCGUUGACUAAAGUAAGCAAGUCUUACUACGUCAUUCCGACAGCCUGCCAUGGCCCACGUUCCACCACCUGCAAAGUGAAAAGACAGGAAUGAUGGCAAGUCACUUCCUACGAUCUCUGACAGCUGUGGCGCCUCUCACGAUCUCUGUCAGCCGCCCGUAGGGUGAUGAUGGCCCUGUCACCACCUAGAGUCAUCAUGACAAGCCAAAAUAUCUCUCUAUCAUUAAAGAGGGAGACAGAGCUUCUGGUACUAUAUAUAUGGACCUUCACACAAAGAGGAAGGUAAGCUUGCUAUACCUAGUAAAAGGCCAACUGAUUUAUCUCUUUAACCAUGGCUGACAAAACCAUCGGAGGGUGUGUCCGGACACCCUGUCCGGACGCCUUUUGCAGGAACGAUUGAACCAGGAAUCUAUAUUGGUUGAGAUCGUGCGUCCAUCCAUUUGGCAACUACGUGGAUCACCAGGGACGCGAGGCCUCAACAUUGGCGCCGUCUGUGGGAAAAUCACUGAUUCAGUCACCGACAAAGAUAGCCACACCUUCCCAAAGCCGCUCGUCCGCUAGGGAAAAGGAAGAUAAUUCUGAAUGGCGCCGAGCCAUUGAAAGAAGACAGUUGGCAAGCUCGUGACAACUGCAAGCUCUCCUCCAGGAGACAGAAUGACUAAGAGAAGAAAACGCGGUACUACGCAUCCAAGCUUCAUCGACGGGGCCUCCCCGUCGUCAGCAUUCAAAAGGCCAGGUAGCAAACUCAAGGCCUGACCCAGAGUCAAUAUACCCUGGGGCAGCAGGAGCAAUACUUGAAACAUGCAACGUUAGGCCACAUGAGCCACACACGCCCAUGCACCGAGCUCCCCAUGAGGAAAGCUCAGACUCUACUCAUUUUUCAGCAAAAAGACAACGCGACAAAAAAUCCCAAUUGUCAAACUCAAUGCGUGCGAGACUAGGCCCACAGGAGCCUGGGAGGCCAAAGCCGCCAGUAGCCAUAACCUGGGCAGUGCACCUUGACCCUAUGGUCACCCCCAUGGUGCAGAGCGUUCUCCCGCACCGUGACCCUAUGGUCACCCCUAUGGUGCAGAACGUUCACCCGCACCUAGCGGUACGACAAGCUGGGAGAAACCUCCCAAAUGAGCCACCCAUUGGCUCCAUUAGCAAAAGGCUGGACGACAUGCUCUCCACGCCUUUUUGCUCUCAUAUCAUUCAUUACGAGCCCCCAAGGGGAUUCCUCGUGCCCAAAUUCUCCACAUACGAUGGGUCCAGCGACCCCUUCGACCAUAUCAUGCAUUAUCGACAGCUCAUGACUCUCGAUAUAGGCAAUGACGCGCAGCUAUGCAAAGUAUUCCCCGCCAACCUACAAGGGCAGGCCCUCUCAUGGUUUCACCGCCUACCUCCCAACUAUGUUGAUAAUUUCAGAGACCUAUCAGAGGCCUUCGUGGGACAAUACUUAUGCUCUGCUCGACAUAAGCAGAACAUCAGCACUCUGCAAAACAUAAAAAUGCAGGAUAACGAAUCCUUAAGGGAGUUCGUGAAGUGGUUUGGUCAUGCCGUACUACAGGUAAAGGCUUACAGCAUGGAUGCUGUCCUGCAGAUCUUCAAGCGAAGUAUUUGUCCAGGCACCCCAUUUUUUGAAUCACUCGCUAAAAAGCCUCCUACGACGAUGGACGACUUGUUCCAGCGUGCGAGCAAAUACUCAAUGCUCGAAGAUGACGUGCGAGCAGCCACCCAGCAAGUCUUGGUUGCCGGACAGGCAUCUAGAAGUGGCACGGAAAGAAGUGCCAAACUUCCGGACAGGCCAAGACAGUCCCAUCAAAGGCAGGAAGGGCCAAGUCGCCCGGAAAGGCCGCCCCUCACACCCCUUUCCAUAUCCUAUGAGAAGCUUCUCCCUAUGAUCUAAGACAUGUCCGACUUCAGGUGGCCUAGACCCAUCGGAACGGACCCAUCCAAAAGGGAUCAUAGUAAAAAAUGUGCCUUCCAUAAAGAGCAUGGUCACACAACGGAGACAUGCAGGUGCCUUCAUUAUUUGGUCGAAAGGCUCAUAAGGGCGGGACAUUUAAAGCAAUACCUCCACUCAGAUACCGGAGGUAGAGAUGCUUCCCGAAAUCACAACUCUGGAGCCCCUAGGGCCCUAGCCGUCCCCAAAGCCGUUAUAAACUAUAUUAACAGAGGCCCAUCUGACGAGGAGUACGACUCCAAACGAAAGAAACAAAAGUUGUUGCGGGCAGCAUCGGUGCGCGAACGUGUCAACUCCAUCCGGCCUGGGAUAACUGGGGGGGCCCUCGCCCCAUAGAUGGGAUAAUCAUUUUCCCACCAGUAGACCCCACCCGGAUAUUGAAGCCGCACCGCGACGCCCUCAUCCUGUCCUUAAAGAUAGGAGACUUCGACGUGAGACGCAUCCUGGUUGACCCAGGUAGCUCGGCCGAUCUUGUGCAAGCAUCGGUCAUUAGCCACAUGGGGCACAAUCUCACAGGCCUCGAAAACCCUGGGCGAAUCUUGUCCGGAUUCAACGGGGCGUCAACUACUUCAUUGGGAGACAUUGUACUGUCGGUCCAAGCUGGCCCAGUCACUCUCAACGUACAAUUUUCGGUGGUACAAGAUUUAUCACCCUUCAAUGUCAUCUUGGGGCGCACAUGGCUGCACUACAUGAAAGUCAUCCCCUCUACAUAUCAUCAAAUGGUAAGCUUCCUUACCAAGGAUGGGCAAAUUGACCUAUACGGCAGCCAGUUAGCCGCUCGCCAAUGCUACCAGAUAGCACGAGAAGCAGGGACCAACCAGGAGGAUGCAUCCCUCCCUGAGUCCAGCCAUGCACGUGACCAAUAGCAAUUAUUGAGUCCGGGGGACAAAGAUCCCCCGGCAGCGGAUCCCUUGCAAGCAAUCCAAAUUUCGGAAGAAGGUACUCACCUUACGAAUAUCAGUUAGAAGAGACCCGGAACAUGCAGAACGCCCUCAGACAAAACCAUGACGUCUUCGCAUGGACACAUUCUGAUAUGAAGGGAAUUCAUCCCUCCAUUACCUCUCAUAGGCUUAACGUCUUGCCAACAGCCAGACCCAUCCGGCAGAGGGUUAGACGUUUUCACCCGGACAGACAAAAAAUUAUCCGGAAUGAGAUUGACAAGUUGCUAGAAGUCGGAUUCAUCAGAGAAGUGCAUUACCCGGACUGGUUGGCAAAUGUAGUGGUGGUACCCAAAAAAGAAGGCAAAUGGCGGGUGUGAGUCGACUAUACCAACCUCAAUAAUGCAUGCCCAAAAGACAGUUUCCCUUUGCCACGGAUGGAUCAAAUUGUGGACUCCACUGCUGGGUAAGGGAUGCUCUCCUUCUUGGACGCCUUCUCUGGAUACCACCAAAUCCCCAUGUCCCCGGCUGAUGAAGAAAAGACAGCCUUCAUAACACCACAUGGUCUCUAUUGCUACAAAGUCAUGCCAUUCAGACUCAAAAACGCUGGUGCCACUUACUAGAGACUGAUGACGAAGAUCUUCAAACCUCUGGUCGGCCGCACAAUAGAGGUAUAUAUUGACGAUAUCGUGGUUAAAAGUAAAACCCGAGAGGAACAUGUCCUCCACUUGCAAGAAGUCUUCCACCUCUUGAGGAAGUAUGGCAUGAAGUUGAAUCCCUCUAAAUGUGCCUUUGGCAUAAGUGGUGACAAAUUCUUGGGAUUUAUGGUUAGCCAAAUGGGGAUAGAGGUCAGCCCGGACCAAGUCAAGGCAGUCAUGGAAACACCACCCCCUAGGAGCAAAAAGGAAUUACAACGCCUCACAGGCAAGCUCGUCGCGCUAGGGCGUUUUAUAGCCCGCUUCACUAAUGAACUGCGACCCUUCUUCUUGGCAAUACGAAAAGAAGGAGCAAACGGAUGGACGAACAACUGUCAAAGCGCUUUUGAAAAAAUUAAACAUUGCCUCAUGCAAUCGCCCAUCCUGAGCAGUCCCCUCCUUGAAGAAAAACUGUAUAUGUAUCUGGCUGUAUCGGAGUGGGCAAUUAGUGAUGUUCUAUUCCGCUGCCCCUUACCCAAGGAGCAGAAACCUAUCUACUACGUCAGCAGAGCAUUGGCAGACGUAGAAACCAGGUAUUCAAAGAUGGAGCUAAUGGCCUUAGCUCUUCGAAGUGCUGCCCAGAAGCUCUGCCCCUACUUCCAAGCCCACCCGGUGGUCAUGCUAACUGACCAGCCCCUUCGCAACAUUCUGCACAAGCCAGACUUAACCGGAAGAAUGCUUCAAUGGGCCAUAGAGUUAAGCGAAUAUGGAAUCGAGUUCCAACCCAGGCUGUCCAUGAAAGGCCAAGUUAUGGCUGACUUCGUGUUGGAAUACUCCCGAAGGCCUAUCCAGCGCAAGGAACCAAGUGAAAAAGAGUGGUGGACUUUGCGGGUCGAUGGAGCCUCACGAUCAUCAGGAUCCGGAGUAGGGCUCCUGCUGCAAUCACCAACAGGAGAACAUCUGGAGCAAGCCAUCUGGAUGGGGUUCCCCGCCUCUAACAAUGAAGCGGAAUAUGAGGCCAUCCUAUCCGGAUUGGACCUCGCCCUGGCUCAUCCGUCUCCAAGCUCCGGGUCUAUAGUGACUCCCAACUCAUGGUAAGACACGUUAAGAAGGAAUACGAAGCUAAGGAUGCGCGCAUGACGUGAUAUCUGACUAAAGUAAGGGACACCUUACAACGGUUCACCGAAUGGACGAUCGAAAAAAUCAAACGAUCUAAAAAUGGACGUGCCGACGCCUUAGCAGGCAUAGUUGCCUCCCUCCCCAUCAAAGAAGCCAUAUUGUUGCCUAUACAUGUGUAAGUCAACCAUUCCGUCGCGGAAACCUCCACUUGCAAUACCAUUGAGGCAAAUCAAGCAGACGACCAAGAGUGGACGGAAGACAUUAUAAGGUACCUCUAGACAGGCACUCUGCCUGAAGAGCCCAAGCAGGUACACAAGCUCCGGGUGCAAGCCGCCCGUUUCACCCUAAUUGGGGGGUACUUGUACAAGCGAUCCUUCACAGGUUCCUAUCUUCGGUGCCUAAACCACUCAGAGGCCCUGUAUGUAUUAGCUGAAUUGCACGAGGGAGUAUGUGGAAUUAUUCUGGAGGUCGAUUUCUGGCACACAGGGCCCAUUCGCAAGGAUAUUACUGGCCCACGAUGAAGAAGGAUGCGGCAGCCUAUGUCAAAAAAUGUGACAAAUGCCAAAGGCAUGCCCCCAUACCACAUGUGCCGUCGGAGACAUUGAAGCCAAUAUCAGGCCCCUGGCCCUUCACGCAGUGGGGCAUGGACAUAGUAGGACCCCUACCACCCCCACCCGCUCAAAAGAAAUUCCUGCUCGUCGCCACGAAUUACUUCAGUAAAUGGGUGGAAGCUGAGGCAUACGCUAGCAUCAAAGACAAAGAUGUCACCAAGUUCAUGUGGAAGAACAUCAUCUGCCGCUUCGGAAUCCCCCAAACCAUUAUAGCCGACAACGGUCCAUAGUUUGAUAGCAUCGCUUUCCAGAAUUUCUGUUCGAAACUAAACAUCCGGAAUUCAUACUCCACACCGCGUUAUCCUCAAAGUAAUGGGCAAGCAGAGGCCACAAACAAGACUCUAAUCACUACCUUAAAGAAAAGGCUCGAGCAAGCCAAAGGAAAGUGGGUGGAAGAGCUACCCGGCGUCUUGUGGGCUUAUCGAACCAUACCCAGAUGUCCGACAGGAAACACUCCCUUCGCCCUCGCAUACGGUAUGGACGCAAUCAUUUCUAUUGAAAUAGGGCUACCCACUAUCCCGGACCGAGGCAGGAAAGCAGGAUGAUGCAAAUGUGGAGUUAAGAAGAAACUUGGACUGGGCAAACGAAGUAAGGGAAACUGCAUCCAUUCGGAUGGCAGAUUAUCAACAAAGGGCAUCCGCUCACUACAAUCGCAAAGCAAGGCCCAGAAGCUUUAAAAAUGAUACGCUGGUCCUUAGAAAGGUUUUCGAAAAUACUGCUGAGAUAGGAGCGGGAAAAUUUCAAGCCAAUUGGGAAAACCCCUAUAUAGUAUCUAAGACAAGUGAAAGUGGAGCCUAUCAUCUGCAGAAGCUAGAUGGAACCCCAUUGCUCCGACCAUGGAAUGUAUCUAAUCUAAAGUAGUAUUACCAAUGAAAGAAAAAUAGAGGUACAAAUAUGAAUAAGUAUGUUUUAUUAAUACUUGUGAAAAAUUGUAUACAAAAGUUCUCCGGACUACAAAAUACAGAGAGAAGAUAGCAGUAAAAAUUACAAAAAGAAAAGCUCUCAUUGGGAAGGCUUGCCACGCAGCUUCUCCUCCUCACCCGGGGGAAUCGAAGGGACGUCCCGUUUGAUACCAAGUUUCUUCAUACAGCAACGGUAGCCGAAGAAGUACAUUUCGUCUACCUACUUCUGGUAGUCUGCUUCAAGUUCCUCCCUUUCCGCAGCAAACUCAGCCUCCAACUCUUCUUUUUGCGCUAAUAAACGCAACUGCAAAUCCUCUCUCUGCUUUUUCUCAAUUGACACCUCUGUUUGGAGUUGCCUCACUUCUCCCGCAGUUGGGCCAUUUCGUCCUCCGCCUCAUGUAGACGGGCGUCUGUAGAUUCCUCCCGACUCUUUGCCUCAGCUAGCUCUACCCGGAGAGCCUCGUUGUCAUCUCGAGCAGCGGAUAAACUGGCUUCGGCCUGCUCUAAUCUCAAGCGCAGUUCCUCUUCACUGUUUAUGCGUUGAGAGACGAAGGCCUUCAUAUAAUCAGCAGUUCGUAGUAGGUCAGAAAAAAGAUCACGUUGUUGAGCCAUGCCGCGGAUACCGCUCACCAGCUGCAGAAAAACCCACAAACAAGAAGUGCAAAAAUUACAACCCAUGUGACAAACACAUCAGAAUGGCAAGAAAAAUCAAGAAGUAAACUAUACCAUUUCCGCUGCUUCAAACAUUUUUGCUGAAGGCACAGCAACAUCUGAGCUGGAUGGAAUCCGUUUCAGCAUCUCUCCCAACUGCGCAUAGCUGAAAGGACUAGCGGAGAUGCAAGCUGCAUCAUCAACGGGACUUCCUCCUGACGAGGCAUUAGGGAGUGACUCCUUUCCCGAGUCCGGGGCCUCAUCAUUCUCGACCGGCUGGGUCUCUCCGAGUGAACCCCCAUCUGGGACCAGCACCGGGGCGGUUGGAUUCUCUUCUGCCAUCUCUGUCUCACUCCCCUCCGGAUGAUCCUCCUGGACGGACGAGCAGCUGACUUCGAUGGUUUCCAAAAAACGAUCUUGAAGCCGCCUGAUGAGGCUAGACUUUAAGUCACGGGCCGGACGAGACCUCCUUGCAGUUGGCCCCUUCACCGGUAUAAAGGCAAGGGAGCUUGGCUCGCAAGGAGGCACACCCUGACUUUCUGCCCUCGUUUCUUCCGUUGGGGGUGCCGUAGGAGGCAAUGCUUCAGUACAAGAGGCCUCGGCUGCAUCCGCGUCCGAAUGGGGAGAGCCGAGCUGAUUUACUGAAGUCGCUUCCUCAGCCAGAAGAGCCAGCCGUCCAGCCGCUGGCACUGAAGGCCCCGAAUGGUUUAGACCCGCGAGACGUCCGGAGCCUCUUGAAACAGAAGGCAAGACGGGGGAAGGGGGGAGAGGGGGGGGGGGGGGGGUGGUCUGGCUCUCUUAUUAUUAUUUCCUUUACGAAAGUUGGAGGUGGUAUUACCACUUCCUUUGGUGGAGUUGGAAGUUUUAUUUAUUUCCCCUUAUUGAGAGCCUUCUUCUUCUUUUUCUUCGCCGGGGCGCCAGCAGGAAGAGAGGGCGCGAAGCGUUUUAUAUCGGGGGCCCUCCGCAAAGUUCCCUCUUGCCUCAUUCCCUCCCGUUCGUCGAGACGUGCUCGGCGUGCCUGGGCAUCUGCCUUGCGCACCUCCUUGUAGAAAGGAAGGUCUUUUAGAACAAAAUGCUCCCCAGGCAUUACCUUCUUUGGCAACUUCCUGGGGAGAAUAUUGAUGACAUACGCCUGGGGCUCUUGGACAACGGCUAGCAAGUUUCGCGUAGUAAGCAGCGUCUCAUGAUGCCUCUCAGCGGCAGUAAUCUCAAAUAACUUGUUCAGUCGAACGAAAGACGUUUUUUCUACCCACUCGACUACGCGACCCCUCUUGUCCGGACCUGCAUUAUCAGCAACCAAAGAUAUUAAGCCAUCUGAUAACCCCAAAGCAAGAAAAGCAACAAGACGAAUGCCGAACAAACCCCGCAAGCUGUCUUACCCGGAAGCACCAACGAAAGGUUUGGGGAGAAUGGCCUCUCCGGAUGCUCCAGUAGCCCAGCCCAGAUACCCCGGACCAACACAUGUCCCUUGGCUCCUCCCUUCGUCGAAUCCGAAAGCUUAGUCACUAGUUGGAGAGAAGGCAGGUGGGAAACCAUGCUAAAAAUGUCAUUUUUCUCCUUCUUAAGGGAGUAGAUGAAAAGAACCUCCAGCAGCGAGAGGUCCAGGUUGAACAACAUGCUCAGAAUGCUGCAUCCCAUCAGCACCCGGACCAUGUUGGGAUGGAUGUAGGCCGGGGGGAUCUGGGUGAAGUGGAGAAAUUCUUUGAAAAGUGAUGGGAGAGGGAACCGGAGCCCAACAUUGAGUUGCUUCUUGGUAAAGCAGAUAGUGUUCUCCUCAGUUUUCUCAGUCGACAUGGCCUCUCCGUCCAUAAGUUCAACGGACACGCCAUUUGGGAUGCAGAAGCGUUCGCGAAACUCCCUCACAUUCAACUUAUCCACGGAUUUCUCAGCAUGAGCAUCUCCGGGUGAGCUGGAUGAAGUAGCUUCCUUGUUCGCAGACAUUUUGUAGGCUGGGGCUGAAAUGGAAUCUGCAUGGAGGAAUGCCAACAGUCAAACACAGCAAUCCGACCCCACAACCUUAACUCUACCCCAAAGAAGAAUCGGUGACCCACAAAAGGCACAAGGGUGCAACAGAAACCCUAAACACACCCAAAACACGAUCAAAACCCCCCGAAAAAAGCCCUAGAAACCAAUACCGAUUCCUAGUCGCAAAGCAACUUGCCCAGCAAGCCAGAAACAACCAACAAAACAAACACAACAAGGAGAAAAAAAAAAUAGAAAACGUACCGAGUGUAAAACUGGAAAAAUGGGAUGAAAUCCGCAGUGCAGUCACCGUCACGAUACGAGUAUUACCGGCAGAAAACCCUAGAGCUUCACUAGAAAGUGAAAAUACGCGGAAGGUAGAAGAGAAAGCACUACCAGAAAAAGCGCAGAAGGAAAAAUGCAAGAGAAAGGCACAGUUUGCUAUUUAUAGAGAGACAGCUCCUCGGUAUCCCAAAUGCUUAGCCGCACCAUCAUUGAAAGGACACGCUGCCUGGGAAAUCCCAGAAUCGGCGGCUCAUCAUAAAUGAUCUUCUUCCUUUUUCGCCCCCGCUCGCCACGUGGCCCAAUAAAGCGAAAAAAGUCAACCUCAGUUUCAAAAAACAAUCAUUUUUUAACCCACCCAUUUUGCCCUGGCAAAAUGGGCAGGUUAAAAGGGGGGCAUUGUAGGGACCUCUCCCCCUGAUGACAUGUGACACACAUUUCUAUCCGAAUUAGCUCCAUCCGGAUUUCCCCCAAGGAGACACGUGGCGCGCUUCCCCUAUCCGGACUCCCUCAGGGAGAAGCACACGACACUUGCAAACCUCACAUCCGGACGACCGCCAUAUCGCAUCCGGACGACCGACAUAUCCUAUCCGAAUAUGUUUGUCCAGAUCGUUGACUAAAGUAAGCAAGUCUUACUACGUCAUUCCGACAGCCUGCCACGGCUCACGUUCCGCCACCUGCAGAGUGAAAAGACAGGAAUGAUGGCAAGUCACUUCCUACGAUCUCUGACAGUUGCGACGCCUCCCACGAUCUCUGUCAGCCGCUCGUAUGGUGAUGAUGGCCCUGUCACCACCUAGAGUCAUCAUGACAAGCCAAAAUAUCUCCCUAUCAUUAAAGAGGGAGAUAGAGCUUCUGGUACUAUAUAUAUGGACCUUCACACAAAGAGGAAGGUAAGCUUGCUAUACCUAGUAAAAGGCCAACUGAUUUAUCUCUCUAACCAUGGUUGACAAAACCAUCGGAGGGUGUGUCCGGACGCCUUUUGCAGGAAUGACUAAACUAGGAAUCUAUAUUGGUUGAGAUUGUGCGUCCAUCUAUUUGGCAACUACGUGGAUCACCAGGGACGCGAGGCCUCAACAUAGUCCAUUUCCAUUUGAAUUGUUGAAACUUCCUAGUCCUUGUGGGUCUAGUGGUCUCUCUAAUAAUUCCCACCAUUAAUUUUUUGUGAUGAAGUGCAGUCAUUGAUAGCUACUAUAUCAAUUUGCUAUUAAAAGUCAAGUCAUUGAUAACUACUAUUCAAUCUUUUUCAAUAUGGAAAUUGGAAUCUCUAGCGCUACUCUUCUCAUCGUUCAUUUUUAGGUAAUGUGAGAAUGUGUGAACAUAAAUGUCUUCUAAUCAACCAAUUUUUUUUUGAAAAAAACAUGUACAAAAUUGCAAAACUUGCAAAAUCAAACUGACUGUAAUCAACCAUCAUAAUUUUGAUGGUUUUGAAGAAUCAAAGGAUGAAUCCUAAAAGGGUAUUUGAUAAAAAAUAAAAAUUAAAAAAAUUAAAAGACAACUACUCCCUUAAGUAUAAUAAGUGUAUUUGGUAGCACAAAUUUCCUACCACUUAUUAUUUUUUUUCUUAAAAAAUCAUUUACUCUAUUAAAUAAACUAACCUUGGCUUAUCACUUAUAGCAAAAUAGGUUAAGUAGUUUUUAAAAUUUUAUAAUAUUAGAUUUACAUUUUUAUCCUUCAAAAUUUCAUUAAUGCUAGAUUCUUCUAUAUGCUUAACUAAUAAAUAAUUUUUAGCAUUUUUCUUUUCUUAUAAACAUAAAAAAAUAAAAAUAUUAUUAACUUAUUGGUAUAUUUUAAAAUUUUAAUUAGAUUUAAGCUUUUAUUUUUUUGGAUUACCAAUUAUACAUAUAAAUCCUUUAUUAUUAUUGUUAUUAUUGAAAGAAAGGGGUUGAAUAGGUAGUCCCUCAAUCCCCAAAUUAAAUUCUUUAUUGCGUACUUUUGGUUUAUUCCUUUACAUGAAUUCCUUGGUGAGAGUAAACAUUUCAUUAAUGGAUAAAUAAAAUUGAUUCCAUAUCACAGGGUAUAAUGUGGAAAAAUCAUCGGUCUCAUGUGUUCCUUAGUGGAUCCUUUGGAGCCCUUAUCAAAGUUUCAUGAUGAAACCAUUGACUUUUGUUUAACCCAAAUGUGCUUUCAAGACAAAUCUUGAAAGAUUUGAGAGAUGGAGGUUCAAGUCUUUUAUGAACGACCAUGUUCUCUUAGGGUUCAUGAAAUUUCACACCUUUUGAUAAAUAAAACUUAUUUAUUUAUACGUCUAAAACCUAGUAUUUAUUUAUUUAAUUAUAGAAAGUUUCUUAGUUUUAAAAACAUUUCAAAAAUCAUUUUUAGAAUCAAAUAACAAUUUUAGAGAUAAACACAAUAUUAAAAUUUAACAAAAACAAAUUUUUGAAUUAAAAACACAAUAUAAACUAAAUUACAAAAUAUAAAGUAAUUUUUAUCCUAAUUUCUUCUUGCAAAACCAAAUAGAACACCUAGAAGGGGAGUGAAUAGGUGAUUUUAAAUUUUUUCAAUAAUGAUUUAUAAGUUAUACCCAAUUCUUUUACCCUGCGAGUUGUUAGGGACUAUCAAUUCUUUCCUUUUGGCAAUUCAAACAAUAUAUCAAAUAAUAAAAAGAUAUAAAUAAUGAGACAUAAAGAUUUUUACAUGGAAAACCCCCCACACUAACCAUGGAGAUAAAAAGCCAUGGAGUCUAAGACCUAUUAAUCUAAAUUCACUAUACGAAAUCAAGUUACACAAAUUUAUUUGGUAGCUUUACCUUAAAGACUUACUCUCCGGUACUGACAACUUGAUUCACGUCCAUGACGUAGCAACCCUCGAUUACUCCAAUGUAUCACUUCAAGCUUACUAAAAGGAUGAAGGCCUUCAAACCAAGAUUCAAAAAUCAAUUCCUUGAAUGAGAGAUUAGGAAUGGUGUGCCACUUUAGGCUUUCUCUCUAAGAUCUCUAAAAUGAUCUCCUCAAUGAAAACCUCUUAAACAAAAUGAGAUAUUUCUCCACAAUCUCUAACCCUUAAGGGGUUAUAAUGAGAUAUUUAUAGGCAACUAAGUUGAAAGUUUCAGUUUUGGAAGGUUUCUCAAUUGAAUUUGUGUGAAAAACUCGGCAGAAUCGACAUGAUCGCUCGAGCCAACACACUUCCCACUUGAGCGUUUUGGGCACUUGAGCGGUAAGGCUCGCUUGAGUUGUCUUAAGCACUUGAGCAUUCUAGGCUACUUGAGCAAUCUUGCUCUAUUUCAAAAGUUAAUUUUAAAUCAUUUUAAGUUCAAAACAAAAUUGAUUCCCUUUAUACCUCAAAGAAGCCUAACUUGCCACAAACCAAACCUUUUUAGAUAUACUUGUGACUUCCUGGUUGGACGAACAACAACUCUUAAUCUUCAAUGGAGAGCAAGUCACUAUCUAAAAAGAUUUAUAUGGUCAAACAUAAAAAAACAAAAAAAUUGCCAACAUAACAACAAGACUCAAUGUCCUAACAAUCUUCCCCUUUGGCAAUUUUGUGACAAAAACAACGUUACAUAAACCCACCUGAACUCUCAUAAUGGAGUUUAAUAAUACACAUUAACGUUCAAUUAAAAAUAAACUAAGGGAAUACUUUAUCUCACUUUGUAGUAUUUGUCUUCCAACCUUGUAACCUACACACAUAUAGAAAACUAUACCAAAGGUAAAACAAUGUGCAGGAUAAGAUAUGAUCAAGAAAGCAAAAUAGGAUAAUUGGAAAUUUUGCUUGAUGCCUUGUGAAAGCAUGAAAAAAGAACAAAUUCAUAUAGUAAUAUCAAGGGACAAAGCAAAACUCGAGAAGAAUAUAUAUGUAUGCAAAUCAACCAAACAUAAUAAAAGCUAAAUAAGAUGCAAUAGAUAAAAAAUAAUGCCUAGGGGUCUAUCUCCAACCAGAAAAUAGGGAGUGAAGAUCAUAGAAAGAACCUUCUGUGACUUAGAAAGAUUCUAGAGAGAUAGUAAAUUCAAACAUAAAUAUCUUGCUGGAAACAUCUAUGUUAUGUAUCUCUCUAAACCUUUUAAGUUAUGCUUUCAUCAGUUGAUUUGGUUUUUCUCCAAUGUCUCAGGUUUAAUUUCCUCUAUUAUUUCAAUUAGAGAAAUUAGUAGUCGAUUGACUUAGUGGGUGUUUGGUAAAACUUAAUACUUAUUAUUUAAUGAUUAACUUUAAGUUAAAUUGUUCUUAAGUUAUUAAUUUAAAAUUUAUUACUUAUUUUGUAUUUAAGUAUUAAGGUUAUUUGUAAAAAUCAACUUAAAAUUUAUUCUAAAUCAUCAAAUUAACACAUUUACCCUUAUUAAUUUUAACUUAUAUUUAUUUUCAUUAAUUUUAAACAAUAAAUUUAUUCAUAAAACAUCUAUAUUUUUGUAGAUACAUAAUAACCAUAAAAUAUUUACUAUAAAAAAUGAGUCAUGGAUGUAGAAUUAUAAUUCUAAAAUAUACACCUAUAAGUGUGGGUAAAUAAGACAAAAAUGAUUUGAGAUUAAGAGUAAAGUUAAUUAUUUUGACUUAAGACUUCAAGUUAAAAAUAACUUUAAGUUGCAAUAUUAAGUUAUUUUAUCAAACAUGCUUAAUUUACUUAACAACUUAAAUUAACUUAUUAAGUUGAUUUAUCAAACACCCCACUAGUAAUAUGUUGAAAAUGAAGAGCAUCCAUAGCAGAUAAUGUAUAUGUAUUUGUGUUUAGAGUAGAAGGGCACUACAACAAUGGACUUGCAUGUGAUUUGGUCGCGAUAUGAUUUUGAUGAGAAUAUUUUAUUGUCUUUAAAAUAUUGUUAUAUGAAAUGCCACACUAUGUUAGUAAAUGAUAGUUAUGUUAGUAGAAAUGAAAGUUUGUUUUAUAAUGCAUUGACCAUCCUAACACAUGCACUUAAUUAUCAUUAGUAGUUAGACAUGUAUUCCCUUUUUUCAAUUUUUUUUCUUCUUUUUAAAUACAUUCUAGUGGUACUUUGCCUUAUGACUUAAUUUUUGUUACACUUACUACUUUUGGUUUUAGUCAUAUUUCAUUUUAUUAGUAUUUUCAUUUUGUGUUACAAUUUUAUUUAGUUUCUCUAUAUUCUCUUUUGGAUGGUGAUUUCACUUCAAAUUUUAAUUCAAAUUAGGCUUAUUGUCCUCUUAGUAAGCCUUUUCUAGGCGAGUUGUUAUAGAAAAUUAAACAAACCUCUCCUAAGGUUGGCCUUGUUACAUAGACUUCUUUUCUAUUUUGAAAUAUUAUAUUGACCUCCCUUGUUAGAUAUUGGUUUUUACGAUUACUAAGAAUAAUGCUUCUUAAUCAUUAUUAACGAUAAUGCAAAAUGAUAUAACUACUCUUAGUUAAAUCAAAUCAUAAUGACAAUAUUUUCAUCUUCUUUUUCCAAUUUUCUUCUUCUUCCUCCAUACAUGCUAAUUUGCAAAAAUUUAUACCCAUUAUUUAAAUGAAAUCUUUUGAAAUAAAUUAAAAUCUUCCUUAUUUGAUAUUAUAGAAACCUAAUUUAAAUAAAAUAUUUUGAAAUAAAUUAGAUAAAAAAAAAACUUGUCAUCAUUCUAACCCAAAUCAAAUUUAAAAGAAUAACUAAAUAUUUCAAGUCUCAUUUUGUCUCAAUAUCACCUUUGCUAAUCAACCUAUCCAAUCUUAGAUCAAACUCAAAUUGCAAUCAAAUUUUGACAAGAAAAAAUCUACUUAAGACUGAAUAAGAAAACUUGUGGAAAGAGUCUUAUCAAGAAGGUGCAUGAAACCCUCAGUUCAAAAACUUCUUCUAAAAUAAAAUUAAAAAAAGAAAAGAAAAGAAAGAUAUUCAAUGUUAAAGGACUUUUAAGAUAAAUCAAAAUUUGAAAAUGAAUGUUAAUACUUGCGAUAGAUUCCACAUUCAUGAACAAAUUACCAUUGCACCACUUAUUUUCAAUUCACACUUUAAUUUACUAUCCAUAGAAACUUUCAUUAAAUUUUCCAUAAAACAAACAAAGAGCCUUAACCCCCAAAUAUUUUAAUUCUUAAAAAUACAUCAUUUCAUCAAUUUUUGAAACCCUCAUUUUAACACAAAUUAUUUUUUUUUACAAAUUAUUAAAAGAAUAAAAAGAAAAUUAAGAAGAGGUUGUCAUUAUUAUUCUUGCAAAGUCACCACAAAAUAAAUUAUAACAAAUAUAGAAAAUAAAAUAAUGUGACGAUGAAGAUGAUGCUUAGAAAGUUAGAAUGAAGAAGAUAGUAUCAUUUAGAUGAUUUAGGUUAAGAUGAGGACUAGAUAAGGAAAGUGACAUCAAUUGCCUAAUUAUUUGGGGUUUUAGACAUACAAAAUGAGGGAGAUGACUAAAAUUAUGGUUUAAUUAUUUUUGGUUAAGGAUUAUUAAGUUAUUUUAAGGAAUUAAUUAAUUAAUUUAUAAUAAAUUUAGAAUUAAUUAAAAGUUAAUUAAAAUAAUUAUUGAUUCAUAGUUUAAUUUAAAACUAAUUUGAAUAAAAGAUGAAAAACUGAAAGUCCAUUAGGGUUUCACCUAGAGAGGGGAGAGGAGGUGGAUGAUUUAAAAAAUUUCAAUAAAGAUCUAUAUGUUAUAUCCAAUUUUAUUUUACCCUGUGAGAUGUUAGGGAUAACCUUUUCUAUCAACCUUAGGCAAUUCAAACAAAAUAUCAAAUAUAAAAGAUAAGAACAAUAAGGCAUGCGAUUUUUAUAUGGAAAAUCCUCACACUAACUGUGACGAUAAAAACCACGAGAUCUAAGACCUAUUAAUCUAAAUGCACUAGAUGAAAUCAAGUUACACAGAUUUACUUGACUGCUUUACCUUAAAGAUUUACUCUCUGGUAAGUACAACUUGAUUCAUGUCCACAACAUAGCAACCCUUGAUUGCUCCAGUGGAUCACUUCAGCUUCCUGGAAGGGAUGAAGGUCUCCAAAAUAAUAUUUAAAGAACAAAUCCUUGAAUGAGAAAUUGAGAAUGGUGUGGCAAUCUAGGUUUUGUCUAUAGGAGACCCUUUUUAGAGAAUAAAGUCUCUCAACAAUCUAUCUCCAAUCUCUUCAAUAUCUCUAACCCUCAAGGGGUUAUAAGGGAGGUAUUUAUAGGCAAAAGUUUGAAAAGUUUUGAUUUUGGAAGGUUUCUCAAUUGAAAUUUUGUGAAAAACUUGGUAGAAUCAACAUGAUUGCUCGAGCCAACUCACCCAUCGCUUGAGCGCCUCAAGCACUUGAGUGGUAUGGCUCACUUGAGCGGUCUUAAGCGCUUGAGUAGUCUUUAGUGCUUGAGCGCUCUAGGCCACUUGAGCAGUCUUGCUCUCUUUCAAAAAUCAAUUUUAAAAUCUUUUUAAGUUCAAAACAAAAUUGAUGCUCUUUAAUACCUCAACAUAGCCUAAUUAACAUAAGUCAAGCCUCUUUAAACAUGUGACUUCUCAAUUGGACAAACAACAACCCUUGAUCUUCAAUGAAGAGUAAGUCACUAACUAGAAAGACUUCUAUGACCAAACAUUACAAAGAACAAAAUUGCCAACAUAUAGGAAGGACUUACUGUCUUAACAAUCUCUCCCUUUGACAAUUUUGUGACAAAAAAUUGUUACAUAAACCCACUUGAACUCUGAUAACGGAGUUUACAUAACACACUUUAAUGCUCAAUUAAAACUAAAUUAAGGGAAAGCUUUGUAUUAAUUUAUAGUACUUAUAUUUCAACCCCGUAACCUACACACAUACAAAAAACUAUACUAAAGGUAAAGUAGUGUGAGGAAUAAAGUAAUGUUGAGAAAACAAAACAGGAUAGUUGGAGGUUUUGCUUGAUGACUUAUGAAAACAUGAAAAUGGAACAGAUUUUUGUAGAGACACUGAGGCACAAAGCAAAGCUUGAGAGGAAUAUAGAUACACACAAAUCAGGAAAACACAAUAGAAGCUUGAUAAGACACAAUAGAUCAAUAAUAAUGCUUAGAAGUCUAUCUCCAACCAGAAAAUGGGUAGUGAAAACCAUGGAAAGAAACUGCUAUGACUUAGAAUAGUUCUAGAGUGAUAAUUAGUUUAAACAUAAAUAUCUUAUAAGAAACAUUUGUGUCAAGUAUCUCUUUAAACCAUCUAAGUUAUGUUUUCAUCGGUUGAUAUGGUUUUCUCCAAUUUCUCAAGUUUAAUUUCCUUUAAUAUUUCAAUAAUUUCCCUUAAUGGAUGAAUGAAUGAAUGAAUUGAAUUAAAGAAUUCAAAAUUUUUAACUCAUAGUAACUUCCCUUAAAUUACAAUCAAUACAAUAAUUCAAAUCAAGUAUACAAAAACAUAAAUAAUAGAACAUUUAUGCAUUAGGUGGCGGUAGAGGGAUAGAGCUUGAAGCAUCGUGAGAAUGGGUACAAGAAAAGAUGUAGUUAAGUUAUCCCUAAAUCUCUCGGAGUUGGAGAUCCUAAGAGUCCAUCUUCUGAUGAAGUCGGGCCAUGGAAUUUAGAGCCUCAUGGGCGUUGGGUCUACAAAAGUAAAAGCCUUGUGUGUAGCUCGGGAAGAACUAACACAACCUCAACUUUAGAGUGAGUCCUCGGAGCAGACUCUAAAUAGUCUGCCUCUAGAAUUCCACCAUGCUCCAUAGCUCGAAGCUCAUCCUCCUAGACAACUACCUUUGCAUGCUGGCCUACAUCAUGUGGUUCAUAAGUUGGAAGAGCCAUCAAACUAUAUACAUGAAUGUAGUGCUUGGGCUAGGAACUCCCAUCUAAAAAGGCAUGGGUAGCCUAGACCCCUAGUGUAGGAUCAAUCUUAAAUCCCACAUCCUCGAGUAUCCGCGUCAUGAGGAGGGUAAAAGGGAAAGUGCCUCCUCUAAAGGAUAAACCACGAAGGGGAAUGAUUGUAUCCAGGAUGACUUAGCCAAUGUCAAAUUGUUGGCUUGAGAGAAUGACGUGAAUAAAGUGAGCAGAUGGUCAAUGGAUUUGGGUGCAGUGUGUAAAUGGGUAGAAGGAGUAAGUGAAGAAUGUGGCAAACAACCAUGUUAGCUUGAAGAAGCCAACAAUCAAGAUAUAAGAAGGAAAGGGGCAAAGACCCCCAUAAAGAGAAGUCAGAAUGGUGUCAAGUUUCUCUCGGGUGAGAGCCUGAACCUCUAGGGAAAAUGAAGAAAUGAGAGCCUCAAUUUGCGACAUGCUAAGGACACAUUGAAUGUAAUGGGAGAAAAUAAGGAAAAAUUGACCAUGCAUGGUCAAUUGAAAGGUGACUCCGACCACAAUAUAAUGCAUGUUCUCAUAGAACAUGUGAACAAGAUGGGGAUAGGAAGUCCCCUAGAGAGAAAACAAAGUCUCCUAACUUUACUCUUGAAUGAUGAUAGGGAAGACAGUGUCCUGAAAAGCUUAGAGGUUAAUGGCAUGCUCAGGCUCGACACAUUGAUAUGUGAAAGAAGCGUAAUAAUGGUCUCGUGCCACCUGGCAGUGAAAACGCUCAACCGAAAGUGCAUCUAGGUUAAAAAGACCCUGGAGUGGGAUGCCCUAGACGGUUUCAGUGACCUAGGAAAGGUCACCUCCCUCUGACAUCUAUGACUAGCCAUAUCUAAGGUAUAUAAUAUGAAAAAACAAAAGCUAAAGAAGAACUAAAGAAAAUCCAAAGAAAAGCUAAACCACUAAAAAUGUUAAACUCAAUGCGUCGAACAAUACUAUACAAAUGGAAAUGAAAAAUAUGAAGUGAACUGACCUCAGAAGACAAAAGGACAGUAACCUAGAGGGCUCGAAGAUGAAUAGGAAAGUUUGAAAUGAAUAUGGCGUGCUGGAUGACCUUUAUAUAGCCUAUAGGAGUGCUUGAUGCAGAUUAGCACUCGAGCGUCAUGACUAACUUAAAUCAAAGUAUUUAUUACUAUCAAAAUAUUUUAAAAGUUUCAAAGGAAGUAUUCAAUUUAGAACCUUUUUAGAAAUUUUUUUGAAAGAAACAAAAAUAAAACGUGAAAUAUUAUGUGUUAAAGGUGUUAGAAGACAAUAUUGUCUAAUCCAAAGCCUUACACAUUCCACAAAAAAAAAAAAGGAAAAAGAGAGAUAUUAUAUAAGAUUUUGAUCACAUCUAAUAGAAACUAAUAUUUAGCAACAUAUCACCAAGCACUAUCUUAUCAGAAAGCUCUAACAUGUUGGAAAUUUAUGUAAGGUUCCAUAACAACUAACAACUUUUUCUGACGACUUGGCAAUGGACCAUUUGCACUUUAACUACAUUAUUGAAUUUAAAUCAUAUUAGAAUAGUAAUUGACUUCUCUUUUGUGAGGCUACAUAUCUUGUAGGAUGGGAUAGGUGAUUCAUUUCAUAUAUGAAAUUUACUUAAUUUAGUAAUGCAUCCAAGUUCAUUAUGAAUAUAAUGGUACCACAACUUUUUGAAUAUUUGUAAUCUGUAAUCUUUGUUUCAACUUCUCAAGUCUAGUCAUUUUAUCGGCAUAACUAGUUUGCUUCAAUUAUCUCUCAACUUUAUUAUAAAACUAAGGGAAAUGAUUAUCACGCAUUUUAUAUUAACUUAACCAAACAUCUUUAUAUAUCUUACAUAUAUAUAUAUAUUGUAAAUUUAGGAAAAUUUCAUCCAUUAGCCAUAGUAAGUAAGAAUCAAAUAUGGGAUAUGUAAGCCAAUGGUGAUAUUGAUGGCGUCAAAUCAAUGACAUAGUAGAAACGUGGAUUGUCUAUUUUCAAACCUUUAUAUUUUCAUCCAAUAGUAAAAAGGUUUAGGCAUCACUUGAAAAGUAGUUUGUUUUUUACCUUGGACUAUGAUUUAUGAAUAAAGUUCUUCUGUUGUAUACCUUUUGUGAUGCCCCAAACCUAAUUUAGGGGUAAAAAUAAUAAUUUAGAAACAAAUAAAUAAAAAUUUAAAUAAAUUUAAUUAAGGUAAAAAUGUAUUUUCGUAUUUAAAAUUCCUAGGGAUCAAUUAUAUAUUUCUUGUCUUCUCUAUUCAAAAAACCCUAUUACACAAAAAUCAAAGAUCAGAGAACAUAGGACAACGUAGGGUUGAAGAUUUGGAGGUUUAGGGUUGAAGAUUAGUUUUCCAGGUAAGAUUCUAACCCUUAAAUUAGUAUUUUAGAUUCGUUAAUUAGUUUGAACACUUUAGAUAUUCUUUGAAAAAUCUGAAUCCACGUUAGGGUUUGUUAAUUUAAUUUUUAAAUAAAAAAGAUUGAAAAUUUAUGAACAUAAGUAGAGUUAUUAUUAAAGAUUGAAAAUUUUUGAAUAUUUGAAUUAAAAAUCUAGAAAAAAAAAAAGAAAAUAAAUUAUAGAUUUGGAUGUGGAAAAAAAUUAAUAUUAAUAAAUAAAUAAAACCUAUGAGUAUGGAGGUAGAAAAAUAUGAAAGUUGAAAGCAAAGAAAAAAAAAAGGAAUAAGGUUUUGUGGUUGUAUAUGCCUCCUUAGUGGAAAAAAAAUACAAGGUUGCUUGCAAUAGGAUAUGAUAAAGAGAGAGAGAUAAAUGCUUCGAUAUUGAUUUUUGUGGGGAAAAAAAGAUUGGGUAAUGCAGGAGAGAAAUAGGUAGCAUUUGUAGAGUUGGUGGAGUUGUUGUAAAAGCUCGUAGGGGUAAUUGUUAGGAAACAUUAGGACUUGAAAUAAUAAUAAUUGCUUCUAGUAAAAGUUUUAAUUUAGUUUAAGUAUAUAAAAGAAAUAGAUGAUUAGAAAAAGAUUUGGAAGGAAUAUGAAUUCAUAAAAUUUCGAAAUUUACUAAUUUAGAUUAUUAUUGUUUUGGAAGUUGAAUAUAAUAUAGGUGAUAAUAUUAUUAAUAUAGGAAAUGAUUAAGAUUCUCAAACCUACAAUUUUAGAUAAAUAGUUAAUAGUAAUAGAUGAUUUUUUAUUUUUUUUAUUUUUUAUUUUUUAUGUUAUGUUAAGUGAAUAAUGGAUUCUUUGAUUAAUUCUCUAAGGUUUCUAAGUGCUUCUUUAAGGUAAGGGAUAUUAAUACUGAUUUUGUAAAUGAAAAUAUUUCUUUUUAUAAGUUAUUUUAAAUUAUGAAAAAUUUUAUUAUUAUUUAUGCAUGGAUCAAAUAUAUAUUUUUUCAUGAGAAACAUGUUUAGGCAAUUUCUUUGUUUAUAAAUAAAUAAAUAAAAAAUGAGAACCUUGGAAAUAUAAUGUUUUGUUUUGUAAGUUUAAAAUAAUGAAAUAAAGUUUUUGACUCUGGUUUAUAUGACCUUAGUUAAUGGGUUAUAAUUGUUGACAUUUUUAGCUCCAAUCAACAAUUAUAAUUGUUGACAUUUUCAGCUCCAAUCAACGAUUAUAAUUGUUGAGAUUUUCAACCCUAGCCAAUGGGUUAUAAUAGUUGACCUUAUAGCCCUAGUCAACAGAUAUAAUUGUCAACCUUUGGUUUUGCCCAUCUUAAAAAGAACAAAUUUAAGGCUAGCCAUUUAUUUGUAAAGUCCCACCUAACUAAGUACCAUUUGUUAUUUAAUAACCAGAGUAAAGAUAUUUUGAAUGUAUUUGAUAUGAAAUUGUUUUGAUAUAAAUAUGAAAAUGUUUGGUUGAAAGUUCAAAUGUUUAAUGCAUGUUGAACUCAAAAGUUUUAUUAAAAUGAUUAUAUGUUAUAUAUCCUAUUUGUAAGCUUGAUCCAUGAAACUGUAUUAAUAUUCCUUAUUGGACUUUGAGCUCAUUCCCCUUUGUUGAGAAUUUUUUUGGUAUUCUCAGUUUGGGCAAGGAGUGAUGACUGGGUUGGGGAAUUUUCUUUGCUAUGAUUUUGGUUCAAUCUUUAUUUUGGACAUUGUUUAGAUGUUAAAAUUUAAUUCCCAUUUAAAUUAUUUGAGUUUGGAGUUAUUUGGACGAUAACACUUUGAUUGAUGUGUUAGUUUUAAAGUUGAGAAUUGAAAAUUAUAGAAUUUAUUUAUCUUACUACUUUGAACAGAAAUUUAGUAAUUGGAGAUCAUCCAGUUACAAGAUGAAUAUUUGUGUCAUUUCCACUUUGAGAGUUCAGACUUGGGGUGUGAAAUGACCGUUAUGCCCUUGGAGUGGGUAUAUUGUUUAUUUGAAUUUAAUGGUCCCCGAACUCCUUAAUUACUCAUAACUUUAUAUCACCUUCUCAAAGUUAAGUUGUUUUACAACUAUUAUCUAGCUACUUUUCUCUACUAUGACAACUUUAUUACAUAGUGAUUAAUUGAAAGAAUCUACAUGUUUUAUUUCAUAGGAUAGUUGAUUUUUUUACUCAAUGAAUCUUGCUUUUAUUAUUGAAAUUUCAAAUCAUUGUAGUCCAACAAUUUCCUAUCCAUUGGUAAUUUCAUAUUACAUUUCCAAAGUCUAAUCAUUUAAAAACACUUGUAGUUAAUAUAUUGGCAAUUGCAUUGUGGGAAGUUGUUCACUUGAUUUUAAUGUUGAAACUUUCAAAUUAUUGUAGUCCAACAAUUCCCUAUCCAUUGGUAAUUUCAUAUCACAUUUUCAAAUUAUAAUCAUUUACAAAUACUUGUAUAUAGUAUAUUUGGUGAUUGUAGAGUGGAAAGUUGAUCGUUUUCAUGAAGACCUCUAAAAUAUAAAUUUUUUUCAUUCCAUUUAAUAAAGAAUUUCAUUAAUUGAACAUAUAUGUUUUUUUUAGCUGGAAAGUAGAGGCCACAUUAUACGAGGCCUUAGGUGACAAUACUAGGUGAGGGUUUUUUUUUUAAUUUAUUUAUUAUGAAAUAUAAAUAAUAUUAUUUAUUGUAUAAUAAAGAUUAUUAUAAUAUAUUUUUUAUAGAUGAAAAAAAUAUUAAUUGAGUUUUAUUUAUUUUUUAAUAAUUGUUUUCAAUAAAUAACUUAUUUGUAAAAAGAAAACUAUAAAAUAUAUGCAUUUGAAAAAUAUUUAAUUUUUAUUUGAUUUAGUAUCAAUUAAUAUUUGUAAUAUUUUUUAAUAUUAUAGAAGUUAACAUACUCAAUCAAGAUAUUCAAGAUCAAGAGAACAUUUGAGAUUGAAUUAAUUUCUUUAUUGUUUAUGUUUUAGAAAAUUUUUAUAUCCAUUACAAAUUUUCUAUUGUUUAUUUUUCAUUCAAUUUUUGCAUUUUGUAAUAGAUAUUAAAACGAAUUUUUUUUCCUAUAUGUUAAAAAAAUAUUUCAAUGUCUUUAAAAAUAAAAUAUUGCAGUAAAAUCAAAAUUACAUUGUGAAACUUUAAGCGAAUGUUUUAUACUUAAGAAGUGCCAAUUAAAGUAAGCAUGCAUCUACAAUUGUAAUUUAGAUGUCAUACUGAAACAAUAGUUCUCUUCGACUAUAUCAUAAAAUUUGGUUCGAAUUACUUUAAGUCAUCUUGUAGAUUUUCAAGUUCUAAUGAUAUGCAUCAAGUAUGUGCAACAUACUUGAUAUAACUAAUAUUUUCUUAAGUAAUUGGACACUUUUUUUCUAUAAAUUUACUUGAUUAUCAAUGAAUACUUUUAUGUAGGGUAUUGAUAUAAUUCGAUAAAUAUUUUAAAAUAGUAUUAGAAUAGCUUUGCUCUUUCCCAAUUAACAAAUUUACCAAAUUAACUUAUAUAUAUUUGUUUAUUUGAAUUUACUGGUAUUUGACUCAAAUUGUUAUUAUUUUUAAAAUUAUAGGAAAACCAUUAUUUAUAGAGUUUAAUUAUAUUUUGGUAAAUUAUCUUUUUAAGUUUGACUAGGAUUAGGAAACUAUUAAUUUAAGAUUAAUCCAUAAGGCUCUAUAAAUUUGCAGUUUUAUAUAGGAUUUAAAAAAAGAAAGAAAAAGUAAGAAAAAGUGAAGAGAGAUAGGCAAAGAGUGCAUUGGGUUUUAGAUAGAGAAAGAUUGAGAGAGUUUUGAUUACUACUAAAAAAGAACAUAUUUUAGAUAGUAAUUCUCAUGAGUUUCGCAUCUUUUGAGCAUUAAUUAUGCCUAAAAAUGCUCAAUUAACAUGUUGUUGCCCUUGCAAAAGUUACUAACAAGUUUUAUAAAGUUUUGGAGUCAUUUCAAGUUAUGAUUUUAAUAAAUUGGUGACGAAAGAAAUGAAUUGAUUUGAAGAAGGCAAAUAAUAUUGAUGAUGAUCAAAUGCAUAAUGAAAUAAGAAAUAUAAUUAGUUUGAUCGGGAUUUGCUGCUAAUUUGGAGGUAGUUAAGGUGGAGUCAAAAGAAGAAAAUGGAAGAAAUGACAAAAAGGAGCUUAAAAACCAAAUGUUGCAGAUUUGUAUGAUCAUGCAAAAAUUUUACAUGACUAUGCGAAAUGGAUUAGAGAAGGAAAAUUGACUAUAGUAUAAGGAGGAUGCUUAAGUUGAUUUCGCAUGAACAUGAGAAAAUUUCGCAUGAACAUGCGAAAAUUUUGAACAAUCAUGCGAAAUGGUCCAGAAAGCUCUCUAAUGUUGUUGUUGCUCCACUAAUUUCGCACCACCAUGCGAAAUCGAUAUUUUCAUGCAAAAUGGCUGAAGCUCAUGUGAAAUCAUGAUUUUGAGGCUAAACUCCAGAUUUGUGAAUUUGGAAGGCUUUAUAAGACCAAUGAGAGGUUGCCAAGUGUUCACUUGACCUUGGCCUAUAAAUAGAAACUUGAAUUUCCCAUGUAAAGAGCUUUGUGAUACUUUUAAUUUUAGAUUUUUCUAGAAACUCUUUUUCUAAAUAGAAUUCUAUAUUUUCUUUAAUUUUCCCUCAUUUUCUCAUUAGCCAAACAUGCCUAGUGAGACCAAAUCUCCAAGUAUGAGUGGCUAAAUUUCGUUUUUCUCAAAGGAAGGAGGAUCUAGAGGCAAGAUCUAUGGUGAAUUAUAGAAAUGAGUUUUAAUUGCAAAUGUAAUUUGAUCCAAUUGAUUGAUUAAUUGAAAUUUGAGGAUUUCUCUCUUCAAAUUGUCUUGAAUGACUAUUACAUUGCAAACUAGGUAGAUUCAUUAAAUUCUUAAAGCUAGAUUUAAUGAGACUGAAUAGUUGCAUUGUAUGAAUCAUUGGAAGAUGAUUUAAGAUGAAUUGAAUAUAUAAUUUAAAUUGAUCUCUUGGAUUAAAUAACCUAAUUUGAAGAGAAAUUAGGUUUAGACUUAAAGGUAAAUCCAAAAUCGGUUUAGAUAAGAAUUUAGGUUUUCAAUAUAACUUGAUGAAAAAUAAAUCUCAACAUCUAUUCACUAUGGAAAUUGUUUUCUAAAAAAUAUUAACUCCGAGAAUUCCUUUUCCUUAUCAAUUUUCUUAUAUUCUACAUUAUAUUGUUCUUUUCAAUUAGAAAUCAUUGUUAUUUUGAUUUUUCAUGAAUUGUCAAAUCAAUUUCACUUGACCACAAUCAUUUCUUUUCCUUCCAUUUAAACCUUAAUUAUCGAGAAUAAUCCAUCCCAAUGGAAGACACCUAAGACCACUAUACUACCGUAGCUUUUGCUAAAAAACCUUUUUGAUCGGGCAAGAGUUACCUUAGCAUAGUUGAAUUAUGUUAUAAUUUUUUUUAUCCAAUAAACAACAAAAAAAUCAAUCGAUCAAGUUUGCAUUGUGUAUUCUUGAAUUUUAUUAAUAAAUUUAAUCCCCCUUUUUGAAGCGAUUACACCAAACCAAGUAAAUAUUUUAUAUACUUCAUUUGCUUUAUUUUUUCUAUUAAGUUUAGGUGUUGCAAUUUUCAAGAGUCAUGGUGAGAAGAUUGUGGGAAAAAUUAUUUUAAGGAUGGAGUCGAACAUAAAAUAUGAAAUUGAGUCCUUUGAUGGAAAUAAUAAUUUUAAUAUUUGAUAAAGUAUUAUUAAAGAUGUUUUGAUACAACAAAGACUUCUCAAAGCAUUACAAGGCAAAAAAACUAGAGAGCAUGACAAAUAAAGAAAUGAAAGAAUUAGAAGCAAGAGUUGUAAGUACUAUUUGUUUAAGUCUUAAAAAUGAAAUACAUUGUUUUGAAUGAAAAAUAUUCUUUCAGGGGUGUCAAUUGCUCUUUUAGAGACCAAAAAUAUUAAGCAAUCAAGUAGUUCAUCUCAUAUUGGACAAACUGUUAUGAUGAAUUCUAAACCACAUCAUCAUAGGAGUAAAUCGAAAGAAAAGUAUCUGAUAGGAGGAUGAUCAUUCCAUUCACAUUUAUGGAGGAAUAUGAAGUAUUAUUACUAUGAAAAAAAAAACAUAUCAGGAGAUAUUGUAAAGAAUUGAUGAAGUACCUAGAAGAAAUGAAAAUUUUUAAAUCCCAAGAGACUUCAAAUUCUACUAAUAUUGUUGAUGAAAAUUUUGAAAUAUUGUAGUAAAUUAAAAGUUACAUUAUGGGACUUUUAGUGAGUGUUUUGUGUUGAAGAAAGGCUAAUUAAAGUAAACAUGCAUCUAAAAUUAUAAUUUAGAUGUUGUACUCAAAUAGUUGCUCUCCUCGAUUAUAUCAUAAAAUUUGGUUUGAAGUAGUCUAAGUCAUCUAAUAAUUUUCUAGUUCCAAUUACAUGCAUCAAACAUGUGUGUUAGGAAGUGUUGCAAAUUACUAAUUAGUAUAGAUCCCUUUUUUUUUUUAAAGAAUAUUGUAUUGAAUAUUUCUAGGUUGAUAUAUUAUUGUAAUAUUAGACUUCCUUAUAGAAUAAGGAAUGUUGUUGAAAAUAUCCCUAUAAAUAUUCUAGUUCAUAAGGGGAAAAAGUUAUGAGAUGAAGAUGGACCCAUAAAGACUAUACAAGGUGGAUAGAGAUGUGAGGAAGAACAGGAGGUACCCGGUGGAGCGAGAGGGCUCGUGGUAAGGUAUAGGUACGAAGAGUGAGGAAACAUGGGAUGUUUUGGGAACCCAAUAGUUAUAUCUAGUUAUAUCAUCUAUAAGUUCUAGUUCUGUCCUUUGCAUUGUUCUCUAUUUUAUAGUGGAAUGAUUCUCUCUUAUCUGUGGAUGUAGGCAUGGUUUUCGAACCACGUUAAAACCUUAUGUACCGUUUGUGUCGAAUUUUUUUAUCUUUAUUUUCUUGAUUAAUGAAGUUUGCAUCAAAGCUUCCGUCAACGGAACAAACUUGUAUCAAAGCUUGGGUUAAAGAUUUCUGGAAGAGUAAAAGAUCACAAAGCACACAAGAUGAAACCAAAAGGAUUUUUUAGUGAAAAUGGAGUCGAUUGCUCUCUUGUGGUGAUAUGAUAUAAAAAGUUUGUCUCAUGGAAAGUUUGAAGAUUGACUUCAUGGAAUUUGGUCCAAAAUGGAGAUUGUUAAUAAGUGUCCCAAAUUCCUAAUUAGUAUAGAUUUUUUUUUUUUUUGUAAAGAAUAUUGUAUAGAAUAUUUCUAGGUUGAUAUAUUAUUGUAAUAUUAGACUUUCUUAUAGAAUAAGGAAGGUUGUUGAAAAUAUCUUUAUAAAUAUUCUAGGUCAUGAGGAAAAAAAGUUAUGAGAUGAAGAUGGGCCUGUAAAAACUAUAUGAGGUGGAUAGAGAUGUGAGGAAGAACGGGAGGUACUCAAUGGAAUGAGAGGGCUCGUGGUAGGGUAUGGAUACAAAGAGUGGGGAAAUAUGGGAUGUUUUGGGAACCUAAUAGUUGUAUCUGGUUCUGUCAUCUAUAAUGUUCUAGUUACGUCCUCUAUAAUGCUCUCUAUUGUAUAGUGGAAUGAUUCUCUUUCAUCCAUGGACGUAAGCAUGGUUGUCGAACCACGUUAAAACCUCAUGUACUGUUUGUGUUAUUAUUCUUUAAAUUUUUUAAUAUUUGUUUCUUGAUUAAUGAUGUGUGCAUCAAAGCUUCCACCUACAUAACAAACUGGUAUCAGAGCUUGGGUUGAAGAUUUUUGGAAUAGUAAAAGAUCACAAAGCACACAAGAUGAAAACAAAAGGAAUUUUUAGUGAAUGUGGAGUCAAUUGUUUUCUCGUGGUGAUAUGAUACAAAAAGUUUGUGUCAUGGAGGGUUUAAUGAUUGACUCCGUGAAAUUUGGUCCAAGGUAGAGAUUGUUAGGAAGUGUCCCAAAUUCCUAAUUAAUAUAAAUUCCUCUUUGUAAAGAAUAUUGUAUAGAAUAUUUCUAGGUUGAUAUAUUAUUGUAAUAUUAGACUUCCUUAUAGAAUAAAGAAGGUUGUUGGAAAUAUUUUCAUAAAUAUUUUAAGUCAUGAGGGAAAAAAGUUAUGAGAUGAAGAUGGGCCUAUAAAGACCAUACGAGAUGGAUAGAGAUGUGAGGAAGAAUCGAAGGUACCCAGUGGAGCGAGAGGGCUCAUGGUAGGACAUGAAUAUGAAGAGUGGGGAAACAUGGGAUGUUUUGGGAACCCAAUAGUUGUAUCUAGUUCUGUCAUCUAUAAUGUUCUAAUUCUGUCAUCUAUAAUGUUCUGGUUUUGUCCUCUGUAAUGUUCUUUAUUGUAUAGUGGAAUUAUUCUCCCUCAUCUGUGUAGGCAAGUUGUUAAACCACGUUAAAACCUCGAAUACCAUUUGUGUUGAUUUUUUUUUAGUUUUGUGUUCUUGAUUAACAAUGCUUGCAUCAAAGCUUCUACCAACGUAACAAUGUGCAACAUAUUUGAUAUAACUUAUAUUUUCUUAAGUAAUUGAACACUUUUUUUCUAUAAAUUUACUUGAUUAUCAAUGAAUACCUACAUAUGCGGUAUUGACAUAGUUUGAUAAAUAUUUUAAAAUAGUAUUAGAAUGGCUUUUCUUUUUCCCAAUUAAAAAAUUUAUCAAAUAUAUACAUACACACACACACACACAAUACUCAUUAGUAUGUCUUUUAUGAAAAAACUAUAUUUGUUUAUUUGAAUUUAGUAGCCAUUUAACUCCUUAGUUACUCAUAAACUUUAUAUCACCUUCUUAAAGUCAAGUCAUUUACAAUUAUUUCUAUCUAGCCUUCUCCAUUAUGACAACUUUAUAAGAUAGUGAUUGACUGGAAAAAUCUACAUGCCUUUGUUGAUAGGAUAAUUGUUUUUCUUUUUUUCGUAUUCAAAGAAUCUUGCUUUUGUUAUUGAGACUUUCAAAUCCUUUAUGUCUAGUGGUCUUAUAAUUCCCUAUUCAUUGGUCUUUCAUAUUACCAAUCAUUUUGCAAAUGAGUUAAUUUCAUUCACAUCCUCUGAGAUUUGAUGUAAAUUCGCUUAGUUACCAAUGAUUUCAAAUUUCAUUAAUUAGUACCCCUAUAGAUGUAAUUUGUGUACAAAAUUUAUUUUUUAAAAGAAUUUAGGUAAAAAUAUUUUAGGUUUAUGUCUUUAACAAUUCUCUAAAAUAAAUUUUACUUGCUAAAAAAUAACUUAUAUAGAUAGAAUACAUCUACAGGAGUUCUAACUGACGAAAUUUAAAACUAAUGGUGGUUUAGUGUAUUUAAACUAAACAUUAAGAAGGGUGACUGAAAUUAACCCUCUAGGUAUAUAUGUUUAACAAAAUUUUUAUUGUUUAUUUUUCAUUUAAUGUUUGCAUUUUUCAAUAAACAUUGAAAAGGAAUUGUUUUUCCAUAUGUUAACAAAAAGAAAUUUGAGCACCUAUAAAAAUGAAAUCUUGUAGUAAAAUUGAAGUUACAUUAUCAAACUUUUAACGAGUGUUUAUGUUUAGAAAGGCCAAUUAAAGCAAGCAUGCAUCUAGAAAUUAUAACUUAGAUGCAUCAAACAUGAGCAACAUAUUUGAUAUAACUAAUAGUUUCUUAAGUAACUAAACACUUCUUUUUCUAUAAAUUUACUUGAUUAUCGAUGAAUACUUACAUAUAUUUACAUAGUUUGAUAAAUAUUUUAAAAUAAUAUUAGAAUAACUUUUUUUUUCUCAAUUAUAUUAGAAAAUAAUAUAAAGUUACUUAUAAACUUUAUAUCAUUUUCUCAAAGUCAAGUCAUUUACAAUUAUUUCUAUUUAGCCUUCUCCAUUAGGACAACUUUUAUAUGAUAGUCGUUGAUUGGAAGAAUCUACAUGUCUUUUUUGAUAGGAUAGUUGUUUUUAUUUUUUUUAUUUUUUUUAUUCCAAAAAUUUGCUUCUAUCAUUGAAACUUUCAAAUCUUUUAUGUAUAUUACCAAUCAUUUUACAAGUGAGUUAAUUUCACUUAGGGUAGAUAUACUUAGCCACACCCCUAUAGAUGUAAUUUGUGUUUAAAUUUUAUUUUUUAUUCAGGUAAAAAUAUCUUAGGUAUAUGUGUUCAACAAUUCUCUAAAAAAUAAAUUUUCUUAUCUAAAAGUUUAUAUAGACAAAAUACAUCUGUAGAAGUCCUAACUAAUGAAAUUUAAAAUCAAUGGUUGUUUAGUGUAUUUACAUUAAACCUUAUGGGGUAUGAUUGAAAUUAACUCUCUUACAAGCACUUGUAGCUAAUAUGUUUGUAGUUGUAGUGUUGGAAAUUGAUCAUUUUCUUGAAGGCCUCUAAGAUAUUGGAAAUAUUGCCAUAGUUUUAGACUUUUUUUUAUUACACCUAAUAAAAAAUAUUAUUAAUUUAACAUAUAUAUUCUUGACUUAAAAGUAAAGUCUCUCCAUAUUGUAUAAGCCCUUAGGUGACAAUAUUAGGUGAAGUUUUUCUUUCGUUUAUUAAAAAAUAUAAAUAAUUUAUUAUUGUAUGAUAAAAUUUUAUGUAAUAUAUUUUUAUAGAUGUAAAAUUAUUAAUUGGGUUUUAUUUUAUUUUUUUACUAAAUUGUCAUUUCAAUAUAUAAAACUUAUUUGUAAAAAGACAAUUAUAAACUAUAUGAAAUUGAAAAACAUUUAGUUUUUUUAUUUAAUUUAUAAUUUUGUUUGGAUUAAUAAUUGAUAUUUGUAAGAUUUUUUAAUAUUAAAAAAAGUUAGCAUACUUAAGAAAGAUAUUCAAGAUCGGGAGUGUUUGAUAUUGGAUUAAUUUCCUUAUUUUCUCUAUUUUAAUAAAUUUUCAUGUCCAUUACAAAAUUUUUGUUGUUUAUAUUUUACUUCAAUAUUUUUAUUUUGUAAUAGACAUUUGAAAAGAUUUUUUCCUACAUGUUAAAAAAAAAAAAUGAACACUCCUAAAAAAGAAAUAUUGCAAUAAAAUUAAAGUUUACACUGUAGGACUAUUAGCAAGUGCUAUAUACUUAAAAUAGACCAAUUAAAGUAGAAAUACUUCUAAAAUUUUAAUUUAGGUAACAAUAAUAUAAAAAGAUAAUAUUUUUGAAACAAUAGUUCUCUUGGAGUUUUGGGUACGAUGGACUAGACUUUAUGUAACAAUAGAUAUAUGAACUUUCCAUUAACAUCUUGAGAGACAUGAUGAGGAGCAAAGUCAUCCUAGAAGGUACCAUAGAGGUACCUUAGCUCCAUUCAUCUAGACUACAUAAUGUUUAAAGAUCAAAUUCAAUGACUAGAUUUCAAAAAUCAAUAUAAGCUUUCUCAUAUUCUACUCUAUAUAAGACAAUGGUAUGAUACAUCUCUUGUGUCGUAGAAUGCACCAUGAAAACCUUAUCAUUUUAACAUCAGUUUGAAACUUAAAAGUCACUUAGCACAUUCUAGUUAUUAAUGUAAGAACAUUAAAAGAAAAUAUAAAAAAAGUUACUUUAUUCUUGUGAUUUUGAUCUAGGACUUUUAAUGAUAUUAAAAAAAAAAAAAAAAAACAGAAAAAUAAAUGGAAAUAAAAUCAACAAAUUAAACAAUUGAAUUAAGUUAGUUUAAUUUUUGCAUCGUUAAAUGGGUAAAUAAAGACUCUUAGAUUUGAUAUUAAUAUGAACAUCAUGACUUUAGUGAAUCUUACAAGAAAAUUUUAGUUUGAAAGACUUCAUUCAUUAAACGUGUGGCACAUAUUAAAGUAAAACUAAGUCUUCUCUAUAAUUUGUACCUAUCAUAGUUUCUUUCCUCAUAAAUAGCCUUUUUUGAAUAUAAUAUAGACUUCAACAUGUAUGGUGGGGCCGAUCAAACUACUAGUCAAGACAACUCAUGGGCAACAACGAUGUACCAACUAUAUUAAAUACUCUUCAUCUAUUUGCAUAUCAAGAGUAAUUUAGUAGUGUCUUUCUUAUGUACCUCGUAUCUAGACUUUCAAUGGAGAGUUCUUCAUCUAAAAAUUUGACUUGGGUUUUCAUAUUAGUUUUGGUUUAGACAUAUGGAUGCAAAGGUUGCAUCAAAGAAGAGAAGUAGGCUAAAUCAUCUUACAAAUUUUCAAGUUCAAAUUAGAUGCACCAAACAUAUGCAAUAUAUUUGAUAUAACUAAUAUUUUCUUAAGUAAUUGAAUACAAUUUUUUUUAUUUUAUAAAUUUACUUGAUUAUUAAUGAAUAACUACUUGUAUGAUAUUGACACAACUUGAUAAAACUUUUAAAAUAAUAUUAGAAUAACUUUGCUAAAAAAAAGUAAAAAUAAAAAUAAAAAUAUGUCUAUAUAUAUAAAAUUAAAUAAAAUUAAAAAUUAAAAAAGAAUAUAUAUAUAUAUAUAUAUAUUGUGUGUGUGUGUGUGUGUGCAUGGUCCCACAACUCAUUAGCUACUCAUAAGCUUUAUAUCACUUUCUCAAAGUCAAGUCAUUUUGUAAUUAUUUCUAUCUAGCCUUCUCCAUUACGACAACUGUAUAAGAUAUUGAUGGGUUGGAAAAAUCUUCAUGUCUUUUUUAAUAAGAUAGUUUUAUUAUUAUUAUUAUUAUUAUUAUUAUUAUUAUUAUUCAAAGAAUUUGAUUUUAUUAUUGAAACUUUCAAAUCCUUUAUGCCUAGUGGUCCUACAAUUCCCUAUUCAUUGGUAUUUCAUAUUACCAAUCAUUUUACAAAUAAGUUUAUUUCACCCGGUAAAUAUACUUAACUACUAAUGGUUUCAAAUUUAAUUGAUUAACACACUUAUAGAUGUAAUUUGUUUUUAAAUUUUAUUUUUUUAGAAGAAUUGUAGGUAAAAAUAUUUUAGGAAUAUGCGUUCAAUAAUUCUCUAAAAACAAUUUAUAUAGAUGGAAUACAUUCAUGGAAGUUCCAACUAAUGAAAUUUAAAACCAACGACGAUUUAAUGUAUUCUCACUAAAUCUUAGGGGAGGUGUACUAAAACUAGCCUUUUUACAAAUAUUUGUAGCUAGUAUAUUUGUAGUUAUGGUGUUGGAAGUUGAUCAUUUUCUUAAAGGCCUCUAUGAUAUUGGAAAUAUCGCCAAAGUUUUGAACUUUUUGUUUCAUCUAAAAAAAAUAUCAUUAAUUUAAUAUAUAUACUCUUUGCUUGAAAGUAUAGUUUCUUCAUAUAGUAUGAAGUUGUAGCUAGGUGACAAUAUUAGGUGAAAUUUUUUUGGUUUACUACAAAAUAUAAAUAAUAUAUUUAUUAUAUGAUAAAAUUUUGUAAAAUAUAUUAUUAUAGAUGCAAAAUUAUUAAUGGAGUUUUAUUUUUUACUAAAUUAUCAUUUCAAUAAUAAGAACUUAUUUGUUAAAAGAAAAUUAUAAAAUAUAUGCAGUUGAAAAAAUUUUAAUUUUUUUAUUUAAUUUGGUAUUUUAUUUGAAUUAAUAAUUGAUAUUUGUAAGAUAUUUUAAUAUUAAAAGAAGUUAACAUACUUAAAAAAGACAUUCAAAAUCAAGAGAGUAUUUGAUAUGAAAUUAAUUUAUUUAUUUUUUCUAUUUAAAUAAAUUUUUACAUCCAUUAAAAAAAUUUUAUUGUUUAUUUUUCACUUCAAUAUUUUUAUUUUGUAAAAGAAAUAGAAAUAAAAUCAACAAAUUAAACAAUUGAAUUAAGUUAGUUUAAUUUUGCCACCGUUAAAUUGGUAAAUGAAGACUCUUAUAUUUGAUAUUAACAUGAACAUCAUGACUUCAUUGAAUCUCACAAGAAAAUUUUAGUUUGAAAGAUUUUAUUCUUUAAUCAUGUGGCACAUAUUAAAGUGAGACCAAGUCUUCCCUAUAAUUUGUAUCUAUCACAAUUUCUUUCCUAAUGAAUAGCCUUUUUGAAUAGAAAAUAGACUUUAGCAUGCAUGGUGGGGCCUAGCUAUCAAACUACUAGUCAAAGCAACUCAUGGGCAAGAAUGAUGUACCAACUAGAUUAAGUAUUCUCCAUCUAGUUGCAUAUCAAGAGUAAUUUAGUAGUAUCUUUCUUGUGUACCUCAUUUCUAGACUUUCAAUGGAGAGUUUUUUAUCUUAAAAUUUGAUGUGGGUUUUCAUACUAGUCUUGGUUCAGAUAUGUGAAUGCAAAGGUUGCAUCGAAGAAGAGAAGUAGGCUAAGUCAUCUUACAAAUUUUCAAGUUCAAAUUAGAUGCAUCAAACAUGUGCAACAUAUUUGAUAUAACUAAUAUUUUACCAAGCAACUAAAUACUUUAUAUAUAUAUAUAUAUAUAUAUAUAAAUUUAUUGAUGAUCAAUGAAUACACAUGUAUGGUAUUGACACGGUUUGAUAAAUCUUUUAAAAUAGUAUUAGAAUAACUUUGCUAAAAAAAGUAAAAAUAAAAAUAAAAAUACAUAUAUAUAUAUAUAUAUAAAAUAAAAAAUUUUAAAAGAAUAUAUAUAUAUUAGUGGUCCCACAACUCAUUAGCUACUCAUAAGCUUUAUAUCAUUUUCUUAAAGUCAAGUCAUUUACAAUUAUUUCUAUCUAGCCUUCUCCGUUGCGACAACUGUACAAGAUAUUAAUUGAUUGAAAAAAUCAUCAUGUCUUUUUUGAUAGGAUAGUUUUUUUUUUUAUUCAAAGAACUUUCAAAUCCUUUAUGUCUAGUGGUCCUACAAUUCCUUAUUCAUUGGUAUUUCAUAUUACCAAUCAUUUUACAAAUAAGUUAAUUUCACUCGGUAAAUAUACUUAACCACCAAUGGUUUCCAAUUUGUAACACUCUUAUAGAUGUAGUUUGUUUUUAAAUUUGAUUUUUUAGAAGAAUUGUAGGUAAAAAUAUUUUAGCUAUAUAUGUUCAACAAUUCUCUAAAAACAAUUUAUAUAGAUGGAAUACAUUCAUGGAAGUUCCAACUAAUGAAAUUUAAAACCAAUGAUGAUUUAAUGUAUUUGUACUAAAUCUUAGGGAGUGUGGACUAAAAUUAGCCCUUUUACAAAUAUUUAUAACUAGUAUAUUUGUAGUUGUGGUAUUGGAAGUUGAUCAUUUUCUUAAAAGGUUUACCAUUGAAGUUAGUUGAAUAUAAAGUUAGGUGAACUUUACCAUUGUUAAAUUGGUAAAUGAAGACUCUUAGAUUUGAUACUAACAUGUACAUCAUGACUUCAUGGAAUCUCUCACAAGGAAAUUUUAGUUUGAAAGACUUCAUCUUUUAAACAUGUGGCACAUAUUAAAGUGAGACCAAGUCUUCCCUAUAAUUUGUAUCUAUCACAAUUUCUUUCCUCAUAAAUAGCCUUUUUGAAUAGAAUUAAUAUAGACUUUAGCAUGCAUGAUGGGCCCCGUCAAACUAUUAGUCAAGAUAAUUUGUAGGUAAGAACGAUGGACCAACUAUAUUAAAUACUCUUCAUCUAUUUGCAUAUCAAGAGCAACUUAAUAUUGUCUUUCUUUUGUACUUCAUGUUUGAACUUUCAAUGGAGAGUUUGUCAUCUAAAUAUUUGAUGUGGGUUUUUAUACUACUCUUGGUUCAAAUAUGUGGAUGCAAAGGUUGCAUCAAAGAAGAGAAGAUGGGUUUGCUUGAAUUCAAGGCUUUUCUUAAAUUGAAUAAUGAGCAUGCAGAUUUUCUUCUCCCUUCAUGGAUAGAUAACAACACUAGUGAAUGUUGUAAUUGGGAGCGGGUUAUUUGCAAUCCCACCACAGGUCGAGUUAAGAAGCUUUUCCUCAACGAUAUAACGCGACAACAAAAUUUCUUGGAAGACGAUUGGUACCAUUAUGAAAAUGUCAAAUUCUGGUUACUAAAUGUCUCCCUAUUCCUUCCUUUUGAAGAACUUCACCAUCUAAACUUGUCUGCAAACUCAUUUGAUGGGUUUAUUGAGAAUGAAGGUAUGUUACCUCUCACCUUUAAAAUUUCUUUUCACUUAUACUCCAAACAUUCUAAAGGAACUACUAGCAUAUGUUCUUAAAAGUGUUCAGGUGGAGACCAAAUGGUCACUAGUAACUAUUGAAUUUAAUAUAAGAACAAUUACUAAUUAUUAAAAUUUAUAAUGUAAAUUAACAUUUAAACAAAACAAUAAAAAAAUUAUUAUUUUAGAAAACUAUAGAUUACAUUAGCCUUAUAUAUAUAAGCAUACUUGUAAUUUAUGCCAUCAUUUCACACUCAACCCAAUUAGUGGGAUUCAACUAAGAGUGAGCAAUUUCACAAUUAUUAAUUAACAAAAACACUUAGGCUCCCAUAUCCUUAUCCUUUUUGCUGAAUUGUCUUUCCUUAUCUUCCAUUCCUAAAAAGCUUGAUUUCUAUAUUCCAAAUUGAUAGAGAUUGGUUAAAGAAAGGUGAUCACAAAAUUUGACUAUUGCUUUCAAAUGAGGAAUCACCAUCUUCAAAAUUUCACAUUUAAAAAAAAAAAAAAAAAAAAAACUAGCCUCGGGUAAGGUCCAAGCCUUAUUGUUUUAAGCUGAUGUCGGGUUGGUUUAAUAAUGAACAGAGUAAAUCCCAACCCAUGACCAUCUACGCAUUUCCAAAUUCCACCCAUCCACAACCCAUUAAUAUGACAUUUUCAGGGACAAAAUUUAAUCAAUUAAACCUAUUAGAUGGAUUCUCCAUACAAUGUUAAAAUGAAUAUAAAAACUUUAAUUCAAAAAAUAAUUUCCUUUAUUUAGUUAGGAUUCAAAUUAUAGGGGCACAAAACAUGAAAAUUUUCAUGUUUAAAAUUCACAAAGAUCACAAAAGCUCUUUGAAGCUCUAUGGACUUUUUUAUUUCUAACAUUUAAACACAAAAAUCACCAAAUUGAAUUAGAAACUUGGAUGCAUAUUCUUAUAUUAAAGACAUGUAAGCUUACAUAUUUAAAUAUGAAGAUCUCAACUUGUAAUUACAUGCUUCUAAUUAAAGUUAUAUUACUCUAUUUUACAGGAUUUAAAGGGUUAUCAAGUUUAAAGAAAUUGGAGAUCUUGGACAUAAGUGGUAAUGAGUUUGACAAAAGUGCCUUAAAAUCUUUGGGCACAAUAACAUCACUCAAGACAUUGGCUAUUUGCAGCAUGGGACUGAAUGGAUCUUUUUCCAUUCGAGGCAUGUUAUAUGUCCACAUUGUUUCUUUGAAAUUAAGUAAAAUGUAUUUCUAACUUUUAAUGUUCCUUAGUUAAUCUCUCUUUUGAUUCAUGUUUGUUGCAGAAUUAGCUAGUUUGAGAAAUUUGGAAGUGUUGGAUCUAAGCUAUAAUGAUUUGGAAAGCUUUCAACUAUUGCAAGGUACUUCAUUAACUUGCUAAAAAAACUUAUGAUAUUUUGUUAUUAAAUUAAAGGUAAGAUUAACAAACAAUUUCUUCCCAUUAGUUACUUUUCUUUGUAAUAUCAUUAAAUUUGAUAUAAAAUAGUCUAAAUCAUCCUUUCAAUUUAUAAGUUUUAAUUAAAACGCAUCAAGCAUGCACAAGGUGUUUAAUAUAACUAAUAUUUUCAUAAGUAAUUGAAUUUUUUUUAUGAAUUAAUUAACUUGAUUAUCAAUAAAUACUUACAUGUAUAAGAUUAAUAUAGUUUCAUAAGUAUUUUAAAAUUGUCUUACAACACACACACACACACACAGAGGGAAAAUGAAAGGUAUGUGAUACAUUUAUGCUAUGUUUGGUUCCCAAAAAAAUUGAGGGAAAAUGAAAGGAGAAAAAAGUGGAGAGGAAAAGUAAAAGAAAAGAAAAAAAGUGAAGAAAAAUAUAAAAUUGAUUAAAGUAAAUACAUGUUACUUUAAACUUUUUUACUUAUUUUAAUUCUUCAAUGUAAGGAUGAAAGAUUUGAAAAUGCAUAAGUUUCUAAUUUUUUUAUUUUAUUUUAUAGUUUUUACAAUACAACCAAACAUACUAAAAUCAUUUUCUUUAAUUUUUUUUUCUUUUCUUAAUACUUUUCACGAACCCUUAAGUUAUGUUUGGUUUGCAGAAAAUAUGAGGAAUAGCAAAUAGAAAAGAAAAUUAGAAGGAAAGAAAAAAUGAAGUAAAAUAAAAAUAAAUUUAAAUUUAAUAAAUUAUUUUUAUAUGCUACUUUAAGCUUAUUUCACUUAUUUUAAAUUAUUUAAACUCAUUUCUAAUAAAUAAUAAUGGAAAUUGUAGAGAAGUUUGUGUUAUUCAAGCUUUGCAAUGACUUUUCAAGGUGAAGGAAAAUAUUCUUGCUGAAAUUGAAAAAGGAAAUACCUUCUUAAAUAGCCUAUUGACCGAAAACACAUUACCCUAACAUAUACACACACCUUUAUUAUUUAUACAAUCAUGUAAUACUUAAUCCAGUUAGUGGGAUUCUAGUGGUUGUUUCUAUCUUGGUUUCCAAUAUUUCUGAUUGAUAGUGUUCGAUUAAUGAAAUAUCAUAAAUUUUGACCCCAAUAAGGACCAAUCCCUAUUAAAUGUAAUUGGGUUAACCUAAGACUAAAUGCUAGACCCAACUAAUAAAAACCCAUCUGUUUGUUGGAGUCUAAAUAACCUGGCCUUAGGUAGAGCCCAUGCCUUAUUAUUUUAAGAUGUAGUCCAACUGGUUUAACACUAGAUUGAGUAAAGCCCAACUUAUGAGCAUCUGUGCAUUUCCAUCCAUCCACAACCUACUGGCAUGGAUAAACUUUGGUCAAUUAAACCUAUUAUAACUGUAUACAAAAUUUUAAGUUCAAAAGAUAAUUUUCCUUAUUUAGUUAGGAUUCAUAUUAAAAAGGCACAAAACAUGAAUUUUCAUGUUUAAAUUCACAAAUACCACGAAAGCUCCUUCAAGCUCUAUGGACCAUUUUAUUUGUAACAUUAUAUUACUCUUAAUUAUCAAAUUAACCAACAAAUUCUUCUCAUUACUUAUCUUUCUUUUGUAAUGUCAUAAAAUUUGAUGUAAAGUAGUAUUGGUCAUCAUUUCAACUUUCAGGUUCCAAUUAGAUGCAUCAAGCAUGUGCAACAUAUUUGAUAUAACUAAUAUUUUUAUAAGUAAUUGAAUUUUUUUUUUCUAUAAAUCAAUUAACUUGAUUAUCAAUGAAUACUUUCAUACAUGAUAUUGAUGUAGUUUCAUAAAUAUUUUAAAAUAGUCAUAGAAGUCUUUUAUCUGAUUCACUAGAAAGAAAAAUAAACUAUUCUAAUGAAAAUACUUGAUGAUUUGAAGUGAUUGCUUUUGAUUUUAUUUGAUUGCUACCAUUAUUAAUUGUUAGAAAUUGGCAACAAAUACCCAUUUUGCAUCACUUCUAUAUGCAUCGGGGGAAUGAAUUAUAUUUCAUAGAGCUAACAGGGCAAAACUCAAACUUUUGGAAUUAUGGAAAAUGUUGCUAGAAAGCUAAUUAACCAUUUAUAUUAUGAUUAAGACUAGUUGGGUUAGAAAUAAUUCAUAUGGAGAUUAAAAAAAACUAUGUAAUUUAGUUUAGUAGCUUGGGUGCUAUUGUAAUGAUUAAUGAUCUGCAACUUGAACACAUCUACUAGUGCUUUCUACUUGUAUAGCUAAAUUUAUGUUACCACUUUGAACUAGAGUACUUACAUGAGAAGAAAGCUUUUCCCUAGUGAUAAUGCAAAAGAAAUUAAGUAUCAAUUUUUGUUAAAAAUAACAAGUGAUAGUUUAGAUAUGGUUUGAAUACACUUUCUUUCUUCUAUUUUUUUAUUUUGAAAAAAAAAACUCUUUAAUGAAAUAUAAGAAAUCUUAUAUGUAUAAAAAUUAAAGACUUAAACAAAAAAAUUUGAAAUUUUGAAAAUUUUCGAGAAGUAUUUUUAAGAAUUUGUAUUUUUAGUAUAAUAAUUCCUAUAUUUUGUAUAAAAGUUUUUGUUUAAAAAAAUAGAAGUGUAUCCAAAUUACAAAUUAAUUGUUAAAUUAAGAAUGUUUCUCAGAUCAAGAGAUAAUGAAAGUUGUAGAGAGUUUGCAUUACUCAACCUUUGCAAUUACUUUUUGAAGGUAAAAAAAAAAUACCUUCCUACAUAACAUACAAUGGUAGGUUCUGGUUUGUAAGAAACUAAUAAAUGAUUAAGAAUAUGAAUAAGACUUCCUUUAUAAUAGAUAUGUAGAGAAGAAUAGUGGAUGAUAGGUGGUGAAAAUCUUGUAAUAAAAUAUCAAUAUCGGUUAUAAGAUAAUCAACAUUUUCUCUAUUUCUUGUACCUAUGUGAUUAAGAAUCUUGUAGCUCCCUUAUUGAAAUAUAAUAUAAAAAUAUAAAUAAACUAUUUAGAAGUGCAUGUAGUUUUCAACAUGAGGAAGUUCAAAAGCAAGUUAAUUAUGAUAAUUUUCCAUAGUCUAUAUUGAACACAAAUUAUUUUUACUAAAGGUUCAAUCGUUCUAUGAAGGUUAAAAGUUUGAAUUGUUUACAUAUGCAAAUGUGAAAUUUGAAAGUUUAUAAUUUUUUAUAAUUUUCUUGUAGAUUCAAAAAGCUUGUCCAUAUUCAAAAAGCUCGAGACCUUGAACCUCAAUUACAACAAGUUCAAAAACACUAGCCUACAACAAUUGGAUAUAUUUACAUCCCUUAAAAAUCUUUCUCUAAGAUGGAACAAUGUUGGAGGAUUUUUUCCUAUCCAAGGUAUGUGUAAUUAUUAUUAUUAUUAUUUUUAAUGAUGAAAUAUUAGAAUUGUCAACAUCUUUUAUCUUUUUUUCCCCUCAAUGGUGUUGCAGAAUUAUGCACUCUGGAAAACUUGGUGAUGUUAGACCUAAGUGGGAAUUUCUUUUUUGGCAUGCAAGGUAAAUACAAAGUGAAGUUUUGGUUAUAUAUAUAUAUAUAUAUAUAUAUAUAUAUAUCAUGUAAGAACAUAACUAAAAUCAACAUUAUUUGCCUAUCAAUUUGUGCAUGACUAUUAUUUAGUUAUUCUUCGUAACAUAAUUGAAAGAAUGUCUAGGUGUACAACAUUUAAGAAUUUUACAUGGCACAAUGAAAAACAUGGUAAUCAAUGUGUGCAAUAAAAUUCUAAUAGUUGAAAAAGAAUUUUCUUGUAAUUUUAUGUUCAUGUAUAGUAAUCAAAGAGAAAAUCAUGAAAAUGUAUAUUAGUUAGACUUUAUAUAUCAAUAGACAAAAAAGAAAGAAAAAAAAAGAUUAGUUCCUUAACUUAUCCUAAAAUUUUCUAGAUAACAAGGAGUUUUUUUAUUUUGGGCUAUAAGGUUUACAACCUGAAAAGUGAAGAUGAUUAAUAUUAGUAAUAAAAUUUUAAAAUAUAAAAAUUAGUGAAAUAAUGUUCUCUAUAACUAUAACUCCAACUGCAACUAUUAAUAAAAGAUAAUAAAGGUACUUUAGACUUUGAAUCCAUGGUUAGGUUUGCAAUUUUUUGAUGAUCAAUAAAGCUACAACUUAUGCUGCAAAAGGCUAUACAAAAUGUAUUAGGAGCAUUGCUAAGCUCAUUUAUCAAUAAAGGAAAUCCAGUAAUACUUUGAUUGGAAAAAACCUAGAAUCAUGUUUGAUAUAUAAUAGGUGAAGAAACAAAAUAACAAUUCCAUGGUAUUAGUUAGUUUGAUAUCUCUUUUGUUAUAUGGAAUAACUAUUCCAUUUUAAAAUAAUUAUUUCAUCUUAUCGCUAGAACAAAAAAUUUCAGGCGAUUAUAUGGGCUUUUGGGUUUCUUAAGAAUUUAAGCAUUUAUGGGUCACCCAUAUAUAUAUAGGAAGAAUAAAAAAAAAAAUAUUCUAUGGAGACAAGGGUAGACACCCAUAAAUGUACAUAUAAUUAUUUAAAUAAAAAUAUCAAUAAGAAACAAUAUACAACAAAAUAGAAAAUUUUAAUCUUCCUAAAUUUUAAAAAUAGAAAAUAAAUGAAAAAAAAUUAAAAAGUAAAAAAAAAAAAAAAAAAAGGUCAAGAAUACAAAUAGAUAAGUAAACAAAAUAUAAAAAAAAUACAUAAAUUAAAAUUAAAAUUUUUUUAAAAAAAAUACAUAGAUUAAUAUGAACACUAAAUGAGGUUUUUUGAGAUAGACUUAGUUAGACUUGAACUAGAUGGAUAUUAAAAAAAAUAAAAAUAAAAAUUCAAAGAAAUAAAAACUAAUUAGAUGCUAAAUAUUGGAUUAAAAUAACCAAAUGAAUAAAGAGUAAUUAUUAAUUUUUAACAUUUUUUAUUCCUUAGAAUUAUUAUUUUGUGUAUUAAAUGUAUUAUGAGUGUAGUGGUAUAAAAAAUGUAGUUAAGAAUACUAUGAAGAAUAAUAAUGGUGAUGAUAAUGGUGACGACACUUAAUACCUUUUAUUGUACAUUUAGAAAAAAUGAGGUUCUUGAUCUUUAUGAAGAUUAUCAUUACUCAUCCGCAAGCAUGUUGAUAGUUGAAACUACUCAAUUAUCAAAAAUUGAAUUUCUAACCUUCAAUUUUUCUCUCUCAAAUGUAUAUGUGGGUGAGAAAGCACUAGGUAGGUUAUAAGGUCUCACAUGUAUAUGAGUCAUAGGAUAAAAAAUAUAGAGACAAUACUAGCAUUUAUUUGAUCCAGUGGCAAAUAGAGAAAUAUAACAUAACCAUAACCAUAAUGUUCUAACCUUAUAUAUACCAGAACCAUGUUUCCUUCAUUCAAUUUUGCAACUUUUUCUUUUCAAAUUAGAAUGUAACUCGUAGGAUCCAUUGUCCAUCAAAAUUUUGAAUCGAAUAUUAUAAGAUAUUUCACAUUUCUACCUACUAAAGCAUGAGCUUCAAUGUUCUCAUGCACUUUUGGCUACUAAGUUAAAGAACUCUUUGAGGGUUAAUGGAGUUUCUAUGAGUAGCAAAGCAUUAUAAUCACAAAGUCUUAUCAGUGAUAUGCAAUUUAACCAAGAACUUAUUCCCAACUAUUUUAUGACUUUUCUUGGCUACUUGUAGGCAAGCUAAAGAAAUUUUCUGGUUUGUUCAAGUCUAAAAAGUGGUUUCAAGUUUAGGGCCAAGCUUGGGCUGCACCUAGGUCCUUGGGCCUUAUUCAGCUCCACGUUUAAACCAACCUUGAGUCCAUCUUUGUAAUUUUUCUCCCAAUUCAUUGAUUUAUAUUAGGAUUUUAUAAAGCCUAUAAAUUGACCAACUAAAUAAAGUAGGUUCAUAAACUUUUAGGUGAAAAUUUUCUCUCUAAUAAAUGUUAAUUCAAGAGUCUCCGUAAUCUUUUUAUAUUCAUAUUAAUUGGUAUUUAAACUGACCUUACUAUAUUAAAGUCAAAUACCAAAUAGUGAACACUAUAUCUGCUACUACCACUAUGAUGGUCACAAACAUAGAAUGCUCCUUUUUUUAGAGUCAAUUGAUGCUUAUAAACAACAACUUUGUUUGAAAAUAAAAUACAUCGAGUGAUUGCAUCAAGAGAUUGAUGUAAUAAUUGCAUACUUGAUCUUGAUAAUGCUGAGUUGACUAAAUAAAUGAGUAUUUACUUAUAAGGUAGCCCAUAGAACAUUAUUUGUGGAAAUAUUCAUGCACCUCUACAUAUGUUCAUGAUAACUUAGGUUGAUAAAUUUAAGAAGAACAAAUUCAUAACCUUGGGCAUAGUUAGUAAGAAAUUUCACCAAUAGAGUUUGGUAUCAUGAUUCUAAUUGUUCAAAUUGUUUUAAAGGAGUAUUUUAAAUUGCAUGUUAAUUUGCUUCUAAUAAAUGGAGAGAAACCAAUUCAAGAAGAGAAUUGUACUCAAGCUAUGUAUAACAUUCAUGAAGAUGUAGAAAAUAUUGAUGAACUUACUUUUGAGCAAGUUGAAAUCAUAAUUAAAUAAAAGAACAAACCCAAGGGUUAAGAUUGUCAAGUAAAACUUUAACUAAAAUUUAUUGAUUUUUUAAAUGCCUAUUAGAGGGACAAUAGAAGUUCUAGAUAAAAAGUAAGAACUUUUCUAAGGAAUCACUUGUUAGAUUUUAAGUGAUCAAUAAAUAUAAUGUCCAAUUUAAAACUUUUAUAAAAGCAAUGCUUCUAAAGAAUAACUUGAUUUGAAUUUAAAGUUAUUAUUGAUAUUUGUUUAUAAUGGAUGUAGUUAAUCAACUGAACAUAGUAAAAAACACAUAAAUUUUUCAAAAUACCUUCUAGUUGUUGGGUAUAUUUAAAUAGUCAUCCAUAUCUCAUUAUCUUUUCACUCACAUACUAAUCUCCUUAUUGAGUAUUUACCAAUUACAAGUAGGUUGAAAGUUACUUGAAUUUAAGUCACUAAUCAAUGUUAACUUGAUAACAAAUAAGUCUCUCUUUGAAACUUGUUUUACAAGAUAGCGAAAUGUAGUCGAUCAAUCAUCAAAACAAUGUUCAAGCAUUAGGAUUUAGUUGUUAAUUUUUAUUUUUAUUUUUUGUGCUUAAACAAAGACAAAAAUGAUAAAAACUCCUUAAAAGUACAUAGUAAUUGAAUUUAAUUUAUACAUCAAACAAGAACAAACUAGUCUUGGAUUUAAAAUUCAUCAGGUUUUGUAAUUAUAAUUCCUAAAAAUUUGUAAGACAACAAAAUUAUUGGGCACUAGGUUAUUGGGUGUGUAUGACUAAGAGGUGAAGGAGGGUUCAUCUUAUACAAAGGAUGAUUUGAUUAAUUUUAAAGAUUGGAUAAACAAUAAUUGCAUAUUCAAGUAAAAAUAACAUUGCUAAAAAGGAAAAUAAGUAUUUUAGUCCUCAAACCUAAAAUGGCUAAAAAUUUUAAUUAAUACAAUACAACUUCACCUACAAAAGAAAAAAAAAACCCAAAACUUUUCAAUAGCACAACUAAGUCCAUUUAUCAAAAAAAAGAAAUAUAAGGAAGUUGGACUCAUUUACUAGCAAUUUAACAUAUGACUAAAACCUAUUGAAGAAUUUGCAAUAGCACUUACUUUGGUCAUGUCCAAACUUAUUGCACAUGGUGCAAAAAGGGGUAGUGCUCGAGGAUGCUUCCACAUAAGAAAGACCCUACUUAACUGUUACAAAGGUUAUUUUCCCACUUGUGGGAAUGCUAACCUUGCUAAUAUAUUAUAUGCCAUGUUUAUCAUAUACAAAUUUUUCUUUACUAAAUAUUUCUUUAAUGAUCUUGGACCUAAAAUUAAAUAUUUCAUUAGUAUUGGUCAUGUCGUUCCUCAACUUUUCAACUUUUAGAGUUAAAUCUUUAUCUUUAUCAUUGAUAGUUUUAUGUUUAGUCCCUAGAAACUUCACCUUAUUAACAAUAUGUUCAUUUAAUAUUUUGAUAUUUUUAAUUUUCAAAGAAUCAUAGAGCUCAUUAAUUUUAAUGUCUUUUUAUUCACUUUUAUGCUUUCAACCUUUGUUUUUAGUUUUCCUAUAAUAAUGCAUCAUAGACCCCAUGUAUAUCAUUAAAAUAAAACUCAUUUUUUUCAUUAGGAUUCAAUUAACCCAAUGGAUCAUAAUCAAAAUUAGUUGCAUAUGAACAAAAGCAAUAAGAUUAUCAUUUUGUACAUCUUUACUUUCAUUUGAGUUCUUAGCCCUACAAUCAUCAAACAUGGAAUUACUCCAAGUUACCUACAUAGCCUUCAUACCUAAUGUUUUUAAGGCAAGGACAAUCAACAACCAUGUGUCCCAUUCCCCCAAUGGUUCACUACGAAAUCAAGGUACAUAUGUUAUGCUUUCUUUGUUUCAUAGUGAUUAGAGAGGAUAAACAUUGUAAAAAAAAAAGUUGUCAUAGUUAAUGUAAGCUAAAACUAAAAAACUUGCUUUUUCAAUUGUGUAAGCAUGUUUUGUUCUUGAUGAAUAUUUACAACAUUCAGAGUUACUAAUGUUUAUAAUUCACAGAGACCUCAUUAACAACAAGUAACAACUAAUUGUAAGUAACCAUGAAAAAAAAAUAAGGAGAAAAAUAAAGGAAAAUCAAGGAAAGUGUCAAAUUUUUUCAUCCCCAUAAAAAAUGCUAAGGAAGAAAAAUGUGAAGAAAGUUUAAAGAAAGUAUAUUUUUCAAAAAUUGAAUUUUCUUUCCCUUAAAGUUGGUAUGGACAACCAAACAAGAAAAUGAUUUUUAAAUUCUUUUUUGACCUUUUUCUAUCAUUCUUUUUUUUUUCCCCCUACUCUAUUUCCUUUCCCUCAAACUUUCUAGGUAGUAAACAUUACCUAAGAUAAAUAGGGAAGAAAAUAUUUUAUCAUUUAUUUAUUUAGUAUUUUUCUUACCUUUUUUUGUAUUUUAUCCAAAUAUAAGAAAACUACUUUUCUUUAUUUUUUCUUUUCCUUGUUGCUUUUCAAGAAUCAAGCAUACUUUAAACUCUAAUUAAGAGUUACAUAGAUUUACAGAGAAACAAUGCAACUAGUAACAAAAAAUUAAGGAAAUUUAAUUUUUUAAUUUUUGAGAGUAAGUAUAAUAAGAUUGGUUUGUUUGAUACAAAAUUUGAAUAAAAAUUAUUUUAAUGAAAAUUCAAGGAAAGGAAAAAAAAAAAAAAAAACUUGAUCUCUAGACUAUAAUACUAAAUCAAUUAAAAAAUCUCCUAACAUCGUUUAUGUUCAUCUUUUUUUUUUUAUGGAUUUGAAAAACCCAAUAAUUUGGAGAAAACUGAUUCAAGGAAGAAUAAUUUUUAGAAUAAAAUAUUAUUAUUUAAGAAGAUCAUAAAUUUUAUAGUCAUUGUUGAAAAUGAUAAAUGAUUAAAAAAAAAAAGGUAGUUGGAAAUUUAGAUACUUUUAUAAGACAAAUGCAUUUUUCUAGUCUGGUAUGAAAAAAGGUAAAAUGAUAGGCUUUGAUCAUUUUUCAAGUUAGUUUGUUUAAAUCAUUUUAAUUUAUUUUGAUUUAAGAACAAUAACUUUUAUUACACUAGUUAUUUUGAUUUUCUUUUGAUAGAUUUUGCAAGCUUAAGCAAUUUGGAGCUAUUGGAUUUGAGUUAUAAUUUAUUUAGUGGGAGCAUUCCAUCAUCUAUAAGAUUGAUGUCUUCUAUCAAGUCUUUAUCCUUGGCUGAAAAUUACCUCAAUGGUUUCUUAGCAAAUCAAGGUACAUAUAUUGUGAUUACAGGUUUUUCUAUUUUCUUUUUUAAUAUCUUGUUUGUUCUUUAUGCCAAUUAAGUCAUGCAUGUCUAUUAAUUUUUGGUAUUUAAUGAAAAACUUUAUUCUUAAUUCAUAAAGACCUCAUCAACUAUAAGUAACAGUUAGUUCUAAGUUUGGGGGCAUUGACAAGACGAGGAGAUGAUUGGUUACAUGUCUUAUUCUCUUUUGUUGGCUUUUGCCAAUUGAAUAAGUUUCAAGAAUUAGAUUUUUCUUACAACUUAUUCCAAGGAAUCCUUCCUCCAUGUUUGAAUAAUUUGACAUCUUUGAGGUUAUUGGAUCUCUCUUCCAACCUAUUCUCCGGAAAUCUUUCUUCCCCUCUGUUACCUAAUCUCACAUCCCUGGAGUACAUCGAUCUCAGUUACAAUCAUUUUGAGGGUUCAUUCUCUUUCAGCUCUUUUGCUAAUCACUCCAACUUUCAAGUGGUCAAACUUGGAAGGAAUAACAACAAAUUUGAGGUAGAAACUGAAUAUCCAGUUGAUUGGGUUCCCCUAUUUCAGUUGAAAGCUCUUAUGCUAUCCAACUGUAAGCUCAUCGAUGACCUUCCUGGUUUUCUUCGACACCAAUUAAGAUUAACCGUGGUUGAUCUCUCCCAUAAUAACUUGACUGGAAGUUUCCCCAUUCAGCAGCUUGAAAACAAUACAAGACUAGGAUCUCUAGUUUUGAGGAAUAACUCUUUAAUGGGUCAACUACUUCCCCUGAGACCUAAUAGUCGUAUCACUUUAUUGGAUAUCUCAGACAACCGACUUCAUGGGGAACUUCAACAAAAUGUGGCCAAUAUGAUUCCAAAUAUUGAGUUUCUAAAUUUAUCCAACAAUCUUCCCCUUCAUUUCAUCCAUAUUUGGAUCUACCUUUAAAUCUCUAUUGCAUACAACCCAUAUAUGAUUCCCUCUAAAUUUAGCCUUCAUUUCUUGUUAAGAGGUUUUAAAAGCCAGCAAUUUAAUUUACUUUCAUCCUCUAUAUAGAUGAGAACUCUUAUAUUUAUCCAAUGAUAGGUAACAUUUUUGCAAAUGCUUUUAUUUGAUUUUUUUAAUUGGUCUUAAAAAUAAGUGUUAAUAAAGAUCCACAAUAUAAAAUAAUAAAUUAUAUCUCAAUUGACCUCAAGAUACUAUUUACUUCUACUAACUCAUUUUACAUCUCAAUUGUUCUUAAAAAGUCUAUAAUGGUAAUUAACUAUAGAAUUCAAGUUUUAAUUAUGCAAAAAAUAUAUAAAGGUUUUUAAAAUUAAUAGAAAAAAAGAUUCUAAUAAAUAAUAAGUAGAUUGAAACAUUUAUUUCUAGAAGUAGAGAAAGAUGGAGGAUCAUAAAAGUUGAAAAAAGAAUAAUUUGGAAGUCAUAAAAUUUUGGAAAAAGAAUAAUUCAUAGAGACCUCAUUAACAACAAGUAACAACUAAUUGUAAGUAACCAUGAAAAAAGUAAGGAGAAAAAUAAGGGAAAAGCAAGGAAAGUAGCAAAUUUUUUCAUCCCCAUAAAAAAAUGAUAAGGAAGAAAAAAGUGAAGAAAGUUUAAAGAAAGCAUAUUCUUCAAAAAUUGAAUUUUCUUUCCCUUAAAAUUGGUAUGGACAACCAAACAAGAAAAUGAUUUUUAAAUUCUUUUUUGACCUUUUUCUAUCAUUCUUUUUUUUCCCCCUACUCUAUUUCCUUUCCCUCAAACUUUCUAGGUAGUAAACAUUACCUAAGAUAAAUAGGGAAGAAAAUAUUUUAUCAUUUAUUUAUUUAGUAUUUUUCUUACCUUUUUUGUAUUUUAUCCAAAUAUAAGAAAACUAUUUUUCUUUAUUUUUUCUUUUCCUUGUUGCUUUUCAAGAAUCAAGCAUGCUUUAAACUCUAAUUAAGAGUUACAUGGAUUUACGGAGAAACAAUGCAACUGGUAACAAAAAAUUAAGGAAAUUUAAUUUUUGAGAGUAAGUAUAAUGAGAUUGGUUUGUUUGAUACAAAAUUUAAAUAAAAAUUCUUUCAAUGAAAAUUCAAGGAAAGGAAAAAAAAACAAAUUUAUCUCUAGACUAUAAUACUAAAUCACUUAAAAAAAACUCCUAACAUCGUUUAUGUUCAUCUUUCUUUUUAUGGAUUUGAAAAACCCAAUAAUUUGGAGAAAACUGAUUCAAGGAAGAAUAAUUUUUAGAAUAAAAGAUUAUUAUUUAAGAAGAUCAUAAAUAUUAUAGUCAUUGUUGAAUAUGAUAAAUGAUUAAAAAAAAAAAAGGUAGUUGGAAAUUUAGAUACUUUUAUAAGACAAAUGCAUUUUUCUAGUAUGGUAUGAAAAAAAGGUAAAAUGAUAGGCUUUGAUCAUUUUUUAAGGUAGUUUGUUUAAAUCAUUUUAAUUUAUUUUGAUUUAAUAACAAUAACUUUUAUUACACUAGUUAUUUUGAUUUUCUUUUGAUAGAUUUUGCAAGCUUAAGAAAUUUGGAGGUAUUGGAUUUGAGUUAUAAUUCAUUUAGUGGGAUCGUUCCAUCGUCUAUAAGAUUGUUGUCUUCUCUCAAGUCUUUAUCUCUGGCUGGAAAUCACCUCAAUGGUUCCUUAGCAAAUCAAGGUACAUAUAUUGUGAUUACAGGUUUUUCUAUUUUCUUUUUUAAUAUCUUGUUUGUUCUUUAUGCCAAUGAAGUCAUGCAUGUCUAUUAAUUUUUGGUAUUUAAUAAAAAACUUUAUUCUUAAUUCAUGAAGACCUCAUCAACUGUAAGUAACAACUAGUUGUAAAUUUGGGGGCAUUGAUAAGACGAGGAGAUGAUUGGUUACAUGUCUUAUUCUCUUUUGUAAGCUUCUGCCAAUUGAAUAAGCUUCAAGAGUUAGAUUUUUCUUACAACUUAUUCCAAGGGAUCCUUCCUCCAUGUUUGAAUAAUUUGACAUCUUUGAGGUUAUUGGAUCUCUCUUCCAACCUAUUCUCCGAAAAUCUUUUUUCCCCUCUGUUACCUAAUCUCACAUCCCUGGAGUACAUCGAUCUCAGUUACAAUCAUUUUGAGGGUUCAUUCUCUUUCAGCUCUUUUACUAAUCACUCCAACCUUCAAGUGGUCAAACUUGGAAGGAAUAACAACAAAUUUGAGGUAGAAACUGAAUAUCCAGUUGGUUGGGUUCCCCUGUUUCUGUUGAAAGCUCUUGUCCUAUCCAACUGUAAGCUCAUCGGUGAUCCUGGUUUCCUUCGACACCAAUUAAGAUUAACCGUGGUUGAUCUCUCCCAUAAUAAUUAGACUGGAAGUUUCCCCAUUUGGCUGCUUGAUAACAAUACAAGACUAGGAUCUCUAGUUCUGAGGAAUAACUCUUUAAUGGGUCAACUACUUCCCCUGAGACCUAAUAGUCGUAUCACUUUAUUGGAUAUCUCAGACAACCGACUUCAUGGGGAACUUCAACAAAAUGUGGCCAAUAUGAUUCCAAAUAUUGAGUUUCUAAAUUUAUCCAACAAUCAUCCCCUUCAUUUCAUCCAUAUUUGGAUCUACCUUUAAAUCUCUAUUGCAUACAACCCAUAUAUGAUUCCCUCUAAAUUUAGCCUUCAUUUCUUGCUAAGAGGUUUUAAAAGCCAGCAAUUUAAUUUACUUUCAUCCUCUAGAUUGAUGAGAACUCUUAUAUUUAUCCAAUGAUAGGUAACAUUUUUGCAAAUGCUUUUAUUUGAUUUUUUUAAUUGGUCUUAAAAAUAAGUGUUAAUAAAGAUCCACAAUAUAAAAUAAUAAAUUACAUCUCAAUUGACCUCAAGAUACUAUUUACUUCUACUAACUCAUUUUACAUCUUAAUUGUUCUUAAAAAGUCUAUAAUGGUAAUUAACUAUAGAAUUCAAGUUUUAAUUAUGCAAAAAAUAUAUAAAGGUUUUUAAAGUUAAUAGAAAAAGAGAUUCUGAUAAAUAAUAAGUAGAUUGAAACAUUUAUUUCUAGAAGUAGAGAAAGAUGGAGGAUCAUAAAAGUUGAAAAAAGAAUAAUUUGGAAGUCAUAAAAUUUUGGAAAAAGAAUAAUUCAUAGAGACCUCAUUAACAACAAGUAACAACUAAUUGUAAGUAACCAUGAAAAAAGUAAGGAGAAAAAUAAAGGAAAAUCAAGGAAAGUGACAAAUUUUUUCAUCCCCAUAAAAAAUGAUAAGGAAGAAAAAGGUGAAGAAAGUUUAAAGAAAGUAUAUUUUUCAAAAAUUGAAUUUUCUUUCCCUUAAAGUUGGUAUGGACAACCAAACAAGAAAAUGAUUUUUAAAUUCUUUUUUGACCUUUUUCUAUCAUUCUUUUUUUUUUCCUUACUCUAUUUCCUUUCCCUCAAACUUUCUAGGUAGUAAACAUUACCUAAGAUAAAUAGAGAAGAAAAUAUUUUAUCAUUUAUUUAUUUAGUAUUUUUUUUACCUUUUUUUGUAUUUUAUCCAAAUAUAAGAAAACUAUUUUUCUUUAUUUUUUCUUUUCCUUGUUGCUUUUCAAGAAUCAAGCAUACUUUAAACUUUAAUUAAGAGUUACAUAGAUUUACGGAGAAACAAUGCAACUGGUAACAAAAAAUUAAGGAAAUUUAAUUUUUGAGAGUAAGUAUAAUGAGAUUGGUUUGUUUGAUACAAAAUUUGAAUAAAAAUUCUUUCAAUGAAAAUUCAAGGAAAGGAAAAAAAACAAAUUUAUCUCUAGACUAUAAUACUAAAUCACUUAAAAAAAACUCCUAACAUCGUUUAUGUUCAUCUUUCUUUUUAUGGAUUUGAAAAACCCAAUAAUUUGGAGAAAACUGAUUCAAGGAAGAAUAAUUUUUAGAAUAAAAGAUUAUUAUUUAAGAAGAUCAUAAAUAUUAUAGUCAUUGUUGAAUAUGAUAAAUGAUUAAAAAAAAAAAAGGUAGUAGGAAAUUUGGAUACUUUUAUAAGACAAAUGCAUUUUUCUAGUAUGGUAUGAAAAAAAGGUAAAAUGAUAGGCUUUGAUCAUUUUUUAAGGUAGUUUGUUUAAAUCAUUUUAAUUUAUUUUGAUUUAAUAACAAUAACUUUUAUUACACUAGUUAUUUUGAUUUUCUUUUGAUAGAUUUUGCAAGCUUAAGCAAUUUGGAGGUAUUGGAUUUGAGUGGUAAUUCAUUUAGUGGGAUCGUUCCAUCGUCUAUAAGAUUGUUGUCUUCUCUCAAGUCUUUAUCUCUGGCUGGAAAUCACCUCAAUGGUUCCUUAGCAAAUCAAGGUACAUAUAUUGUGAUUACAGGUUUUUCUAUUUUCUUUUUUAAUAUCUUGUUUGUUCUUUAUGCCAAUGAAGUCAUGCAUGUCUAUUAAUUUUUGGUAUUUAAUAAAAAACUUUAUUCUUAAUUCAUGAAGACCUCAUCAACUGUAAGUAACAACUAGUUGUAAAUUUGGGGGCAUUGAUAAGACGAGGAGAUGAUUGGUUACAUGUCUUAUCACUACUACAAAAAUUGAAAUUAAUGACGCUUUAUUUUAUGACGCUUUCUAAAAGCGUCAUUAUUGAGGGUAUACAAUGACGCUUAUAAGAAGUGUCAUAGUUGUAUUAUUUAUCUUGAUACUGAUUAUAAGUGUCAUUAUUUGAUGUCAUCUUUUUCCUUGUAACUGUGUAUAUAAUGACGCUUAUAAGAAGCGUCAUAGUUUUAUUAUUUACCUUGACACUUAUUAUAAGCAUCAUUAUUUGAUGGGUAUGUAAUGACGUUCUUGAGAAGUGUCAUAGUUGUAUUGACUUUUAAAAUUUUUGUUUUUAAGUUAACUUAUACAAAUUUUGAUAUUAGAAUAUUAUUCUAUAAAUUAAUUAUGGUAAAUUGACAUUAAUAUUAAUGACAUAAAGUUGCUACAUUAAGGUUUUUUUAAAAAAAUUUGGAUAUAAAUAAAAUAAAAUCCUAAUAAAUUAUUUUUUUAUUGUUUGAUAUUAAUUUUUUUAUAGUUUGUAUCAAUACAAUCUAUUUUCAUAAACUAUUUUUCAUUUUUAUUAAAUUAGAAAUUAUCUUAUAUUUCAUUUAAAAAUAAUUUGUUAAUUUAUUUGUGGACCACAAAAAAGUGGCCUAUUUUGAGCACUUGUUCGAGCCUUGGGCCACAUUUAUUGGGUUUAACCCUUUUAUUUGAGAAGGUUUUAUAGUUAAUGAAUAUAAAUUUGAAAUUAUUUAACUAAAAUGAAAUAAAUUAAUAUUUAAAUUAAUUUAAUGAUGAUUAGACUCACAAUAAAACUAAAUGCAAUAAGAAUAUUUAUAAAAACUUUCUAAUAUUUAUGGGAAUUAAGCUCAUUCUAUUAAAUUAGUUUUUUUUUUAAAUAUCAAUAUUCAAAUUAAACCAAUAUCAACCUAAAAUAUCAAAUAAUUAAACAAUAUAAAUUUAUUAUGAGUUCAAUAUAUAAAAAUUAUUAUUGGAAGAUGAAAUAAAGAAUACUAUUUUAAUUUAUUGAAAAAGGACAUGCAUGAUAUUUUAGAAUUUGUUAUAAAGUCUCCAUUGAAAACCCUAACUUUUGGAAGACAAGAAAGAAGGGAGAGAGCCACCGUUUUUAGUGAGAAAGAAGAGAAGAGAGAAAAAUGCAAGUUUUUCUCAUCAGGCCCAGAUUUCAUCAAAGGUCUGAUCCCACUUUGUCCGUGGUCCGAUCGAGCUGAAAUUUGGAGGAGAGUUUCGUGACUCAUUUAUCUUCAAUCUGAACGGUGAAGAUCGGAUUUGGAGUUUCGGAAAGUCAUUAGAAAGAAAGAGGAGAAGAGAGAAAAACGUAGGUUUUUCUCAUCAUGCCCAGAUUUUAUCAAAUGUCCGAUCCCGCUUCGUCCGUGGUCCGAUCGAGUUGAAAUUUGAAGGAGAGGUUUGUGGCUCAUGUAUCUUCAAUAUGAACGGUGGAGAUCUGAUUUGGAGUUUCGGACAGUCAUUAGAGAGAAAGAGGAGAAGAGAGAAAAACUUAGGUUUUUCUCAUCGUGCCCAGAUUUCAUCAAAUGUCUGAUCCCGCUUCGUCCGUGGUCCGAUCGAGUUGAAAUUUGAAGGAGAGGUUCGUGGCUCAUGUAUAUUCAAUAUGAACGGUGGAGAUCGGAUUUGGAGUUUUGGACAGUCAUUAGAGAGAAAGAGGAGAAGAGAGAAAAACAGUGGUUUUUUUAUAUCAUGCCCAGAUUUCAUCAAAGGUUCAAUGCCGCUUUUUUCAUGGUCUGAUUGAGCUGAAAUUUGGAGGAGAGGUUCAUAAGUCAUUAAUCUUAAAUUUGAACGGUGAAGAUCGGAUUUAGAGUUUUGGAAAGUCAUCUUUCAGCCAAAAACAAAACCUUUAUUUUAUCAAAGAUGGCGCUUCCUGAAAGUGUCAUUGUUGCCUAAGACAUACAAUGACAGAGGCGAAGAGGACGCUUUAGAGAAGCGUCAUCUGUUACCUUUCUUGACGCUUAAAAAACGUCAUAGUUUCCCAUUUUUCUUGUAGUGUAUUCUCUUUUGUAAGCUUCUGCCAAUUGAAUAAGCUUCAAGAGUUAGAUCUUUCUUACAACUUAUUCCAAGGGAUCCUUCCUCCAUGUUUGAAUAAUUUGACAUCUUUGAGGUUAUUGGAUCUCUCUUCCAACCUAUUCUCCGAAAAUCUUUCUUCCCCUCUGUUACCUAAUCUCACAUCCCUGGAGUACAUCGAUCUCAGUUACAAUCAUUUUGAGGGUUCAUUCUCUUUCAGCUCUUUUACUAAUCACUCCAACCUUCAAGUGGUCAAACUUGGAAGGAAUAACAACAAGUUUGAGGUAGAAACUGAAUAUCCAGUUGGUUGGGUUCCCCUGUUUCUGUUGAAAGCUCUUAUCCUAUCCAACUGUAAGCUCAUCGGUGAUCCUGGUUUCCUUCGACACCAAUUAAGAUUAACCGUGGUUGAUCUCUCCCAUAAUAAUUAGACUGGAAGUUUCCCCAUUUGGCUGCUUGAUAACAAUACAAGACUAGGAUCUCUAGUUCUGAGGAAUAACUCUUUAAUGGGUCAACUACUUCCCCUGAGACCUAAUAGUCGUAUCACUUUAUUGGAUAUCUCAGACAACCGACUUCAUGGGGAACUUCAACAAAAUGUGGCCAAUAUGAUUCCAAAUAUUGAGUUUCUAAAUUUAUCCAACAAUGGUUUUGAAGGUAUUCUCCCAUCCUCAAUAGCCGAAAUGAGUUCCUUACAGUCAUUAUAUUUGUCUGCUAAUAGUUUCUCAGGGGAAGUACCAAAACAAUUGCUUGCGGCAAAAUAUUUGUGGCUUCUGAAAUUAUCAAAUUAUAAAUUUCAUGGCGAAAUAUUUUCAAGGGACUUUAACUUGACUCAGUUAGGGUUUUUGCAUUUGGACAAUAAUCAGUUCAAGGGAACACUGUCAAAUGUAAUCUCCAGAAUCUCUAGGUUAUGGGUGUUGGAUAGGUAACAUGACCGAUUUGACUACACUGGUGUUGGGCAACAAUAGUUUUAAAGGCAAAUUACCACCUGAGAUUUCUCAAUUGUUGGGGAUGAUAUUUCUUGACGUUUCUCAAAACGCUCUUUUAGGAUCUCUUCCUUCUUUGAAGAGCCUGGAGUAUUUAGAUACCCAGAGAUUGAUACCCAGAGAUUUUCUCAAUUCCUCAUAUCUAUUGACUUUGGAUAUCAGAGACAACAGGUUAUUUGGAAGUAUUCCCUAUUCAAUCUCUAGACUUUUAGAGCUAAGAGGAAACCUUUUAAGUGAUUUCAUUCCAUAUCAGCUUUGUCAUUUGACUAAAAUAAGCUUGAUGGAUAUUUCAAACAACAAUUUUUCUGGGUCAAUUCCCGGAUGCUUUGGUCAUAUCGGAUUUGGAGAUUUCAAAACUGAGCACAAUGUGUAUAUACCGAUGUUGGAUUCGUAUUCAGAAAGCAAUCCUUCUAUAUAUACGGGUUACUUAAUAAAAUAUUUAUUUUUCUCUAGUGAACUCCCUGAUGAAGUAGAUGAAGUUGAGUUUGUUACCAAGAAUAGGUAUAGCUCCUACAGAGUAGAUAAAAAUAUUUGUUGGGAAUUUAGAUAUUUUUAUAGGAAAGUAGACAAGUAUUCUAAUUUAUAAAAACAAUGCAUUUCUUUAGUUUGGUAUAAAAAAAAAUGAAACGAUAGGUAUUGGUAUUUUUUUUAAAGCAACAAACGUUUUAUUUUAUUUGUAUUUAAGAACAAUGUCUUUUCUUAUACUAGUUAUUUUAAUUUUCUUUUGACAGAUUUUGCAAGCUUAAGCAAUUUGGAGAUACUAGAUUUGAGUUCUAAUUCCUUAAGUGGGAUUAUUCCAUCAUCUAUAAGAUUGAUGUCUCAUCUCAAGUCUUUAUCCUUGGCCGGAAAUCAGCUCAAUGGUUCUUUACAAAAUCAAGGUACAUAUGUUAUGAUUUGUUUGUUUCAUAUGGAUUAGAGAAGAUGAAUAUUGUAAAAAAAAAGUUGUAGUUAAUGUAAGCUAGAAAUAAGUAUCUUGCCUUAUAAAUUAUAUGAGCAUGUGUUUGUUCUUAAUGAAUCUUUACAACAUUUAGAGUUACCAAUGUUUAUAAUUCAUAAAGACCUCAUUAACCGUGAGUAACAACUAAUUGUAAGUAAUUGUGGAAAAAGUAAGGAAAACAAAAUGAGGGAAAAGCAAGGAAUUAGGAAAUUAUUUUGUUCCCAUUAAAAAAUGCUAAGGAAGAAAAAGGUAAAAGAAAGUUUAAAAAAAGUGUAUUUUUCAAAAAUUUAUUUCUCUUUCCUUUAAUUUUGCUAUGGACAACCAAACAAGAAAAUUAUUUUAUAAUUCCUUUUUUAUUUUUUUCAUUCUCUCUCUCUUUUUUCCCCUACUCUAUUUCUUUUCCCUCAAACUUUCUUGGUAGUAAACACAACCUAAGAUAAAAUGGGGAAGAAAAUUUUCAGUUUUUUUUUUAUUUUUUUAGAAUGUUUUCUUACUUUUUAGUAUUUUAUGCAAAUAUAGGAAAAUUAUUUUUUUUUCUUUUUUUUUCUUGCUCCUUUUCGGACAUGAAUCACACUUUAAAAGAAAAUUAAUUUUUAAUUAGGAGUUAAGAUAAAUUUAAGGAGAAACAGUGAAUCACGAAUAACAAAAAAAUAAGGAAAUUGAAUUUUUGAAAGUAAGUAUAAUCAAAUUGCUUCAUUUGAUACAAAAUUUGAAUAAAAAUUCUUUCAAGGAAAGGAAAAAACAUUUUUGUCUCUAGAUUAUAAUACUAAAUCAUGUAAAAAAUCUCUUAACAUCAUUUAUAUUCAUAUUUAUUUUUGUAGAUUUGAAAAAUUCAACAAUUUGGAAUAAACUUAUUCAAUGAAUAAUAAUUUUUAGAUUUAAAGAUUAUUAUUUAAGAUCAUAAAUAUUACCAUGAUUGUUGAUGUCUAAGAAGAUCAUAUUCAACAAUUUUUUUAAUAUGUUGUUUUUUUAUGGUAAUUAAUUGAUGUCUUGUAAUUUUUAAUAUUUAAUGAAAAACAUUAUUUUAAUUCAUCUAGAGCUCUUAAUUCAUGAAGACCUCAUUAAUGGUGAGUAAUAGUUGGCUGUAAGUUUGGAGUCAAAGACAUGUCAAGGAGAUGAUUAGUUACAUGUCUUAUUCUCUUUUGUAGGUUUCUGUCAAUUGAAUAAGCUUCAAGAGUUAGAUCUUUCUUACAACUUAUUCCAAGGGAUCCUUCCUCCAUGUUUGAAUAAUUUGACAUCUCUAAGGUUAUUGGAUCUCUCUGUCAACCUAUUCUCCGGAAAUCUUUCUUCUCCUUUAUUACCUAAUCUCACAUCCCUGGAGUACAUCGAUCUCAGUUACAAUCAGUUUGAGGGUUCAUUCUCUUUCAGCUCUUUUGCUAAUCACUCAAAGCUUCAAAUGGUCAAACUUGGAAUGAAUAACAACAAAUUUGAGGUAGAAACUGAAUAUCCAAUUGGUUGGGUUCCCUUGUUUCAAUUGAAGGCUCUUUCGCUAGACAGCUGUAAGCUCACCGGCGACCUUCCUAGUUUUCUUCAAUACCAAUUCAGGUUAGUGGGGGUUGAUCUCUCACAUAAUAACUUGACAGGAAGUUUUCCCAAUUGGCUGCUUGAAAACAAUACGAGACUAAAAUCUCUAGUUCUGAGGAAUAACUCUUUAAUGGGUCAAUUACUUCCCUUGGAACGUAAUACCCGUAUCCAUUCAUUGGAUAUCUCACACAAUCAGUUGGAUGGACAACUUCAAGAAAAUGUGGCCCAUAUGAUUCCAAAUAUGAAAUAUCUAAAUUUAUCCGACAAUGGUUUUGAGGGUAUUCUCCCAUCCUCAAUAGUUGAACUAAGAGCCUUAUGGUAUUUGGAUUUGUCUACCAAUAAUUUCUCUGGAGAAGUACCAAAGCAAUUGCUUGCAGCAAAAGAUUUGGGGGUUUUGAAAUUAUCAAAUAAUAAAUUUCAUGGUGAAAUAUUUUCAAGGGACUUUAACUUGAUUAGGUUGGAAGUUUUGUAUUUGGGCAAUAAUCAGUUGACGGGAACUCUGUCAAAUGUAAUCUCUAAAAGCUCUUGGUUGGGGGUGUUGGAUGUGAGCAACAACUACAUGUCAGGUGAAAUUCCAAGCCAGAUAGGUAACAUGACCUAUUUGACUACACUGGUGUUGGGCAACAAUAGUUUUAAAGGCAAAUUACCACCCGAGAUUUCUCAAUUGUGGGGUUUGGAGUUUCUUGACGUUUCUCAAAAUGCUCUUUCAGGAUCUCUUCCUUGUUUGAAGACCAUGGAGAGUUUAAAGCAUCUACAUUUGCAAGGGAACAUGUUUACAGGAUUAAUACCCAGAGAUUUUCUCAAUUCCUCACAUUUAUUGACUUUGGAUAUGCGAGAUAACAGGUUAUUUGGAAGUAUUCCCAAUUCAAUCUCUGCACUUUUGAAGCAGCUAAGGAUUUUUUUGCUGGGAGGAAACCUUUUAAGUGGUUUUAUUCCAAAUCAUCUUUGUCAUUUGACUGAAAUAAGCUUGAUGGAUCUUUCAAACAACUCUUUUUCAGGGCCAAUUCCCAAAUGCUUUGGCCAUAUCCGAUUUGGGGAGAUGAAAAAGGAAGACAACGUGUUUGGACAGUUCAUUGAAAUUAGGUAUGGAAUGGAUUCUCAUCUUGUAUAUGCAGGUUACUUGGUGAAAUAUUGGGAGGACUUAAGUUCAGUAUAUAAGGGAAAAGAUGAAGUUGAGUUUGUGACCAAGAACAGGCGUGACUUCUACAGAGGUGGCAUCCUUGAAUUCAUGUCUGGAUUGGACUUAUCAUGUAACAACUUGACAGGCGAAAUACCUCAUGAACUUGGAAUGCUAAGUUGGAUUCGUGCAUUGAACUUGUCUCACAAUCAAUUGAAUGGCUCCAUUCCAAAGAGUUUCUCCGAUCUUUCUCAAAUAGAGAGCUUAGACCUUUCUUAUAAUAAAUUGGGUGGAGAAAUUCCUCUAGAGCUAGUUGAACUCAAUUUUUUAGCGGUGUUUAGUGUGGCUUACAACAACAUCUCUGGUAGAGUUCCAAAUGCCAAAGCACAAUUUGCAACAUUUGAUGAAAGCAGCUAUGAAGGUAAUCCUUUCCUUUGUGGGGAACUAUUAAAGAGGAAAUGCAACACAAGUAUUGAGUCACCAUGCGCACCAUCACAGUCUUUUGAAAGUGAGACAAAAUGGUAUGAUAUCAAUCAUGUUGUUUUCUUUGCAAGUUUUACUACUUCAUAUAUCAUGAUCUUGUUAGGAUUUGUUACCAUCCUUUACAUCAAUCCUUAUUGGCGUCAUAGAUGGUUCAAUUUUAUUGAGGAAUGUGUAUAUUCCUGCUAUUAUUUUGUUUUUGAUAGUCUUUCCAAGUUCUCAGCAUAUUUGUAUAAUUAGAUACUUUUAAUUGGAUGAUGUUUGCAUAAUUAACUACUAUUUGUUUCCAUGGGAUAAAAAGAAAUGGGAUUAUAAUUGCUAUGAGUUGAAACUUACAUACUUUGCUCAAAUUCUAACAUCUUUUGAUUUUAUUUUCAAGUUCCGUUAUUUAUUAUGUAUUGUUUAAUUCAAGAUUUAACCAUAUUAUGCUACUCUUAUAAAAACAAAUUCAAAUUUUUAGGAACUUAGCAUUAAAAUAAUUUCAUAGUCAGAUUUUUAAAAAUAAAGAAGAAAGAAAAUAAUAAAUAAUUAGAAAAACAAUUCAAGGGAGUAUUAAAUUAUUAUCUUAGAAUUGUUUGGCGUAGUAUGGGAAUUCAAAAAUAAUCUUUCAAUUUGUUAGAAAUGUUUAUUUAUUUAUUAUAGCAAUGAUUGAAAUAUCAAUCACAAAGUAAUGUUUUCUUUUCUUUUGUAGGGCACUAACAUUUUUUCUUUGAUUGUAAUAAUUGAUAAAUAUAUUACACAAUUAUUUGUUUUAAAGAGGGGAGGGAUGACAAACAUAAUAACAUGUGAAAUAUUUCUAAAACUGUGAUGGGAAAUAAACCAUCUAAUUAGGGUGCAAUAUUAUUCAUUUUAAUUUAUAUGAAUUUACUUAUUUUUAUUUCCAUCAUAUUUUGAACUAUUUUUUGAAAUUAAGGGAGAUUAAAACAUCAUGAAUUUCUUAGUUUAAUUUAUAUUUUUAAUAAUAAAGCAUGAAAUAUUUAAAAAAAAAAAAGAAAAUCAUGAAUUUCUUUAAUUCCUUAGGAAACCAAUAUAUAAAAAAAGUUGAAUAUAUUAUUAUUUUAUAUCCUAAAUUUCUAAAUUUGUUCAUCACGUAUUUAUUUUUAUAUUAAAUUUAUUAUCAAUAAUUAUUUAUUAUAUAUUAUUAUUUUAUAUUUAAAAAUGUUCAUAAAUAAUUAAAAUUAAUAAAUAUAAAAAAUGAAAUAUUAAAAAAUUAAAUUAAAAAGAUUUCAUCAAGCUAACAUAUUUUGAUAAAAAAAAAAAGAGUAAAAAAGAAGAUGGGGAUAUUAUAGAGGUGGGGAAAAAGAUAAAAGAAAAAUCAUGUGGUAUAAUAAUUGCCACGUGUUAAAGUUAUUUUCUUUAAAAAUUAAUUAUAGUAAUGAUGAACUCAUUUGUCUUAUCAAAGUAAAUAAAAAUAAAUAAAUAAAAGAAAAAAAGAAAAAGAAAAAAAGUGGUGGUUGAUUGGAGGUUAGAGAGGAGGGUUUGAAGGUAAAUUUGGAAUAUUGAUUAUUUUCACUAAGUAGAUAUUUUGAAAGUUAUUUUCAAUGUUUUAAAAACCGGACCGGCCGGUCCGACCGGUCCAACCGUCGACCGGUCACCAUUCCGGUCCGAUCCGGUCAUUUGGACCGGAUUGAGAUCGAACCGGAGUUGAACCGCUCGAACCAGCGGUUCAACCGCUGAACCGGACAAACCGAUCGGUUCCAAGGGAACCGGCCAAUUCAAAUAAUUUUAAUUUUAAAAAAAAAAUUACACAAUAAAAAUAUUACUGUGGGUAAGCUGCAAGCAUGAAAGGUAGGAUUCCAUGUUGGGCCUGUCUUGUGACAAGCCCACACACCCACUCCAAUUACCCUGGGCCUCUUUUUUGAGCCCACAAGAUCAUGCCAAGGCUUUGCUGAGGAUGGCUUUUAUAGGAGUCAUUUGACUCCUUGUUCCUCUCAUAUUCCGAUGUGGGAUUGCAUUUUAUCAAUGAAAAAAAACAUAACAAACAUAACAAAACUCCACCAACAGAAUUUGAACCUUGGACCAAUCUUUAACUCUAGUCCACCUAGGAAACCACUCGGCUACAUGUGUUUUAUCAUCUAAUGUGCCAAACAAAAUAAUAUAUAUUAGAUUUUAAAUUUUUUUAUAAUAUUAAAUAAAAAUAAUAUAAUAUUUUUAAAAAUUAUGAAAUUAGUUUAAAUUUUCAUUUUUUUUAUAUUCACAUUUAAAUAUUAUACAUAUUUCAUUUAAUAAAAUUUAAAAUAUUAAUAUGAUUUAAUUUGAUAAUAUCAAAGAUAUAAAAUAAUAUUAUUGAUGUUUAAUUUAUUCAUAUAUAUUUUAAAAUUUUUUAUAAUUAUUUUUAAUUUUAAUAAUAUAUAAAUUAUAUAUUUAUUACGUCACCGGUUCGAUAGCGGUUCGACCGCCGGUCCGACCAGUGAACCGUGAACCGGUAACUUUUCCAGUUCGAUCACCGGUCCGAUUCUGAAAACAUUGGUUAUUUUGCCUGAAACCCAUAUUGUUUGAAAAUAAAAAAUCAAAGUUUUAAAAAAAUACAAUUUUUUUGAAAUGAUGCAUGAUUAUAUCAUUCCCCUAAUAGAUUAUUUAUUCCUUUAAACUUUACUUCAAAUAAAAUAGUUUUAAUUAUUUUCUUUUUGGAAUUAUAUUUAACAUAUUAUUAAAAAUAUAAAAAACAUUUUAAUAAUAUUGUUAAUGAGUUUAUAUAUAUAUAUAUAUAUUGUAAAAUAAUUAAAUUUAAAAAUAUUUAAAUUUAGUUAUGGGCUGCCCAUUUCAAAAUAAUAAGAAUCUCGUAACCUAAUUUUUCCAAAUUCCAGGUAAAUAUGCUAAUCUAAAAAUAAAAAAUAAAAAUUAGGUUUUUAUGCUCUCCAAUCUACCACUUAAGCAUCCGACAUGGCUAAAAUAAAUUACAAAAAAAAAAAAAAAAAAAAAAGGAAAAAAAACAAAAGUGUGUGAUCCUCUUUCUCGAGUCUUCACAUUUUGAGACACUGAAACCAAAUCAAAAUUAAUCCUUCAAAUUAAUUUUCACCUCCAAACAUGGCUAUCCGAAAAACCCUAACGUCUGCCUCCUCUUCCUCUUAUCCCGGAAACCUAAAUUCCGUGACCCUAACCCCUUCUCUUUCCGAAAACCCUCCGGAAUCGGAAGAUUCAUAAUUCUUCAGAAUUAAUUUUCACCUCGAAGCCAAACCCUAACUGCCUCAUCUUCCUCUCAUUCAUAUCCCAAAAGUAGCUUCAACAGUCAGGCCUGUAGCCAUGAAAGCCGUAGUGAUCACUACUUCCGGUGAUCCCCAAGUUCUCCAAGUGCAAGAAGUCGAAAACCCUGAAAUUGGAGAUGAUGAAGUUCUAAGUAGAGUGGACGCCGCUGCCAUUAACCGAACAGAUACGCUCCAGAGGAAGGGCUUGCACCCUUCCUCAAAGGCGGCAGUCCCUACCCGGGUCUCGAAUGUUCUGGAAUCAUCGAAGCUGUUGGAAAAGCCGUCGUUCGAUGGAAGGUUGGCGAUCAGGUAUUUCAAUUGCCUAAUAUUUUGAUUUCGUUUCUGUUCCUCUGUUUUUCUCGGCUAUCAAACACUAGGAACGUGUAAAUAAGGAGGUUAGUUGAUUGCGAAAACGGGAAUUUUUUGUUCGUGUCUGUGUUAAGGAGUCUUUGUUGAGAAUUUUGGGGAAAUUUAUGAUAGGUUAAAUUAUUGAGCUUAUUGGUUUUCAAAUUUAUGGUUGUAAGAAAAUUGGUCAGUGUAAGGUUAUGGGUUCAUUACCAAUUUGCUUAGUGAAAAUUUUUCCACAUAUUGUGGACCGGUUUGGUAGCAGAAAUAAGAACUGUGUUUUGUUUUUCAAAACGGAAAUGGAUGCAGAAAACAUGUUUGGUAGCCUACUUUCAGAACUUGUUUCCGAAAAUAUUUCCUGAAAAUGAAUUAUUUCAGAACUUGUUUUUAAAAAAUUCAAACACUUUAUCAAUUUAAAAGGUUCUGAAAUGGACAUGUUCAUGGUCUUCAUUUUUUAAAAUUAAAGCUUUUAUGAAAAAACCAUUUUCCCUUCUACUAAACAAACAGGCUCUAUAUUGUAACAGAUCGAUUGGCCAUUUCCUUUGUCAUGUUUUGUGAAUCAUGGCAACACUGGAAUCCACUCCAUUACCAUCUGUUAGUGAUUAGAAGACAAAGCACCAAUUUUAAUGAUAUCCUUUAUGUGAUUUUGCUUCCUCCUGAGUACAAGUUCAUAAUAUACAUGGUACAUGGUGAAUCUGUAUGACAGUUCAUGGUAUACAGGUGUGUGCUCUUCUUUCUGGUGGAGGGCAUGCUGAAAAAGUGGCUGUUCCAGCUGGGCAAGUUCUCCCUGUCCUAUCUGGUGUUUCUCUGAAGGAUGCUGCUGAGGUUGCAUGUACUGUUUGGUCAACUGUUUUAAUGAUGAGCCGACUGUCUGCAGGAGAAACAUUCCUGGUGAAUUUUUUGUCUUUUUUAUUUUCUGAUGCCUGAUAUAUUUACCAGCACAAAUUUACCCUGUUGCUGUUUAAUGUGUGUGCAUCAAUAUUGGAUUAGGGAGGUAGAAGAGCCAUGGUUCUAAUUAAAUCAUUACAUCAUCAUAUUCUUAUUUAGAUACAUUGUAUCCCACAAUUUCAUUGCAUCCAAGGCUAUGUUGUUUUUUAUUGCACGGUUUGUCAUGGUAAUUUCUCAACCCUUCUCUGGAAAAUUAUGUUGGAUGGCUGCUAUUAAUUACCCCAAAAGAAGAAAUUUUAUGUUGAAGUAAGAUGAGUAGCACAAAGAGUUACUUGUGGUUGAUCCUAUCAUCAAAUGGGCGAUUGAUGCACAAUCCAAAUGGUAAAUUUUUUUCCCCCUUUAUCCAGAUGGAAUUUUUAUGCAUGGUUGAAUAGUGAAAUGAGAGGACUGAUAAUAUUUCAGGUUCAUGGGGGUUCAAUUGGAAUUGGUACCAUCUAUUCAAAUAGCGAAAUACCGAGGAGCAAGGGUAUUUGUUACAGCAGGUUUGCCAUCACUGUUCUACCUCAUCUCACAGAAUGCUUAUCUCAUGGCACCAAUUCCUUUUCUUCACAUGUUUUCAACCAUUUUUUCCACCCAGGAACGAGGAAAAAUUAGCUAUUUGUAAGGAUCAUUGAGCAGAUGUGUGCAUCAAUUACAAGACUGAAAACUUUGUUGCAUGGGUGAAGGAGGAAACAGGAGGGAAAGGUAUAUUCUAUUGUAUCUUAACGAUAAUUUCAAUUGAAGGUGGAAUUGCUUUUUAUUUUUUAGUGCACCAAAUCCACUAGUCUGGAAUGUUUGAAAAGAUAAAUAGUCAUCUUCCACUUGAUUCCGAUUGUGAAGAUCUAACCCCAAAAAUGUUGAAUGACAGGUGUUGAUGUUAUACUGGAUAAUAUUGGAGGGGCCUACUUUUGGGGAGACAUCAAUGGUUUAAAUGUUGAUGGAAGGCUUUUUAUUAUUGGUUUUCAGGGUGGAACAGUGGUACAAGUAAAUCUUUCAGGUUUACUUGCAAGGCGCCUUACAGUGCAAGGUACUGCUUUCUCUGUAGAAGAUUUUUCUGUAGUUUUGGAGUUGAAUCAAUUUGAUUAAUCUCAUCCAAGUUCAGAACUGAGGUGGAUUCUGGCAAGCCAAGGAAAAACCAAAUUACCAUAAAUUCUUUUUUUUUUUUCUGGAUCGUUUUACUUCUUGGAAAUCCUGUUUCUCGAUCUGUUAAUCACAUGGUUUGUUUUUCUUUAUUGUCCCUCUUUCUUUUCUUGUUGGUACCAAAUCCCUAAGAUGUGGAAGCCAAGUGAGCACUUUCUAUCUUUUCUUGUUUCAAUCUCUCAUCCUCUUGUGCACAUUGAGCAAUAAGCUCAUUCAAAGUCCAUUUUUCCUUUUGUGUGUUGUAACUGAUUUUGAAUGGACUGAAUUGUGUAGGCAGAGAGAUCAAGACCAAGUGCACGAGUAUGUCUUCCGAAAACUCUAACUUUAGUGCCUUUAGUCUAGUCACAAGAUUAGACAUUUCCAUAAUAUACUCCCUUAUAUUCUCUUUCCCUUUAUACCGCAUAGAGACAAGCUUACUAAGAAUAGUGUUUGUCUCAACCUUUUCAUUUGCAGCGAUCAAUUUGCUAUCUGGUCUAAGAAUGCCUUGGCUCGAGUUUUCUCAGGUAUUGCACCCCUUAUAACUUUUGGAAUUGAGUGCUUCGUUAUUAUUAGACUCAUGCGAUUGGAUCGCUCCCAUUUUUCCAUAGUAGACCUUUGCUCAGCAGUGCUGGCACUAGUAAGAUCUGGAGGGCGAUCCUCUCUUAAUGCAUAGUCUAAAUCCAUGCACCCGAGCACAAUUAUAGCGUGUUCCUUCCAUUUCUUGAAGUUUGUGCCAUUAAGGGCAGGAAUGUUAUUGACAUUUGCAGAUAUAGAAUAUGUUGAAUUCAUAAUAAUAAAGCUCACAAUCAGCCACAUAAACAUCAUACAUACAUGAAAAAUAACAUCAUACAAGAUACCUAGUACAAACAUUAAUAUUCUGUCUUUUGACAAUAAAUAUUAACUUGUAAUUGGUAUCCUUAUACAAAAUUAAUUCAUAAAUAUUGACAAUAAAACCAAAAACAAUGUGCCUCUCUUUGGACUAACAUAUUGAAUGCAAGAUAAACUUUAUAUGUCACAUAUUUAUGACUACUUUAUUUAUUAUUAUAUUAAAAUAAUCUUUCUUUGGGUCGCUUAUUUUAAAUAAUAAUAAUAACAUGUUUAGAUAUUAUAAAAUAAAUAAAUUAUAUAAUAUAAGUUACUUUGGCAACUAACAUACAUAAUUCAUUUAUUUUUUGUUGUUUCCUUCCUCUUGGAUCUUUUGUUUGUGUUUUAAAAAAAAAAAUGUUUCAGUGAAAAUGGGAAAUGCAACCAGGCUCUAAUACCAUUUUGUGGGACGUUCAUUCUCCAUUAUCAUCGAACACAUGCAGGAUAUAUUUAUAUAUAUCUAUCAAUUCAUUCAAAAUAUGCCGAUGGGAAGCCAGAGAGAACAAGUUCUAUUUUUAUUUUGAAAACAUUGUUAUCCUUAAAGAACAAACACUAUUAUUUGGAUUUAUACUCUCCUGCCUUAGGGACCAUACCCUUUGGCUAUUAGGCCUCACGAGUCUUAGGCCCAUCAUCUAAGGCUCGUGAUGGCACUGGGCUCUACAUAUAAGGUGGCCCAUACUCUGGAACGAAUAUAAAUCAUAUGUAUAUAUAUGGAUAGCUAAAUCCUGAAUAAUGGUUAAUAUGAUGUCGGUUCACAUUUAUUAUAUCAUAUAGACUUCCCAUCUGAAGAAAAUCGACAACAAGUAGCUUUGCCAUUCUUAGUUCGUAUACAACCAACCUUAGCAAGGGUUGAACCCUUUUAUGCUUAGUUGUGCCAUACAGAUCCUUACCACCGCCUACAACAUGUAAUUGAAAUGAUUCGAUAAUAUCAUCUAGUGAACCAAUACCUCCAAAUGAGAGACCAUUGCCUCAGUAACUAAGACUCACGACUGAGAAUUGCGUGAACCCCUUUGCUUGGGUUGGAGCUUGACUGAUGCACAAAAUAUUCAUAGGCCUCUUCCCAUAACAGGCACCUUGUGUUUGCAACAUAAUUGAACAUGUAUUGAAGUGAGUUUUUUUGCAUCUUUUUGUAAGAAAAUUCUAAACAACAAAGAUUGCUUAGUGUGCCUGACUCCUCAAGGAAUCAAGGUUCAUUCCUGUAGGGCCAGUUUUUUCACAGUCGAACUAGAUAACAUGGAGAGUAUGUUGCAAUGCUUCAACGGGGUAUUUCUUAGGAAAAUCCACCUGAAGCUGGUACAAUUCGUUGGCGUACUGAGUUCCUAAAGCUCUAUUGACUUCAAUCACCCAUCUCUGUAGAUUAUCGGUGACUUUAUGCUCGGAUCCUGUAGGAGGAUUGACUUGACAUUCCACUAGUUUUUUCUGGAAGGCGAUUUUGUUUAACACCUUGUGAGAAGAGGCAGGGGAACUGGUCAUUGUUUCUUCGAGAAGAUCAGUGGCCGAGGAUGGGUUUGGACCAGAAUUGCUAUAUGGGUUUUCUUUGGGUGAACCAAUUAGUGAAAUAGGUGGCUAUAUAGCAACUAAAGGGUGGUCAUACUAACGAGGAGCUAUUAUUUCAUGCAUGUGGAGAGGAAAUGACUAGCUUCUUCAAGGAUAUAUGAUUAUUCAUCUCUAGCUUACGUUGACUAUCUCCUAACAAAUUUCUGCUUUGAAGCUCCCUUAGUUUCACUACAGCUAAUUGGCCAACUUGGUUUCAUCAUGUUUCCUACAACCUCUAAGCAAAGCAUGCCAGAUCACCGAAUCAGGUUCUAUUCGCAUUUUGUCCAUAAACUCCUUUGCCUAUUGACAAUAGACUGCCCCUCAAAAUUUGAUGAGAUAACAUCAACGCUGACAUGUUGGCCAUCCCCAUAAGCAUCUUUAUAGAGAUUGAUUCUAUGUUUAGAUAUUUCUCUCUCCUCAAGUGAGUUCAACUUUUCUGUAGCAUCCUUCUCCUUCUCUACUAAUAGUCUUAGUUGAACAUCCAACCUAUGUUCCCAAAGUGCCAGCAUCUCAUAUCUGAUGACAAGCCAACAACCUUGCCCUUGCUGAGACCCAAAUAAGUAUCCAGAACCAUCAACAUCAACCCUUUCAUAGGCCUUUGUAUUUGAAGGUCGGAUUGGGAUUGCUUUGAAUGCACUGGCACUACAAUACACAAUUGUUUCUUCUCCGAUAAAAACACCACAAAGAGGUGAGGGGACUGGUAUUAGCAAAGAAGUGUUGUUAUCUAUAUUGUUCUAAGCCCGAUUACCCUCAACAAAAUCCUCAUCCUCAUCUGUACUCUUCCAUUACAUCCCUAGGCUUUUCAAUGUGAUCCACAUGGCUUACAGGAAUCCAGAAAUACUGAUCUGUAUAAAAGUUGCUCUUAUGGGGCUCUCCUAGAAAACAUCCCAAUCAAGAUGAUCAACCUAGCUUAGAUGCUCAGCACCCCAAACUUACCAGAAAUAGAGGAAUAAAAAGCAAGGAUAGGAGCCAAAGUAAAAACUAAGGGAAGAGCAAAUAGGAAAUCAAGCAAAACAUGAAUGUACAGAGCCUCAUUUCAGGUGACAUCUUUGGGCUAAUAAUAGGUGGAAUUAACAAAGUAGAUAAGCAUGAUUGUUAUAAAUAUCAAGUUCAAGGAUGAAGUCGUGCAUCAGCUACUUAUAGGGGGAGUCAAGGAAACCAAGAUAAGAUCAAAGAGAGCAUGUAUGCAAAUAAACAGAUACGACAAAAUAGACCAAACAACUCGUGAAUAUCCUCCUACAAAAAACUACUACACGUGGCAAAAAGUGAUGAAACAAAAAGAGUUGGGUCCGCAUAUACAUAUCCUAUUCUAUCCUAUUCCUUCAAAUCCAAAGCAACCUGUAUUUUCAAUGGGAUUUGUUGUGAUGAAUUUUACUGGAUUGUAACAUGUAAAUAUGUUAAAAGAGGCUUGGGACAUUCCUAUAUAGUAACGCAUAAAGGUACUUCCAUUGUGAAGUUGUCAAAAUUGCAAAUUUAAAUUACAAAAUUUGAAAACAUAGAGAUGAAAGAUGAUGAAACCUUCUUUGAAAUUUUAUAUUGAACUCAUUAAUAUUAUUAAUUUUCAUUUCAGUCUAGGGGAAAGAAUUCUUUACUCUAAAGUGGUCACAAAAAUAUUAAAAUUCCUUGUCGAGAGAUUUAGACCUAAAGUGAUCAAUAUAGAAGAAAGUAAAAAUAUUCUAAGUGUAGGUAAACUUGUAGACUCAAAUGACUCUACCUUCUCAUAAAAAAUCCUCAAUUUUAUAAAUUAUAUUGAUUUCUUCAUUUGAUACAAAAUUUGAAUAAAGAUUUUUCAAAUGACAACACAAGGAAAGGGAAAAAAAAAUUCUCUCCAAAUCAUAUUAUUUAAUCACUUAAAUUAUUUAAAAAUAAAAAUGUUUACUGCUAACAUUAUUUAGGUUCAUCUUUCUUUUGAUGGAGGUUAAAAUUCAUAAUUUUGAGGAAAAAGAUGAGGAUUCUCAUUUUUUUUCCAUAUAUGAAUGGGAUUCUCAUUGUGUAUAUGUGGGUUACUAAAUGGCAAAUUUGGGGGCCACCAGAGUCUGCAAUAUGAGGGAAAAAUGAAGUUGAGUUUGUCACCAAGAAUAGACAUGGUUCCUACAAAGGUGGCAUCUUUAAUUUCAUGUUUGGAUUGGACUUGUCAUGUAACAACUUAACAAGUGAAAUCCCUCAUGAACUUGGAAUGUUAAGUUUGAUUCAUGCAUUGAACUUGUCUCGUAAUCAACUAAAAGGCUCCAUUUCAAAGAGUUUUUGCAAUCUUUCUCAAAUAGAGAGCUUAGACCUUUUUAAUAAUAAACUAAGUGGAGAAAUUCCUCCAAAAUUGGUUAGACUAAACUUUUUAGCAGUGUUCAAUGUGACUCACAAUAGCAUCUUCGGAAGAGUUUUAGAUAUGAAUACAUAAUUUGCAAAAUUUGAUGAAAGUAACUAUGAAGCUAAUCCUUUCCUUUGUGGACCACCAUUAAAGAGAAAAUGUAGCAUAAAUGUUGUUGAACCACCUUACCAACCAUUAGAGUCUUCGGAAGAAAGUGAUGCAAAAUGGUAUAAUAUCAAUCUUGUUAUUUUCUUUGCAAAUUUUACUACAUCAUAUAUCAUGAUAUUAUUAGGAAUUUCAACCAUUCUUUACAUUAACCCUUAUUGGUGUCAAAGAUGGUUCAAUUUUAUCGAGAAAUAUAUAUACUUUUGCUAUUAUUUUGUUUCCUAUACUCUUUCCAAGUUAUUAACAUAUUUUGAAUAAUUAGAGAUUUUUGUUUUCAAUAAUAUUUACAUAAUUAACUACUAUUGGCUUCCAUGACAUGGAAAGAAAUGCGAUGAAGGCAACAACCACUUUUUUUUCUCCUCUACUAGUGCAUGAUUGAUAUGAGUUAAAACUUGCACCCUUAUCUUUGCUUAAAUUUUCUCAGCUUUUGUUUCAAUUCUUAAUUAUCAUUUCUUUUAUGUAUUGUUUAAUACAAUAUCCUAAACACAUUGCUUUGAAGGUUACUUAUUUAUUAAGCAUGAUAUUGAUUUUCAUAAAAACAAAUUCAAGUUUUUUAGGAAUUUUUAGAAUUAUUAUAAUUUGGAGUUCACAUUAGAGGAAAAAAGGAAAGAAAAGAAUAGAUGAUUAAAAAAACAAUUUUAGUAAGUAUAAUUUGUCAUCUUCGGUAUAACAAAUGGGAAUUCCAAAAUAAUAUUUCAAUUUGUUAGUCUAUUCCUUAUAGUAUUAAUUGAUAUAUCAAAUAGGAAGUCACGUUUUGAUUUUUUAUUAGCUUGAAUUGCAUGUCACAUAUAUUUUAAAAUCAAGCAUACAUCAGCCGGGAAGUUCUUGUAACAUGCAUGAACAUGAUAUGAUGAAUUGAAUAAUUUUCUUAAUAUAUGUGUAUAUACUACACAUUAUUAAAUCAUAUAUGUAUAUUUAUAGUCGUAUAAUAUAUUUAUAUAAGUAACAAUAAAUUAUAUUGUAUAAGGUAUCGGUAGGAGUUUUCAAUUCCCUCAUACAAUAAUAUCUAUCAAUAAUUGGAUUGGACACCUUGCUGGCCAUGAGAAUGGACUUGACAUUAACACAUAGCCUUGAGUGGUGUUGAUAUUAUUACUUUGAACCAGAACUGCAGUCAUCUCAAAAACUAUAUUAUAUAGAAAAGCAAAAUAAAAACAUUAGUUAAAACAAAUGUCAAGAUCCUUGAAAUCACGUUUCAAUAUGUUAAAUUACCAUUUUUUUAAAUAAAUAUUUUAUAGGUUGUGUGAAUAAAUAUAAUUGCUAUGAAGGUUUCAAUUUAAUUUUACUAGCAAAUCCAUAAUAGGUGAAAAGACAAAACUACCAUUUUUGUUUUUUUUUCUUUAUUUACCUUUUUUCUCUCGUAACCUUACUCCUUUCACCUUUUUGUUUUUUCCUUUUUCUCAACUAACUAUUUUUUUCUUGUAAUUGUUAUUAUCAUUUUUUAUUAUAAAUAUUAUAACCUUAUAUUAUAAAUUUUUAAUUAUAUUUAAACUAACUAAUGUUGUGGUUUUAAUUGACAUGGAAAAGAAUGUGGUUAUACAUGUGAUUGUCGCCUUUUUUUUUUUCCAAUUAGUUAACUAUUGAUACAAGUUAAAAGUAAAAAUUGCAAUAUUAUCUUUAUGUCAAUUUCACCGAUCUUUUGUUUUUAUUUUCAUGUAUCAUUCCUUUUUUGGUUAUUUAAUUAAAAGGAUUAAAAAAAAAAAAUCACAUAUUCACAAGAAUAACCUUCAUAUUUUAAAAACAUAAAUUUUUAUAAAAAUACCCUCCAACUAUAAUUUUUAUAUGUCCCUAUUUCAAAUUCAAACACUUCUUUUAAUAAUAAUAAUAAUAAAAAAGGGCAAAAAUGUCAAACUGGGAUUAUAUUUAUAAUUUUCAAUAAUUAGAGGUUGUUUUUCCAAAGUAAAAAUUAUUUUGUUCCUUUGGCACAAAUAUUUCUUUCUUUUUUGUAUUUUUUUAUUCAAAAUAUUAAACACAUUACCCUCAAGGUUACUAUUUAUUAUGAAUGGUGUUUACUUUACAUUACGACAAAUUCAAAUUUUUUAGAAUUUUUUAAUGUUAAAAUAAUUUGGAGCUUAAUAGGGAAAAAAAGAAUAAAUAAUUAGAAAAGCAAUUCAAAAAAAUAAAAUUUAUCCUCUUAAAUUGGUUUUGUGUAAUACUAUAGAAGCCAUUUCUUGAGUUUGAUAUGGUAGAAUUUGGAUUCAUAUUUAUUUUAAAAUCAAGAAAUUCAAGUGUUGGUAGCAUCAAUAGAAUCUUAAAAAAUUUGCAAAAAAAUAUUUAGGUAGAUCACAUUUAAAUAUAACUAAUAGAAUAAAAAAUUAGUAUUAUUAGGAAGACAUGAUCAAUUAAAUCUUUUUUCUUAUCUAUGACACCGACUUUAUUUUUUUACAUAGUCAAUAUAAUUUAUUACAACUUAUAUGUCAUUAAAUUAUACAUGUUUAUAUUAAAUAUAAUAUAAGAUCAUUAAUGGAAUAAUUAUGCAAGUAAUAUAAAUUGUAUAUAAUAUAAAAAAUUUAAAGUCCAUCAAACUAAUGGAAUCUAUUAUAAUAAGUAGACUAGACACCAUGUUGGCCCGAGUUGGAGGCCUAGGCCAGAUUUUAAAGGCUGGGCUUUGAGUUGCCCGUGGGCCUGAGCCAAGGCCUUCUCUUGGUAUCAUCAUUUUGAAGAAAUAAAUUGCUGAUACAGAGAAAAAAACUAUACUAAAUAGAAAAAUAAAUAAAAGCAUUGACUAAAAUGAAGGCCAAGGUCCUUGAAAAAUAAUCUUAAAAUUGUUGCAUAUAUAAUUUCAAUAAUGCAUAAAUAAUUGCAAUAUAUAUGAUGUGAUAAAGAAUUUGGAAUUAAAAGAAGAUUGAUCUAUUUUAAAUGUGGUUGGAAUAUUUCUAAAUUUGUGAUGGGAAGUUAGACAGCCAAUUAGGGAUCCAUAUUAUUUAUUUUCAAUGAUAUGAAUUUAUUUACUUUUAUUAAUAUUCUUAAUGCAACAAUAUAAAAUAUGUCAAUUUUCUAAAAUUAAAAAAGUAAUUGUAAAAGAAAAUUUUUAAUUAUUUUUAUGAAAUUGAGUUUAUUAUAGCAUUUUUCUUUACAUAAAUUUCUUUUUUAUUUUUAUUUUUUUAAAAAUGAGAUAUGAAAAAAAAAGAUCAAUAUUAGUAAAAGUAAAACCCAAUAUAUAAAAAAUAUGAAUAAAUGUUUAUGAAAUAAGAUUUAAAAGUGAGAAGGUAAUAAUUUUUUUCUCUUUUAAUUCCUAUUCAAUUCAUUACAAAAAAUAUUUUUGGUUUUUAUGCUAAAAUUUAUUGUUUAUUAAAAAAUUCUAGUAUAUCUAGCUAUCAUAGAAGAGCUCCAAAAUUUUAUUGUUUAAGAGAAUAUGUGUUGCCACUUUAAAAGAUUUAUAUGCAAAAGGGAUUGAUAUUUUUUUCCUUUGGAUAUGUUUAGUUCCCGGAAAAUUUGAGGGAAAAUGUGAGGGAAGAAAAAUAGAGAAGAAAAGUAUAACGAAAUAAAAAGUGAAGGAAAAUGAAAAAUAGAUUUAAAGUUAACAAAUUAUUUUCAUUGGUUUUUUCAAACUUAUUUUACUUAUUUUAUUCUAUUAAAUAAAGAUUAACUAAUUUUAAUUAUAUUUGGUUUGAUUUUUAUUAUUUUUCAAAGCAAAACCAAAUAUGAAAAAAAAAACAUUUUUUUUUUUUGUUAUUUUUUUCUUUCCUUAUUACUUUUUAGGACUCAAACAUAGCUUUUAGAUUUGGAGCAUGGAAAGAUAAGAGUAUUGAAUAAUGGUUCUAUAUAUGCCCAUGCCCAUGCCCAUGAUACCAUUGAAAAAAAUGGAGAGAGGGUGAAACCUUUACUAGAUGAUAAAUUAUUCUCUUCAAUGGAAAUCAAAUAUAAUUAUUUUUAUCUUGUAUUAAUUGAAUGUUAUACUCCAUAAACUCAAAAUUAAAAUAAAUAAAAAAUUUAAAAACUAGGACAAUCCCAUUUUUUUUCAAUUUCUUAAAAAGAAAUUAAAUUAUAUUUAUUUAUAUCUAUUUUCAUCCCUACCCAACAAAAUAAAAAAAAAUUAACAAGGUGGGACAUGUAUGAGAAAUUCUCACACUAACUCUCACUAGUUUAUUUUUUUUUAAAAAAAAAAAUAAAAUCAAUUUCUUUUAAAAAAAUUAAACUACAUAAAAAAUAAACAAAUUUUACAAUUUUUUUUAAGAAAAGUAAAUUUCUUAUUUUAUAUAUGUUAAAAAUAAAUAUAAUCUUUUAUUUUUUAUAUAUAUAAUCGGGUAAGGUAGAGUGGGACAAAGAAAUAAUCCCCUUCGAUUCCAAUCCGAAUUUUUAAAAUAUAAAAUAAAAAUCUUAAACUCAUCCCUAAUCCAUUUAUUUUUAAUCCUAAACUUGUCUUAUUAAGAAUAAGGCAAAGUGAGUACAUGAAAACACUUCUUUUAUCAUCAUCUCUACAAGUUCUAAUGUUUAGAUUGCAAUCCAUAUCAAAGAUUUAUAAAGAAAGAACAACAAUGAAUUUCAUAAACAUUUGAAAGCAUAAACAAAGUUUUAAAUAAUAUUGCUUGAGGUGCAAAUAUUAUUUGGCGCACAUGUUGAGGGACUUCAACUGGUGUAGUCUAGGUUUUUUACACUAGUAAGUAAUCUUGAAUAUCUAGAGUAACUUGAUCAAAAUCUCUUUAAUUUUAUUUUCUUUGAUGGUUGUAUGAUGAAUUAGAAUGCUUAUAUAACAUGAUUAAAAAUUUUAAGAAAAAAAAACUAAGAAGAAAGAAAGAAGCAUCGAUCUUCCAAAUAUUGCUUCCACUUUAAUAUCUAGUAGGCUCUAAGAAAAGAACUUUAUUCAUGAAUCAUAACCCAAGUCGAAAAUAAAUUGAACCCAUUUUCUAAGUUAAAUUUUGAAUUUUUUACUAGUGAAUGCAAAUUGGGAAAAUGUAUAUAAAUAUAAUCAAACUAGAAUAGUAGAUUAGGUUUGUAGGUGGAGUUUGUUUGAAUUGUUGGAACUUCCAAGUCGUUGUGGGUCUAGUGGUCCCAUAGCUCUCUAUUAAUUUCCACCAUCAAUUUUUUGCAAUAAAGUCAAGUCAUUCCUAACCCUUAUAUUAAGUUGGCCUUAAAAGUCAAGUCAUUGAUCAUAGUUACAUUCAUGAAUCACAACCCAAGUCGAAAAUAAAUUAAACCCAUUUUUCAAGUUCAACUUUGAAUUUUUUAGUAGUAAAUGCAAAUUGGGAAAACAUAUAUAAAUAUAAUUAAACUAAAAUAGUAGAUUAGGUUUGUAGGUGGAGUCUGCUUGAAUUAUUGAAACUUCCAAGUCAUCGUGGGCCCAAUGGUCCCAUAGCUCUCUAUUAAUUUCCACCAUCAAUUUUUUGCAAUAAAGUCAAGUCAUUCUAACCCCUAUAUUAACUUGGCCUUAAAAGUCCAAUCAUUGAUAGCUAAAUCCCAACCCAAGUCAAAAAUAAAUUGAACCCAUUUUCUAAGUUCAACUUUGAAUUUUUUUUAAUUGGAAAAAUGUAUAUAAAUAGAAUUAAACUAGAAUAGUAGAUUAGGUUUGUAGGUGGAGUUUGCUUGAAUUUGUGAAACUUCCAAGUCGUCGUGGGUCUAGUGGUCCCAUAGCUCUCUAUUAAUUUCCACCAUCAAUUUUCUGCAAUAAAGUCAAGUCAUUCCUAACCCCUAUAUUAAGUUGGCCUUAAAAGUCAAGUCAUUGAUCAUAGUUACAUUCAUGAAUCACAACCCAAGUCGAAAAUAAAUUAAACCCAUUUUUCAAGUUCAACUUUGAAUUUUUUACUAGUGAAUGCAAAUUGGGAAAACAUAUAUAAAUAUAAUUAAACUAAAAUAUUAGAUUAGGUUUGUAGGUGGAGUCUACUUGAAUUAUUGAAACUUCCAAGUCAUCGUGGGCCCGGUGGUCCCAUAGCUCUUUAUUAAUUUCCACCAUCAAUUUUUUUGCAAUAAAGUCAAGUCAUUCUAACCCUUAUAUUAAUUUGGCCUUAAAAGUCCAAUCAUUGAUAGCUAAAUCCCAACCCAAGUCAAAAAUAAAUUGAACCCAUUUUCUAAGUUCGACUUUGAAUUUUUUUUAAUUGGAAAAAUGUAUAUAAAUAGAAUUAAACUAGAAUAUUAGAUUAGGUUUGUAGGUGGAGUCUACUUGAAUUUGUGAAACUUCCAAGUCGUUGUGGGUCUAGUGGUCCCAUAGUUCUCUAUUAAUUUCCACCAUCAAUUUUCUGCAAUAAAGUCAAGUCAUUCCUAACCCAUAUAUUAAUUUGGCCUUAAAAGUCCAGUCAUUGAUAGCUACGUUCAUGAAUCCCAACUCAAGUCAAAAAUAAAUUGAACCCAUUUUCUAAGUUCAACUUUGAAUUCUUUUAAUUGGGAAAAUGUAUAUAAAUACAAUUAAACUAGAAUAGUAGAUUAGGUUUGUAGGUGGAGUCUGCUUGAAUUUGUGAAACUUCCAAGUCGUCAUGGGUCUAGUGGUCCCAUAGCUCUUUAUUAAUUUUCACCAUCAAUUUUCUGCAAUAAAGUCAAGUCAUUCCUAAACCAUAUAUUAAUUUGGCCUUAAAAGUCAAGUCAUUGAUAGUUACGUUCAUGAAUCACAACCCAAGUCUAAAAUAAAUUGAACCCAUUUUCCAAGUUCAACUUUGAUUUUUUUACUAGUGAAUGCAAAUUGGGAAAACAUAUAUAAAUAUAAUUAAACUAGUAUAGUAUAUUAGGUUUGUAGGUGGAGUAAGCUUGAAUUGUUGAAACUUUCAAGUCGUCGUGGGUCUAAGGGUCUUAUAGCUCUCUAUUAAUUUCCAUCGUCAAUUUUUAUGAAUUAAGAUUUAAAAGUGAGAAGGGAAUAAAUUUUUUCUUUUUCAAUUCAUUACAAAAAAUAUUUUUGGUUUUUAUGCUAAAAUUUAUUGUUUAUUCAAAAAAUUAAAGUAUAAAAAUAUAAAAAAAAAUAUAUAUCUUGAUAUUAUAGAAGAGCUCCAAAAUUUUUGUGUUUAAGAGAAUAUGUGUUGCCACUUUAGAAGAUUUAUAUACAAAAAGGAUUGAUGUUUCUCCUUUGACUAUGUUUGGUUGCCAAAAAUUUGAGGGAAAGAAAAUAAAAAAAAAUAGUAAAAAAGAAAAAAUGAAGGAAAAUAAAAAAUAGUUUUCAAGUUAAUAAAUUAUUUUUAUAUGUUUUUUCAAACUUAUUUUACUUAUUUUCUUUCAUUAUAUAAAGAUUAAAUAAUUUUAAAAUGCAUAAUUUCUAACUAAUUUUAAUUAUAUUUAAUUUUUCUUUUAUAUUUUUUAGACGGGAUCCGACACAUGAAAAAAUCCUUUUUUUUAGCAUCUUUUUUUCUUUUCUUAUUACUUUCCAAUAACCAAAUAUAACCUUUAGAUUUAGCCUUUAGACUUGGAGUAUGGAAGGAUACUGAGUAUUGAAAGAAGGUUUUGUAUAUGGCCAUGAUACCAUAGAAAAAAUGGGCGAGAGAGAAAAAACCUUUAUUAAAUGAUAAAUUAUUUUACUACUUACUACAUAAAUAGAUAUUCAUGGAGUGCAUUCUCUAAAAAGCUCCAGUCUCAUGAAAAUGGAAAGAUGGACCGGCCAGUGGACCGGUUCGAGUUUGGAUUUAUGGGCUGCCUCAGCCUAACACGCAUGAUAGGCUGUUGCAGGUGAAGAACUAAUUAAUUUAAAGCCUUCUUCUAUCCUCUCCUAUUCCUCUUUCACUCCAAAUUUUCCACAUGAUAAUGACAAUUCUUUUGUUAAAUGGUAAAAAAAAAAAUUUAACAAUUAAUUUAAAAUCAUUUAUAAAAUCAUGAACUUUGGCAUCCUAAUUAAUGCAAUUUAAACUUUUUUUGUUUACAAAUGAAAUAAGAGGCAACAUAUAAACCCAAAAGUUAAUUUUCCUACCAUCUCUAUGCACCAUUUUAGCUUUACUCCAAUAUAUUUUCUAUGAUUAAUUAUUUUCAUUCAAACAAUAAUAUCAAAAUAUUUUAAAAUUAGACAUAUCAUAAUCAAAUAUCAUUAUAUUAUUAUUGAAUAAUAUUUAAUGUAAUUUAAUAAUCAACGUAUACUUAUAGAAUUUAUAUUUUUUAUUAAUGCAUAUAAUAUUAUUAUCAAAUAUGAUAAAUUAUAUAUAUAUAUUUCUUUAACAAAACAACUUUAAAAUAUCUAUUAUACUUUUAAUUUCAUCUCUAAGAGGUUUUUUUUUUUUUCUUUUUUUUUUUUACAUUUUUAUAAGUUUUGAUCAAUUGUAGGCUAACCAAUAUUUUUUUAUCAAAAUAUCCACCAAUAUAUCUCCGAUAUAUUAGAUAUAUCCGUAACAUCGAAAUACCAAUAUAUCCGCGAUUAUCGAUAUUUUUAUCCUUGAGGGAUAACAACUAAUAUAGUUUUUGCACUUAAUGAUAUUCCUCAACAUUUAGAUUGAUUUGACCAAAAUCUUUUUAAUUUUAUUUUCUUUGAUGGUUAUAUGAUGAAUUAGAAUAGUCAUAUAACAUUAACAGAUUUAAGAAAAAAAGGAUAAAAAAGCUCGUAUUUUUCAAAUAUUGGUUUCAACUUUGAAUAUUUUUAUUGGUAAAUGAAAAUUGUGAAAAACCUACUAAUGCUAAUACUUUUCACCACAUAAUUAAAUAUAAUAAACUAGAAUAGUGAUUCAUUGAUGUCUUAUAAAGACACAUGCCUUCUUUGACUUGUUAGUUGAUUUUUGUAGGUGGAGUCCAUUUCCAUUUGAAUUGUUGAAACUUCCAAGUCCUUGUGGGUCUAGUGGUCUCUCUAAUAAUUCCCACCAUUAAUUUUUUGUGAUGAAGUGCAGUCAUUGAUAGCUACUAUAUCAAUUUGCUAUUAAAAGUCAAGUCAUUGAUAACUAAUAUUCAAUCUUUUUCAAUAUGGAAAUUGGAAUCUCUAGCACUACUCUUCUCAUUGUUCAUUUUUAGGUAAUGUGAGAAUGUGUGAACAUAAAUGUCUUCUAAUCAACCAAUUUUUUUGAAAAAAACAUGUACAAAAUUGCAAAACUUGCAAAAUCAAACUUUCUUGUUGAAUAACCAUAGCUUGAUGGUUUUGAAGAAUCAAAGGAUGAAUCAUAAAAGGGUAUUUGAUAAAAAAUAAAAAUUUAAAAAGUUAAAAGACAACUACUCCCUUAAGUGUAAUAAGUGUAUUUGGUAGCACAAAUUUCCUACCACUUAUUAUUUUUUCCUUUCUUAAAAAAUUAUUUACUCUAUUAAAUAAACUAACCUUGGCUUAGCACUUAUAGCAAAAUAGGUUAAGUAGUUUUUAAAAUUUUAUAAUAUUAGAUUUACAUUUUUAUCCUUCAAAAUUUCAUUAAUGCUAGAUUCUUCUAUAUGCUUAACUAAUAAAUAAUUUUUAGCAUUUUUCUUUUCUUAUAAACAUAAAAAAAUAAAAAUAUUAUUAACUUAUUGGUAUAUUUUAAAAUUUUAAUUAGAUUUAAGCUUUUAUUUGUUUGGAUUACCAAUUAUACAUAUAAAUCCUUUGUUAUUAUUGUUAUUAUUGAAAGAAAGGGGUUGAAUAGGUAGUCCCUCAAUCCCCAAAUUAAAUUCUUUAUUGCCUACUUUUGGUUUAUUCCUUUACAUGAAUUCCUUGGUGAGAGUAAACAUUUCAUUAAUAGAUAAAUAAAAUUGAUUCCAUAUCAUAGGGUAUAAUGUGGAAAAAUCACCAGUCUCAUGUGUUCCUUAGUGGAUCCUUUGGAGCCCUAUCAAAGUUUCAUGAUGAAACCAUUGACUUUUGUUUAACCCAAAUGUGCUUUCAAGACAAAUCUUGAAAGAUUUGAGAGAUGGAGGUUCAAGUCUUUUAUGAACGACCAUGUUCUCUUAGGGUUCAUGAAAUUCACACCUUUUGAUAAAUAAAACUUAUCUAUUUAUACGUCUAAAACCCAGUAUUUAUUUAUUUAAUUAUAGAAAGUUUCUUAGUUUUAAAAACAUUUCAAAAAUCAUUUUUAGAAUCAAAUAAGAAUUUUAGAGAUAAACACAAUAUUAAAAUUUAACAAAAACAAAUUUUCGAAUUAAAAACACAAUAUAAACUAAAUUACAAAAUAUAAAGUAAUUUUUACCCUAAUUUCUUGUUGCAAAACCAAAUGGAACACCUAGAAGGGGAGUGAAUGGGUGAUUUUAAAUUUUUUCAAUAAUUAUUUAUAAGUUAUACCCAAUUCUUUUACCCUGCAAGUUGUUAGGGACUAUCAAUUCUUUCAUUUUGGCAAUUCAAACAAUAUAUCAAAUAAUAAAAAGAUAUAAAUAAUGAGACAUAAAUAUUUUUACGUGGAAAACCCCCCACACUAACCAUGGAGAUAAAAAGCCAUGGAGUCUAAGACCUAUUAAUCUAAAUUCACGGUACGAAAUCAAGUUACACAAAUUUAUUUGACAACUUUACCUUAAAGACUUACUCUACAGUACUGACAACUUGAUUCACAUCCACGACGUAGCAACCCUCGAUUACUCCAAUGGAUCACUUCAAGCUUACUAAAAGGAUGAAGGCCUUCAAACCAAGAUUCAAAAAUCAAUUCCUUGAAUGAGAGAUCAGGAAUGGUGUGCCACUUUAGGCUUUCUCUCUAAGAACUCUAAAAUGAUCUCCUCAAUGAAAACCUUUUAAACAAAAUGAGAUAUUUCUCCACAAUCUCUAACCCUCAAGGGGUUAUAAUGAGAUAUUUAUAAGCAACUAAGUUGAAGAGUUUCGGUUUUGGAAGGUUUCUCAAUUGAAUUUGUGUGAAAAACUCGACAGAAUCAACAUGACCGCUCGAGGCAGCACACUUCCCACUUGAGCGUUUCGGGCACUUGAGCGGUAAGGCUUGCUUGAGUUGUCCUAAGCGCUUGAGCAUUCCAGGCUACUUGAGCAAUCUUGCUCUAUUUCAAAAGUUAAUUUUAAACCAUUUUAAGUUCAAAACAAAAUUGAUUCCCUUUAUACCUCAAAGGAGCCUAACUUGCCACAAACCAAACUUUUUUAGAUAUACUUGUGACUUCCUGGUUGGACGAACAACAACUCUUAAUCUUCAAUGGAGAGCAAGUCACUAUCUAAAAAGAUUUAUAUGGUCAAACAUAAAAAAACAAAAAAAUUGCCAACAUAACAACAAGACUCAAUGUCCAUGCAUGGUCACCUGAAAGGUGACUCCGACCACAAUAUAAUGCAUGUUCUCAUAGAACAUGUGAACAAGAUGGGGAUAGGAAGUCCCCUAGAGAGAAAACAGAGUCUCCUAACCCUACUCUUGAAUGAUGAUAGGGAAGACAGUGUCCUGAAAAGCUUAAAGGUUAAUGGCAUGCUCAGGCUCGACACACCGAUAUGUGAAAGAAGCGUAAUAAUGGUCCCGUGCCACCUGGUAGUGAAAGCGCUCAACCGGAAGUGCAUCUAGGUUAAAAAGACCCUAGAGUGGGAUGCCCUAGACGGUUUCAGUGACCUAGGAAAGGUCACCUCCCUUUGACAUCUAUGACUAGCCAUAUCUAAGGUAUAUAAUAUGAAAAAACAAAAGCUAAAGAAAAUCCAGAGAAAAGCUAAACCACUAAAAAUGUUAAACUCAAUGCGUCGAACAAUACUAUACAAAUGGAAAUGAAAAAUAUGAAGCGAACUGACCUCAGAAGACAAAAGGACAGUAACCCAGAGGGCUCGAAGAGGAAUAGGAAAGAUUGAAAUGAAUAUGGCGUGAUGGAUGACCUUUAUAUAGCUUAUAAGAGUGCUUGAUGCAGAUUAGCACUUGAGCGUCAUGACUAACUUAAAUCAAAUUAUUUAUUAAUAUGGAAAUAUUUUAAAAGUUUCAAAGGAAGUAUUCAAUUUAGAACCUUUUUAGAAUUUUUUUGAAAGAAACAAAAAUAAAGCGUGAAAUAUUAUGUGUUAAAGGUGUUAGAAGACAAUAUUGUCUAAUCCAAAGCCUUACACAUUCCUAAAAAAAAAAAAAAAAAAAAAGGAAAAAGAGAGAUAUUAUAUAAGAUUUUGAUCACAUCUAAUAGAAACUAAUAUUUAGCAACAUAUCACCAAGCACUAUCUUAUCAGAAAGCUCUAACAUGUUGGAAAUUUAUGUAAGGUUCCAUAACAGCUAAAAACUUUUUCUGACGACUCGGUAAUGGACCAUUUGCACUUUAACUACAUUAUUGAAUUUAAAUCAUAUUAGAAUUGUAAUUGACUUCUCUUUUGUGAGACUACAUAUCUUGUAGGAUGGGAUAGGUGAUUCAUUUCAUAUAUGAAAUUUACUUAAUUUAGUAAUGCUUCCAAGUUCAUUAUGAAUCUAAUGGUAUCACAACUCCUUUAAUAUUUGUAAUUUUGUAAUCUUUGUUUCAACUUCUCAAGUCUAGUCAUUUUAUUGGCAUAACUAGUUUGCUUCAAUUAUCUCUCAACUUUAUUAUAAAACUAAGGGAAAGGAUUAUCACGCAUUUUAUAUUAACUUAACCAAACAUCUUUAUAUAUCUUACAUAUAUAUAUUUUUUGUAAAUUUAGGAAAAUUUCAUCCAUUAGCCAUAGUAAGUAAGAAUCAAAUAAGGGAUAUGUAAGCCAAUGGUGAUAUUGAUGGCGUCAAAUCAAUGACAUAGUAGAAAAGUGGAUUGUCUAUUUUCAAACCUUUAUAUUUUCAUCCAAUAGUAAAAAGGUUUAGGCAUCACUUGAAAAGUAGUUCGUUUUUUACCUUGGACUAUGAUUUAUGAAUAAAGUUCUUCUGUUGUAUACCUUUUGUGAUGCCCCAAACCUAAUUUAGGGGUAAAAAAAUAAUUUAGAAAAAAAUAAAUAAAAAGUUAAAUAAAUUUAAUUAAGGUAAAAAUGUAUUUUUGUAUUUAAAAUUCCUAGGUAUCAAUUAUAUAUUUCUUGUCUUCUCUAUUCAAAAAACCCUAUUACACAAAAAUCAAAUAUCAGAGAACAUAGGACAACGCAGGGUUGAAGAUUUGGAGGUUUAGGGUUGAAGAUUAGUUUUCCAGGUAAGAUUCUAACCCUUAAAUUAGUAUUUUAGAUUCGUUAAUUAGUUUGAACACUUUAGAUAUUCUUUGAAAAAUCUGAAUCUACGUUAGGGUUUGUUAAUUUAAUUUUUAAAUAAAAAAGAUUCAAAAUUUAUGAACAUAAGUAGAGUUAUUAUUAAAGAUUGAAAUUUUUUGAAUAUUUGAAUUAAAAAUCUAGAAAAAAAAAGAAGAAAAUAAAUUAUAGCUUUGGAUGUGGAAAAAAGUUAAUAUUAAUAAAUAAAUAAAACUUAUGAGUACGGAGGUAGAAAAAUAUGAGAGUUGAAAGCAAAGAAAAAAAAAAGAGAAUAAGGUUUUGUGGUUGUACGUGUCUCCUUAGUGGAAAAAAGAAAUACAAGGUUGUUUGCAAUAGGAUAUGACAAAGAGAGAGAGAUAAAUGCUUAGAUGUUGAUUUUUGUGGGGAAAAAAAGAUUGGGUAAUGUAGGAGAGAAAUAGGUAGCACUUGUAGAGUUGGUGGGGUUGUUGUAAAAGCUCGUAGGGUAAUUGUUAGGUAGUAGUAGGGUAUGAGAUUAAUUGUUAGGAAACAUUAGGACUUGAAAUAAUAAUAAUUGCUUCUAGUAAAAGUUUUAACUUAGUUUAAGUAUAUAAAAGAAAUAGAUGAUUAGAAUAAGAUUUGGAAGGAAUAUGAAUUCAUAAAAAUUUCGAAAUUUACUAAUUUAGAUUAUUAUUUUUUUGGAAGUUGAAUAUAAUAUAGGUGGUAAUAUUAUUAAUAUAGGAAAUGAUUAAGAUUCUCAAACCUACAAUUUUAGAUAAAUAGUUAAUAGUAAUAGUUGAUUUUUUAUUUUUUUUAUUUUUUAUUUUUUAUGUUAUGUUAAGUGAAUAAUGGAUUCUUUGAUUAAUUCUCUAAGGUUUCUAAGUGCUUCUUUAAGAUAAGGGAUAUUAAUACUGAUUUUGUAAAUGAAAAUAUUUCUUUUUAUAAGUUAUUUUAAAUUAUGAAAAAUUUUAUUUUUAUUUAUGCAUGGAUCAAAUAUAUAUUUUUUCAUGAGAAACAUGUUUGGGCAAUUUCUUUGUUUAUAAAUAAAUAAAUAAAAAAUGAGAACUUUGGAAAUAUAAUGUUUUGUUUUGCAAGUUUAAAAUAAUGAAAUAAAGUUUUUGACUCUGGUUUAUAUGACCUUAGUUAAUGGGUUAUAAUUGUUGACAUUUUCAGCUCUCCAAUCAAUGAUUAUAAUUGUUGAGAUUUUCAACCCUAGCCAACGGGUUAUAAUAGUUGACCUUAUAGCCCUAGUCAACAGAUAUAAUUGUUAACCUUUCGUUUUUCCCAUCUUAAAAAGAACAAAUUUAAGGCUAACCAUUUAUUUGUAAAGUCCCACCUAACUAAGUACCAUUUGUUAUUUAAUAACCAGAGUAAAGAUAUUUUGAAUGUAUUUGAUAUGAAAUUAUUUUGAUAUAAAUAUGAAAAUGUUUGGUUGAAAAGUUCAAAUGUUUAAUGCAUGUUGAAUUCAAAAGUUUUUAUGAAAAUGAUUAUAUGUUAUAUCUCCUAUUUGUAAGUUUGAUCCAUAAAACUGUAUUAAUAUUCCUUAUUGGACUUUGAGCUCAUUCCCCUUUGUUGAGAAUUUUUUUUGGUAUUCUCAGUUUGGGCAAGGAGUGAUGACUGGGUUGGGGAAUUUUCUUUACUAUGAUUUUGGUUCAAUCUUUAUUUUGGACAUUGUAAUUUAAUUCCCAUUUAAAUUAUUUGGGUUUGGAGUUAUUUGGACGAUAACACUUUGAUUGAUGUGUUAGUUUUAAAGUUGAGAAUUGAAAAUUAUAGAAUUUAUUUAUCUUUCUACUUUGAAUAGAAAUUUAGUAAUUGGAGAUCAUCCAGUUACAAGAUGAAUAUUAGAUGAAUAUUUGUGUCGUUUCCACAUUGAGUGUUCAGGCUUAGGGUGUGAAAUGACCGUUAUGCCCUUGGAGUGGGUAUAUUGUUUAUUUGAAUUUAAUGGUCCCCGAACUCCUUAAUUACUCAUAACUUUAUAUCACCUUCUCAAAGUUAAGUUGUUUUACAACUACUAUCUAGCUACUUUUCUCUACUAUGACAACUUUAUUACAUAGUGAUUAAUUGAAAGAAUCUACAUGUCUUAUUUCAUAGGAUAGUUGAUUUUUUUACUCAAUGAAUCUUGCUUUUAUUAUUGAAAAUUUCAAAUCAUUGUAGUCCAACAAUUUACUAUCCUUUGGUAAUUUCAUAUUACAUUUCCAAAGUCUAAUCAUUUAAAAACACUUGUAGUUAAUAUAUUGGCAAUUGCAUUGUGGGAAGUUGUUCACUUGAUUUUAAUGUUGAAACUUUCAAAUUGUUGUAGUCCAACAAUUCCCUAUCCAUUGGUAAUUUCAUAUCACAUUUUCAAAGUAUAAUCAUUUACAAAUACUUGUAUAUAGUAUAUUUGGUGAUUGUAGAGUGGAAAGUUGAUCGUUUUCAUGAAGACCUCUAAAAUAGAAAUUUUUUUCAUUCCAUUUAAUAAAGAAUUUCAUUAAUUGAACAUAUAUGUUUUUUUAACCGGAAAGUAGAGGCCACAUUAUACGAGGCCUUAGGUGACAAUACUAGGUGAGGGUUUUUUUUUUUAAUUUAUUUAUUACUAAAUAUAAAUAAUAUUAUUUAUUGUAUAAUAAAGAUUAUUAUAAUAUAUUUUUUAUAGAUGAAAAAAAUAUUAAUUGAGUUUUAUUUUUUUAAAAUAAUUGUUUUCAAUAAAUAACUUAUUUGUAAAAAGAAAACUAUAAAAUAUAUGCAUUUGAAAAAUAUUUAAUUUUUAUUUGAUUUAGUAUCAAUUAAUAUUUGUAAUAUUUUUUAAUAUUAUAGAAGUUAACAUACUCAAUCAAGAUAUUCAAGAUCAAGAGAAUAUUUAAGAUUGAAUUAAUUUCUUUAUUGUUUAUGUUUUAGUAAAUUUUUAUAUCCAUUACAAAUUUUUUAUUGUUUAUUUUUCAUUCAAUGUUUGCAUUUUUUAAUAGAUAUUAAAACGAUUUUUUUUCUUGUAUGUUAAAAAAAUAUUUCAAUGUCUUUAAAAAUAAAAUAUUGCAGUAAAAUCAAAAUUACAUUGUGAAACUUUAAGCGAAUGUUUUAUACUUAAGAAGUGCCAAUUAAAGUAAGCAUGCAUCUACAAUUGUAAUUUAGAUGUCAUACUGAAACAAUAGUUCUCUUUGACUAUAUCAUAAAAUUUGGUUCGAAUUACUUUAAGUCGUCUUGUAGAUUUUCAAGUUCCAAUGAUAUGCAUCAAGUAUGUGCAACAUACUUGAUAUAACUAAUAUUUUCUUAAGUAAUUGGACACUUUUUUCUAUAAAUUUACUUGAUUAUCAAUGAAUACUUUUAUGUAAGGUAUUGAUAUAAUUCGAUAAAUAUUUUAAAAUAGUAUUAGAAUAGCUUUGCUCUUUCCCAAUUAACAAAUUUACUAAAUUAACUUAUAUAUAUUUGUUUAUUUGAAUUUACUGGUAUUUGACUCAAAUUGUUAUUAUUUUUAAAAUUAUAGGAAAACCAUUAUUUAUAGAGUUUAAUUAUAUUUGGUAAAUUAUCUUUUUAAGUUUGGCUAGGAUUAGGAAACUAUUAAUUUAAGAUUAAUCCAUAAGGCUCUAUAAAUUUGCAGUUUUAUUUAGGAUUUAAAAAAAGAAAGAAAAAGUAAGAAAAAGUGAAGAGAGAUAGGCAAAGAGUGCAUUGGGUUUUAAAUAAAGAAAGGUUGAGAGAGUUUUGAUUACUACUCAAAAAGAACAUAUUUUAGAUAGUAAUUCUCAUGGGUUUCACAUCUUUUGAGUAUUAAUUAUGCCUAAAAAUGCUCAAUUAACAUGUUGUUGCCUUUGCAAGAGUUACUAACAAGUUUUAUAAAGUUUUGGAGUCAUUUCAAGUUAUGAUUUUAAUAAAUUGGUGACGAAAGAGAUGAAUUGAUUUGAAGAAGGCAAAUAAUAUUGAUGAUGAUCCAAAUGCAUAAUGAAAGAAGCAAUAUAAUUAGUUUGAUCGGGAUUUGCUGCUAAUUUGGAGGUAGUUAAGGUGGAGUCAAAAGAAGAAAAUGGAAGAAAUGACAAAGAGGAGCUUAAAAACCAAAUGUUGCAGAUUUGUAUGAUCAUGCAAAAAUUACAUGACUAUGCGAAAUGGAUUAGAGAAGGAAAAUUGACUAUAGUAUAAGGAGGAUGCUUAAGUUGAUUUCGCAUGAACAUGCGAAAAUUUUGCACAAUCAUGCGAAAUGGUCCAGAAAGCUCUCUAAUGUUGUUGUUGCUCCACUAAUUUCACACCACCAUGCGAAAUUGAUCUUUUCAUGCAAAAUGGCUGAAGCUCAUGUGAAAUCAUGAUUUUGAUGCUAAACUCUAGAUUUGUGAAUUUGGAAGGUUUUAGAAGAUCAAUGAGAAGUUGCCAAGUGUCCACUUGACCUUGGUCUAUAAAUAGAAACUUGAAUUUCCCAUGUAAAGAGCUUUGUGAUACUUUUGAUUUUAGAUUUUUCUAGGAACUCUUUCUCUAAAUAGAAUUCUAUAUUUUCUUUAAUUUUCUCUCAUUUUCUCAUUCGCCAAACAUGCCUAGUGAGACCAAAUCUCCAAGUAUGAGUGGCUAAAUCUCGUUUUUCUCAAAGGAAUGAGGAUCUAGAGUCAAGAUCUAUGGUGAAUUAUAGAAAUGAGUUUUAAUCGGAAAUGCAAUUUGAUUCAAUUGAUUGAUUAAUUGAAAUUUGAGGAUUUUUCUCUUCAAAUUAUCCUAAAUGACUAUUACAUUGCAAACUAGGUAGAUUCAUUAAAUUCUUAAAGCUAGAUUUAAUGAGACUGAAUAGUUGCAUUGUAUGAAUCAUUGGAAGAUAAUUUAAGAUGAAUUGAAUAUAUAAUUUAAAUUGAUCUCUUGGAUUAAAUAACCUAAUUUGAAGAGAAAUUAGGUUUAGACUUAAAGGUAAAUCUAAAAUCGAUUUAGAUAAGAAUUUAGGUUUUCAAUCUAACUUGAUGAAAAAUAAAUCUCAACAUCUAUUCACCAUGGAAAUUGUUUUCUAAAAAAUAUUAACUCCGAGAAUUCCUUUUCCUUAUCAAUUUUCUUAUAUUCUACAUUAUAUUGUUCUUUUCGAUUAGAAAUCAUUGUUAUUUUGAUUUUUCAUGAAUUGUCAAAUCAAUUUCACUUGACCAUAAUCAUUUCUUUUCCUCCCAUUUAAGCCUUAAUUAUCGAGAAUAAUCCAUCCCAAUAGAAGACACCUAAGACCACUAUACUACCGUAGCUUUUGCUAAAAAACCUUUUUGAUCGGGCAAGAGUUACCUUAGCAUAGUUGAAUUAGGUUAUAAUUUUUUUAUCCAAUAAACAACAAAAAAAAUCAAUCGAUCAAGUUUGCAUUGUGUAUUCUUGAAUUUUAUUAAUAAAUUUGAUCCCCCUUUUUGAAGCGAUUACACCAAACCAAGUAAAUAUUUUAUAUACUUCAUUUGCUUUAUUUUUUCUAUUAAGUUUAGGUGUUGCAAUUUUCAAGAGUCAUGGUGAGAAGAUUGUGGGAAAAAUUAUUUUAAGGAUGGAGUCGAACAUAAAAUAUGAAAUUGAGUCCUUUGAUGGAAAUAAUAAUUUUAAUAUUUGAUAGAGUAUUAUUAAAGAUGUUUUGAUACAACAAAGACUUCUCAAAGCAUUACAAGGCAAAAAAACUAGAGAGCAUGACAAAUAAAGAAAUGAAAGAAUUAGAAGCAAGAGUUGUAAGUACUAUUUGUUUAAGUCUUAAAAAUGAAAUACAUUGUUUUGAAUGAAAAAAAUAUUCUUUUAGGGGUGUCAAUUGCUCUUUUAGAGACCAAAAAUAUUAAGCAGUCAAGUAGUUCAUCUCAUAUUGGACAAACUGUUAUGAUGAAUUCUAAACCACAUCAUCAUAGGAGUAAAUCGAAAGAAAGUAUCUGAUAGGAGGAUGAUCAUUCCAUUCACACUUAUGGAGGAAUAUGAAGUAUUAUUACUGUGAAAAAAAAAACAUAUCAGGAGAUAUUGUAAAGAAUUGAUGAAGUACCUAGAAGAAAUGAAAAUUUUUAAAUCCCAAGAGACUUCAAAUUUUACUAAUAUUGUUGAUGAAAAUUUUGAAAUAUUGUAGUAAAUUAAAAGUUACAUUAUGGGACUUUUAGUGAGUGUUUUAUGUUGAAGAAAGGCUAAUUAAAGUAAACAUGCAUCUAAAACUAUAAUUUAGAUGUUGUACUCAAAUAGUUGCUCUCCUCGAUUAUAUCAUAAAAUUUGGUUUGAAGUCUAAGUCAUCUAAUAAUUUUCUAAUUCAAAUUGCAUGCAUCAAACAUGUGUGUUAGGAAGUGUUGCAAAUUACUAAUUAAUAUAGAUUCUUUUUUUUUUUAAAGAAUAUUGUAUUGAAUAUUUCUAGGUUGAUAUAUUAUUGUAAUAUUAGACUUUCUUAUAGAAUAAGGAAGGUUGUUGAAAAUAUCCCUAUAAAUAUUCUAGUUCAUAAGGGGAAAAAGUUAUGAGAUGAAGAUGGACCCAUAAAGACUAUACAAGGUGGAUAGAGACGUGAAGAAAAACGAGAGGUACCCGGUGGAGCGAGAGGGCUCGUGGUAGGGUAUAGGUACAAAGAGUGAGAAAACAUGGGAUGUUUUGGGAACCCAAUAAUUGUAUCUGGUUAUGUCCUCUAUAAGUUCUAGUCCUGUCAUCUGCAUUGUUCUCUAUUUUAUAGUGGAAUGAUUCUCUUUUAUCUGUGGACGUGGGCAUGGUUUUCGAACCAUGUUAAAACCUUGUGUACCGUUUGUGUUGAUUUUUUUUUUUAUCUUUAUUUUAUUGAUUAAUGAAGUUUGCAUCAAAGCUUCUGUCAACGUAACAAACUUGUAUCAAAGCUUGGGUUAAAGAUUUCUAGAAGAGUAAAAGAUCAUAGAGCACACAAGAUGAAAACAAAAGGAAUUUUUAGUGAAAAUGGAGUCAAUUGCUCUCUCAUGGUGAUAUGAUAUAAAAAGUUUGUGUCAUGGAAAGUUUGAAGAUUUACUUCAUGGAAUCUGGUCCAAAAUGGAGAUUGUUAAUAAGUAUCCCAAAUUCCUAAUUAGUUUAGAUUUUUUUUUUUUGUAAAGAAUAUUGUAUAGAAUAUUUCUAGGUUAAUAUAUUAUUGUAAUAUUAGACUUCCUUAUAGAAUAAGGAAGGUUGUUGAAAAUAUCUUUAUAAAUAUUCUAGGUCAUGAGGGAAAAAAGUUAUGAGAUGAAAUGGGCCUGUAAAAACUAUAUGAGGUGGAUAGAGAUGUGAGGAAGAACAAGAGGUACUCAAUGGAAUGAAAGGGCUCGUGGUAGGGUAUGGAUACAAAGAGUGGGGAAAUAUGGGAUGUUUUGGGAACCUAAUAGUUGUAUCUGGUUCUGUCAUCUAUAAUGUUCUAGUUAUGUCCUCUAUAAUUGAUUCGUUCCCAAUUGGUGUCUCAGCUGAUUCAUGUCCUCUCCAUGGUCCCUGAUAGUGGUGCCAUUUGAUUCAUGUCCAGCUGGUGUCCCUUGAUUUUGGUCUUCAGGGAGUAAUCAACAAAAUUUAUAACCUAUUACACCAUGUACUAGGAUAGCCUUAGCUAGCAUAGCAUAGUGGCUCUAGGGUCGUUCACUGGGAUGGGUUUUCACUUCACAAUUGAUAUUAAUUCAAAGAUGAAUUGGUGCUUUUUCAUUUCAAGGUUAGCUUUAAAAGAAAACAUAAAGAUGUUUGAAUGAAAAAGGUUUUGUUUUAAACUAACCAAAAAUAAUAACUGAUUUUACUUACAAAGAAAAGUGUUUCUUGGAGUUUAGAUCACUGGGCUCAGAUUCCUUGUACAAAAAGGGAGUUCCGGUCACUUGUUUCUUUUCCUCGCAUUAGAGAAUUAACAUAUAGUUAAUUCUCUAACCGGUGUGGUACAGAUGCUUCCCCUUAAUGGGUUCAAACACUAAAUCCCUCUCACUGAUGCAACUUGCAAUGGCUCGUGCCUCUCACCUAGCAUUUGCCAUUCAAGGUGAUCUUUAACCUUGGAUUACCCUUCACAAGCUCGCAAGAGAUAACUAAUGGAUGUCUCCUUAGAGUCCAAAAGCUUACCAAGUGUUGGCAAUUCUAGAAAAUCAUACCUUCAAACCACCUCCCAAAAGCUCGCAAGAGGUAAACCAGUGCAUCUCCAUUGACGGAGAUCACUUGCCUAACCAAGUGUUGGCUCAAGUGAAUUGAAGGUGUUUUAAGUUAACUAAAAAGAUAAAAACCAUUAACGGGUCACACUUUCUCUUCAUUAAAAACUAAAACAACAAAACUUCCAAUUUAUGCAUGAGGAAACUUACCCGGCUUUCUUUCACUCCAAGAGACGAAGAGCCUAGCCUCUCAUCCUCUGAGAAAAAAUCCUCAGAGUUUGAUUGGCUAGAAAGAAAACUAACGAGAAAACAAAAAUAUAUAUAAGAAGCAGAGCAAAAGCUCUGUUCGUUGAUUACAUAUAUGAUAUAUGAUAUAUGAUGGAUCCUCUUCUUUACAUUGGUUCAAAGAUAUAUAUAGAGAAGAUAUUUUCUAAGAAAUAUCCCAAUAAUAUCUUUGACUAAUUACAAGGAGAAAAUAGAAAUUUACACAAAAUAUCUUGAGAGAAAAAAUCUAACUUAGUCGGUGGCAAAUAUCAGGAAGCUUCAGGAGAAUAUCGCGUCACUGUGCAAAAAUCCGGGUAAUCUGAAAUGCCGGCCGCGGAUGCUCUCCGGGUUAGCGCUAUUAGAAGAUCCGGACAUGCCUGUCUGGGGAGGUUGAAAUGCCUCUUCUUCCAUCCGGCGUCAGGCGUCGGAUUUGAAAUAUCUGAUCAGAGGAUCCUGACAUGUCUGACCGAACAGAAUUUCAGAUGUGAGAUAUCCGGACGUCGCAAGGGGGACCGUUUGCGUGUACAAGGUGUAGAGACCCUUCCCCCUGAUGACACGGAGCACGCAUCGCUAUCCAGAGCAACUCCAUCCGGAUUUCCCAAGAGGACACGCACCGCCAUGCUAUCCGGCACUCGUGAACAUCACACUCCGGAUGAUAGCAUAUCCUAUCCGGAUAUGUUGUCUGGAUCAUUGACUAAAGUGAGCAAGCCUUACUACAGCCCACGUUCCGCCGCUCUUCCAAUGGUGUGUCCGGACGCCCUGUCUGGACAUCUUUUUCCAUGGAUUCCAAAGAACUCUCCUCAAUCUCGGAUUGCUUUGGUGAUAAAAAAGCUAUCAAAACACCAAAACUUAACACAAUUUGAUUAGAAUUGAUUGCAAGGGUCCUUAAUAUGUUAAUUGGGUUAAAAAGUGAUAACUACUACUCAAAAGUGUUUAAAAGAGUUAAUUACAAGCUAUGAAAUAACACUUUUUGAGUAGUAAUCAAUAAUGUUCUCUAUUGUAUAGUGGAAUGAUUCUCUUUCAUUCGUGGAUGUAGGCAUGGUUGUCGAACCACAUUAAAACCUCGUGUACUGUUUGUGUUUUUUUUUUAAAAAAAAUUAAUCUUUGUUUCUUGAUUAAUGAUGUGUGCAUCAAAGCUUCCAUCUACGUAACAAACUGGUAUCAGAGCUUGGGUUGAAGAUUUUUGGAAUAGUAAAAGAUCACAAAGCACACAAGAUGAAAACAAAAGGAAUUUUUAGUGAAUGUGGAGUCAAUUGUUCUCUCAUGGUGAUAUGAUACAAAAAGUUUGUGUCAUGGAGGGUUUAAUGAUUGACUCCAUGGAAUUUGGUCCAAGGUAGAGAUUGUUAGGAAGUGUCCCAAAUUCCUAAUUAGUAUAGAUUUUUUUUUUAUAAAGAAUCUUGUAUAGAAUAUUUCUAGGUUGAUAUAUUAUUGUAAUAUUAGACUUCCUUAUAGAAUAAUGAAGGUUGUUGGAAAUAUUUUUAUAAAUAUUUUUAGUCAUGAGGGGAAAAAGUUAUGAGAUGAAGAUGAGCCUAUAAAGACCAUACGAGAUGGAUAGAGAUAUGAGGAAGAAUCGAAGGUACCCAGUGGAGCAAGAGGGCUCGUGGUAGGGUAUGAAUAUGAAGAGUGGGGAAACAUGGGAUGUUUUGGGAACCCAAUAGUUGUAUCUAGUUUUGUCAUCUAUAAUGUUCUGGUUCUGGCAUCUAUAAUGUUCUGGUUUUGUCCUAUGUAAUGUUCUUUAUUGUAUAGUGGAAUUAUUAUCUCUCAUCUGUGUAGACAAGUUGCUAAACCACGUUAAAACCUCGAAUACCAUUUGUGUUGAUUUUUUUUAUCUUUGCGUUCUUGAUUAACGAUGCUUGCAUCAAAGCUUCUACCAACGUAACAAUGUGCAACAUAUUUGAUAUAACUUAUAUUUUCUUAAGUAAUUGAACACUUUUUCUAUAAAUUUACUUGAUUAUCAAUGAAUACCUACAUAUACGGUAUUGACAUAGUUUGAUAAAUAUUUUAAAAUAGUAUUAGAAUGGCUUUUCUUUUUCCCAAUUAACAAAUUUAUCAAAUAUAUACAUACACACACACACACACACAUAAUACUCAUUAGUAUGUCUUUUAUGAAAAAACUAUAUUUGUUUAUUUGAAUUUAGUAGCCAUUCAACUCCUUAGUUACUCAUAAACUUUUUAUCACCUUCUUAAAGUCAAGUCAUUUACAAUUAUUUCUAUCUAGCCUUCUCCAUUAUAACAACUUUAUAAGAUAGUGAUUGAUUGGAAGAAUCUACAUGCCUUUGUUGAUAGGAUAAUUGUUUUUCUUUUUUUUUCGUAUUCAAAGAAUCUUGCUUCUGUUAUUGAAACUUUCAAAUCCUUUAUGUCAAGUUGUCUUAUAAUUCCCUAUUCAUUGGUCUUUCAUAUUACCAAUCAUUUUGAAAAUGAGUUAAUUUCAUUCACAUCCUCUGAGAUUUGAUGUAAAUUCGCUUAGUUACCAAUGAUUUCAAAUUUCAUUAAUUAGUACCCCUAUAGAUGUAAUUUGUGUACAAAAUUUAUUUUUUAAAAGAGUUUAGGUAAAAAUAUUUUAGGUAUAUGUCUUUAACAAUUCUCUAAAAUAAAUUUUACUUGCUAAAAAAUAACUUAUAUAGAUAGAAUACAUCUACAGGAGUUCUAACUAACGAAAUUUAAAACUAAUGGUGGUUUAGUGUAUUUAAACUAAACAUUAGGAAGGGUGACUGAAAUUAACCCUCUAGGUAUAUAUGUUUAACAAAAUUUUUAUUGUUUAUUUUUCAUUUAAUGUUUGCAUUUUUCAAUAAACAUUGAAAAGGAAUUGUUUUUCCAUAUGUUAACAAAAAGAAAUUUGAACACCUAUAAAAAUAAAAUCUUGUAGCAAAAUUGGAGUUACAUUAUCAGACUUUUAAUGAGUGUUUAUGUUUAGAAAGACCAAUUAAAGCAAGCAUGCAUCUAGAAAUUGUAACUUAGAUGCAUCAAACAUGAGCAACAUAUUUGAUAUAACCAAUAGUUUCUUAAGUAACUAAACACUUCUUUUUCUAUAAAUUUACUUGAUUAUCGAUGAAUACUUACAUAUAUUUACAUAGUUUGAUAAAUAUUUUAAAAUAAUAUUAGAAUAACUUUGUUUUUUCUCAAUUAUAUUAGAAAAUAAUAUAAAGUUACUUAUAAACUUUAUAUCAUUUUCUCAAAGUCAAGUCAUUUACAAUUAUUUCUAUCUAGCCUUCUCCAUUAUGACAACUUUUAUAUGAUAGCCGUUGAUUGGAAGAAUCUACAUGUCUUUUUUGAUAGGAUAGUUGUUUUUAUUUUUUUAUUUUUUUUAUUCCAAAAAUUUGCUUCUAUCAUUGAAACUUUCAAAUCUUUUAUGUAUAUUACCAAUCAUUUUACAAGUGAGUUAAUUUCACUUAGGGUAGAUAUACUUAGCCACACCCCUAUAGAUGUAAUUUGUGUUUAAAUUUUAUUUUUUAUUUAGGUAAAAAUAUCUUAGGUAUAUGUGUUCAACAAUUCUCUAAAAAAUAAAUUUUCUUAUCUAAAAGUUUAUAUAGACAAAAUACAUCUAUAGAAGUCCUAAUUAAUGAAAUUUAAAAUUAAUGGUUGUUUAGUGUAUUUACAUUAAACCUUAUGGGGUAUGAUUGAAAUUAACUCUUUUACAAGCACUUGUAGCUAAUAUGUUUGUAGUUGUAGUGUUGGAAAUUGAUCAUUUUCUUGAAGGCCUCUAAGAUAUUGAAAAUAUUGCCAUAGUUUUAGACUUUUUUUUAUUACACCUAAUAAAAAAUAUUAUUAAUUUAACAUAUAUAUUCUUGACUUAAAAGUAAAGUCUCUCCAUAUUGUAUAAGCCCUUAGGUGGCAAUAUUAGGUGAAGUUUUUCUUUCGUUUAUUACAAAAUAUAAAUAAUUUAUUAUUGUAUGAUAAAAUUUUAUGUAAUAUAUUUUUAUAGAUGUAAAAUUAUUAAUUGGGUUUUUUUUUUACUAAAUUGUCAUUUCAAUAUAUAAAACUUAUUUGUAAAAAGACAAUUAUAAACUAUAUGAAAUUGAAAAACAUUUAGUUUUUUUAUUUAAUUUAGAAUUUUAUUUGGAUUAAUAAUUGAUAUUUGUAAGAUUUUUUAAUAUUAAAAAAAGUUAGCAUACUUAAGAAAGAUAUUCAAGAUCGGGAGUGUUUGAUAUUGGAUUAAUUUCCUUAUUUUCUCUAUUUUAAUAAAUUUUCACGUCCAUUACAAAAUUUUUGUUGUUUAUUUUUCACUUCAAUAUUUUUAUUUUGUAAUAGACAUUUGAAAAGAUUUUUUCCUACAUGUUAAAAAAAAAAAUAUUUGAACACUCCUAAAAAAGAAUAUUGCUAUAAAAUUAAAGUUUACAUUGUAGGACUAUUAGCAAAUGCUAUAUACUUAAAAUAGACCAAUUAAAGUAGAAAUACUUCUAAAAUUGUAAUUUAGGUAACAAUAAUAUAAAAAGAUAAUAUUUUUGAAACAAUAGUUCUCUUGGAGUUUUGGGUACGAUGGACUAGACUUUAUGUACAAUAGAUAUACAAACUUUCCAUUAACAUCUUGAGAGACAUGAUGAGGAGCAAAGUCAUCCAAGAAGGUACCAUAGAGGUACCUUAGCUCCAUUCAUCUAGACUACAUAAUGUUUAAAGAUCAAAUUCAAUGACUAGAUUUCAAAAAUCAAUAUAAGCUUUCUCAUAUUCUACUCUAUAUAAGACAAUGGUAUGAUACCUCUCUUGUGUCGUAGAAUGCACCAUGAAAACCUUAUCAUUUUAACAUCAGUUUGAAACUUAAAAGUCACUUAGCACAUUCUAGUUAUUAAUCUAAGAGCAUUAAAAGAAAAUAUAAAAAAAGUUACUUUAUCCUUGUGAUUUUGAUUUAGGACUUUUAAUGAUAUUAAAAAAAAAAAACAAAACAGAAAAAUAAAUGGAAAUAAAAUCAACAAAUUAAACAAUUGAAUUAAGUUAGUUUAAUUCUUGCAUCGUUAAAUGGGUAAAUAAAGACUCUUAGAUUUGAUAUUAAUAUGAACAUCAUGACUUCAGUGAAUCUUACAAGAAAAUUUUAGUUUGAAAGACUUCAUUCAUUAAACGUGUGGCACAUAUUAAAGUAAAACUAAGUCUUCUCUAUAAUUUGUACCUAUCAUAGUUUCUUUCCUUAUAAAUAGCCUUUUUUGAAUAUAAUAUAGACUUCAACAUGCAUGGUGGGGCCAAUCAAACUACUAGUCAAGACAACUCAUGGGCAACAACGAUGUACCAACUACAUUUAAAUACUCUUCAUCUAUUUACAUAUCAAGAGUAAUUUAGUAGUGUCUUAUUUAUGUACCUCAUAUCUAGACUUUCAAUGGAGAGUUCUUCAUCUAAAAAUUUGACUUGGGUUUUCAUACUAGUUUUGGUUUAGACAUGUGGAUGCAAAGGUUGCAUCAAAGAAGAGAAGUAGGCUAAAUCAUCUUACAAAUUUUAUAGUUCAAAUUAGAUGCACCAAACAUAUGCAACAUAUUUGAUAUAACUAAUAUUUUCUUAAGUAAUUGAAUACAAUUUUUUUUUUAAAUUUACUUGAUUAUUAAUGAAUAACUACAUGUAUGGUAUUGACACAACAUGAUAAAUCUUUUAAAAUAGUAUUAGAAUAACUUUGCUAAAAAAAAGUAAAAAUAAAAAUAAAAAUACAUCUAUAUAUAAAAUUAAAUUAAAUUAAAAAUUAAAAAAGAAUAUAUAUUCUCUGUGUGUGUGUGUGUGCAUGGUCCCACAACUCAUUAGCUACUCAUAAGCUUUAUAUCACUUUCUCAAAGUCAAGUCAUUUUGUAAUUAUUUCUAUCUAGCCUUCUCCAUUACGACAACUGUAUAGGAUAUUGAUUGGUUGGAAAAAUCUUCAUGUCUUUUUUUAUAAGAUAGUUUUUUUAUUAUUAUUAUUAUUCAAAGAAUUUGCUUUUAUUAUUGAAACUUUCAAAUCCUUUAUGUCUAGUGGUCCUACAAUUCCCUAUUCAUUGGUAUUUCAUAUUACCAAUCAUUUUACAAAUAAGUUUAUUUCACCCGGUAAAUAUACUUAACUACUAAUGGUUUCAAAUUUAAUUGAUUAACACACUUAUAGAUGUAAUUUGUUUUUAAAUUUUAUUUUUUUAGAAGAAUUGUAGGUAAAAAUGUUUUAGGAAUAUGUGUUCAAUAAUUCUCUAAAAACAAUUUAUAUAGAUGGAAUACAUUCAUGUAAGUUCCAACUAAUGAAAUUUAAAACUAAUGACAAUUUAAUGUAUUUGCACUAAAUCUUAGGGGAGGUGUACUAAAACUAGCCCUUUUACAAAUAUUUGAUAUGAAAUUAAUUAAUUAAUUUUUUCUAUUUAAAUAAAUUUUUGCAUCCAUUAAUAAAAUUUUAUUGUUUAUUUUUCACUUCAAUAUUUUUAUUUUGUAAAAUAAAUAGAAAUAAAAUCAACAAAUUAAAAAAUUGAAUUAAGUUAGUUUAAUUUUGCCACCUUUAAAUUGGUAAAUGAAGACUCUUAUAUUUGAUAUUAACAUGAACAUCAUGACUUUAUUGAAUCUCACAAGAAAAUUUUAGUUUGAAAGAUUUUAUCCUUUAAACAUGUGACACAUAUUAAAGUGAGACCAAGUCUUCCCUAUAAUUUGUAUCUAUCACAAUUUCUUUCCUAAUGAAUAGCCUUUUUGAAUAGAAUAUAGACUUUAGCAUGCAUGGUGGGGCCUAGCUAUCAAACUACUAGUCAAAACAACUCAUGGGCAAGAAUGAUGUACCAACUAGAUUAAGUAUUCUCCAUCUAUUUGCAUAUCAAGAGUAAUUUAGUAGUAUCUUUCUUGUGUACCUCAUUUCUAGACUUUCAAUGGAGAGUUUUUUAUCUUAAAAUUUGACGUGGGUUUUCAUACUAGUCUUGGUUCAGAUAUGUGAAUGCAAAGGUUGCAUCAAAGAAGAGAAGUAGGCUAAGUCAUCUUACAAAUUUUCAAGUUCAAAUUAGAUGCAUCGAACAUGUGCAACAUAUUUGAUAUAACUAAUAUUUUACCAAGCAACUAAAUACUUUAUAUAUAUAUAUAAAUUUAUUGAUGAUCAAUGAAUACCUACAUGUAUGGUAUUGACACAGUUUGAUAAAUCUUUUAAAAUAGUAUUAGAAUAACUUUGCUAAAAAAAGUAAAAAUAAAAUAAAAUAAAAUAUAUAUAUAUAUAUAUAUAUAAAUAAACAAAAUAAAAAAUUUAAAAAGAAUAUAUAUAUUAGUGGUCCCACAACUCAUUAGCUACUCAUAAGCUUUAUAUCAUUUUCUUAAAGUCAAGUCAUUUACAAUUAUUUCUAUAUAGCCUUCUCCAUUGCGACAACUGUACAAUAUAUUAAUUGAUUGAAAAAAUCAUCAUGUCUUUUUUGAUAGGAUAGUUUUUUUUUUAUUCAAAGAACUUUCAAAUUCUUUAUGUCUAGUGGUCCUACAAUUCCCUAUUCAUUGGUAUUUCAUAUUACCAACCAUUUUACAAAUAAGUUAAUUUCACUCGAUAAAUAUACUUAACCACCAAUGGUUUCCAAUUUGUAGCAUUCUUAUAGAUGUAGUUUGUUUUUAAAUUUUAUUUUUUAGAAGAAUUGUAGGUAAAAAUAUUUUAGCUAUAUAUGUUCAACAAUUCUCUAAAAACAAUUUAUAUAGAUGGAAUACGUUCAUGGAAGUUCCAACUAAUGAAAUUUAAAACCAAUGAUGAUUUAAUGUAUUUGUACUAAAUCUUAGGGAGUGUGGACUAAAAUUAGCCCUUUUACAAAUAUUUAUAACUAGUAUAUUUGUAGUUGUGGUAUUGGAAGUUGAUCAUUUUCUUAAAAGGUUUACCAUUGAAGUUAGUUGAAUAUAAAGUUAGGUGAACUUUACCAUUGUUAAAUUGGUAAAUGAAGACUCUUAGAUUUGAUACUAACAUGUACAUCAUGACUUCAUUGAAUCUCUCACAAGGAAAUUUUAGUUUGAAAGACUUCAUCUUUUAAACAUGUGGCACAUAUUAAAGUGAGACCAAGUCUUCCCUAUAAUUUGUAUCUAUCACAAUUUCUUUCCUCAUAAAUAGCCUUUUUGAAUAGAAUUAAUAUAGACUUUAGCAUGCAUGAUGGGCCCUAUCAAACUAUUAGUCAAGAUAAUUUGUAGGUAAGAACGAUGGACCAACUAUAUUAAAUACUCUUCAUCUAUUUGCAUAUCAAGAGCAACUUAAUAUUGUCUUUCUUUUGUACUUCAUGUUUGAACUUUCAAUGGAGAGUUUGUCAUCUAAAUAUUUGAUGUGGGUUUUUAUACUACUCUUGGUUCAAAUAUGUGGAUGCAAAGGUUGCAUCGAAGAAGAGAAGAUGGGUUUGCUUGAAUUCAAGGCUUUUCUUAAAUUGAAUAAUGAGCAUGCAGAUUUUCUUCUCCCUUCAUGGAUAGAUAACAACACUAGUGAAUGUUGUAAUUGGGAGCGGGUUAUUUGCAAUCCCACCACAGGUCGAGUUAAGAAGCUUUUCUUCAAUGAUAUAACGCGACAACACUUGGAAGACAAUUGGUACUAUUACGAAAAUGUCAAAUUCUGGUUACUAAAUGUCUCCUUAUUCCUUCCUUUUGAAGAACUUCACCAUCUAAACUUGUCUGCAAACUCAUUUGAUGGGUUUAUUGAGAAUGAAGGUAUGUUACCUCUCACCUUUAAAUUUUCUUUUCACUUAUACUCCAAACAUUCUAAAGGAACUACUAGCAUAUGUUCUUAAAAGUGUUCAGGUGGAGAACAAAUGGUCACUAGUAACUAUUGAAUUUAAUAUAAGAACAAUUACUAAUUAUUAAAAUUUAUAAUGUAAAUUAACAUUUAAACAGAACAAUAAAAAAAUUAUUAUUUUAGAAAACUAUAGAUUACAUUAGCCUUAUAUAUAUAAGCAUACUUGUUAUUUAUGUCAUCAUUUCACACUCAACCCAAUAAGUGGGAUUCAACUAAGAGUGAGCAAUUUCACAAUUAUUAAUUAACAGGAACACUUAGGCUCCCAUAUCCUUAUCAUUUUUGCUGAAUUGUCUUUCCUUAUCUUCCAUUCCUAAAAAGCUUGAUUUCUAUAUUCCAAAUUGAUAGAGAUUGGUUAAAGAAAGGUGAUCACAAAAUUUGACUAUUGCUUUCAAAUGAGGAAUCACCAUCUUCAAAAUUUCACAUUUACAAAAAAAAUAAAUAAAAUAAAUAAAUAAAUAAAACUAGCCUCGGGUAAGGUCCAAGCCUUAUUGUUUUAAGCUGAUGUCAGAUUGGUUUAAUAAUGAACAGAGUAAAUCCUAACCCAUGACCAUCUACGCAUUUCCAAAUUCCACCCAUCCACAACCCAUUAAUAUGACAUUUUCAGGGACAAAAUUUAAUCAAUUAAACCUAUUAGAUGGAUUCUCCAUACAAUGUUAAAAUGAAUAUAAAAACUUUAAUUCAAAAAAUAAUUUCCUUUAUUUAGUUAGGAUUCAAAUUAUAGGGGCACAAAACAUGAAAAUUUUCAUGUUUAAAAUUCACAAAGAUCACAAAAGCUCUUUGAAGCUCUAUGGACUUUUUUAUUUCUAACAUUUAAACACAAAAAUCACCAAAUUUAAUUAGAGAUUUGGAUGCAUAUUCUUAUAUUAAAGACAUGUAAGCUUACAUAUUUAAAUAUGAAGAUCUCAACUUGUAAUUACAUGCUUCUAAUUAAAGUUAUAUUACUCUAUUUUACAGGAUUUAAAGGGUUAUCAAGUUUAAAGAAAUUGGAGAUCUUGGACAUAAGUGGUAAUGAGUUUGACAAAAGUGCCUUAAAAUCUUUGGGCACAAUAACAUCACUCAAGACAUUGGCUAUUUGCAGCAUGGGACUGAAUGGAUCUUUUUCCAUUCGAGGCAUGUUAUAUGUCCACAUUGUUUCUUUGAAAUUAAGUAAAAUAUAUUUCUAACUUUUAAUGUUCCUUAGUUAAUCUCUCUUUUGAUUCAUGUUUGUUGCAGACUUAGCUAGUUUGAGAAAUUUGGAAGUGUUGGAUCUAAGCUAUAAUCAUUUGGAAAGCUUUCAACUAUUGCAAGGUACUUCAUUAACUUGCUAAAAAAACUUACGAUAUUUUGUUAUUAAAUUAAAGGUAAGAUUAACAAACAAUUUCUUCUCAUUAGUUACUUUUCUUUGUAAUAUCAUUAAAUUUGAUAUAAUGUAGUCUAAAUCAUCCUUUCAAUUUAUAAGUUUUAAUUAAAACGCAUCAAGCAUGCACAAGAUGUUUAAUAUAACUAAUAUUUUCAUAAGUAAUUGAAUUUUUUUUAUGAAUUAAUUAACUUGAUUAUCAAUAAAUGCUUACAUGUAUAAGAUUAAUAUAGUUUCAUAAGUAUUUUAAAAUUGUCUUACAACACACACACACACACACAAGGAAAAUGAAAGGUAUGUGAUACCUUUAUGCUAUGUUUGGUUCUCAAAAAAAAUUGAGGGAAAAUGAAAGGAGAAAAAAAUAGAGAGGAAAAGUAAAAGAAAAGAAAAGAAAAAAAGUGAAGAAAAAUAUAAAAUUGAUUAAAGUAAAUACAUUAUUUUUAUAUGUUACUUUAACUUGUUUCACUUAUUUUAAUUCUUCAAUGUAAAGAUGAAAGAUUUGAAAAUGCAUAAGUUUCUAAUUAUUUUUUUAUUUUAUUUUAUAGUUUUUACAAUACAACCAAACAUAAUAAAAUCAUUUUCUUUAAUUUUUUUUCUUUUCUUAAUACUUUUCACGAACCCUUAAGUUAUGUUUGGUUUGCAGAAAAUAUGAGGAACAGAAAAUAGAAAAGAAAAUUAAAAGGAAAGAAAAAGUGAAGUAAAAUAAAAAUAAAUUUAAAUUUAAUAAAUUAUUUUUAUAUGCUACUUUAAACUUAUUUCACUUAUUUUAAAUUAUUUAAACUCAUUUCUAAUAAAUAAUAAUGGAAAUUGUAGAGAAGUUUGUGUUAUUCAAGCUUUGCAAUGACUUUUCAAGGUGAAGGAAAAUAUUCUUGCUGAAAUUGAAGAAGGAAAUACCUUCUUAAAUAGCCUAUUGACCGAAAACACAUUACCCUAACAUAUACACACACCUUUAUUAUUUAUACAAUCAUUUAAUACUUAAUCCCGUUAGUGGGAUUCUAGUGGUUGUUUCUAUCUUGGUUUCCAAUAUUUCUGAUUGAUAGUGUUGGAUUAAUGAAAUAUCAUAAAUUUUGACCCCAAUAAGGACCAAUCCCUAUUAAAUGUAAUUGGGUUGACCUAAGACUAAAUGUUAGACCCAACUAAUAAAAACCCAUCUGUUUGUUGGAGUCUAAAUAACCCAGCCUUAGGUAGGGCCCAUGCCUUAUUAUUUUAAGAUGUAGUCCAACUGGUUUGACACUGGAUUGAGUAAAGCCCAACUUAUGAGCAUCUGUGCAUUUCCAUCCAUCCACAACCUACUGGCAUGGACAAACUUUGGUCAAUUAAACCUAUUAUAAAUGUAUACAAAAUUUUAAGUUCAAAAGAUAAUUUUUCUUAUUUAGUUAGGAUUCAUAUUAAAAAGGCACAAAGCACGAAUUUUCAUGUUUAAAUUCACAAAUAUCACGAAAGCUCCUUCAAGCUCUAUGGACCAUUUUAUUUGUAACAUUAUAUUACUCUUAAUUAUCAAAUUAACCAACAAAUUCUUCUCAUUAGUUAUUUUUCUUUUGUAGUGUCAUAAAAUUUGAUGUAAAGUAAUAUUGGUCAUCAUUUCAACUUUCAUGUUCCAAUUAGAUGCAUCAAGCAUGUGCAACAUAUUUGAUAUAACUAAUAUUUUUAUAAGUAAUUGAAUUUUUUUUUCUAUAAAUCAAUUAACUUGAUUAUCAAUGAAUACUUUCAUACAUGAUAUUGAUGUAGUUUCAUAAAUAUUUUUAAAUAGUCAUAGAAGUCUUUUAUCUGAUUCACUAGAAAGAAAAAUAAACUAUUCUAAUGAAAAUACUUGAUGAUUUGAAGUGAUUGCUUUUGAUUUUAUUUGAUUGCUACCAUUAUUAAUUGUUAGAAAUUGGCAACAAAUACCCAUUUUGCAUCACUUCUAUAUGCAUCGAGGGAAUGAAUUAUAUUUCAUAGAGCUAACAGGGCAAAACUCAUACUUUUGGAAUUAUGGAAAAGGUUGCUAGAAAGCUAAUUAACAAUUUAUAUUAUGAUUAAGACUAGUUGGGUUAGAAAUAAUUCAUAUGGAGAUUAAAAAAAACUAUGUAAUUUAGUUUAGUAGCUUGGGUGCUAUUGUAAUGAUUAAUGAUCUGCAACUUGAACACAUCUACUAGUGCUUUCUACUUGUAUAGCUAAAUUUAUGUUACCACUUUGAACUACAGUACUUACAUGAGAAGAAAGCUUUUCCUUAGUGAUAAUGCAAAAGAAAUUAAGUAUCAAUUUUUGUUAAACUAACAAGUGAUAGUUUAGAUAUGUUUUGAAUACACUUCCUUUCUUCUAUUUUUUUAUUUUGAAAAAAAAAACUCUUUAAUGAAAUAUAAGAAAUCUUAUAUGUAUAAAAAGUAAAGACUUAAACAAAAAAAUUCUUCAAAUUUUAAAAAUUUCGAGAAGUAUUUUUAAGAAUUUGUAUUUUUAGUAUAAUAAUUCCUAUAUUUUGUAUAAAAGCUUUUGUUCAAAAAAAUAGAAGUGUAUCCAAAUUAAAAAUUAAUGGUUAAAUUAAGAAUGUUUCUCAGAUCAAGGGAUAAUGAAAGUUGUAGAGAGUUUGCAUUACUCAACCUUUGCAACUACUUUUUGAAGGUAAAAGAAAAUACCUUCUUACAUAACAUACAAUGGCAAGUUCUGGUUUGUAAGAAACUAAUAAAUGAUUAAGAAUAUGAAUAAGACUUCCUUAAUAAUAGAUAUGUAGAGAAGAAUAGUGGAUGAUAGGAGGUGAAAAUCUUGUAAUAAAAUAUCAAUAUCGGUUAUAAGAUAAUCAACAUUUUCUUGUACCUAUGUGAUUAAGAAUCUUGUAGCUCCCUUAUUGAAAUAUAAUAUAAAAAUAUAAAUAAACUAUUUAGAAGUGCAUGUAGUUUUCAACAUGAGGAAGUUCAAAAGCAAGUUAAUUAUGAUAAUUUUCUAUAGUCUAUAUUGAACACAAAUUAUUUUUUCUAAAGGUUCAAUCGUUCUAUGAAGGUUAAAAGUUUGAAUUGUUUACAUAUGCAAAUGUGAAAUUUGAAAUUUUAUAAUGUUUUAUAAUUUUCUUGUAGAUUCAAAAAACUUGUCCAUAUUCAAAAAGCUCGAGACCUUGAACCUCAAUCACAACAAGUUCAAAAACACUAGCCUACAACAAUUGAAUAUAUUUACAUCCCUUAAAAAUCUUUCUCUAAGACGGAACUAUGAUGGAGGAUUUUUUCCGAUCCAAGGUAUGUGUAAUUAUUAUUAUUAUUUUUAAUGAUAAAAUAUUAGAAUUGUCAACAUCUUUUAUCUUUUUUCCCCUCAAUGGUGUUGCAGAAUUAUGCACUCUAGAAAACUUGGUGAUGUUGGACCUAAGUGGGAAUUUCUUUAUUGGCAUGCAAGGUAAAUACAAAGUGAAGUUUUGGUUAUAUAUAUAUAUCAUGUAAGAACAUAACUAAAAUCAACAUUCUUUGCCUAUCAAUUUGUGCAUGACUAUUAUUUAGUUAUUCUUCGUAACAUAAUUGAAAGAAUGUUUAGGUGUAUAACAUUUAAGAAUUUUACAUGGCACAAUGAAAAACAUGGUAAUCAAUGUAUGCAAUAAAAUUCUAAUAGUUGAAAAAGAAUUUUCUUGUAAUUUUAUGUUCGUGUAUAGUAAUCAAAGAGAAAAUCAUGAAAAUGUAUAUUAGUUAGACUUUAUAUAUCAAUAGACAAAAAAGAAAGAAAAAAGAUUAGUUCCUUAACUUAUCCUAAAAUUUUCUAGAUAACAAGGAGUUUUUUUAUUUUGGGCUAUAAGAUUUACAACCUGAAAAGUGAAGAUGAUUAAUAUUAGUAAUAUAAUUUUGAAAUAUAAAAAUUAAUGAAAUAAUGUUCUCUAUAACUAUAACUGCAACUGCAACUAUUAAUAAAAGAUAAUAAAAGUACUUUAGACUUUGAAUCCAUGGUUAGGUUUGCAAUUUUUUGAUGAUCAAUAAAGCUACAACUUAUGCUGCAAAAGGCUAUACAAAAUGUAUUAGGAGCAUUGCUAAGCUCAUUUAUCAAUAAAAGAAAUCCAGUAAUACUUUGAUUGGAAAAAACCUAGAAUCAUGUUUGAUAUAUAUAAUAGGAGAAGAAACAAAAUAACAAUUCCAUGGUAUUAGUUAGUUUGAUAUCCCUUUUGUUAUAUGGAAUAACUAUUCCAUUUUAAAAUAAUUAUUUCAUCUUAUCGCUAGAACAAAAAAUUUCAAGCAAUUAUAUGCGCUUUUGGGUUUCUUAAGAAUUUAAGCAUUUAUGGGUCACCCAUAUAUACAUAUAUAUAUAUAUAUAUAUAUAUAUAUAUGUAGGAAGAAUAAAAAAAAAUAUUAUACGGAGACAAGGGUAGACACCCAUAUAUAUAUAUAUAUAUAUAUAUAUAUAUAUAUAUGUAGGAAGAAUAUAAAAAAAUAUUAUAUGGAGACAAGGGUAGACACCCAUAAAUGUACAUAUAAUUAUUUAAAUAAAAAAUCAAUAAGAAACAAUAUACAACAAAAUAGAAAAUUUUAAUCUUCUUAAAUUUUAAAAAUAAAAACUAAAUGAAAAAAAAUUAAGAAGUAAAAAUAAUAAUAAAAAGGUCAAGAAUACAAAUAGAGAAGUAAACAAAAAAAAUACAUAAAUUAAAAUUAAAAUUUAAAAGAAAAAAUACAUAGAUUAAUAUGAACACUAAAUGAGGUUUUUUGAGAUAGACUUAGUUAGACCUGAACCAGAUGGAUAUUAAAAAAAAUAAAAAAAAAUUGAAAGAAAUAAAAACUAAUUAGAUGCUAAAUAUUGGAUUAAAAUAACCAAAUGAAUAAAGAGUAAUUAUUAAUUUUUAACAUUUUUUAUUCCCUAGAAUUAUUAUUUUGUGUAUUAAAUGUAUUCUGAGUGUAGUGGUAUAAAAAAUGUAGUUAAGAAUACUAUGAAGAAUAAUAAUGGUGAUGAUAAUGGUGACGACACUUAAUACCUUUUAUUGUACGUUUAGAAAAAAUGAGGUUCUUGAUCUUUAUGGAGAUUAUCAUUACUCAUCCGCAAGCAUGUUGAUAGUUGAAACUACUCAAUUAUCAAAAAUUGAAUUUCUAACCUUCAAUUUUUCUCUCUCAAAUGUAUAUGUGGGUGAGAAAGCACUAGGAAGAUUAUAAGGUCUCACAUGUAUAUGAGUCAUAGGAUAAAAAAUAUAGAGACAAUACUAGCAUUUAUUUGAUCUAGUGGCAAAUAGAGAAAUAUAAAAUAACCAUAACCAUAAUGUUCUAACCUUAUAUAUACCAGAACCAUGUUUCCUUCAUUCAAUGUUGCAACUUUUUCUUUUCAAAUUAGAAUGUAACUUGUAGGAUCCAUUGCCCAUCAAAAUUUUGAAUCGAAUAUUAUAAGAUAUUUCACAUUUCUACCUACUAAAGCAUGAGCUUCAAUGUUCUCAUGCACUUUUGGCUACUAAGUUAAAGAACCCUUUGAGGAUUAAUGGAGUUUCUAUGAGUAGCAAAGCAUUAUAAUCAGAAAGUCUUAUCAGUGAUAUGCAAUUUGACCAAGAACUUAUUCCCAACUAUUUUAUGAAUUUUAUGACUUUUCUUGGCUACUUGUAGGCAAGCUAAAGAAAUUUUCUGGUUUGUUCAAGUCUAAAAAGUGGUUUCAAGUUUAGGGCCAAGCUUGGGCUGCACCUAGGUCCUUGGGCCUUGUUCAGCUCCACGUUUAAACCAACCUUGAGUCCAUCUUUGUAAUUUUUCUCCCAAUUCAUUGAUUAAUAUUAGGAUUUUAUAGAGCCUAUAAAUUGACCAACUAAAUAAAGUAGGUUCAUAAACUUUUAGGUGAAAAUUUUCUCUUUAAUAAAUGUUAAUUCAAGAGUCUCCGUAAUCUUUUUAUAUUCAUAUUAAUUGGUAUUUAAACCGACCUUACUAUAUUAAAGUCAAAUACCAAAUAGUGAACACUAUAUCUACUACUACCACUAUGAUGGUCACAAACAUAGAAUGCUCCAUUUUUUAGAGUCAAUUGAUGCUUAUAAACAACUUUGUUUGAAAAUAAAACACAUCGAGUGAUUGCAUCAAGAGAUUGAUGUAAUAAUUGCAUACUUGAUCUAGAUAAUGUUAAUAUGAGUUGACUAAAUAAAUGAGUAUUUACUUAUAAGGUAGCCCAUAGAACAUUAUUUGUGGAAAUAUUCAUGCACCUCUACAUAUGUUCAUGAUAACUUAGGUUGAUAAAUUUAAGAAGAACAAAUUCAUAACCUUGGGCAUAGUUAGUAAGAAAUUUCACCAAUAGAGUUUGGUAUCAUGAUUCUAAUUGUUCAAAUUGUUUUAAAGGAGUAUUUUAAAUUGCAUGUUAAUUUGCUUCUAAUAAAUGGAGAGAAACCAAUUCAAGAAGAGAAUUGUACUCAAGCUAUGUAUAGCAUUCAUGAAGAUGUAGAAAAUAUUGAUGAACUUACUUUUGAGCAAGUUGAAAUCAUAAUUAAAUAAAAUAACAAACCCAAGGGUUAAGAUUGUCAAGUAAAACUUUAAUUAAAAUUUAUUGAUUUUUUAAAUGCCUAUUAGAGGAGCAAUAGAAGUUCUAGAUAGAAAGUAAGAACUUUUCUAAGGAAUCACUUGUUAGAUUUUAAGUGAUCAAUAAAUAUAAUGUCCAAUUUAAAACUUUUAUAAAAGCAAUGGUUCUAAAGAAUAACUUGAUUUGAAUUUAAAGUUAUUAUUGAUAUUUAUUUAUAAUGGAUGUAGUUAAUCAAUUGAACAUAGUAAAAAACACAUAAUUUUUUCAAAAUACCUUCUAAUUGUUGGGUAUAUUUAAGUAGUUAUUCAUAUCUCAUUAUCUUUUUACUCACAUACUAAUCUCCUUAUUGAGUAUUUACCAAUUACAAGUAGGUUGAAAGUUACUUGAAUUUAAGUCACUAAUCAAUGUUAACUUGAUGACAAAUAAGUCUCCCUUUGAAACUUGUUUUAUAACAUAGCGAAAUGUAGUCGAUCAAUCAUCAAAACAAUGUUUAAGCAUUGGGAUUUAGUUGUUAAUUUUUAUUUUUUAUUUUUUGUGCUUAAACAAAGACAAAAAUUAUAAAAACUCCUGAAAAGUACAUAUUAAUUGAAUUUAAUUUAUACAUCAAACAAGAACAAACUAGUCUUGGAUUUAAAAUUCAAUAGGUUUUGUAAUUAUAAUUCCUAAAAAUUUGUAAGACAACAAAAUUAUUGGACACUAGGCUAUUGGGUGUGUAUGACUAAGAGGUGAAGGAGGGUUCAUCUUAUACAAAGGAUGAUUUGAUUAAUUUUAAAGAUUGAAUAAACAAUAAUUGCAUAUUCAAGUAAAAAUAACAUUGCUAAAAAGGAAAAUAAGUAUUUUAGUCCUCAAACCUAAAAUGGCUAAAAAAUUUAAUUAAUACAAUUACAACUUCACCUACAAAAAAAAAAAAAAAAAAAUACCCAAAACUUUUCAAUAGCACAACUAAGUCCAUUUAUCAAAAGCUCUAUGAACAACAACAACUAUCAAAUCACAUAAAUCAUGUUGUUUACAAAGUGCCCUUGAUGUUUUAAAACAUAAGAUAUUACAUAAAAAUCAACCAAUAGUGUAUGACAUUAUAAAAAACAUAUCCAAAUCCAUUGUCGAACUUAAACUAAAUUCAACUUUAUAUACAUAGUCGCAAGUGGGUCUUUUUGUCUUUCAAUUUGGGUCAAAUUCAGAUGUUAGUUUUUUACACAACAAGGGAUUAUCAAGGUGAUAAUUCAUGCAUAUAAAUAGUAUUACUUAUAUAAAAAAAAUGGUAAAUGCAAUUUUUUUGUAUUCACUCACCAUUUGGCAUAUCAAUAAGAAAAAAAUAUAUACAAUAGGUGCUAUCAAUAAUAUUAUGCAUCACUAGAAAUUAUAAUUUUUCAUUUGUUAUCACUACUUGUGCACUUUGGAAAGCUUGCUAGGUACAACAAAUUAGCUCAGUGAAGAAAUUGAUCAAUUCCUUCAUUUCUAAAUAAAUUUGCAUAUACACUAGAAUAAAAACAACUUUUUAACUUAACAAGUUGACUGAGUCUCAGAACUUAGUAGGUUGAAGGCAUAGACUUCCAUCCAAGCUCAUUUACUGGCACCACAUGUUGGAAAAAUAAAGAAAAAUCAAAACACUUGAGUAUAGUUGCAAACCAAUCUAAAUAUAGAGUGAGAUCUACCUUUCUUUGAAAGUUUAGAACAAAUUUUUAUUUUUAUGAUAAGACUAUGCAGUACUUAUCCCUCUCUAACAAGUCUAUAAUCAGUCCAAAGCAUGGGAUAUUGCAUAUUUCUUGAACUCAAUUAGCCUUUAAUCCAUGCAUUUCAAGUAAAUUUAAAACCUGGUGUACUUGUUCUUGAUUCACAUCCUUGUCACUAUUAUCAUUACUUGUUCUUGAAUAUAGAACCUUAUUGUCCAUUAACAAGCGGGCCUAUGUUCCUCCAUGAUUCAAGAGUAUUAUGUUUUGUUCAUCAUCAGUUGGUCUUGCUCUAAAGCUUCUUUUUUAUGACUAUCAAUAACCAGACUUAGAUACCAAAAUUUAUGCAAGAGAGCAUGUACUUUAUACAGUCAAGAACUUGUGAGUCUAGACUUUGUUAUCUAGGUAAAAGAAUAAAUUGGUUUGUUAAAAUAGCUAGCAUUAGGUAUCUAUUCAAUUCCUAUCUUAGACAAUAAAGAUACAAAUGAUCAAAUACAUUCUUAUUAAGAAACAUUUGAUACCAAAAGUGAUGUAAGACAACACAGUUCCUCUAUUCAAUCAAGUUUAAGGCUUAGAUGAACCUAUGAAUUUAUAUUAAUUAAUUGGGAAAGAGAAUAAAUAGGCUAAGUAGAAGUGAUAGGAUUGUAAUAGCAUUAAGUUAAUGAUCUUGUUUAGGUCUUCUACUAAAUUAGAGAAGAAACAAACAAAAGUAAUCAAACGUGUUAGUGAUAAUUAUAUCUACUUAACAUUGAGACAAUAGUUGUACUAAUGGUAAUUAUAUUAUUUCUUGAGAGUUUAAACAAUAUAUAUUGAAAAUAUUUUUAAAGGUUUAGCAACUACCAAGGUUAUAAUCAACUACGAGCUUUUUAUUUUUAAAAAUAUGAAAUAUUAAUAUCUUUACUUUCUUUGAUCUUCUUGUAGGUUUUAAAAGUUUGUCUAAGCUGAAAAAGCUGGAAAUCUUAAACCUUCGUGAUAAUCAGUUCAACAAGACCAUUAUAAAACAGUUGAGUGGACUCACAUCCCUUAAAACACUAGUUGUAAGCUACAACUAUAUUGAGGGACUUUUUCCUUCCCAAGGUAUUGCUUAUUCUUUUAAUAUCCUUAGUAACCACUCUACCAUGAUUUUUUUUUUUUUCAAUUUUAUUUUCUUUCUUGAACCAUACAGAAUUAUCUAUUUUUGGAAACUUGAUGACACUGGAUUUAAGAGAUAAUAGACUCAAUGGCUCCCUAUCAAUCCAAGGUAAAUUCUAAUCAGAAUUAUCAUUAUAUUUAGGGCAUAUAAUAAAUUAAUUAAAUUAUUUUAUCUAUUAUCAUUACUUGGUUAUUUGGAUUUUCUUGAUAUUGUUUAGCAUUUUACAUAGGAAAAUGAAAUGGAAAAAUCAACCCAUGCUUAGUGUUUAAGCACUGGGCUAGAAGUAUAUUUGUCUUCCCAAUUUAAUCAAAGAGAAAAGUCAUAAAUAACAUAAUUUAACUUAUACCUUAUAUUGAUUGAAGAGGUUAGACUACUUUUGGAUUUAAUGGUCAAUAUUUGUUGAAGAUAGGGUUUCCUAAAUUUGAUAAAAAGAACUUCAAUUUAAAUUACCAUAACUACAUAAAGGUGUGACUAGCAUAAUUAAACUCUUUUAUUAAUAGAUGUUCAUAGACUAGUAUUAUAAUCCCACAUGCACAAAUAAUCAAAUUUUGAAAUUAGACUUCAAAUAACUAUGCAAUAUACGAAACUACAAAAUGAAUGGUAGGUCAUAAUUAAUUAAAUUCGUACUAUAUUCAAUGUUGGUCAACACGUGUCAAGUAAAAGUUUUGGCCUAAGUGUAAGGGCUCACUUGCUCCAAUAUAUAUGUUAUUCACUUUGGGUCAAGGCCUACUUUAAAAUAUCUAUACAUUUAUGAGAUAUUUUAAAAUGUAAAAUGAUAGGUUUUGAUCAUUUUUAAAGGUAGCAAACAUUUUAUUUUAUUUGUAUUUAAGAACAACGUCUUUUCUUAUACAAUGUUUAUUUAAUUUUCUUUUGAUAGAUUUUGCAAGCUUAAGCAAUUUGGAGAUAUUGGAUUUGAGUUAUAAUUCCUUCAAUGGAAUUGUUUCAUCAUCUAUAAGAUUAAAGUCUUCUCUCAAGUCUUUAUCCUUGGCUGGAAAUAGACUCAAUGGUUCUUUACAAUGUCAAGGUAGGAAACAUUUAAUUUUAUUUGUAUUUAAGAACAAUGUCUUUUCUUAUAUAAUGUUUUUUUAAUUUUCUUUUGAUAGAUUUUGCAAGCUUAAGAAAUUUGGAGAUAUUGGAUUUGAGUUAUAAUUCCUUCAAUGGAAUUGUUUCAUCAUCUAUAAGAUUAAAGUCUUCUCUCAAGUCUUUAUCCUUGGCUGAAAAUAGACUCAAUGGUUCUUUUCAAUAUCAAGGUACAUAUGUUAUGCUUUCUUUGUUUCAUAAAGAUUAGACAAGAUAAACAUUGUGAAAAAAAGGUUGUCAUAGUUAAUGUAAAAUGAUAGGUUUUUGAUCAUUUUUAAAGGUGGCAAACAUUUUAUUUUAUUUGUAUUUAAGAACAAUGUCUUUUCUUAUACAAUGUUAUUUUAAUUUUCUUUUGACAGAUUUUGCAAGCUUAAACAAUUUGGAGAUAUUGGAUUUGAGUGGUAAUUUCUUCAAUGGAAUUGUUUCAUCAUCUAUAAGAUUAAAGUCUUCUCUCAAGUCUUUAUCCUUGGCUAGUAAUAGACUCAAUGGUUCUUUUCAAUAUCAAGGUACAUAUGUUAUGAUUUCUUUGUUUCAUAAAGAUUAGACAAGAUAAACAUUGUGAAAAAAAGGUUGUCAUAGUUAAUGUAAAAUGAUAUGUUUUGAUCAUUUUUAAAGGUGGCAAACAUUUUAUUUUAUUUGUAUUUAAGAACAAUGUCUUUUCUUAUACAAUGUUAUUUUAAUUUUCUUUUGACAGAUUUUGCAAGCUUAAACAAUUUGGAGAUAUUGGAUUUGAGUGGUAAUUUCUUCAAUGGAAUUUUUUCAUCAUCUAUAAGAUUUAAGUCUUCUCUCAAGUCUUUAUCCUUGGCUGUAAAUGGACUCAGUGGUUCUUUACAAUAUCAAGGUACAUAUGUUAUGCUUUCUUCGUUUCAUAGAGAUUAGAGAGGAUAAACAUUGUAAAAAAAAAAAAGUUGUCAUAGUUAAUGCAAGCUAAAACUAAAAAACUUGCUUUUUCAAUUAUGUAAGCAUGUUUUGUUCUUGAUGAAUCUUUACAACAUUCAAAGUUACUAAUAUUUAUAAUUCAUAGAGACCUCAUUAACAACCACUAACAACUAAUUGUAAGUAACUAUGAAAAAAGUAAGGACAAAAAUGAGGGAAAAGCAAGGAAAGUGACAAAUUUUUUCAUCCCCAUAAAAAAUGCUAAGGAAGAAAAAGGUGAAGAAAAUUUAAAGAAAGUAUAUUUUUCAAAAAUUAAAUUUUCUUUCCCUUAAAGUUGGUAUGGACAACCAAACAAGAAAAUGAUUUUGAAAUUCUUUUUUGACUUUUUUCUUUCAUUUUUUUUCCUACUCUAUUUUCUUUCCCUCAAACUUUCUAGGUAGUAAACAUUACCUAAGACAAAUAGGGAAGAAAAUAUUUUAUCAUUUAUUUAUUUAGCAUUUUUCUUACAUUUUUUGUAUUUUAUCCAAAUAUAAGAAAACUAUUUUUCUUUAUUUUUUCUUUUCCUUGUUGCGUUUCAAGAAUCAAGCAUACUUUAAACUCUAAUUAAGAGUUACAUAGAUUUACGAAGAAACGAUGCAACUGGUAACAAAAAAUUAAGGAAAUUUAAUUUUUGAGAGUAAGUAUAAUGAGAUUGGUUUGUUUGAUACAAAAUUUGAAUAAAAAUUCUUUUAAUGAAAAUUCAAGGAAAGGAAAAAAAAAACAACUUUAUCUCUAGACUAUAAUACUAAAUCAAUUAAAAAAAAUCUCCUAACAUCGUUUAUGUUCAUCUUUCUUUUUAUGGAUUUGAAAAACUCAAUAAUUUGGAGAAAACUGAUUUAAGGAAGAAUAUUUUUUAGAGUAAAAGAUUAUUAUUUAAGAAUAUCAUAAAUAUUAUAGUCAUUGUUGAAUAUGAUAAAUGAUAAAUAAAAAAUAAAAAAUAAAUAAAAAGUCGUUGGAAAUUUAGAUACUUUUAUGGAAAGAUAGACAAAGUGCUCUAGUUUAUAAUACUAAUGCACUUUUCUAAUUUGAUAUGAAAAAAGGUAAAACGAUAGGUUUUGAUCAUUUUUAAAGGUAGUUUGUUUAAAUCAUUUUAAUUUAUUUUGAUUUAUGAACAAUAACUUUUAUUACACUAGUUAUUUUGAUUUUCUUUUGAUAGAUUUUGCAAGCUUAAGCAAUUUGAAGGUAUUGGAUUUGAGUUAUAAUUCAUUUAGUGGGAUCGUUCCAUCAUCUAUAAGAUUGAUGUCUUCUCUCAAGUCUUUAUCUCUGGCUGGAAAUGACCUCAAUGGUUCCUUACCAAAUCAAGGUACAUAUAUUGAGAUUACAGGUUUUUCUGUUUUCUUUUUUAAUAUCUUGUUUGUUCUUUAUGCCAAUGAAGUCAUGCAUGUCUAUUAAUUUUUGGUAUUUAAUGAAAAACUUUAUUCUUAAUUCAUAAAGACCUCAUCAACUGUGAGUAACAGCUAGUUGUAAGUUUGGGGGCAUUGACAAGACGAGGAGAUGAUUGGUUACAUGUCUUAUUCUCUUUUGUAGGCUUUUUCCAAUUGAAUAAGCUUCAAGAGUUGGAUCUUAAUUACAACUUAUUCCAAGGGAUCCUUCCUCAAUGUUUGAAUAAUUUGACAUCUCUAAGGUUAUUAGAUCUCUCUUCCAACCUAUUCUCCGAAAAUCUUUCUUCCACUCUGUUACCUAAUCUCACAUCCCUGGAGUACAUUGAUCUCAGUUACAAUCAAUUUGAGGGUUCAUUCUCUUUCAGCUCUUUUGCUAAUCACUCCAAGCUUCAAGUGGUCAUACUUGGAAGUUAUAACAACAAAUUUGAGGUAGUUGGAAGGGAUAACAACAAAUUUGAGGUAGAAACUAAAUAUCCAGUUGGUUGGGUUCCCCUGUUUCAGUUGAAACCUCACCGGUGACCUUCCUGGUUUUCUUCAAUACCAAUUUAGAUUAACGGCAGUUGAUCUCUCCCAUAAUAACUUGACAGGAAGUUUCCCCAAUUGGCUGCUUGAAAACAAUACGAGAUUGGAAUUUCUGCUCCUGAGGAAUAACUCUUUAAAGGGUCAACUACUUCUCCUAGGACCUAAUACCCUGAUCAGUUCGUUGGAUAUCUCACACAAUCAGUUGGAUGGACAACUUCAAGAAAAUGUGGCCCAUAUGAUUCCAAAUAUUUGGAAGUAUUCCCAAUUCAAUCUCUAGACUUCUAGAGCUAAGGAUUCUUUUGCUAAGAGGAAACCUUUUAAGUGGUUUCAUUCCAUAUCGACUUUGUCAUUUGACUAAAAUAAGCUUGAUGGAUCUUUCAAACAACAAUUUUUCUGGGUUAAUUCCUGGAUGCUUUGGUCAUAUCGGAUUUGGAGAUUUCAAAACUGAGCACAAUGUGUAUAUACCGAUGUUGGAUUCAUAUUCAGAAAGCAAUCCUUCUAUAUAUACGGGUUACUUAAUAAAAUAUUUAUUUUUCUCUAGUGAACUCCCUGAUAAAGUAGAUGAAGUUAAGUUUGUUACCAAGAAUAGGUAUAGCUCCCACAUAGUAGAUAAAAAUAUUUGUUCGGAAUUUAGAUAUUUUUAUAGAAAAGUAGACAAGUAUUCUAAUUUAUAAAAACAAUGCAUUUCUUUAGUUUGGUAUAAAAAAAUGAAAUGAUAGGUAUUGGUAAUUUUUUUUAAAGUAGCAAACGUUUUAUUUUAUUUGUAUUUAAGAAAGAUGUCUUUUCUUAUACUAGUUAUUUUAAUUUUCUUUUGACAGUUUUUGCAAGCUUAAGCAAUUUGGAGAUACUAGAUUUGAGUUCUAAUUCCUUAAGUGGGAUUAUUCCAUCAUCUAUAAGAUUGAUGUCUCAUCUCAAGUUUUUAUCGCUGGUCGGAAAUCACCUCAAUGGUUCUUUACAAAAUCAAGGUACAUAUGUUAUGAUUUGUUUGUUUCAUAUAGAUUAGAGAAGAUAAAUAUUGUAAAAAAAAAAAGUUGUAGUUAAUGUAAGUUAGAAAAAAGUAUCUUGCCUUAUAAAUUAUAUAAGCACGUGUUUGUUCUUAAUGAAUCUUUACAACAUUUAGAGUUACCAAUCUUUAUAAUUCAUAAAGACCUCAUAAACACUGAGUAACAACUAAUUGUAAGUAAUUGUGGAAAAGUAAGGAAAACAAAUUGCUUCAUUUGAUACAAAAUUCGAAUAAAAAUUCUUUUAAUGAAAACUCAAGGAAAGGAAAAAACAUUUUUAUCUCUAGAUUAUAAUACUAAAUCAUGUAAAAAAUCUCGUAACAUCAUUUAUAUUCAUAUUUCUUUUUAUAGAUAUGAAAAAUUCAACAAUUUGGAAUAAACUUAUUCAAUGAAGAAUAAUUUUUAGAUUUAAAGAUUAUUAUUUAAGAAGAUCGUAAAUAUUACCAUCAUUGUUGAUGUCUAAGAAGAUCAUAUUCAACAAUUUUUUUAAUAUGUUGUUUUCUAUGGUAAUUAAUUGAUGUCUUGUAAUUUUUAAUAUUUAAUGAAAAACAUUAUUUUAAUUCAUCUAGAGCUCUUAAUUCAUGAAGACCUCAUUAACGGUGAGUAAUAGUUGGCUGUAAGUUUGGAGUCAAAGACAUUUCAAGGAGAUGAUUAGUUACAUGUCUUGUUCUCUUUUGUAGGUUUCUGCCAAUUGAAUAAGCUUCAAGAGUUAGAUCUUUCUUACAACUUAUUCCAAGGGACCCUUCCUCCAUGUUUGAAUAAUUUGACAUCUCUGAGGUUAUUGGAUCUCUCUUCCAACCAUUUAUCCGGAAAUCUUUCUUCGCCUCUGUUACCUAAUCUCACAUCCCUGGAGUAUAUCGAUCUCAGUUACAAUCAUUUUGAGGGUUCAUUCUCUUUCAGCUCUUUUGCUAAUCACUCCAAGCUUCAAGUGGUCAUACUUGGAAGUGAUAACAACAAAUUUGAGGUAGAAACUGAAUAUCCAGUUGGUUGGGUUCCCCUGUUUCAAUUGAAGGCUCUUUUCCUAUCCAACUGCAAGCUCACCGGUGACAUUCCUGAUUUUCUUCAAUACCAAUUCAAAUUAGAGGUGGUUGAUCUAUCCCAUAAUAACUUGACAGGAAGGUUCACCAAUUGGUUGCUUGAAAACAACACGAGACUAGAAUUUCUAGUCCUAAGGAAUAACUCUUUAAUGGGUCAACUACUUCCCCUGAGACCUAAUACCCGUAUCCUUUCAUUGGAUAUCUCACACAAUCAGUUGGAUGGACGACUUCAAGAAAAUGUGGGCCAUAUGAUUCCAAAUAUUGUGUUUCUAAAUUUAUCCAACAAUGGUUUUGAAGGUCUUCUCCCAUCCUCAAUAGCUGAAAUGAGUUCCUUAAGGGUGUUGGAUUUGUCUGCCAAUAAUUUCUCAGGAGAAGUACCAAAGCAGUUGCUUGCAACAAAAGAUUUGGUGAUUCUAAAAUUAUCAUAUAAUAAAUUUCAUGGUGAAAUAUUUUCAAGGGACUUUAACAUGACUGGGUUGGAUAUUUUGUAUUUAGACAAUAAUCAGUUCAUGGGAACUCUGUCAAAUGUAAUCUCCGGAAGCUCUCAGUUAAUGGUGUUGGAUGUGAGCAACAACUACAUGUCAGGUGAAAUUCCAAGCGGGAUAGGUAACAUGACAGAAUUGAGAACAUUGGUCAUGGGCAACAAUAAUUUUAGAGGCAAAUUACCACCUGAGAUUUCUCAAUUGCAACAGAUGAAGUUUCUUGACGUUUCUCAAAAUGCUCUUUCAGGAUCUCUUCCUUCUUUGAAGAGCAUGGAGUAUUUAGAGCAUCUACAUUUGCAAGGGAACAUGUUUACAGGAUUAAUACCGAGAGAUUUUCUCAAUUCCUCAGAUCUAUUGACUUUGGAUAUGCGAGAUAACAGGUUAUUUGGAAGUAUUCCCAAUUCAAUCUCUGCACUUUUGGAGCUAAGGAUUCUUUUGCUAAGAGGAAACCUUUUCAGUGGUUUCAUUCCAAAUCAUCUUUGUCAUUUAACUAAAAUAAGCUUGAUGGAUCUUUCAAAUAACUCUUUUUCAGGGCCAAUUCCCAAAUGCUUUGGCGAUAUCCGAUUUGGGGAGAUGAAAAAGGAGAAUGACGUGUUUAGACAGUUCAUUGAUUUUGGGUAUGGAGGGGAUUCUCGUAAUUUAUAUGUUGGAUUCACGGUGAAAAAAUGGGAGUUCGAUAGUGAUGUAUAUGAUGAAAAAAAUGAAGUUGAGUUUGUCACCAAGAACAGGCAUGACUCCUACAGUGGUGACAUCCUUAAUUUCAUGUUUGGAUUGGACUUGUCAUGUAAUAACUUAACCGGUGAAAUCCCUCACAAACUUGGAAAGCUAAGUUGGAUUCAUGCAUUGAACUUGUCUCACAAUCAAUUGAAGGACUCCAUUCCAAAGAGUUUCUCCAAUCUUUCUCAAAUAGAGAGCUUGGACCUUUCUUAUAAUAAAUUAAGUGGAGAAAUUCCUCUAGAGCUAGUUGAACUCAAUUUUCUAGAGGUGUUCAGUGUGGCUUACAACAACAUCUCUGGUAGAGUUCCAGAUACAAAAGCACAAUUUGGG
This 210966-nucleotide long non-coding RNA is filed under the name Vitis vinifera (wine grape). Its description in RNAcentral is "long non-coding RNA (VVIN_LNC002832)". Lineage: Eukaryota; Viridiplantae; Streptophyta; Magnoliopsida; Vitales; Vitaceae. The record is from RNAcentral.